UGAAACAUCCUUUCUAUAUAGGAGUUCUAAUUUUGAUGCAGUUUUUCGGGCUUAAGGUGGAUUAUUGUUGUAUGAAUUAUGAAAACUGUUGUUGAGUUACUUUCCAAUGAAGCAUCUGAAUUUGCUCCCUCUGAUUUAUUUUGGGGAAAAGAAAGGGGCUUGACUGUGCUUUUUGGGCUUACAUAAAAUCAAUUGGCAGCAUUUGAAAGCUCAACUUGAUUUUGAUAUUGCAUGGUGUUUUGAAGAUUCUGUUCAUUGUUAGUCCAGCCCCAGAUCCUGGAGAUGGAACUUGCACUUGGAAACAACCUUUUAUGUUGUUUGUGAUAGGCAUCUCUAAAUUCGCAUAAGCUCCUAAGGUAAACAGCUUAGGAAAGGCCUUGUCUGAACAAUAGUCAUGCAGAGAGAUGUGAAGCUCAAACACAAAUAUGCCCAGAAAUGAGAAUUUAUGUUGAUGUUUCAAAUCUUUGUUCUGGCUACUUUGCUCAAUCCUCUGAUUUUAAGAAUGUAUUCUGAUUACCACUGACUUGUUAUUGUUAUUAUUAUUAUUAUUAUUAUUCCUUUUUCCUUCCAUCAUAUCUUAUUCUUCUUUUCUUUUAUCUCACAUCUGGGCUAGAGUUGGAGAUGAAGAAGGUGUUUUUGUCUCCAACGACUUUAAUGUUACGUACGCUGACUUUUCAGAAUCGAAAGAAAGUUUGGCAUGUUUAGCAAACCAGAUGCUUGCACAUGUGUUGUUAAUGCAUAUGAUCAAGGCAGUAUCUUGAGUAUAGUGACAGAUAGCUCCCCCAAUUACCAUUUGAAAAUAACAUGCUGUCUUCCUGCAUUUCCUUUACAGUAAACAAAUUUUCCUUUUGAAAUAUGCCAUUGUUGUGCAAGAGCCAAUGUUGAAUGAAGUUGCCCCUGGAGCACAGACAAUAUCUUGUAAAAUUGGAGACGCAUGCCUAGGUUCAACAGAAACAGGAACAGGCUUGACCAGAUCAUUAAUAGCUGCUGUCAAGGUUGGUUGGAUAGUUUGUUUGUUCUUGUAGUAUAUCAGCAUGGUUUUCUCUAUCAAUGAUGGUGGUGAAUUAAUUCUGUAGAAGUAACCCAUGUAACCUUUUCUCUUGUAGAGAAAAUCAAGGACUGUACAUUGUGUGUCUUCCUAUUUAUAGGGACAUUCUUUUCUAGUUAAUACUUCACCAUACUCUGCCUGCUCUUUGUCUUAUACUUUGUCUCUUGCUUAGCUAAGUUAUGCUUUCAACACUUAAGGCAUUGGCUAUGUGACAUAUAUAAAUAUUUUAUUGAUUAACUUCCAUUCUAGAAUUAAUUUGCUGUAGAAUUAAUUUUGAUGCUGAUUAAUGUGCAUUUUAUUUGCAGUAUAAGUGUGAUCUCGCCAUGAUGAGUUAUGGAGAACCUACAAUGAUGCUUGAAUAUGGAUGAUUUGUUGACCUUGUUAACGAAGUAUGAAUUUCAUAACUUGAUAUUUGAUUGUUGGCAUGAUGAUUAAUUUACAAAUUCUUCUCUUUAUUAAUUUUUUACACUCUCUCCAUUAAGCAUUGACCACUGUGGGCUCACCUGGUGGUACCACUUCAAGUAUUGUUGGUGUCGAUGUGUAUGUACUUUCUCCUGCAAUGGCUGCUGGAGCUCAUUGUGUAGUUGAACCUCCGUCUGAAGGCCUUGAGUACUCAUGGUAUACAAUCUUCCCUUAAGAAAGUUUUUGAGUUUCAGCAAGUUGUUAGCAGUAAAUUAUUCAUUUGAAUCUUGAAGCAUAGCUGAAUGAAAUGGGGUGCAGAUCUAGCCAUGAACCAACAGUUGAUGGUGAUCUUGGGGUCUGCAUAAGCCCUCCAGGAAAAUUUGAUUUUGCAAGUGCAUUAUGCAUUACCAUAUGAUAUCUUUGUGCUUAUAAAAGUAAUAUUUAGAUGUGAAUGCCAUUUAGAAGCUGCACUUAGCAUACUGAUUAUGUAGUUAUGCAGAUGGUCCUCAUUGUUUGAGGAAACAGGUUUUUCUUGUUAUAUAUUAGUAUUGAGCCCCAUAAAGAGAAAAGUUUAUAAGAAUAAAAUAAUUUAUAUGAUGUUGGCAUGAGUAUUUAUAUUUGCAUCCAGCUAAACACUCUACCUUACACAUCCACCCUAAAACAUCAAUCCUAUUAACACAUUCACUUAAAAAAAUUUAAUAUAUCUAAAAUAAUUUCCUCAUUAUUCUCUUCCACACCUACUUUCUUCUUCCUUCUACCUUCUUCUUUCAAAUUUUUCUCAACAACAAACCCUAAGACCAUUUUUUUAUUUUUUAUCAAAUCUUGUUUUCUAAACAAGAAAGUAUUUGAGAUAAGUCUAAAGCUAAUUUUAACAUUUUUUAUACAUUUUUUUAAUCCAUUCACUAAUAUGAAAUUUGUAUGACAUGAAUAAAUUUAUAGAACUUAUGAUUUAUAUAAAUUUUGACAAAAAAUUGUUGUAAAAAUAGAUGAAAAGUAAUUAAAAAUUAUUUAGAAACGUUUUAGAUGUGAAAUUUUUUGAAAAAGUGGAAGGGAAAUAAACAAGAAAAAUAUGUGGUGUUCGAAAGUCGAAAGUAUGUUUGAAAAUAUAGUUUAGCGCAUCCUUUACAAUGUUUGGAAGUAUAAUGCUAGACGCCUUUAAGGAUGCCUGAACGUAUAGUGUUGGGCAGUGCUAACUUCAAGGAUAUUUUAAUUAUUUUAUCAAGGAUCACCUUUGUCUUAAAAAAAUUCUUAAUUUACAUGGAUGCAGAAUAGUGGACUUCGUGGGAGUGAGGUAAAAGUCUUUACUAUGUAGAGAUAUUUAGUAGAUGCAAAAAUAUAAACACACUUUGACAUAGUUGGGUUGGAUUUUUAAUCCCUAAAUGCCAUACAAAUACACUUUGGGCUUUUUUUUUCCCCAUAUUUGGUGGUUGCUCAAUUAUAAAUAGGAAGGAGUUAGGAUUCAAAUAGAAGAAGUUAUGGCUCCUUCCGGCUGCCCAACAUUAUUUAAAGAUAUUUUUAACAUAUCACUUAAUUUAAGCAACAUGAAUACAUUUUAAACAUUAAAACAAUUUGAGUAAUGAAAAUUAUUAACAAUUUUUUUUUAGAAAAUUUAUUAAUAUAAUUUUUUUUUUUUUGUUAUUGGUUCAAUAUUUUUGUAUUAAAUUUAUAUUAUAAUUUAGGUAUAAAAUUUGUAAUAUUAUUGUUUAUUUUAGCAUUGUUGAUUAGUUUAUAGUUUAGUUUAUGAUUUUUUUUUAGGCAUUUUAAUUAUAAUAAAAACCAAUGAAAACAAUUAUGUUGAUUUUAGUUGCUCUUAUUUAUUUAAUCUUUUUAUAUAUAUAAAAAAAAACUUUAUUGUAUUUGGGAUAUAAAAUGUCAAAUAUUAUAUGUUAUUAUUAGAAGUUCUUAAUUAACUUUAGCAUAAAUGAUAAGUAUAGCCUCGUGGUUUUAACAUAUUUGAUAAGUCUUUGAGUCGAACACGUGGAUUUUUAAGUUAAUAAAAUAUUAAAUUCUCUUUACAUACUUUUUACUUUUCCUUAUUCUAUUAGAAAAACUGUUGUUAUGAAAUUUUAUUACCUGAAUUAAGGGCUUCAUAUAUUUCUUUUUCAGUUUUGAUGGUAUGUAUUAAAAAUGAGUAACAAAAUAUCUAUAUUAUAGUCUUGUCUUGAUUAAGAUUUGAUGUAACAUCUUUGAAAUAAUAAAAUAUUCUUCUUUACCUUCAUCUCAAAUUCAAAGAAAGUAGGAGCAUGGUAUAGACUUGUAUUUAAUUAAUUUUAAAUAUGAAAAAGAUGUCCUUCAACUUGUAAAGUUUUGUAGCUCUCUAAAGACAAAGGGAGUCAUGACAUCAUUUGCAUGAUAAAACCAAAUGAUUUUUUUUUUCCUUUUUUUGUGGGUAGUUUUAGACAUGUGCUAAUGAUGUCAUGACUAUUUUGGCCUUUAGAGAGCUACAAAACUUUGCAAGUUGAGGGAAGUCUUUUUCAUAUUUAAAAUUAAUUAAAGACAAGUCUAGACUAUGCUUCCAUUUUUUUUGAGUUUGAAAUAAAGGUAAAGAAGAAUAUUUUAGUUUUUCAAAGAUGUCACAUCAAAUCCUAAUCAAGUUAAAAAUAUAGUAUGGAUUUUUUACUAAUUUUUAAUAUAUACCAUCAAAACCUUAUGAUAAAGAAAAAGAAAUAUAUGAAGCUCUUAAUUUAGGUAAUAAAAUUCUAUGAUAGUAGCUUUUCCAAUUGAAUAAAGAAAAAUAUGUAAAAAGAAUUUAUCAUUUUGUUGACUCAAGAAUUUGUGUUCAACACAAAGACUUGUCAAAUAUGCUAAAACAACAUGCUAGACUUAUCAUUUAUGUUAAAGUCAACAAAGGUUUAUAUAUAUAUAUAUAUAUAUUAAAUAAAUAAGAACAACUAAUAUCAACAUAAUUAUUUCCUUUGAUUUCUAUUAUAAUUAAAAUGUCUCAAAAGAGAAAUCCUAAACUGAACCAUAGUCUAAUCAAUAGUACUAAAAUAAGUAAUAAUAUUACAUAUUUUAUACCUAAGUUAUAAUAGAACUUUAGUACAAAAAUAUUUAUGGACCCUCGUUUUUGCACAUGCAUUCCCACUCAAAUGGUGAAACUCGCCUUUUUAUUUAUUUGGUGAAAAAUAUGAUUUUUAGAAAAGACUUGAAGUCGCCACUUAUUUUUGCUUUAUUUUUAAGGGAAAAUAAAAUAAGAAAGAAAACCCUAAGUGUGACUCUUUAUUUGGAAAAGACAAUCUGUGGAAAACCAAAGUCGAUUUUAGGGUCAGGUUAUUUAUUGGGAAGGUAUGGUAAAAAACCGUAGCACCCCUCUGAAUCCCUAAUAACAGGUCUCUACAAAAUAAGGUGAACUAAGUGUAAUAAUUGAUAAGGAAAUUGAUGAAUACCAAUGAAAUGAUUAAAUAAUAAAACGAAUCAUGCAUAAGAAUAAACAAAGUAGGAGUGAGAUCGUACCUUAGCAGCAAGUAAUAGUGCGCUAUCAUGGAAACAAGGUUAAUUCAAGUAUAAAAUUAUCAUAUGCAUAUCAAAGAGCAAGAUAAAGAUAAAGUAAUAUUCAUUAAGCAUAACAGUUGACAAUCAUAAGAGAAAACUCAUAUGUAGGGCUCCUACCAAAGCCCAAUUGAUUUUGCAUGAAUUAAUUCCAUAAAUUCCAUUGUUUUGGAAUUAUGAAAAUCAUAUUCGUACUUAUUUAAAAUCAAGAAAAAUAGAAAAUUAUUUAAAAAAAAAAAUAGUGAAAGUGCUUACCUGAGAAGAAAGGUAACAAGUUUAUUAAAAACAUGAUUUUUAUUGACUCUAAACCCUAAUGAACGAAGAAUAAAAGGAAGGACUUAAAAUUAUUUGAAAACCAAGGUACACUUAAAAUUAUUUGAAAAACUAAAAUUUGAAAAUUGGAGUUGUGAAAAUUAUUUGAAAGAGUUGUGAAAAUUAUUUGAAAAUUGAAAGUUUUGAAAAUUAUUCAAAAAUUGGAGUUUCAAAAAUUAUUUGAAAAUUAAAGUUUUGAAAAUUGGAGUUGUGAAAAUUAUUUGAAAAUUGGAGUUAUGAAAAUUAUUUGAAAAUUAUUUGAAAAUUGAAGUUUCAAAAAUUAUUUGAAAAUUGUUUGAAAAUUGGAGUUGUGAAAAUUAUUUGAAAAUUGGAAUUGUGAAAAUUAUUUGAAAAUUGGAGUUGUGAAAAUUAUUCGAAAAUUGAAGUUUUGAAAAUUAAAUUCGGAAAUUGGAAUUUUAGAAAAUUAUUUGAAAAUGAAGAUUUUGAAAAUUGGAAUUUUAGAGAAUUAUUUGAAGAUUAAAGUUUUGAAAAUUAGAGUUUUGAAAAUUGGAGUUUUGGAAAAUUAAAUUUGAAAAUUAAAAUUUUAGACAAUUUUUUUGAGAAUGAAGGUUUCGAAAAUUGAAAAUUUGAAGAAUUAUUUGAGAAUGGAAGUUUUGAAAAUUAGAUUUGAAAGAAACUAGAGUUUUGGAAAAUUAUUUGAAGAUUAAAGUUUUGAAAAUUAGAUUUGAAAAUUGAAAUUUUGUAAAAUUAAACUUUGAUAUAAAAAAUAAAUAAAUAAAAAGAAUGAGUUGUGGUGAUCCUCAUGUGCAAAUAAUGUGCAGAAAAUUCCUCCAAAGUUACAACUAGAUGAUUUUCUACUUGGACAUCAAAUUGUGACUUGGCCAUUGCCUAGCAUGCACACUCCCAAUUUGACUCUCCCUUGUGACCACCUAGCGAGCCACCUGAAGGAAUGCUACUGCACCAAGUGAUGAUUUCCAGCAAUUCCUCUAGGUUAUGUUUGGUUUCCAGAAAAUUUGAAGGAAAAUGCAAGAGAAAGAAAAUACAAAGGAAAAGCAGAAGGAAAGAAAAAGUGAAGGAAAAUAAAAAAAAUAGAUUAAAAGUGAAUAAAUUAUUUUUUUUGUUACUUCAAACUCAUUUUAUUUAUUUUAACUCAUCAAUAUAAAGAUUAAAUAAUUUAAAAAUACAUAAGUUUUUAAUUAGUUUUAAUCAUAUUUGAUUUUCUUUGAUAUUUUUCAUAGGACAACCAAACAUAAAAAAAUCAUUUUUCUUUGCAUUUUUUUUCUUUCCUUAGUAUUUUCCGGGAACCAAAUAUAACAUAACCCUAAUGUUUCGUGCCCACCUCCAUAUUCAUGGUCAAACCUCCUUCCACAAUGCCAUUCUUCUUUAACACCUUCCGUCUUUAUACCCAACACCUAGGAGGCAACUACAACUGCCAUUUUGAUUAAAGUUCCCUUUGCUUUCGCAAGCUGAUAUGGACACUACUCAAAAGAGGGUGACAUCCUUGGCAUCUGCAUACUUGAUUAUGCCCAAGGUUGUGAACCCAAUUCCUCCAGAAAGAGUAAUAGAGCAAAUGUUUUCUUCAAGUUCAGGAUAGAGGACCUUUAACAUAGUGUGGGUUGAAGCUUGUUCUACUUGUUUGCGCCAUUGUCUUCUCUAUAAGAAAGAACCACUAAGAACCAAACAACAAACUUUGGCAUGGAGGCUUAUACCCAAUAUUGGUUUUUAACCAACUUUGAUAAACUUUUUUUUUUUUUGGGAAAACAUCAGUUGAAGUAUAACCAUCUUUCAUUAGAAGUUGGAUACACCGCAGUAGAGAGAGCACACUUUCAGGAGUUAUAAUGCUGGGAUGUUAGGAAGAACAGACACAGAUUCCCACUUUGGGCCAAGAAGAAUGCACCAGAAUACAUGGCUGGAAAUGGAGCCACUAUAGACUUGUUCAUUUUGCUUAUUAGAGCUUGGAUAUCGAAGGCUUUAAAUGCAGGUUUGUGAGCAGUCAUUUCACAUACACAACAUCUUAGAGACCAGAUCUAGGAGCUUCCCCUAGUCUCCCUGAAGGUUACAGAAUUUAGAGCUUCCAAGUCCAAAUGGGACAAGAUCACCUUCAUCUGCCAUUCUCAGGGAACAUAGUACCCAUUUCUGCAGUGACUAAGACUUUUAGGAAAAGAGGAGAUGUCUUAAAUCCUCAGUCUCAUAUUCACUACCAGCAUAUAUCUUAUCAGACCCAGAUGGCAAAGCAAACCCGAACAUAAAACUUCAAGGCAGUUCCAUGGCCACCAUUUUGAACUAAUAGAUUGAAGCACAAAUACAAUCACAGAAAUCUGGCCUCCAAGUUCAUUUCACUCCACAACCUCACUUCUCUGGUCCCAGCAACUUGGCCAUUGAUGACAUCAUCCCACCAUCAACAAGAAACAAAGCAAGAAACAGAGAUGAAUAAAAAAAAGAGUAAAAACAGAGCAUGAACUUAGCUCUAUGUCAUGGACCGUCAAAGAGCUAGGAGCACAUUGAAUCCAAAGGAAACAAAAGCAUCAUUUUGAUGUAUCAAAUUCAGGGAAGGAGUAGUGCAUCAAAUAUUUACAAGAGAAAACAGAAAAAAAAAAUCCAAAACAAACCAAAAUAGAGCAUGCAUGCAUAAAGUCAAGUCCAACAGAGUAGUUGGAAAUGGAAAUUAAAUAGUGCAAAAAUCAGAGGCAAGAAGCUUAUAGUGGCUUUACCUGCUCAUAAACCCCCCAGAGCUGUCUCGCUUCCCAGCCCAACUCUUUUCUCAUUCCCUAAAAAAAAUCCCUCUCUGGACUCCUCUUUCUUUUCUAUCUUUUCUUUCUUCUUCUUGCUCUGUUUUUCUUCCAAAACCCCUUUGUUGAAAAACCUCCUCCCACUUUUCUUUCCCCCAGCUCUAUUUUUCCCCCCGCCAACCUUCACCUGCUCCACUGCUUCUCUGUUUUUCUCCUCUAUUUUCACCCUCUCUCCCAGCUACUCUACUACUCCCCAUUUAGCAAAAAAGUCUCCAUCUCAACCACCACCAUGGCAAGGUGGUGGUGUCCUUGGCCAUGCAUCCUAUGCAGCUUGUACAUCCAUGGAGAGGCCGCCCCCCACUCAUUCAACAUAUUGUCUAGCUCCUCUCGGGUUGGUAAGAAAAAAUGCUAUUAAUAAAAGCAAUAAAAAAAAAGAACAAGGGUCUGCAAAAGGGGUCUAUAAUAUUAAAAUGAAUAAGAAAAAUAAAUAAAUAUGAGCAACUUAUAUUAAUAAUUUUUUUUUAAAUGUUAAAAAUUUUCAUUACUCAAAUUGUUUUAAUGUUUAAAAUGUAUUCAUGUGGCUUAAGUUAAGAAAUAGGUUAAAAAUAUAUUUAAAUAAGUUAAAUGGCAUUGUACCAAUGAGUCUUGGACUUGUUUCAAUUGUAGAGUUCCUAAUACUUGGAGGCAACUCCUUUACCAAACACAGUAGAAAAAAUAUAGUUUAAGAAACUCCAAAAAUUAUACUUUAUGUGGGGAGCUUUCUCUCAUUGUUGAAAAUAUUAGCAAUCUUUGACUCACACAGACUGAGAAAUAACAAAUUUUGAGGUAAAAUUCCUUAUUCCAUGAGUUGUUUAUUUGCACUUAUACAACAAUAACUUCUUUGGAAACAAGUUCUCAAUGCUACAAAACUAUACAUAUUUUGGGCUUCUAUGUCUAGCGCUAAUAAGGAGUUUUUGAACGGAAAAAGCAACACUACAAUAAUUUUAUUUGGAAAAACAUAAUAAGCAAUAGAUAAAUGUUUGAAAAGGAAAAUGUCAUCUUCUUGAUAAUGAAAAAAAAAUAUUACAAGUUCAAUGGAAUUGCUUUCAUGUAUCACAUCAAUUCAAGUUCUUAGAAAUAUCAAAAUUGUUGAGAGGUUUUUUUGGAUGUGUUCACCAAUGAGUCAAAGUCCUUGCAUUUUGGAUGAUAGUUAAAAUUUUCAAGUAAACUAAUCAGGGACAUUUCAAAGUUUAAUUGGUAAACCAUAUUAUUCAUAGUCUCUUCCAUGUAUCACAUCAAUUCAAUUUCAUAGAAACAUCAAAAUUGUUGAGAGGUUUGUUUGGAUGUGUUCACCAAUGAGUCAAAGUCCUUGCAUUUUGGAUGAUAGUUAAGAAUUUCAGGUAAACUAAUUUGCGACAUUUCAAAGUUUGAUAAAACCAUAUUAUUCAUAGUCUCUUUCAUGUAUCACAUCAAUUCAAGUUCAUAGAAAUAUCAAAAUUGUUAAGAGGUUUGUUUGGAUGUAUUCACCAUUGAUUCAAAGUCCUUGCAUUUUGGAUGAUAGUUAAGAUUUUCAGGUAAACUAAUAAGUGACAUUUCAAAGUUUGAUAAACCAUAUCAUUCAUAGUCUCUUCCGUAUAUCACAUCAAUUCAAUUUCAUAGAAAUAUGAAAAUUGUUGAGAUUUUUUGGUAAACUAAUUAGCGACAUUUCAAAGUUUGGUAAAUCAUAUUAUUCAUAAUCUCUUUCAUAUAUCACAUCAAUUCAAUUUCAUAGAAAUAUCAAAAUUGUUGAAAGGUUUGUUUGGAUGUGUUCACAAAUGAGUUAAAAUCCUUGUAUUUUGGAUGAUAGUUAAGACUUUCAGUUAAACUAAUUAGCAACAUUUCAAAGUUUGGUAAACCAUAUUAUUCAUAGUCUCUUUCAUGUAUCACAUCAAUUCAAGUUCAUAGAAAAUAUGAAAAUUGUUAAGAGGUUUGUUUGGAUGUGUUCACCAAUGAGUCAAAAUCCUUGCAUUUUGAAUGAUAGUUAAGACUUUUAGGUAAACUAAUUAGCGACAUUUCAAAUUUUGGAUGAUUACUUUGAAAUAUCGCUAAUUAGUUUACCUAAAAGUCUUAACUAUCNNNNNNNNNNNNNNNNNNNNNNNNNNNNNNNNNNNNNNNNNNNNNNNNNNNNNNNNNNNNNNNNNNNNNNNNNNNNNNNNNNNNNNNNNNNNNNNNNNNNAACACAUCCAAUCAAUCCUCUCAACAAUUUUCAUAUUUCUAUGAACUUGAAUUGAUGUGAUACAUGAAAGAGAUUAUGAAUAAUAUGGUUUACCAAACUUUGAAAUGUCGCUAAUUAGUUUACCUAAAAAUCUCAACAAUUUUCAUAUUUCUAUUAACAUGAAUUGAUGUGAUACAUGAAAGAGACUAUGAAUAAUAUAGUUUAUCAACCUUUGAAAUGUCGCUAAUUAGUUUACCUAAAAAUCUUAACUAUCAUCCAAAAUGCAAGGACUUUGACUCAUUGGUGAACACAUCCAAACAAGCCUCUCAACAAUUUUGAUAUUUCUAUGAACUUGAAUUGAUGUGAUACAUGAAAGAGACUAUGAAUAAUAUGGUUUACCAAACUUUGAAAUGUCGCUAAUUGGUUUACUUGAAAGUCUUAACUAUCAUCCAAAAUGCAAGUUUAUUGAUUAACUUCCAUUCUAGAAUUAAUUUUGAUGAUGAUUAAUGUGUAUUUUAUUUGCAGCAUAAGUGUGAUCUCAUCAACAUGAGUUAUGGAGAACCUAUAAUGAUGCUUGAAUAUGGGCGAUUUGUUUGCCUUGUUAGCGAAGUAUGAAUUUCAAAACUCUAUUAGUUCACCACUUUUUUUUUUUAAUAAUUAUUAACUCCUUAUAUGAUAAUUUUGGAGUAUAAUUGAAGUAUAUUUAGAAAAUCUUUAAAAGUAGAAUACAAGCAAAAACUUGAUCAUUUAUACACCCAAAUUAACUAAUGAAUUAUUAAGAAGUCAAGUUUUAUUUAAUUUUUUUUUCUUUUUAACAAUUUCAUUUUUUUUAUAUAUACUUUUUAUUAUUUAUUUGUUUUAAUCAUUUUUUGGGAACAAUCCAUCUAGUAUAUUAUGUUGAUAUUUUUAUUGGUUAAUGUAUCAUUUAUAUAGCAUUUGAAAGUAAUAUAAUAUAUUUUGGUUAUGAGUUAAGGUUAAAUUUGUAAAAGAUAAAAUUUUACUUAAAUUUGCAAUAAUAUAAAUAUUAUAUUUUUCUACUCACAUUCAUGGUGCUAUUGUAAAAUAAAUGGUUUCAAAUCUCAACUUUUUUUUAAAAUAAAAAAUUAUCAAUCAACAAAUAUUUAGCUCUUAUCGUUCAAAGAUUUUAAUAUUUAAUUUUUAGUUUUAUCUAAUAACAUCAUUGUAAUUAAUAUUUUGACCACUUGUUUAUUUAUUUGUUUGUUUUUUAAGUAAGAGAAUUUUUAUAGAUUGAGUGUCUUUCCAAGAAAUUUGGUACCUAUGAUAAAAUUAGGUAUAUCUUAUAGAAAUCCAUCUAGGAAUGAUUUCAUAAAAGUUUUAAAUUGAUUUCCACUUUUCCAUGACUUUGUUCAUGGUAGACUACUUAAGAAUGAUUUUAGUCUAAAAAUGCAAAUUUUUUUUUUUUAUUUUAAAAAAGAUAACAAAGUGUCUUUUUGUUGGAUUAUGAAGCCUAAAUCAAUCUUGUUGCACUAUGCAAAGACAUAUUGGGGUCAAGAUGGAGUUUUUAUUUUUUAUUUUUUAUUGAAUAAUGGGUUUUAUGUUAUUAUAUAUUUAACCAUAUUAUGAUUUAGGUUUUUUUUUUUUUUUUUUCUAAAGAGAAAACUUAGAGUGUAACUACAAUUGCAACUAAGAAGAGAGUGAAAGAGUCUUCACCAUUGUAACUUUUCUCUUUUGUUUUUGAUUGGUGUAUUUUUUAGUGAUGGUGUGCUCCGUGGAUGUAGGGAUCACAUUGAUCAUUGUAUUAUGUUAAAAAUUUGUUGUCUUUUCUUUAUUUUAGCUUGUGUAUGUGAUUUGGUCAAUACUUUGAUCAACUUAGUUUAUAGUUAAGAAAUAUAUGUAUUAUGAAAGAAGAUAAAAUCAACUUUGGACCACAUAAAGGUGAGUCUAAAUGAAUAUAAUUUAUUUUAAAAAUAAUGAUUUAGAUAGAAAAUUUUUUCAAACAAUUAUUGGUCUUUGGUUUCACAUCUAAGUUGUAGAUGGUUAAUGAGUAAUAUAUUAAUCAAAUAAGUCUAGUUGAAGUGAAUCAUACCGAAAUGGAAAAAUUUAUGCUAUAAAAAUAUUAAUUUGAUUGAUAUUUUGAACCACACAACAUAUCAAUGAUUUUGCAUAACUUAGCACACAUCUAAAGGUACACAAAAAAUAAUAAUAAUUUAGUUUUAUUAUGCAAAUGAUGUCAUCACUUCCUUGGUCUUUAGAGAGCUACAAAACUUUGAAAGUUAGAGAGAAGUCUUUUUCAUAUUUAAAAUUAAUUAAAGACAAGUCUCGAACAUAAUUGGUGGGUCAUUUUUUUUUCUUGGGAGUAAGUGAAUUUCUAGUUUUCUUUCUUUCUUUUUUUUUUUUUUUAAAAAUGAGAGGACAAGAUCUUUCUAAUAAUGAAUUUGAUGAUUAAUCUAGACUAUGCUCUUACUUUCCUAGCCUUGAGUUUGAAAUAAAGGUAAAGAAUAUUUUAUUUUUGCUAAGAUGUUACAUUAAAUCUUAAUCAAGCCAAGAAUAUAAUAUAAAUAUUUUUUACUCAUUUUUAAUACAUACCAUCAAAACCUUAUCAACAAUAAUAAAGAAAAAGAAAUAUAUGAGACCCUUAAUUCAGGUAAUAAAAUUCCAUGAUAGCAGUUUUUCCAAUAGAAUAAGGACAAGUAUGUAAAUAUAAUUUAUCAUUUUGUUGACUCAAUAGUCCAUGUGUUCAACAUGAUGACUUAUCAAAUAUGCUAAAAUCAUAGUAACUUUUCCAAUAUAACAAGGAAAAGUAUGUAAAUAGAAUUUAUGAUUUUGUUGACUCAAGAAUCCAUGUGUUCAACCCAAAGACUUAUCAAAUAUGCUAAAACAAUAGUAACUUUUCCAAUAGAACAAGGAAAAGUAUAUAAAGAGAAUUUAUGAUUUUGUUGACUCAAGAAUCUAUGUGUUCAAUACAAAGACUUAUCAAAUAUACUAAAACAUAGUAACUUUUCCAGUAGAACAAGGAAAAGUAUGGAAAGAGAAUUUAUGAUUUUGUUGAAUCAAGAAUCCAUGUGUUCAACACAAAGACUUAUCAUAUGUGCUAAAAUCAUAUUAGCUUUUCCAAUAUAACAAGGAAAAGUAUGUAUUCGGAAUUUAUCAUUUUGUUAACUAAAGAAUCCAUGUGUUCAACACAAAGACUUAUUAAAUAUGUUAAAACCAUGGUAGUUUUUCCAAUAGAAAAAAGAAAAGUAUAUAAAGAUAAUUUAUUAUUUUGUUGACCCAAGAAUCUAUGUUUUCUACAUAGACUUAUCAAAUGUGCGAAAACCACAAGCUUAGACUUAUCAUUGAUGCUAAAGCCAAUAAGAGCUUUUGAUAAUAAUAUAUAAUAUUUUAUAUUUUAUAUCUCAACUACAAUAGAGUUUUAUUUUAUUUUUUUAUAAAAAGAUUAACUAAAUAACAACAACUAAUAUCAACAAAAUUAUUUCCAUUAGUUUCUAUUAUAAUUAAAAUGCCUCAAAAGAAAAAUCACAAACUAAACUAUAGACUAAUCAACAAUGUUAAAAUAAAAAAUAAUAUUACACAUUUUAUGCCUGAGUUAUAAUAGAAAUUUAAUACAAAAAUAUUGGAUGAAUUAGAAAAAUAAAUAAAUAUAAGUGAAUUAUAUUAAUAAAUUUUCUCAAAAAAAAGUUAAUAAUUUUCAUUACACAAAUUGUUUUAAUGUUUAAAAUGUAUUCAUGUGGCUUAAGUUAAGUAACGAGUUAAAAAUACCUUUAUAUAGGGUAAAUAGCAUUGUCCCAAGCAGUCUUGGACUAGUUUCAAAUGUGGAGUUCUUAAUAAUUGGAGGCAACUCCUUUAGCAAACAGAGUAGUAGAAAAACAUUUUAAGAAACUCCAAAAAUUAUACUUCAUGUGGGGAGCUUUCUCUUAUUGUUGGAAGUAUCAGCAAUCUUUGACUCACAGAUUUUAGAAACACCAAAAUUUGAGGUAAUAUUCCUUACUCCAUGAGUUGUUUAUUUGCACUUACGCAACAAUAACUUCUUUGAAAAUAUAUUCUCAAUGCCAAGGAACUACUCAUUUUUGGGGCUCCUAUGUUUAGGCAAUAAUAAAUUUUGAGAAAUGCUCUAAGUUGGAAUUGGAGAACUAACAAGUACUAUGGAUUUCCAUUUGAGAUUUAACAAAUUUUUGGCCAUUAUUCCUUCACAAAUAUACCAAUUCUCUUAUAGUAUUAGAUCUUGCAAAUAAUAAACUUAGAACAAUACCAAAAUGUUUGAAUAAUUAAUUUUAGUUUAAUGACGACAAUAGAUAUUCCAAAUGAUGCAUUUGCUAAUUUAGAAUAUUCCAAUUAUCAUGGCUAUUUUGGGAGGUGAGCCUUCAUUGAUCAAUUAAGGAGGGAAUUAGAGUACAAAGGGAUUCUUUGAAUAAGAAAUUUCAAAUAAUAAUUUUGUUAGAUUAUUUGGAUGGAAUGCGAGAAAAAUGGAAUUUUUAUAAUCUAGUCUUUAAGCACCCAAAAUUACCAUGUCAACUAAAAUAUAUAUUAAAGUUUUAAGUGCACACCAUUUUAGAAUAGAGGGCAUCUAGUCUUAAUGUCAUCUUUAUAUUAUGUGAUAAUCAUUAAUUUCUUCAUGAACCUAAUUUUCAAUUACUAAUAGCGCUAUUAAGGAGUUUUGAAAGGAAAGACCAAGACUACAAUAAUUUUAUUUGGAAAGGCAAAAUAAAAAUUAUAUAAAUAUUUGAAAAGGAAAAUGUCAUCUUCUUGAUAAUAAAAAAACAUUGGUUUAUUACAAGUUCAAAGGAAUUGUUUUCAUGUAUCACAUCAGUUCAAGUUUAUAGAAAUAUCAAAAUUGUUGAAAGAUUGGUUAGGAUGUGUUUAGCGAUGAGUCAAAGUCUUUAUAUUUUGGAAGAUAGUUAAGACUUUCAGGUCAACUAAUCAUCUUUAUUAAGUGAUAUUAUAUAUUUUGGAAAACCAUAUUAUUCAUAGUCUUCUUCACAAUCAUGUUGUGGGGACAUUCCAAAAAUAUCUAGAAAUUACUUACCUAACAUAGGUUCCAAUGAUUCCAUGGGAUCUACUUUUUAUAUCUUUCUAAAAAUUCUUUAGGUUAUAUUUGGUUCUUGAAAAAUUUAAGGAAAAAUAUGAGGGAAAUAAAAUAGAGAGUAAAAGUUAAAUUAAAGAAAAAAAAGAAGGAAAAUGAAUUUAAAAUCAAUAAAUUAUUUUUAUAUAUGACUUCAAACUUAUUUCACAUAUUUUUCUUCUUCUAUGUAAAAAUUAAAUAAUUUAAAAAUGUAUAAGUUUUAUAUUGAUUUUAAUUAUAUUUGAUUUUUUUAUGUGUUUUUCAUAGUGAAACUAAACAUGAGACACUUUCCUGAGUACUUUCAAACAUUCACUUAUGGUUUCUAAUCUUAUGAGAUGGAUGAAAAAUUCCUACCCUUAUAAAUUCAUUACUAUUCCAUAAACCAAAAAAGUUUGAAGGACAUAAAAGAAAACAAAAUCAUCUCUUAUUAACAUUGUCCAUACAACACAAUAAUCAAUCUUGGAGAUAUGCAAGGAUUUUAUUUGGUUUUUUCAAAACUAUGUGGAUGAGAUGUCAUAAGAAAAUAUGUGAAAAACUUGUAUGUAAUUGAGAUAUAUAUCGUGGAUUUUUUUAUCUUCAAGUCUCAAAUGAAGAGAAAUAUUAUAAACGUAAAUCAGAUACUUUAAAAUGACUAUUAAAUCAACUUCAAUAACUAAAUAUGACUUAAUAAUUUAAUUUAAAUUGUUAAAUAUAUUAAGACUAUGUUUGGUUCCACGAAAGUCUUAUACAACGUUUGGUUCCAAGAAAAUAUUGAAGAAUGGAAGAAACAUUAAGAAAUGUUAUUUUCUCUUGUUUAAUUUUAUUAUAGAAAAUAUGAAUAUAUAUAUAUAUAUAUAUAUAUAUAUAUAUACAUAUACAUAUAUACACCAAAUGAUUUUUAGGGAGCAUAUAAAAAUAAUUUAUUGAUUUUAAAUCUAUAUUUUAUUUUCCUUCGGUUUUUGUUCCUUGUACUUUUUCUUUUCAUUUUCUUCUCAUACAAUUUUUCAUCAAAUUUUUUUAGAACCAAACAUAGUCUUAAGAAAAGGAAAAUUAUUUUUUUAUACUUGGUUUACUAUGAAAAAUAAAAAAAAUAUAUAAUUAAAAUUAGUUAAAAACUUAUACAUUUUAUAAUUAUUUAAUCUUUAUAUAAAAAAGGAAAAUAAAUUAAAUGAGUUUGAAAAAAAUUAUUAAAUUUAAAUACUAUCUUAUGUGUUCAUACGUUUCAUUUCUCACAAUCAUAUCUAUGAAAUGUUCCAAAUGUUUGAAUGUCAUUUAGCCCCAAAUUAAACAUGAACCCGGUUCAAUGACUUCAAGGCAUAAUGCUAAUUUGGAGUGGAAAUUCCAUCAUUCUUUUAAAUUUGUCUUUGUUAGAUGAAGAGGGAAAAUUAAGUUUGGAAUUAAUAUAAAAAAUACUCUUGCUAAGACUGAGGUUAGAAACAAUUCCCUCUAUUUGAGAUUUAUAUGCCUCUACAAGACUCUCUCUCUCUCUCUCUCUAGUGUUGAAGUUCAUAGAAAUAUCAAAAUUGUUGGAAGGUUUCUUUGAAUUGUUUACUUUAAGGUCAAAGUCAUUGUAUUUUGGAAGGUAGUUAAGACUUUUAGGUACUAUCUUUAUUGAUCAAUAUUUCAUGUCUCUUUCACAAAUGCAUUGUGGACAUGUUCCAAAAAUAUCUAAAAAACACUGACCCCAAUUAAGGUUUCAAUGAUUCCAAGGGUUUACCGUUUAAGUUUUCUAAAAAUUAUUUAGGUUUUGUUUGGUUCUUGAAAAAUUUGAGGAAAACGUGAGAGGAAAAAAAAGAAAAAGAAAAUCAAAGUAGAUGGAAAUAAAAAAAUUGAAGAAAAAUUUAAAAUAUAUUUAAAAUCAUUAAAUUAUUUUUAUAUGUUGCUUCAAAUUGAAUGUAAUAAAAAAGUUAAUGUUUUUACCACCAUAGAAAAUCGAUGAAUUUAUGAAAACAAUUUCUUUUGAGAGCAUAUACUCAUGGAUUUUUUUUAUCUUUAAGCUUGAUGAAUUUAUGAAAAAAAAAUUCUUUUGAGAACAUAUAAAUUAUGGGUUUUUUUUUUUUAUCUUUGAGCAAUGAAUGAAGAAAAAAUAUUAUAAAUAUAAAUAAAAUACUUUAAAAUGACUACAUAUAUAUUUAAAAAGUUUAAAUGACAGAAGAUAACUUAAAUUCCAUUGAAAGAGUAAUAAUAAAAUAAAAAGUUCAUAUAACUUGAAUGAAUGUAAAAUAAAUUAGUGUAAUACUUGCACAAGGAAAAAAGAUAAAGAUAGAAUAGAAAGGAAAAAAGUAAAUUUGAGUGCUAAAAAAUAUUUUAUUUAUUUUAAAAUUUUAAUUAAAUCAUAAUAUAUUAUUAAUAUUCAAUGGUUAGUGUUAUUUGUUUUACCAUUAAUAUUUAAUUACGAUUGUUUUUUAUCUUUUAAAAUUUUAAAAUUAUAUAUUUUAAGGGUAAAUAAUAAUGUAAUGUGGGGGAAGAUGUAAUUGUCUAAAUCAUAUCUAUCUAUAUAUAUAUAUAUAUAUAUAUUUGUUGACCAUUGACCAACUCUAUUUGCAGGGGUGUUAAUAUGUAUGCCUUGGAAUUAUUUCAACUCAUUCACCAUUCAUGGCAAUCUCUAAAGCAAUGAUUGUGUUUCCCUUGCUUUGCUUUCUCUUCUCGACCAUCUCCACCUUAUCUCAUCCAAACACCUUGGUUUGCAAUGAAACCGAGAAACGUGCCCUUCUAAGCUUCAAACAUGCUCUCUUUGAUCCUGCACAUCGCCUCUCAUCUUGGUCUACUCACGAAGACUGUUGUGGAUGGAAUGGAGUCUACUGUCACAACGUCACUGGUAGAGUUAUCAAGCUCGAUCUAAUGAAUCCUGAUAUUUACAAUUACUCAUUGGAGGGCAAGGUUACUCGUGCAUAUCGUUACAAUUUCUCAUUGGAGGUCAAGGUUAGUCGUGCGUAUCGUUACAAUUUCUCAUUGGGGGGCAAGGUUAGUCCUGCGUUGCUCCAAUUAGAAUUUUUGAAUUACUUGGACUUGAGCUGGAAUGAUUUUGGAGGUACUCCAAUUCCAAGUUUCCUAGGUUCCAUGCGGAGUUUAACAUACCUUAACCUCCACGGUGCUUCAUUUGGUGGACUAAUCCCUCCUCAACUUGGAAAUCUUUCCAAUCUUCAAUACCUCAGUCUAGGAAGUGGUUAUUCCUUCUACGAACCUCAACUUUAUGUUGAGAACCUUGGUUGGAUUUCUCAUCUUUCUUCUUUGGAAUUCCUGCUCAUGUUUGAGGUUGAUCUUCAAAGGGAAGUUCAUUGGCUUGAAUCUACAUCUAUGCUAUCUUCCCUUUCCAAGUUGUACUUGGUGGCGUGUGAACUAGAUAACAUGAGCCCGUCUCUUGGGUAUGUCAAUUUUACAUCUCUCAUAGUCCUAGAUCUUCGUUGGAAUCAUUUCAAUCAUGAGAUACCCAAUUGGCUAUUUAAUCUCAGCACUAGUCAUAUACCUCUAAAUGAGUUACAUUUAUCAUACAAUCAGUUGACAGGGCAGAUACCAGAGUAUAACAUACAUUGACCUUAGAUAUGCUUCAUUUGGUGGACUAAUCCCUCCUCAGCUUGGAAAUCUUUCCAAUCUUCAACACCUCGCUCUAGGAGGUGCUUAUUCCUCCUACAAACCACAACUUUAUGUUGAGAACCUUGAUUGGUUUUCUCAUCUUUCUUCUUUGGAAUACCUGGACAUGUCUGAGGUUGACCUUCAAAGAGAAGUUCAUUGGCUUGAAUCUACAUCUAUGCUAUCUUCCCUUUCUGAGUUGUACUUGAUCGCGUGUGAACUAGAUAACAUGAGCCCAUCUCUUGGGUAUGUCAAUUUUACAUCUCUCACAGUCCUCGACCUUCGUCAUAAUCAUUUCAAUCAUGAGAUGCCCAAUUGGCUAUUUAAUCUACCCUUAAAUUCUUUAGUUUUAUCAUACAAUCACCUGACAGGGCAAAUACCAGAGUAUUUAGGAAACUUAUCAUCCUUGACGUCUUUAUCUCUUAAUGCAAAUAGGUUAAAUGGAACUCUUCCAAGCAGUCUCUGGCUUCUUUCAAAUUUGGAGCUUUUAUAUAUUGGAUAUAACUCCUUAGCAGACACAAUAUCAGAAGUUCAUGUUAAUGAACUCUCAAAAUUGAAGCACUUUGGCAUGUCCUCAGCAUCUCUUAUUUUCAAAGUCAAGUCCAAUUGGGUUCCUCCUUUUCAACUUGAAGAAUUGUGGAUGAGUACGUCCCAGAUAGGCCCCAAUUUUCCCACGUGGCUAGAAACUCAAACAUCUCUUCGGUAUCUAGACAUUUCCAAGUCUGGAAUUGUGGACAUAGCUCCAAAAUGGUUCUGGAAGUGGGCUUCACAUAUUGCUAGACGACUGAUCGACCUCUCAGAUAACCAGAUAUCUGGGAAUUUAUCUGGAGUUCUGCUAAAUAAUACUUUCAUUGAUUUAAGCUCUAAUUUCUUCAUGGGUGAGUUACCACGAUUGUCUCCACAAGUUUCUAGAUUGAACAUGGCUAACAACUCAUUUUCGGGGCCAAUUUCCCCUUUCUUGUGCCAAAAAUUGAAUGGAAAAAGUAAUCUCGAGAUAUUGGACAUGUCAACAAACAAUUUAUCAGGGGAGCUUUCUCAUUGUUGGACGUAUUGGCAAUCUCUGACUCAUUUGAACUUAGGAAACAAUAAUCUUUCAGGCAAAAUUCCUGGCUCCAUGGGCUCUUUGUUUGAACUUAAAGCACUGCACUUGCAUAAUAAUAGCUUAUCUGGAGAUAUACCACCUUCACUGCGAAACUGCACGUCUUUGGGGCUCUUGGAUUUAGGUGGUAACAAACUUUCAGGAAAUUUACCAAGCUGGAUGGGAGAGACGACGACUCUGAUGGCUCUCAGAUUAAGAUCAAACAAAUUAAUUGGCAAUAUUCCUCCACAAAUAUGCCAGCUUUCUUCUCUUAUAAUAUUGGAUGUUGCCAAUAAUAGUCUAUCCGGAACCAUACCAAAGUGUUUCAAUAAUUUCAGUUUAAUGGCAACAAUAGGCACUGAAGAUGAUGCUUUUUUCCUUUUUAAAACUUUUCCCCUUGAUAGGACACGACUAUGAGAAUCUAAUGUUGGUCAUCAAAGGGAAGGAAUCAGAGUACGGGAGCAUUCUAAAAUUUGUUCAGAGCAUAGAUCUUUCGAGUAAUAAUUUGUCGGGAUCAAUCCCUACUGAAAUCUCAAGUUUUUUUGGAUUGGAAUUUUUGAACUUAUCUUGCAAUAAUUUGAUGGGAACCAUACCGGAGAAAAUGGGACGCAUGAAGGCCUUAGAAUCUCUGGAUCUCUCGAGAAACCAUCUCUCAGGUGAAAUUCCUCAAAGCAUGAAGAAUUUAUCAUUUCUUAGUCACUUGAAUCUAUCAUACAACAAUUUUUCGGGAAGAAUUCCAUCAAGCACACAACUUCAAAGCUUAGAUGCUAUUAGCUACAUUGGCAAUGCUGAGCUUUGUGGAGCCCCUCUGACAAAAAAUUGCACAGAAGACGAAGACUUUCAAGGUAUAGACGUGAUUGAUGAAAAUGAAGAAGGCUCUGAAAUCCCAUGGUUCUACAUUGGCAUGGGACUUGGGUUCAUUGUAGGCUUUUGGGGAGUUUGUGGUGCUCUUUUAUUCAAGAAAGCUUGGAGGCAUGCUUAUUUCCAAUUUUUUUACCAUGUUAAAGACUGGGUGUAUGUGGCCAUAGCGAGAAGGUUGAACCGGCUCCAGAAUAAUUUGAGGGUAAGUGAAACACAUCAUCAUCUUAUCAAUUUUUGUUUCAAAUAAUAUUUCCUUUCUAUGUUUGAUUGGUUCUUUUUAAUAUUGUAGUUUCUACUUUGUCAUUCAUGUUAUAUCAUAUCACUACUACAAAAAUAGAAAAUUAUGACGCUUUAAUCCUUGGCGCUUUCAUAAAGUAUCAUUAUAUUUGGAUAUACAAUGGCGUUUUUUCAAAAGGGUCAUUUUUUAUAUUAUUUUUUUUAUUUCAUGGCGCUUAUUUAAAGUAUCAUUGCUUACUGUGGCACUUAUAAGAAUAACUGGUUAUUCCAUCACACUUUAUAGCAGUGUCAUAGUUGUGAUAUUUGAUGGCGCUUAUAUUAGGUGACAUUAAAUAAUAGUAUAUAUAUAUAUAUGUUCUAAAUAUAUAUUAAUUAAAUGCUUUUCCCUUUCUACACUCACCCGCCAGACAUUCCCUCCACAAUUUCAAAACUGAAGAAACUAAAAUGCCCUAAUCCAUUCCCCUUGCAAAGUCAUUUGACUCCACAUCAAUUGCCAAAAUCCAUUCCUCUUGCAAAGUCCACCACUAAAAUGGCCUAAUCCGUUGGAAUGGCCAUGUCUAACUUCCAUGCAUUGGAGGUUACCAUUGUCAAAAUCUACUACAGAGCAUCAUAGUUACAGGUAAAUCUCUUUCUCAAGUAAUGUUGUUUUCAUCAAACUUGAAUAGAUUAGUACAAAUGAAGACAAAUGGAAGGGUUUUCGUUGUUCCAAAAAUCUAAUAUUAUUGUUUCAUAGAUGGGAAAAUUAUUUUGGGAGGAGAAAAUCAGGGUAAUGGUAUCCCAAAUAAAUACAGUGCAUUUUUUGUUCUUCUUGUUGUAUGGUACGCUGCAAGUUGUAAUAGGUAUAGUUCCAGCUUCUCCUUUUAGUUGUGGUGGGAAGUGCCGCCUUGUUUUUGCCUAAUGUAAUGCCAUGGAGAUGUAGCAGCCAGCAUGGUGAUCGGGAUGGAGGUUGAGGGUAAUGUGGUGGGUGGCUCACACACCAGCACAAGGGCGUGGGAAAGGAGGUGUAGUCUUUGCCGCCUGUAGGUAUGGACGUGCCGUGUUCGUACACCAAGGAGAAGACAGGUUCGGCUGCAGCAGUUGAGAAAGCUAUAGAAUGGAGGAUUUUUAAAUGGUAUUGAGAGGGGAACAGCUAGCAAAGGCAUGACGUGUUUUAAAAUUUUCUUUGGUGGGCUUGGGUUUGAGUUUUAGUUGUUGGGCAGCCAAGGAUUGGGGGAGGCACUAGGUCCAAAAUAUAUGAGCUUGGUUUAAAGAAGAAACUUCUACAGAAUGUAAAUAAUAAUAAUAAUUUAAAUUUUACUUUAGGGGAUAGGAAUUUGGACCUUGGAUGUGGCUGGAUUUGGGCCCAUCCAAAGGCCUUGUUUGGUCCACCUCAUCCCUCCUACAAAGUUAUGACUGAUGAUUGGAGAGGCAAAACUCGUGCCUGGGAGGGAGAGGUUGAUGCCGGCGUCGUGCUGGGCGGUGUUGAAGGAGUUGGAGGAGAUGAGGACUGAGGCAUCGUAGCCUUCGACCAUGCAGUCGUGGAAGAAGAGGCGGAGAGUGGCAGUAGCUGUGGUGGCGGAGAGUGGCAGUAGUUGUGGUGGCGGAGAGUGGCAGUAGCUGUGGUGGGGUCGUUGAUUUCCUUGGUGCUUAUGAUCUCACAUAUUUUAAUCAGGAAUAUUCUAUGCCUCCGCGUCUUUGAAAGGCUGUCAAGUCUGACUCUAAAUUUGGUGCGUUGAAAGGAUUCUAAACCUGCCGCUGUCAUUGUUCUAGCUGCUGCAUCCUCUCUCAAUCUCCUCUGCCAUGGCUGCGACACCAUCUUCCACUGCUGUCCCUACAGCUAUGGUGAACUCUCUUCUGUUUUCUCACCAUCUGAAAGGAGCACUGCACAUAUGAAUGCACUAAAAGACCUGGUUAUUGAUGAUGGUGUUCCAAACACUAGCUCCUCCUCCCCUCUCAUGGAAACAUGCGAUUGUAUUGAGAGAGUCAAAUUUCUAAGGGGAAAGAACUAUUUCUCACUGGAUCCUUAGUGGCAUCGUCGUUGACCCAGGUUUUUAAGUCCUUGCCUCCUAGCACUCUUGCCGGACCUCCAUCUGUCAUCUCCACCACUGCUUUUUCUCCCUUCUUGACUCAGGUAUCAACUUUGUCAUCUCCUAUUCUCCUCAAAUAAAUUCCUUCACCCUAUUCUUUUCUUCUUCUUAUUUCUCUACACCAUCAUAUCCUUCUGUUCUUCCUUCUUCUUUGUCACAUUCUUAUCAAUUUUCUAUUUCGAAUUCACUGCCUUCUUCCACUCUACUUGCUGCACCGAAUAUUACCAAUCAAACUUGAUUCCACCAACUAUCUUCUCUGGAAAGAUAAAUUCCUCCUUGUUUUAAUUAGCAACGACCUCUUAGGAUAUGUUGAUGGCACUUUUCCUUGUCCUCCUCAAUAUACCUGUGAUGCCGAAGGUGUAAAAUCUGCAAGUUGGGAUUGAAAGUUCAAGGAAGCUGCCCUUCUUUCUUUACUUAAUAAAAUAUACAUUGUUGAAAUCAAAACCCUUAUGAUUAUAUAUAUAUAUAUAUAUAUAUAUAUAUAUAUAUAUAUAUUAAAAGUUUUUAUAUACACAAAAUAUUAAAAUAAUCCUUUAAACAAUAAAUUAAUUAUAAUUAUUUUAUAUGUAAAUAAUUUUUUUGUUUAAUUAAAUUGUAAAAAGUUUUUAAUAUCAUUAUUAUAUUAAUUAAAUAUAUCAUAAUUUUAAUAUUAAAUAUAUUUUAAAAUUAAACAUAUUAUAAUUAAAUAUCACAAUAUUAUUAUUGAAUAAGAUUUUAUAUAAUUUAAUAAUUAUAAUAUAUAUAUAUAUAUAUAUAUAUAUUAAUUUUUUUAAUAAAAUAAUUUUAUAAUAUUUAUUACACUUUUAAUUUUAUUUAUAAGAGUUUUAUUGGACCCUAUAAUGUUGAGGCUAAGUACAAGGGAAAUUUUAGAAGGUUUCAAGGAAUGAUCCAAACAAAGAAAAAUUAAAAACUUGAAUGGGCUUCUUCUAUAUGCUUCUUUCAUAAAAGUAGAGGGGCAUGUAAGAGAAACACACAUGGUCAAAGUAAAGAGGACUAAGUAGGUGGUCAAGGGGCAAAAUAGGUAAUGAAGGUAGCAAAAAGGUUCGAGAUUAAUGUUGACUCAAGAAAUUUCAUUAGUAUGGGUGACAACUUACUAGGAACUUCUAAUUAUAGACUUGAAGAGUUUAUGGACUUCUUCAAAUUUCAUAUUAUCGGGUGCCAUUAUAUUUAGUCAAAUCUUGAGGGGAAAUGAAUUAAAUUAACCCUUUAAAAAUAUUACUCAAAAUAUGGUAAUGGAAUAUUUCAAAACUUGUAUCAUUUGUGUGGAUUGAAAUAGAAUAUUGCUUUUAAAAUGCAAUUUCUAACUUUCUAUUUUAAAAACAAAAAAUAGUAAAAUAUUUUGUAUAAGAGUUGUUACUAUUUUCUAUUUUCAAAACAAAAAAUAAGAAGUGAAAAAAAAAUGAAUAUUAGCCUACUUUUAAAAUUGACACUAAUUACAUUUUAGAGAAAAAAAAUAACUUUAAUGUAGUGUAACCAUAUAUACUUUGUAUACAUAAGGAAUCAAAACUAAGGUAUAGGAUCAUAGGUAUUAUUAUUAGAUGGUGCAACUUGUUGGAAAAAUCAAAGGGUGGAAUUGCUGGAUGCUGAAGACCUAGCCUGUAACUUCUCUUUCACAAUAUGAUACAACCUAACCAAGAUGAUUACGGAUUGUUAACCCACCUUAAUUUAGACCAGACUUUUCUAUCUCAUUCGUUUAAGUUCUACCCAUCUUGCAGUCAUCUUUCUUGUCCUAAGGACUUGACCCGAGUCAGAUAGUGUGGUUCACGGUUCACCCACCAUUAGGUCAUCACCAAAAGUCAUAAUCUCAAAUGAAAAGGGGCACAAGGAAUAAUCUUCUUACCUUUCUCAUCAUGCAUAUAUUUUAUUUUAUAUGAGUAUUAAUUACCAUUUAAAAAAAAUAAUAACUAAAAUAGUUUGAUUUUAAUAAUUUUAUAAAUUUUUAAAAAUAUCUAACCAUUGUUGCACAUGUGAAAAUUUUUUUUUCUUACUUAUAUGUUUUUUCUUCUUAGUUUAUUUCUUAUUUUAAUUUAUUUUGUAUUUAUUUGUUAAUAUCUACUAAUGGAUUUAUUUUAUAUCUUUAUUUAUUAUUUGUUUUGCAUAUACAUAUUUUAAGAGACAGUGACCUACAUUGGACUACGAGAGGUGUGUGAUGCAAGACUCGAGACAAAGACAGAGUGAGGAAGGUACACUAUUUUUCCUUAUACAAACCAACAUAUUUUAAUUAUAAUACCAUUUUUACUUUGGGUGGUUAGAAGAAUAUAAUGGAAGCGUUAUUUUAAAUUUUGUUUAAAUCUUAUUGAGUACCUGAAUUGUACGAGUUAUUCCCUAGCUUAGUUUGAUACCAAGGCCCAAAUUUUGACCCAAGGCUAUGACAUAGACUGGUGUGACUUGAUUCGCAAAUCAUGGGCCAUACGUAUGCUUUCUUAUAAUAAUCUUGUUUAAUGAUGAAAUAUAGCAAUAAUUAUGGAACAACUUUAGGUGUUUUAUAAUUAUUAGAUUAUUCAAUAAGUACUUGUGUUUUAAUUUUAAUCAAACAUGCAUGCAUGAAACCUUAGAGUUCCCAUUCAACUAUCAUUGUAAGAUAAAAGUUUCUCUUAUUACAUACUAAAGACAUUUAAGUUGUCAAAGGUGAAAAAGGUUUUAUCUAAGCCACUUUCAAGUUGACAACUUUUAAAUUGUCUAGAAUGUGAUAAAGAUAUUUUUUUUGCAAUGAUGUUUGAAUUGUCCGAUUGGACAGUGUAGGAAAACAUAAUAUCUAUGAAGUUAAUUGCUUGUGCUUAACUCACUUUUUAGAAAUUUUGGUAGUAUUUCCUCUUGUUCUCUGGGUGCAUAUUUGAACAAGGUCACAUAUUAUACCUUGUUCAUUUUGUGUACUUGGAGAACUAUGGGGAAAUGCUGCCAAAAUUUCUUUAAAAUGAAAUUGAGUAUAUUGGCAAUUAACACAUAGGGAUUAUGUAUUCCUACAUGGGAUAGGAACAACUACCUGAUUUUGGAUGAUGGACAUGUUAAAAGGCAUAAAAACAUGCAUCAAAAGGUUCUAUUGUCAUAUUGUUAAUCCUUUUUUUUAUUGAGGAUGAGGUUCAAAUUUUUUAUUACACUUGAAUCCUAAUUGUUUGUCCAUAGAAAGUUUAAAAGAAAUUUUGGAUGUCACAAAUGAGAAACUGAAAGUUUUGAGUGUUUUCUAAAGGUAACUUUUCUAAGUCUUUUCCAUUUCCAUUGUUUGCUUAUGUUUGCUAUAUAGGAAUUGAGUUCAACUAUUAUAGGCAAAUGAAUCGUUCCUGGAUGUCAAAAGAUAGAAGAUCAAAAGACUAUGAGGAUGGGGUUGAAAAUUUUAUUUCAUUUGCAGUUCAAAAUUCUGCAAAUCAAAACUCCAUCAAAUGCCCAUGUCUACAGUGUGGAAAUUUGAUUUUCAAUACUCCUCAAAAGAUUAGAGAACACCUAUUCUUUUAUGGAAUUGACCAAAGUUACCAUACUUGGUUUUGACAUGGGGAGGCAACUUUAAGUAGUGGACCCCCAACUACAAGGGUUGAAUGUUUUGAUAGAAUUCAUAUUGGUAAUGUGGAUCAUACAGUAGAAAUGGUUGAAGCUGCACAAGAUGAUUGUAAGGCUAAUCCAAAAUUAUUUGAAAGAUUGCUUGAAGAUGCUGAAAAACCUUUGUAUCCCGGUUGCAAAAACUUCACCAAAUUAUCUGCUUUAGUUAAAUUAUACAAUCUGAAAGGAAGAUAUGGGUGGUCUGAUAAAAGCUUCUCCGAGCUAUUAAGCUUACUUGGUGAUAUGUUGCCUGUAAACAAUGAGUUGCCAUUGUCUAUGUAUGAAGCAAAAAAAACAUUGAAUGCAUUGGGAAUGGAAUAUGAAAAAAUACAUGCAUGUCCCAAUGAUUGCAUACUUUUUAGGAAUGAGUUAAAAGAUGCAUCUUCAUGUCAUACAUGUGGAGCUUCAAGGUGGAAGGUGAAUAGAAGAGGAAGCAAAAAGAGUAAAGGAGUUCCUGCUAAAGUGAUGUGGUAUUUUCCACCUAUCCCACGAUUUAAAAGAAUGUUUCAGUCCUCAAAAAUUGCAAAAGACCUCAUAUGGCAUGCAGAAGGUGGAGAAUUUGAUGGAAAAAUGCGUCAUCCAUCCUACUCGCCAUCAUGGAAGGUAAUUGACCAUAGAUGGCCUAAUUUUGCUGCAGAACCUAGAAAUCUUAGACUUGCCAUUUCAGCAGAUGGCAUAAAUCCCCAUAGUUCUUUGAGCAGUAGGUAUAGUUGUUGGCCAGUUGUCAUGAUCACUUAUAACUUUCCACCGUGGUUGUGCAUGAAGAGAAAAUUUAUGAUGUUAUCUUUGUUAAUAUCGGGUCCACAACAACCUGGAAAUGACAUAGAUAUCUAUUUAGCACCAUUGAUUGAGGACCUUAAAACCUUGUGGGAGAUAGGGGUAGAAGCUUAUGAUGCAUAUCAAAGAGAGGUCUUUACAUUAAGGGCUGUUCUAUUAUGGACAAUAAAUGACUUUCCUGCAUAUGGAAACUUAUUUGGUUGGACAGUCAAAGGAUAUUUUGAGUGUCCAAUAUGUGGACCGGAAACCUAUUCACAUAGGUUGAAGCAUGGGAGAAAGAACUCAUUUACAGGUCACAGACGUUUUCUUCCAUGCAAUCAUCCUUUUAGAAAACAUAGAAAGGCAUUCAAUGGUGAGCAGGAGUUUCGAUCACCUCCACAACCAUUAAGUGGAGAGGAAAUACUAUUGAAAAUGAAUGCCAUUUGUAAUUCAUGGGGGAAAAAAAGGGGAAGACAUGAAAAAUCCAAUGUGACUUAUACCAAUUGUUGGAAGAAAAAGUCUAUAUUAUUUGAACUUGAGUAUUGGAGAUAUUUGCAUGUUCGUCAUAAUUUGGAUGUAAUGCACAUUGAGAAAAAUGUUUGUGAAAGCAUCAUUGGUACAUUACUUAACAUCCCAGGGAAGACAAAAGAUGGACUCAAUUCUCGUCUAGACCUUAUGGACAUGGGCUUAAGGUGUGAACUGGCACCAAGGUUUGAAUCGAAUCGAACUUACCUUCCGCCUGCAUGUUAUACAUUGUCUAGAAAGGAGAAGAAAGUAUUUUGUCAAACUUUAGCUGAGUUAAAGGUUCCUGAAGGGUAUUGCUCAAACUUUAGAAAUCUUGUGUCAAUGGAAGAUUUGAAGCUUUAUGGCCUGAAGUCCCAUGAUUAUCAUACACUGAUGCAACAAUUGUUACCAAUGGCAUUGUGAUCACUUUUGCCAAAGCAUGUAUGACAUGCUAUUGCUAGAUUGAGCCUUUUUUUCAAUGCUUUAUGUAAGAAGGUGGUUGAUGUGUCCACAUUGGAUCAGUUACAAAAUGAACUUGUUGUGACAUUAUGCUUGCUUGAAAAGUACUUUCCGCCAUCCUUCUUUGAUAUCAUGAUUCAUUUAACGGUUCAUCUUGUUAGAGAGGUGAGACUUUGUGGACCGGUUUAUUUUAGAUGGAUGUACCCAUUUGAAAGGUUCAUGAAAGUAUUAAAGGGUUAUGUGCGAAACCGUAACCACCCUGAAGGUUGCAUUGUUGAAUGCUACAUUGCAGAGGAAGCUAUUGAAUUUUGUACAGAGUACUUAUCAAAUGUGGAUGCAAUUGGAGUUCCUAGUAGUACUAAUGUUGACCAUAAAGUUAGGGCGCCUAUUCCUGGAGGUCAUAUCACCGAAGUUGAUUGUAAUUUGUUGUUGCAAGCACAUCAUUAUGUGUUGGAAAAUACAACUAUCAUCCAACCUUAUAUCGAGUAAGGGUCAACUAUUUUGAUUUUAUGUGUAGAUUACUUAAACUAAUUUUGGAAACUUAUUGUUACUUUCUUAUACAUAUCUUAUAGAGAACACAUGAAAUGGUUGAAAUUGAACAAUCCUCGUCAAUCUAAGAGACAAAAGUGGCUACAAGAAGAACACAUGCGAACAUUCACUCAUUGGUUGCGAAAAAAGGUAUUCAAUUUAUUCUAAAAAUUGCACCAUUCUUAGCACUAAUCAUAAAAAAUAUUAAUAACUAUGGUCCAUUCAAACAGGUAGAAGUUGCCAUUGCUGACAAAGAACCUAUAUCUAAAACCUUAAGAUGGAUGGCACAUGGUCCUACCCACUACGUGGCCAAGUAUCAUGGCUAUGUUAUAAAUGGGUGUCAGUACAAUACAAACGACCGUGAUGAGUUACGAGUUACCCAGAAUAGUGGAGUUAGCAUUGUAGCAACAACAAUGCAAAUUUCUAGUGCCAAGGAUAAGAAUCCAGUAUUUGGUGAGCUAUGUUUCUAUGGUAUUAUUACUGAGAUAUGGGAUAUUGAUUAUACCAUGUUUAGGAUUCCAGUUUUCAAAUGCAAUUGGGUUGAUAAUAAGAGCGGCAUCAAAGUUGAUGAGUUUGGGCUGACAUUAGUUGACUUCACUAAGAUGGCUCAUAAAUCAGAUCCAUUUAUUUUAGCCUCCUAAGCCAAGCAAGUAUUCUAUGUACAAGACCAACUUGAUCCAAGAUGGUCAGUUGUUUUGUCAACUCCUGAAAGGGACUUCUCAUUUUCAGCAAAGGAUUCUGAUGAUUUCAUGGAUAAUUCUAUUGAACACCAUCCUCUCAUUACCACUUUGGCACAAGUUGAAUCAUUUGAUACAAUGGAUGACUCUGAUGUCAUUUGCAUUCGAGGAGACUAUGAGGGAUUCUGGAUUGAUAACAAAUCUUCUAUGUAACUAAAUUUAUGACCUUGUUGUUUUGUUGUGAAGGUUGUAACUAUCCCAUUAACUUGUUAAUAUUGAAAUUCUGCAUUUCAAUAAAUAGUUUAUUUAUUUUCUAAGUGGAUUAAAUUCAUCAUGUCUCUAAAUUUAUUGAUUCCCUAUUUCAUGAUUAUUAUUAUACACAUAUCUCAGAGUGAUCUAAAGGAUAAUACAAGGAUAUCAAUUUGUCUCAGCUCAAAGCUUAUGAUUUCUAGUUCCAUAAGAAAAAAGUUUGGUGAGGAUCUUCUAGUAAGUUUUUAUUAUUAUUAUUUUUAAAUAUUUCAUGACAACAUGUGAAUAUUGUUAUCUAGCAUGUAAAAUGUUCCUAGUAUGUUCAUGUUACUAAUAUGAGUUCAUGUUAUAAAAAAUUCAAUUUUACUUGCAAUUAAUGGGUAUACUUAUCAUUUCUCAUUGAUGUGUUAUAGGCAUGGAUUCAAAGGAAGAGAAAACCCCUUCACAAAAAAAAUAUAGAGGGACAACAAGGAAAUCCAUGAUUAUAAGGAAUAGGAAUAGAGGGAUAAAGUUGGUCAUAAAGUACAAUGCUGAUGGUAUCUAUGUAGGAGAAUCUUCUGUGCACCUAACAAGCUACUUAGGUGUAUUGGCACGCACGAUGGUACCAAUCAGAUAUAACACAUGGCGAGAUGUCCCUGAACAAUUGAAGGAUAAGUUGUGGGACUCUAUUGAGGUUACUUUUUUUUUUUUAACAUAAAUAAGUUUUCUACAAUCUCUAUAUUUCUUUCAAAUUUUGAGAAACUAAUGACUUUAUAAUUUGUAGAUUGCUUUUACAUUAGACAAGAAAAGAAGAAGGAAUUGUAUGCUUACAUUGGGAAAAUGUUUUCGAUCUUUUAAGAACACGUUGACUGUGAAACAUAUUCUUCCUUUCAAAGAUGAGCCAGAGCUUCUUAAGAAACCACUAGCUGAAUAUCAUUUUAUCGAUGAUGAAUAUUGGAAUAUUUUUGUGAAAAAUAGGUUGUCUGAAAAAUUCCAGGUACAAAUACAAUUAACAUUAAACAUACUACAUGCAUCCACAUAUAUAUACUAAGCAUCCAUUUUAAUUUGUAGGAAUAUAGGGAAGUACAAAAACAGAGAAGAAAGAAGCAUAUAUAUAAUCAUCAUCUAAGUAGAAAAGGGUAUGCUGGACUUGAAGAAGAGAUGGUAAGUUUUUGUUAAUUCUUAUUGUGGUUUAAUUUUAUAUGAUUGUAUAAGUAAUGAAGGAAUAUUUUAUAUGGGUUUCUUAAUUGUUUCUUUUCUGACAAAAAAAUAGAAAUAAAACCACAUGUGUCAUCUAAUAACUAUCUUUAAUUUUCUAUUUCUAUUAGAUGAUUGAAGCUGGCUCCAUAGAAAGCAUUGAUAGAAGUUUACUUUGGAAGAGGGCAAUGCAAAAAAAAGAUGGCAGCUAUGAUGAUGUGGUCCUACCGGUAGUGGAAAAAAUAGUAAGUAGACAUUUUGUACCCAAAAAUCACAUCUUUAAGCACCUUAUUUGGUUUUACUUAUUUGAAAGUUAACUUCAUAACUUCCUUUUGUUUUAGGAUGAAUUGAUGAAAGAGUCUCAAGAUAGUGGCAUAAGCUAUAGUGGGAGCAAUGACAUACUUUCUCAAGCACUAGGUACUCCUGAGUAUACUGGUCGGGUUCGAGCUAAAGGGAAGCACUACACGCCUGGAUGAUAUUUCAAUCGUAUGUCAGAACGUGUUGUGAGGGAUAUUUUAAAAGCAACUCAAGAACGUCAAGUUAAGUUUGAGGCUGAUGUGUUAGCGAGACUAUCUCAGAUAGGAGUUGCUACACCACAAUCCGAUGUGAGUAUUUCCAACAUGAAAUCAAAACUGUUGCUUCUACCAGAAGUAGUGGAGAAACCAAUUCAUAAAGUUGAGGAGAAGACCUUACCUGUGAAAAUAGAACCACACAUGAAGGUGUGUUAUUUUUAGUUUACAUUUCCUAGUUCAAUGACGUAAUUGUCACAAAUUCCUAGAUAAUUUUCAUAAAUAAUUUCUUCCAAUUGCUUUUAUUUUUGUUAGAUUGAUACUUACAUUUUAGGUAGAUUCUAUUACAGUAUAAUUACUACUAGUAAUAUUCUAUUCCACUACCACUAUUACUUAUAAAAUAUGUAACUUUACGUCUUAAAUAUAGCCCUAACAUAGUCAAUGCACUUUAAACUUCAUUUAUUGAUUAUUUUUUUAUAUUGAAUUUAACAAUUUAAUUUACUUUUGAAGACAAGAAAAUGUGAGUUGGCAGUAGGGACCAGAGAAAAUACAGUGGCUGGUGGAACAAUUGUAAUGGAUUGUGGUCCCAACUACCUAGUUGUUUUGGAUGCUCCCUAUGAGUCAAAUACACCACUUCCUAUUCCCAUUCCUGGACAAGCUACAACAGUUGGAGCGGCAGUAGGCUACCAAGUUUUAUGGCCAACCCAUUUAGUCAAUUUGAGUACUAAAUUCAUUAAGGUGUGUUAUUUUCAUUUGCAAUAGUUUAUAAAGAUAUGUAUAUCAUUUGAAAACAUGGUGCUUUCUUUUAUAGGGAUCUCACAAAGGGAAAAGACAAAAAACAACAGAAAAUGACUUGAAAAUUGGUGAAAACCCUCAAGAUAUCAACAAUUUUGAUGCAUUAGUAGGUCUCAUGCUAAAUGAGGGGAAAGCAUAAGGUGUGGAGGUCCCAAAUGAUGUAUUUAGCGAGAGUUUUAAGACCUUCCUUAUAAAAGAAGACAUGGAUAUGAUAAUUUCAUUUAAGGAAGUGUCGGCUAAUUGUGUCAUAUAUUGUAUAUGGUAAAUAAUUUUAUAACUUGCUAAUGUGUGUUAAUUUAUAUAUAUAAAAUUAAAAUGGUCAUUUCUUAUCAAGGUAUGUGGAAUUUAAACAGGCACCUACAGAAAAAGCUAAGUGAUGCAAGGCUCACCGAACGAUUUGCUUUUAUCAAUCCAGCUUUAGUCUCUAAAGCUGGAAUGGGUGAGACAACAAAGGAAAAUAGGUCAAGGUUGAUUGCAAAUCGUUUAAUGCAUGCAAAGCAUGCUGACUACAUUUUUAUUCCAUAUAACCCUGAGUAAGUUAUGAAAAAUAUUAAGUUUUUUUUUUAAUGUUAAAUAGCUUAAUCAAUGCUAAUUACUAAAUAAUAUCUAAUGUACUAUUGUAGUUUCCACUGGGUCUUGGUGGCAUUGGAUAUGAGGACAAUGACUGCGUACUACCUUGAUUCGAUGCAAAAGCAACCAUGUGAUGAUCUUAAGGAAAUUGUUAACAUGUAAAUGUCUUCAUUUCCAUACUUGAAUAUAGUGCAUAGUAUCUAAAAUGUUAAUUUUCAUUUCCAUGUAGGGCACUACGAAUUCAUCCGCCAGAGAAACAAAGAUCAUCAAAGAGGGAGCCAACAUGGGUAAAAGUAGUGGUAAGUUACUUGGUUAGAGUAAUAUAUAUCAUAUGACCACUUAUAUCAACCCUAAAAUUUGAAUAUGGUUUUAUGUUUUGUCACUUAGAUAAUAAUGACAUAAAACAUCAUGAUAUUAAUGUUUUUAUGGUACCAUAAUUCAUAUGUGUGCCUAUAGUGCCCAAGACAACUAGGAAGUGUGGAGUGUGGUUAUUAUGUGAUGAGAUACAUGAAAGAUAUAAUUGUUGAUCCAAGCCUCCUAUCCACAAAGGUAUAUACUCAUUAAUAAAUUUUAUUAGUUUCUAUACUUUAGUAAUUUUUUGUUAACUUAACUAAUCAUCAUGUAUGUACAAUUAAUUAUUAGUUUAAAGGGAAAAAAUCGUAUAGUGAAGUUGAGCUUAAUGAAGUAUGAUCUGAGUGGGUUAUGUUGGCAACUCAAUUGAUUCUUACCCAUGCCUGAAGGUAUAAAUUAACAUCUAUAAUGCUUGAUUUUCAUUAUUAAUGAAGUCUUGAAUGGACUAAUUUUUUUAAUUUACCAUCUUAUGUAUGCAGAUGCCCUCAUUUCAGUCCAGUAAGAGUUGUAGAUCACAUUUUGACGAUUCUCAUAAGUUCUCAUCUCAUGAUAAGUAAUUUUUUCCUCCAUAGUGAUAGAAUAUAAUAGUUUUAUACAUAAACUAUUUCAAUAUAACAAAUCAAAUUAUUACAUCAUCACCAAUGUUGUUACAUGGAGAAGUUAUUUUUGUUAUUGUUGUAUGGAGAAGAAGCAUAUAAUUUGUUAACUCAAUAAAUCAAAUUAUUAUAUCAUGAUCAUCAAUGUUGUCAUUAUUAUUGUUGUUGUUGCAUAGAGAAGUUGUUAUUGUUAUAUGUUUGGACUAAACAAAUCAAAUUAUUACUAAUAUAAUUAUCACCAUCGAUCAUCAAUGUUAUUGUUAUUGUUAUUGUUGUUGUUGUUGUUACAUGGAGAAAUUGUUAUUGUUGUAUGGAGAAGUUAUUGUUGUUGGAAAGGUUGUUGUUGCAUCAACAGGUUGUUGUUGGAUGGAGGGAUGGUAGAGAGCUUUUUUUUUUGUGUAGGGUUAAUUAUUAUAUUUGGGUUAUAAUUUUGGAAUUGAAAAUAAAGGCAAGUUUUAGAAUGGUUGUUAUUAUGACAUUUAACCAAUGAUUGGUAGGUUUCUAUUGCCUUGGUUAUGCUCUUUUAAUUUUUAGUUUAAUACUCUUUUUUUUCCUUAUGGAAUGUUAUUAGUUAACUAAAUUUGGUAAUAUAGGAAAGUUGUAAGAAGAAAUUAAGGCAUUUGCAAAUGGUUAAUAUUAAAUGUCUUAUAUUACUAGAUAUGAUGAUUUAUGAUUGAAACUAAUUAUAAACCAUACCUAUUGGUAUAUUCAUAUAUUUAUUUAUGAGAAAUGAGUUUGAUAUGUUAGACAUAAAUAAGAAAAUAUUAUAUUACAUUCCAUAUUGUAGAAUUUAUACCAUUGAAAGCCUAACUUGUUUCCUCUAACUUAAUAAUGAACUAAAAAAGUAUUUUAAUAUUUUAUAAACAAGUAUCAAAUUAAACAAUUUUUCAUCUUCAUUGAAGCAUAACAUCUCAUUAAAUACCAAGUUAUUCUCAUUUGCACUUCUUUCAUGGACCAUUUAUAGAUUUAGAUUUAACUUUCAUUGCAUGUAUAUUAACUAAACAUAAUUUGUUUCUUCUAUUAAUUUUUUUUUAAAUGUAUACAGGUAAGAGAUUUCAAGUUCAGGAGUGGAUAUGCAACCAACAAAAAUACUUUUGGCAUCUUCUUCUUCUUUUUGUAAUAUUAUUUUUGAUAAGGAAUUUGGAGACCUUGUUUUUUGGUACAUGUGUACUUGUUUUAUAUAUGUUGAAGUUGGAAAAUAUGCUUGUAAAUAUUUUGAUACAUUUACAAAUUUGCGUAUUAAUUAACUAUGUAGACAUUAGUUCUUUAUCAUUAUAUCAUUCCCAAAUUUAUUCAAUUUCUUUUGGAAGAUGUAGUUAUUAAUAUUGAAGUUAUUGUUUGGUACUUUAUAAAUAAUCAUGUAGCCAAAAUUAUAUAUAACAGGACAUACAAAAAUAUAUCACUUCAACAGGGGGAUUUUCAAUAUUAUUAUCCACAUAAGAUGACACUUUUUUUAGUGUCGAAAUAGACAAAUGAUAGUUUGGCCAUUCCUUGGCGCUAGUGUAAGUGUUAACAUAGGUAGAUCAAUAAUGACGUUUUUUAAUGUGUUAAUAUAAACCAAUCAACAAUGACACUGUCUAGAAGCGACAUGGUUGCCUGCACCCAUUCCUUGACAGAGGCGAAAAGGACGCUUUCGAGAAGCGUCAUCGUAUACAUUUAUUGACGCCUAAAAAGCGUCAUUAUUACCCUUUUUUCUUAUAGUGUAUAUUGUUAAUUGACUAUCAUUACAAUAUGACGAAAAUGAUUUGUGAUAGGAACCUGAAUUUAUGGGCAAAGUAUCUCAUACAUCCCCUUUUCUUAAACCAAUUAAUGUUGGAUUCUAUUUUCUGGAAAACAAGUGAAAUCUCUACUAUUUUUAAAGAUGUAUAAUUGUAGUCGUCUAUUUGCUUCAAUGUUUGCUAAUUAAGAGGAUGGAUUUGAUUCUGAAUAAUUGUUUUGAGGCCUACAUGAGCAAAAAUUACAUUUUAUGUUGGGUCAUUAUUUAUAACUAAACCUUAAUUAGAAAAUUUCUUAACUUAAUGAUUUUCACAAGUCUUUUUGGCUAUUUGAAAAUAAUAUGAGAAUACUUGUUUUUAAUUUGUUGAAAAAAGUUUCUAUCUUUAUUGAUAUGUUCACAUGAUUAAGCAAUAGUAGACAUUAGAGUAGAGAAGAAAAUAGAUAGUGAAUCUUCAUGACUCCAUUAAAAUAAAAAUAUUAGGUGGAGUCCUUUCUAACCUUUUGACCAGUACAAAAUCUUAUUCAAAUUUGUUAUUCUUUUUUUUUUUUUUCUCUUCUUGGAAAAUAAGAAAAAGUUUUAUGCUUAUUAAAUUUCUUUUAAAAUCCUUAUCACAAGAUAAUAUCCGUACUCAAUCUAACUACAUUAACAUAUGAGAAAACUUGGUUUUGUAUAUGGUUAGGGAUAUAAUAUUAAUUAGCAUAAAUUAACCAAACGUGGUAAUAUAGAAAAAAUAUUCAUAAUAUUACAUGAUACUAUAUGAUUUAGUAUGAUUGAUGCUUAAUAUAUGACAAAGGAUUAAAGAAGAGAAACAUCAACAGUUACAAUGAUCAAACUUUCAACUCAAAUUGAAUAUCAUCCAAGUCCCUAAAUAUAGGUAUCACAACACUUUGUUUCAUUUAUUGUAUUAAUAACAACAUACAUAGGAGGAAGUAGUUAUUUUGUAGUAUGUUUUAAUACUUCAUAAAUUCUUUUUCCUUUUUUUUUUUUAUAAUGCCUAGAUGCUUAGACCUUUUUAAAAAUAUUUACUAGCAUUAAAUUCUAUGUUAUUUUCACUUGAAGAGGUUGCAAGUAAUGUGUUUCUUUUACUGUAGAUUAAAAAUAUUUGAGACAAUUUUUAUUUACUUCUUUAGCUUAUUUUCAAUAUAUAUCAUCAACAACACUUUAAAAUUUUGAAAAAAUCUAAAAUAAAAUUGAAAAAAAAAAAAACAAAUCUAGUAGGAUAACACCUAGAGGAGGGUGAAUGGGUGUUUUUAAACUUUAAAGCACAAAAGUUAUGAUUUUGAACCAAUUAAUAUUUUAGAUAUUAUGGGAAAGAUUAAAAAUCAUCCCUCACACAAGACAAGACCUUUUUACAUGAAAACCCCCACAUAAAAUGUGAAGAUAAAAAACCACAAAAUCCGAGACCUCGAAUCCAUAAUCUAAUAUACGAGAAAAUAGUAACAGAAUUGCCUGGAAGAUGCUACCUUUAGACUUACUUUUUAGAACCUAUACUAUAAUCAAUGUUCGUAACACAACACUUUGUAUGCUCUAGUGGAUCUCACCUCAACUCCUAAGAGGAUGCAAAUCUCCUUUGAUAACUCGUAAGAAGUUACAAAUUUUCUUUGAGAGAUUUGGAAAUAGGAAGGAAAACUAGGAUUUUCUUAGUAUUCGCAUCAAACUUAAAACAAAAUUAAGCAAGGUAUAUAUAAGCUCAAUGACUUAGAGGACUGAAAUAAGUCCCAAAAAUAAAAUCGUAAGUUUCCAAAAUGCAAACUGCUAGAAUCUGGCAAAAACUUCUUGGAGAGCUUGAGCAAACUUAAGCAUUGCUUUAGUGCUUUGAGCGCUUGAACAUUGGCUCCAACACUAGAGCACUUUGGCGUGCGCUUAAGCGCUUUUCCCUAGUGCUUGAGUGCUUUGCUAGUGUUUGAAUGCUUCUACAGUUUUAAAAACAAGUUUAAAAGAAUUUUUGCACAAUUUGAAACAAUUGAUCCAACCCAUAUCUUGUUAAUCCUAAUUUGCCUUAACCUAAACCUUUCCAAGCUUACUUGUGACAUCUCAGUUGAUCAAGCUGCAACCUUAAGUCUUCAAUGAAGAGUAAGUCUAUAAUAUCCCUAAUUUAAUCAUCACGAAAUAGUAAUAACAACAACAAUAAUAAUAAGAAUAAUAAAGAUUACUUAAAAAAAAAAGGAAAGAAGUUACAAAUUCUUUUGAACCAUGUUCGAAGAGUUUUAAUUUUAUAUAUAUAUAUAUAUAUAUAUAUAUAUAUAUAUAGUAAGCCCUUCAAGCUUUCAAGCUUUCUUCAAGCUUUCCUACCCCUUUCCAUUGUAAGAUAUUUCUCCUUAUGUAUAAAAUAAGUAUGUUUUGAUUACCUCCUAUAUGGAUGGUUUUUAAUUAUGUUUUGUUUUUCAUUUUAUUUUAUGAUCUUGUACCGCCUACAUGGUCGGUUUUAAUUAAGUUUUAUUUUUAAGUUUAUGUUUUUUAUUUUGUACCGCCUACAUGGUCGGUUUUAAGCUUAUUAUGAACUAACAAGUUUUUGGUUCCUUCUCUUUAAAUUUCAUUGUUGGAUAUCCUGUGUAUCAUCUAACCCUCUUCUUUGUUUUGAAUCAUGGCAUAAUUCCUGUUUUCAUUGCAUAUGACCUUGUCAUGGGUGUCUAUGGUAUCAGAGCCAUGUGGGAGGGAAGUUGGGUCUUGUUUUGGGUGUUCUUGGCCUAUCCUAGGAUAUAUAUAUAUAUAGAAUAAAAUAAAGAAUAUUUAACAAAUCUGAAGAAUUUGGAGAAGAGAGGAAAACCCUAUACAGAUAGACGAAGUUAUUUUUAUUCUCUAUAGAGUAAAAUCUAAGGUAAGUCUUUCAAGGAAUUUAUUCUUGCUAUGUUUGGAUUUUUUUUAAAUAUAUGUUAAUGAUAAGAUAUUUUCUAGAUUAGAUGUUAAAAAGAAAAAAUAAAUUCAUAUCGUUCAUGUAAUAAAUAAAGGGUUAGGAAGUAAGAAAAAAAAAAGGUUAAUUAAUGGUAGUAUGAUGAAUACAAUCUUUGAUUUAACCCUAGACAAAAACAAAGUCCCCACGAGUGUGAGAAUUUUUAUUAUUAUUUGUAAGAAAUUUAAGUAAUGCAAAUUGGAAAUAAAGAUAAGUAUUUAGUUUGAAGAAAAAUUCUACAGAUUUAAGAAGUAAAGUUUUGAAGAAAAAUAAAUAAAUAAAUAAAAUAAUAUUCAUUUUAGUUGUUCAAUAAAAGAAUGCAGUAGAGUAGAUAUUCAAUGUGAAUAUAAUUUGAAUAAUAGAGGAAAAUAGGAAAGAUAAAGUAUGCAAUGUACAAUAGAAAAAAUUAAUUAGGAUAAUUGUAAAAAAAUAAAAAUAAAAAUAUAUGUUGAUUUAGAAUUCAGGAUGAUGUAUGAAGUAGAAAAGAAUAAAUUUUUAAAAUUUAAAUUUAAUUAUCAUAGGAAUAAAUUAGUAGAAUGACAUAUACAAUUUUCAUUAAGUUAAAAUAAUUUUAUAUUCAUAAAAUUUAUUUUAUUUGUUUAGGUGAAUCCUAAGUUUAAUCAACUUUCUUGCUCAGUUCAACUUUUACUAGGUAAGGAAUUAUGACCCUUAAAUAUUUUCUCAAAUGUUAUUUUUUUUUUAAAUGGUAGGAAAAUAUUGUCAUAUGAAGAAUAAUUUAUGUUGUGGAAAAUAUCACUUUCCUUAUAUAUUAUUAUAUUUGGCCCUAGUCAACAAGGGUUGUGUUAUUAACCCUCAUUGCCUACUUGUAUGAGGAUUGGAAAACCUAGUUAGUGGGGUCGUCACUAACCCUCAUGCCUAAUUGAAUGAGGAUUGGAAAACCUAGUCAAUGGGGUAGUCACUAACCUGAUGGUACCAUUUGAUUGAUUAGUCCCUUCCAAAUUGAAGAGUCAGAUCCCUCUAGUUUAGGAAAAGAAAAUUUGUUUAUGAUAUGUAUGUUUGAAGAUUAUAUUAUGUGUUAUGUUCUUUUUUUUAUAAAAGAAAUUGUUAGUAUAUUCAUUACUGAGUUAAAGCUCACUACCUUUGCUUUUGAAAACUUUUUUAGGUGCCCUAGAUGUAGAAAGAAAUGAGUGACGUGGGGGAUAGGAAGGAUUCUUGUUAGUUUAGUUUAUGUUUGGCCUUGGAGCCUUUGUUUAGACACAUUGAUUUGGAUAAUGUAUUAUGUUUUAAUUAUCAAGUUAAUUUGAACUGAAUUAGUUUUUCAUAAUUAUGUGAAACAGGAACAAUAUUUUUAGCUCUAUGAACUCACUCUUAAAGGAGAAUCUAUGGCUUUUGUUCUAUUUUACUAUUUAGUAAUUUUGGUAUAUUUCACCUUUAUGUUGGAUUUUUGGAAUUGACAUGAUUGCCCCUAGCCUUGGGGUAUAGGGUGUUACAAAGUCACAGUCUAGAAAGAUCCUAUGCCAUAAGGAACAUAACAAAAUUGCCAAUAAACAAAUUAUAAUGCAUAAUGUACUAACAAAAAUGAUGAGCAACACUAAUAAUAAUGAUUUAGGCAUCCUUUUAUAGAAAUAAAAUCGAGUUUCAAAAGAAUCAUGGUGAGAAAAUGAAAAGAUUGUUUGUAUUUUUGUUAAAGUAUAUGGAAGUAGCAUUAAAAAGGAAAAAUUUAGUUGUAUCUUCCUUGUAUUUGAACACUUUCUAAGUGUCUACAUUUGGACAAGCUUAGGCAAAUGUUUAGAAUGGGAAAAAAAUGUUUGAUUAAAAAGGAUAAUAUAAUCUUUAAAUAUUUAUUUAUAUGUCAAGAAGAUACUAGCGAAGUCAUUUAAAAUGAGUUUUACUAGUGGCUUCUAAUGUUAAUUGAAUCAAUUUUGAUUUCCAUGAUUUUCUAGCAUCAAUUGAGAGCCCGUUUGGUAGUGAUUUUAGAAAGUGUUUCUAAUAUUUCUAACACUUGAAAAUUUUUAUCAUUCAAGUGUUAAAAAUACAAAAAAUAUUUCAUAAAAUCACUAUCAAACACACUAUAAAUUAGUUAAAAUGAGUUUUAACUACAUCAAAUGUCACUUGAUUUGGAAUAUAUUUGCCGAAUGAAAAAAUUUAGAAAAGUUAAAAAAAAAAAUUAAAAACACCUACUUGAAGAGAUUAAACUUGAAGAUUUUUUAUAUUGGGUGGUGGAAAGGGAAUGAAUAAAAAGUAUAUCACAUACUUCUUUAUUAGUUUUUUUAUAGCUUUUAAAAUUAUUUACUUUUAUUUUCUUUUCAUUUUUCCUUUUGUUUUUAAAACAAGUUAACAACUUAUACUUAUUCCAUUAAAACUAGCUAUUAUGUUUUUCUUUCAACAAUUAUUUCUCUUUAAUUAUGUUUUACUCUCUUUGAUGUUAUUUUUUUUCCAUUAUAUCUAUCAUACAAUAAUUAAUGAUAUUCAAAUGAUAGUACCGCAUAAAUUUCCAUUUUUUAUCGCUAGCAUUGCCAUGACAUUCAUCAACUUAUUGGUGUUGUGGCAUUUUUACAAUUGAUGAUAUACCCAAAUAAGAGUAGUGAUAGCAAUAGCCAAGGAACUCACCCAUAGAACAAUCAUGACUCAAAAAUUUCUCAGGAGCUGUUUUUUUAUCAACUAAUACAAGAGAAGGAAAGGUAGAAAUAUUCAUAUGGAGGAAAUAUUUUUCACCUUGGAAAAUUUCUAUAGCUCCCUUUUUAUGAAAAUCUCUUCAAAUGCCAUGAAAGCUUUAAUAUUGCGGGUAAGUCAACACUUGCCAUUCAUCUAGUUUGUGAAAAACCAAAGAAAAGACCUAUGGGAGCUUUAGAGCUUGUACAAUAACAUCUUAAAAAAUAGUUCUCAAAAAUCAAUUUUUAACUUAAAAACAGUUGAGCUAUAUUUUUAAACUUAAAUAUGAUUCUUUUUUCAAUUUAUUAUUUAUGAAGUACGUAGCACUUAAUAUAAAAUUCAACUUUAUGGAUGGUUUUUGGAAAGUUUGAACAAAAACGUGAUAGAAAGAAAAUGAAAAAGAAAAGCAAAAAAUUAAAGUUAAUAAAUUAUUUUUACAUGUUUUUCAAAUUCAUUUUAUUUAUUUUUUAAAUUAUAUAAAUUUCAUGAUAAAUCAAACAUAAAACCAUUUCUUUAGUAAAUUUAUUUCUUCCCUUGGUAUUUUCUUACAAUGAAAAAUAUCAUAAAAGUUUUCAAAGUAUUAUUUAGAAUUUCAAUUAUUUCUUACUAUACUUUAUAAAAACACCUUAAACAUCUUAAAUCUACUCUCAAAAUAAAUUUGUACAAAUAUAUCUUUCAUAAAUAUUAUAUGAAAAUCAUAUCUCUGUCUAGUUGUUGGGCUAGGUCCAUAGAUGGAGCCCAAGAGGGCUGAAAGUGCUUUGUGCCCUUUGGGUGGGCUGUUUUCCAGCGGUCAUGUCUAUAUGGGCAACCGCGAAGGGCUCUUCAUCAUGUGUGGAAGACUAAUUUGGUGAGAUUUCAACAUUCUACUUAGUUUCUUUUAGGUUUGCUCGAUUCCAGAAAAAAUUUGAGGAAAAAUGCAAAUAAAAGAAAAAAAUAAAAGAAAAAAAAUAAAAAAUAAAAUAUAGAUUAAAAUUUAUAAAUUAUUUUUAUAUGUUGUUUCAAAUUCAUUUUACUUAUUUUAACUCUUUUGUGUAAAUAUUAAAUAAUUAAAAAAAUGUAUAACUCUACAACUAAUUUCAAUUGUAUUUGAUUUUUUUUUUACUAUUCUCCAUAGUAAAACAAAAUAUAAGAAAAAUGAUUUUUUUUUCUUUGUAAAAUCUUUUAGAAUUAAACAUAACCUUAAACUUUGAGAUGGGUUGUUAUUGCUGUCGUUAUCUUUCUCCCUUUGUUGUCCCACACUUUUUGGGCCAUAGGACUUAUGGGACGCAAUUUGAUAAAAAAGAAAAUUAGUCAAAGAUUUUUUUAUUCUUGCAAAAAAUAAUUUUCUUUAAGGUUAAGUUUAGUUGAUUGAAUAUAAAAUGAGAUAUUUUAAGAAAUGAAAUUACAUAUUCUAUUUUAUAUUUAACGAAAUAUAGGAUAAGUGAUGAAAUAUAUUGUCCAACCUUUUCUAGUUAAACCUCGAUAAAUUAAUAGCCUUAGGACCAAAAAAAGUAUAUUAAUUAAUCAAUAAAGUAAUAAUUUAUUAAUUUAUCAAAAUAUUUCUUAUCUUUCCAAAAUAUUGUAUCUAAUAUCAUUUUAUUGUAAAAUUUAUGAGAAUGCUACACAAGAAGUACUUCUUCCCACAUCACAAAAAGUUAAAGAUAAGAUCUAAGUCGAUAUCAAUUUUAAGAAGAAAAAAGCAACACUGGACAUAUAUUUUACAAAGUUCUUCUAAAUAAAUCAUAUGAAUUAGUUAUAUAUUAGGAAAUUAUUAAUUUAUGUUGUAAGUGAGUCGUAUAUAAAACUAUAUUGAUUUUUCUAUAAUGUAUCAUCUUCUAAAUGUAUCAAAUUAUUAAUUAUCAAUUUAGCACGUUGGACUCAAAUCAUGACUAACAAAAAAACAUUAUUUAAUCAAAGUUAUCAAUUUAUUAAGUAUUAAUGUAUCAAAGUUUUAUUAUAAUUAUAUACCUUGUACAUGGGACAUAUAAUCAUAAAUUGAGAUAGCGGUUAUAAACAUCCAUGGUUAUGAAUUUAUUCUUCUCAUCCAUUUUUUUUCAAUUUUUAUUAAUUCUUUGUAUUAAUCAUUUUUCAAAAUAUAAAAUGAUAGUUCGAAAAUGAAAAGAAUUAAAACAAAAUAUAUAAAAUAUAAUGUAAAACAAUAUUAAUAUAAGAAUUAUUUAAUAUAUAAAAAAAUAUUUUUUAUAAAUUUAACAACAUAAUAUAAUAUUUUUAUCAUAAAUUUUAAAUCUUUUUUUUAUGACUAUUAAUAAUAAAUAAAUAAAUUACUUAUUAAAUGAUAAAUUUAUGAAGAAAGGAUUUUCAAACAAUAUUAAAUUUGAAAGUGAUUUUAUUUUAUAUUUCUUUUCAUAGAAAAUCUUGUGAUACAAUAUAAUUUUUGUUUUAAACAAAUAUCAAAUAUUGAAGUGGAAUAUAUUAAAUAUCAAAUAUUUCUCAUUGAAAAUAAUAUCCUAGAAUAUGUAUAUUAUCCUAUCCUAUCUUAUUUUGACGACCAAACAUAGUUUAUGGGUGGAUGAAAAAAACAACAAACUAAUGAAUCUUAAAAUAUUGAGCCGAAUAAAAGUAAGGUAAGUUGAUUUUUUAAAAAAAAUUAUUAUGCUAAUUUUAGGGGAAAAAAACUAAUAUUUUGGUGUAAUUUAUAGAUGAUCAUUUUAAACCAAUGAAAACUAAAUUAACUAUAUAGUCUCUUGCCCAUUUCUAUUAACGUGUAACCAUGAAACUACUUUUUACCUAUUGGAAAUGAUAUUGACCAGUUGAAUGUUACUUACUUUGACUUGAACUAAAUUAAUUGAUGGUUUUAAUCCAUUCCAAUUUAAUUAAAACUGAUUAAUUCAAUUUGGUUCUUGAGUUACUUGUAAAAAUCAACCUUAAUCAAACUAUAUCACUCUUAAUUUUUUUCACAUUAUAUUUUAGUGUCCUUGUACUAGUGUUUUGUCAUUCUAUUUUAUAUUAACAUCACCUUUUAAUAUUUAGUAUGCUAUUGUGAUAGUCGUCUUGGCAGAUGCACUUCCUGUAAAUUCUACUUGUCCAUGCUCAACACCAAUACCAUCUAAAUCCACCCUAAAUCCAUUAGGAAAGUUGUUGAGAAAAAGCAAUAACUCUUUGACUAAUAGGCGAGUAGGAUUGCAUUUGGAAUUAGCAAGAUAGGGAUAGUUUCACUUAGCUCAUAGACUAUAUUUACCACAUUUGCUUGUUAAUCAGGUCUCUACUUCUCUUAGGUGUGCUUGGUAGGUAAACUAGAAAUUAAAAGAGGAUCAAAAUGAAGGUAAAUCACAAUACUAUGCGGAAAAGAUGUAUUAAAUCUUAGUAAGAGUGAUAUUUAGUUUCCAAACUAAUGAUUUUUUUUUUCAUUCUAAAAAAUAAUCUAAAAAUAUUAACUCAUUCAUUCAAUGCUCAUAGGGAUCUACUAGUUCAACAUCUUCAAGAUCCUAAUUUUUUUAUCUUAAGGAUAAGCUAGAGUAGUUUUUCAAUAUGUUCCUUUGGAUUGGGUUGGACACCGAUAGGGCUUAGGCUAAGGUAAAUAGAUUUGAUUUUUUAUUUUUAUUUUGUAUUUCAAUGUUCCAAAUGUGACCUUAUUAUCAAAAUUAAAAACAUGGUACUAUGGUCACCACCCAAGUAAUGGACUCCUCGGAUAAGCACCCCACUUUGAAUAGGGGUUUGUCCAAAUGAACAUCUUGGGCCAAGUUUGUCUAAGCAAUCUAGAUAGAAUUUGCAAGCAACUUUGAAAUAGCCAAAUGUUACACAUACAUUAAUGAAUGCUAAAUACAUUAUAUAAUGAACACCAAAGUAAAAAGGGUCAUAAAAACCAAAUCGAGGUUGUAGAACCAAGCUUAUAUAACAACAACGUAACAAGGAAAAAAGGUUAGAACAACUCCCUAAAUACGUCGAGUUACUCUAUUUGACUUGAUCGUUAGAAGAGUCUACUUAGAACACCAUUGGACACACAUUUCUUUUGUAGGAAUCUUCAAGAAGAGGCAUGAAAACUAUAAGGCGGAGGCACAAGGAUAUCCAAGAAUCAACAAUUGACACCAUCUAUAGGAACUUAGAGCAAAAAGUCCAAAGCAAAGAAUCGAAAAUGGUAACAAUGCCUUCCAAAAUAGGCAUGGAUGCUCUGCUUGCUAUGUAACCCUCUAAACUAGAUGAAAAGUUCAAUGUACUUCAUGUUGAAAUGGAAAAGAGAUAGGAAGAAUAUGUGCAACAUAUAGAAUCCUUUCUCUAAUAGUUGAGCAAUGAAAACAGGAAAAUAAAGGCUUACGGGUGUAGAUGGUAAGAAGGUAAUGUUCUACCUGGAAAACUCGCCAAUCUUCUAAUCAGAAUCUCCCAAAAUCAUUUAAAAGCUAAGCAGUUAAAGCACCACCUCCUGAUAGACCACUUUCACCUCAAGUAGAUGACGAAUUUGUUAGGACAUUCAGUCUUAUUUGUAUGUUAGCAAUUUUGUUCCCAGUUAAUUGUGGCCUUAGAAAUCUUUUUAGAUUGUGGCUUACUCUCCAUCAAAGAUCAAAAGUUUUUAUUUGUCCAACUAGGAAGUCAUAGGUACGUCUUAGAAGGUUUGGCUUAUAGCAAGUUAAGCUCUUAUAAGGUAUAAAGAGGAACAAUAUUUUUCUGGAAUCAAAAUGUAUUUUAUUUUCAAAAUUAAAAAUGCAGGGGAUGCUCGAGCAGGCAACAACGCUCAAGUGCUAGGAUUACUUAAGAGCUUGACAUUGCUCAAGCGCCCAAGGCACUCAAGCAGUAGUCAAGUGUGCUCAAACACUCAUGCCCAUUUUACUAAGUUUUAGGAGAAUAUUUUUUAGAAUUUUAUGCAUAUUCUAUUUGGAAACUUUUUGAUACCAUACCUCUUCAACAUAUCUGCCUAUAAAUACUUCAUUAUAACCUUUCUAGGGUUACAAAGAUCAUAAAAGAUUGGAGAGAUUUCAAGAGAGAGAUCUCAACAUUCUGAUAAGGAUUCAUUGAGGAGAAAGCCUAAAGAGCCACACCAUUCCUGAUCUCUCAUUUGAAAGAUUAAUUCAUGAAUCUAAGGUUGAAUACCUACAUUCCUUCAACAAGGCUGAAGCAUAUUCACUAGAGCAAUUGGAGGUUGUUGUAUCGCAAAAGUGGAUUAAGUUAUAGGUAUUAGUAAGUCUUUAUGGUAAAACGACUAUGUAACUCUGUGUAACAUGAUCUCAUAUAGUGGAUUUAGAUUAGUUGUCUUAGACCUCAUGGUUUUUUAUCUUCACAAUUAGUAUAAGGGUUUUCCAUGUAAUUUUUUUUUGUCUCAUUGCAUAUCUUUUUCAUUUGCUUAUAUUCCCUAUCUUGAAUUGAGUUGAUUAUCACUAACUUCUCACAAGGAAAAAUUGGGCAUAAUAUAUAAAUAUUUAUUUAAAAUUUUUUUAAUUACACCCAUUCUUCUCCUCUCUAGGUGUUACCCUAUUGGACUUUGGUUUUUCAGAAUUGUUUGCUAAUGAUUCACUCUCGUUACCUACAUUUCAUAAGACACAAAUGAAAUGACUUGUUAACAAAGUAAAUUCCGAUUAACCUACUAGUAUAACCAGGAAGAAACAUCCCUAGAUUUUUGCCAAAGUCCCAAAAUUGUUGUUGCACCUAGAGUAAGGUUCGGUAUUCCGUGCGACGAGGGGUUUCAAAAGCCCGAGCAUAAUACCCACUUUGAGUUAGUUCCAACAAAUCAAGGGCCUAAAGCUCUAGUUGGGUUGGUUAGUAAGUGCCUCGAUGACAUGUUGUCUAGACCGCUUGGUGUUCAUAUCAUUAAUUAUGAGUCUUUGAGAGGAUUUUUUAUCCAUAAUUCACUAUGUAUAGUGGGAUGAGUGAUCCAUUCAAUCAUAUCAUGCAUGAAGGUGAUGACUCUAGAUGUAGGAAACCAACCCCUCUUCUUACGGUUUUUCUUGCUAGCCUUUAUAGUCCAACUUUCUCUUGGUUCCAUCGUCUUCACCUGAACUCCAUUCAUUCGUUCUGAGACAUCUAUAAGGUCUUUAUAGUGCACUACUUAUGCUUAGCCUUUUACGAUAAAGCCCUUAAAAUCAUAAAAAAAUGUAACAAAUUUGAAAUUCAUUAUUUAUUUAAUAGUAUUAUAGUUUCAUUUUAUUUAUCCUUAUUCUAUGCAUUAUACUUUAUAAGCAUUCUUACCUAGCAUCCCUUGCACUGUACAUAACUUGGGUGCAUUAAGAGUUGCAUAGAAGAUCCAAAUCAUGACUUGUUCAUAGCCAAUUCAUGGACUUAGACAAUCCAUUAGAAGCUCUAGUGCACUACCCCUUAAUUUGAAGGAUGACUUAUCUUGGCCAUUAAGAUGGGUUUCUUAUGGUGAGUGCACUACUGUGUAUGAUUAUAUAUUGGACAAAACCUACAAUAAGUCAUGACAUAAGGUAUGGACCAACAUUUUUCACGUGCAUCCCUACUCAACGAUGAGUCUUUUUUUAUUGUAAAAAACUUUUUUUUUUAAAGUUAGAGUCGCCACUUAUUUUUGUUUAUUUUUAGAAAAGAAAAUAAAACAAGAAAUAAAACCUUAGGAGUGAUUCCCUAUGAAAGGAAAAGCAUGUCUAAAAAAAUCGAGUCCAAGUUUGGGGUUAAGUUACUUAUUGAGAAUGUAUCAUAUGAUAACACUCCUCUAAGCCUUCAAGAGAUCUAUACUAAACAAGUGGAAGGAACUAAGGUAAUUGACUAAUAGACCAAUGGAUUCUAAGAGACAACAACAAUAUACAACAAGGCAAUGAUGAUAACACACAAGAGCAUAACAUGUAGAUCAAAGGAAUAAAUCAAGAAAAGGAAGUAAGCAUACCUCAAUUAUGCUUAAAGUAGGGUAGUGUGCUUACAUAGAAAAUAGGGCUAGCUCACAAUCAAAAUGAGAGAUAUAAAAUCAUAACAAGGGCUACCAAGCAUAUACAACUCAAAUUAAGAAGCAAGAGAUGCCUAAACUAGCAGUAAACUAAGCUAAGAUACAUGCUUAGGGUUCAAAAUUGGUAGCAAGUAUGCAAUCUCAAAAUAAAUCCAAAUAAAAUAGGUAAAAGAUAGAUGUGAUACAAAGGAAGGCUUGUUUAACAUAUACAAGAUUCCUAUAAUAUAAUAUAUACAGAAGCUUGACAACACACAAAUACCUACAAAAUAAAUUUGAAUAAAAUAGUUAGAGAUGAAAUAAAAUCAAAACAAAAAUUUUACAUCAUCCUCGAAGUGUCUAGAAUACAAUUCAAAAUCCCAAAGUAUCUAAACACGCACCAAUUAUCCUAUAUUUAACCAAACUUAUCAUUGCUCAAAAACAAGGGAGAACAACAUAUCAUACAAAGAUCGAAUUAUUUAAAAAAUUUAGAGGUGAGAUAAAAUCAAACCGAAAAUUGUACAACAUAUCUAAAAUGUUUAGAUUGCAUGAAAAUAAAAUAAAAUCUAAGAGGACUAAACAAACAAAGAUUAUCCCAGAUUUUAUUAAACAUCCUAUUGCUUAGAAAUAAGGUAGAUUAGCAAGUCAUCCAAAAAUGGAAUUAUUUAACAAGCUUAGAAGUAAUAUAAAAAAAAAUAAAAAUACCAUAGAAUAUUAAAGUGUCUAGAUCACAUGAAAAAUAUUUAUAAAGCUCAAUUAUGUAUGAAUAAUCCCAAAUUUUGAAGAGUAUUUCACAACACCAAAUUUGGGUCAGCACAACAAGUAAGAAAAGAUACAAUUAAUUCUCAAGCUUUAAAAAAGAUUUUUAAGUGAAACCAAAGCCUAAAACAUUAUUUAAAAGGUCUAGAAUGUAAAAAAAAACAUAUAAAAAUAAUUAAACUCCCAUGAGCUAUAUUAAAAUUGCAAAAAUAUUUUGGGUAAAAAAAAUAUGGUAGAAUUUGAACAUCUUGAAAAUUUGAUUUAAUUCACAGGCUUAGAGAAGGUUUUUUAAUCAAAACAAAAAUUAUUUGAUACAUUUAAAAAGUGUAAAACAUCAACUAAGCCUUUAAAAAAAUCAAGACAUGACAAAAAAUAUAGAUUUAAUAAAAAAUUUUAGGGGAAAAAAUAGGGCAACAAGUGGGUGAUUUUUAAAAAUCAAAGAAUGUGGGCUUUACUAAUGCCUAAAUUGAUUCUAUGGAUUAAUCUGCAUCCCUUACCUUCUAAUGAUCAUGGAAGGAAGCUCAUGAGGGCUUGACAUAAUCCCAUUAAAUUGAGAUUUGUGAGAUUUAUCCAUAUUUCCAAAAUCAAUAAAAUUUGAAAAAUAUAAGUUUGAAAAUAGGGCUGAAAUUCGCAAAGAAACACCCACAUAUGAGAAUGUUCUAAUGUAAAAUCAUGCAUUAUGUACCAAACAAUAUGGAAAACAUUUAUUGAGAUUAAAAUUACCAUGAGAUUAAGCCUCAAAUGACCAUGAAAAAGGGUUUAAAUGGACUGAAAAUCAUCCUCUAAAAUCAUUUUGGAAAACCUUUCAAAAAUUAUUAAAAAUCAUGAGAGCAACCAUCAAUUUUCUUAAGCAUAAAAGUGAUAUCAAAGCCUACGAAAGGAGGCUUGACCUUAGGCCACAAAAUUGGCCAUUAAAAAUGAUUAAAAUCUCAGCCAAAGAGGGUUUGAAAAUGGGUUUUACAAUCAGACUUGAAAGAAAAAUCAAAAAGAGCCAAAAGAUGCCUCAAAAGACAGUUUCUAUGGAAAAUCACUUUGGCAAAUAAACAAACACUUUAUAGCUCUCAAAUUUGAUUUUAAAAUCAAUAAAAAAGGCAUUCCAAACCAUUGAAGAGAAGAAGAAAAAAAAAAAACAAAAUCCCCAAAGAGAAAUCAAAAGAAAAACAAAAGGAUUUCAAAUCUAAAUAAAGCCUUAUUUCAUUAUUUAAUCAAUGAGCUUGAAAAGAAGGCAAAAUAUCCAAAAUGAGAACAAAAUCAGUAUAAUCAAGGUAUCAUAAACCAUUGUACAACAACUUAGACCAAAGAUUAAGCAAUCUCUCAACUAUUAGGUGUUUGUUUGGUACUUUACAACAAUUCCCUGGUAGCCCAUUACUACUCAUGUAGCUUAUCUUUUCUAAGCCACCUUGGAGACUUUGGUUGAGGGGUUUAUUUGACUCCACAUUAUGACCUUAGCUGCCCUUUAAGUUUAGAUUAGGCUUCACUUAGGUGCACUUUAGUUUAGACUCAGUUUGGCCUACCUUGUCUCAUCUUAGCUCGUAUAGGUAUACUCGGCCCAUUAGACACCACCUUAGGCCCAUGAUUCGACUCAUGGUAGCUUAGCUUUAAAGGCGUAUCAACAAAAUUUAUACCUUGAAUACUAUUACUAAAGUAGCCAAGCUACUAUAGCAUAGUGGUUCUAGGAUCGUUCACUGGGAAGGGUUUUCGCAAACACAAGUGAUAUUCAAAUUAGGAAAAUAAGUGAUUUUCUUAUAGAUGUUAGCUUUAAAAGAAGAUGUAAAUGUUUUAGAAAGAUUUAAACUAAUUUAAGCUAACAUUAAAGACUAAAAUGAAAGGGUGUAAAAACAAGUUUCUCAAAGAUAGGAUAGCUAUGCUCUGGCUCUUAUGCAAAUUGGAAAUCUCAGGAUAGGCUCCUCGCGUUGGGGUUGCAACUAUGGUGAUGCUUGCUUCCCGAACCGGUAUGGAUUUAGCAAAUCAAGUUUUAAUCCUUUAAAAUGGCAAAACAGAUGGUAGUGAAUUUCAUCAAUGGUUAUUCACCUUAGACUUCCUUUGAAUGGCUCGUAAGAGAUAACUAAUGGUCUAAAGCCAAAAGCUUACCAAAUAUUGGCAACUCAAAGUCAUUCCAGGUGAUAAACUCACCUUUCAAUGGCCAUUGAAAUUGGUUCUAACGGAUUAAUACAAAACUUGGAAUUGAAAACCUCACCUUCCAAUAGCUCGUAGGAGAUAACUAAUGGAUAGAAAUCCAAAAGCUUAUCAAGUAUUGGCCGUUGGAAGUUGUCCAAAGGAAAUAAAAACCAAACUUUGCAUUAAUGAACCUUUAAUGAAAAACGACUACCUUACCUUCCGGGUGCGAGAAAUUUCCAUGGGAUUGCAUCCAAGUCAUCACAUAACAUCCAUACUUUGAGAAACUAAAAGUUUUAGCCAAUCAUCCUUUGAGGAAAAACCCUCAGAGGCUGUUUGGCUACUAAGAAAAUAGAAAUGGGAGAGCUCUGUAAAUAUUCUAAGUGUCAAACGUAAUAUGUAUUCUAUAUCUACAUAUCAAAUUAUGUUACAACGGAUGCAAGGGGAUAUAAAUAGAGAAGUUUUUCCAACCUUCCUAGCUAAUAAAUCUUAUGAUUGGUGGAUUACAAGGAGAAGAAUGGAAAUUUAUACAAAAAUAUCCAAAAGAAAAGAUCUCGUGUGGAGUCGGCAGAAACAGGGGAAAAUUCGCACCACGCAUGGGUUGUGCGAAUUUGGAAGGUGUUGUGCGAAAUUUUCGCACAAGCCUAGAGCAGUUGUAUUCCGAAGGCCAUAUCUUCCUCAUUUCAGCUCCAAAUCGUACACGGUUUGAAGCGUUGGAUUCUUGACUUCCUGAGAUUUGAAAUGGUAUAUGGCAUGUAGAAAAUGGACUUCGGGAAGUGCUCCAAAAGUGCGAAAGAAGACUGCAGCUGCUGUCCUCUGUUUUCCUCUUUGCUUCCCUUUGCUUCUCUUUGCUUCUCUCCUUUUGUUGGCUUGCUUUGGUGUAGCUAAAAGCUUGCUUUAACUUGUCCAAGAAGCUCCUCCAUCAUUUGGCAUGCUUGAAUUGAUUCAUAAGCUGAUAUAAACAUGUAAACUUGCCACAAAAUGGUUAAAACCAAUUACUAAGGACCUUAAUGAAUUAAUUGGGUUAAAUGAAUAUGAUUACUACACAAAGGUGCUUAAAACCAUUAUAAUUAGGUCUACAAAAUAGCACUUUUUGGUAGUAAUCACACCCCCCAACCGACUCAUUGCUAGUCCCUUAGCAAUGGAGGAGAUAAAAACUAAGUAAACUAUAAUAAUAUACAUAAAAGGGAUCAUGCAAAUCACUCCAAAAAAUGAUAUGAGUGGCAUGAUUGGAUCAAACUCUCACAUGGCAAGUCAAGGAUAUAAAACUCAAUCAUCAAUAAGAGUCAUCAAAUAACUUACCUAUCACAACAUGCAAAGAGCGGGCAUUAUGCAAAUUUGAGUAUCAAAAUAAUUUCCACUCCCAAAGGACCAACACUUAAUCUUCCACAAAAAUCUAUGUGUUAUUUAUUAGUUUCCGAAUAUAGUAUGUCAAACUAAUCUCUCCCCUCAACCUAGUUCUUUUCAAAGCUUAGCAAACUAAUCAACCUCCAAUAGGCUAAGAACGCACCUCUUUUCUUUCACAAUUUUUUCUUGUAGGAGUGCAAAGCUUAAAGGCAUUCUUUCCUAAAUUGUCCAUGUAACGGGGGUCCAUCGAUGACUCCCAACCAAUCAAGGUUUAGGGCAUCAAGCUUUAAGGAUUUUCAACCACUAACUCCUCGGAUUUCACCCCGGACUUUUUGAGAAUGAAUUUUUAAUACCCAAGCACCUACAGUAUGUUAAACUCCACCUAUUCACCCAUGUAACGAGCAUUGAGGUCGGUGACUCCCAACCAAUUAAGGCUUAGGGCACCAGGUUUUAAAGAUUUUCACCAUAUACCCCUUAGACCUUGCUCGAGUUUCAAGGCAAGCAAACAUUUUUCUUUUUCUUUCUUUUUCCAAAGGCUCAUUGGCCUUUUACAAGGUGUCCCAACACUAUUAAAAUGAUGUCAAAGGUACCAAGUCUAAAAUUUUCCUAAGUCAAGAAGGAAAUAGUUCUUCAUCUUAUAAUCGGAACCUAUUGUGUUUAGUGUGUGGAUAGCUUAAAGUGGAAGAACUAAGCUUAAAUUCAAUAGAAGUUUCAACAAUUCAUCAACUUUAGUAAGCAUAAUACAAACUCUAAGACUAUGGCAAUAAGAUAAGAAUUUUAAUUUUUCCCAUUUACUUUUGAGAAUUUUUCCUUAAUAACCAUGGAGAGUAGAAUAAAAACUUAAAAAAUUUUAAAAUUAAGCAAAAAGCAACUAAAUUACCAAAAUAACUUAGCAUUAAUAACAAUACUUCCUUCCUCAACUCUCCCCCCAACCAAGCUGAACAUUGUCCUCAAUGUGACAAAAGCGAUUGAAAAAUAGGGAGGAAGUGGUACCUCUUGAGUGACAUGGAGUCUGAGUCAUGUAGGAGAAACCACAUGUUUCAAAGAAAACAUAAGAGUUAGUGAGAAGAGGAAAUAGAAAAAUGCCAAGUUUAAACAAAAAUGAUGUCUAUAUAUGAUGUAUCAUCAGUAAUACAUCCAAUCCCAGAAUAUAAGAUAUCAAAACAUGGAAUUAUGUAUACUAAUAUAAUAAGUAAAUACAAAAAAAUAAAGAGAUGAUCAAGUAAUAGAAGGGUCCUGUGGAGAUAUGGUGGCCUUCUGAAUGGGUUGGGUCAGGACAUUGACCUCUGCUCUGGUAGUCUCCUUAAGUGGCAUAGUCUCCUCUACUGGAGCUCUCAGUUGGAGCUAUGAGCUUUGAUGGUUUUAGGAGGUAAGAAAUGGAAUGAGAGGCUUGGUGUGUGAUCCCAGGGUGCAUGGGGGUAUUCUCUCCUCUAAUUCAUGUUCCGGAGGCUUCAAAUAGAGAGGGAGGGGCGGCAUUUGGAUGGUCACACGUUUAAAAACUCUUUUUGGAAGUCAAAUGGCUUUUAGCAAUGAAAAACAGAGUCUUGGGUGUUUAAAAAUUGGUUUAAAAGACAUUUGGACAUUUUAGCACUUUUGCGGAGUCUGUCUUCAAACAGCCAUAACUUCUUCGUUUCAAAUCCAAAUCACGCACCGUUUGAAGCUAUGGAUUCCUGACUUCCUAAGCUUUAAAAUGAUAUAUAGUAUGCAUAAUUUGAGCUCCAUAAAGUGCUCCAAAAACGUGUCUAACAGUAGUGAAAUUUGGUGCGGCUGCAACAUUUCCUUUCAGCUUUGCAUAGUCGUCUUUAAACGACCAUAACUUCUUCAUUUUAAAUCCAAAUCAUUUACCGUUUGAAGCAUUGGAUUCCUGACUUCCCAAGCUUCAAAACGACAUAUCAUAUGUAUAAUUUGAGCUCCAGGAAGUGCUUCAAAAUUGUGUCCAACAGUAGCAAAAUUUUCGCACUCGAAUUCGUACGUUGGAAUGAAUUUCGCACCUUGAAUUGUGGUGUGCGAAAUUGAUGCACCUUGAACUAAGAUUUUCGCACCUUGGAAUGAAUUUCGCACCUUGAAUAGUGGUGUGCGAAAUUUUCGCACCUUGUUUCGCACGGUGCGAAAAUUGGCUUGAGGUGUGCGAAAUGGCACUCGUGUGCCAAGAGGUGUUUCGCACGGUGCGAAAUUUUUCGCACCUUGGAUUGAGGUGUGCGAAAUUCCCGCUCAACUCGGUCCAGUUUUCUUGCAAUGACCAUAACUUUUUCGUUUCAACUCCGAUUUGGACACCGUUUGAAGCCUUGGAUUCAUGACUUCCCGAGCUUCGAAACGAGAUAUAGUACGCAUGAAAUGAACUUCGGAAAGUGAUCGAAAUGUGCCCAACAAUUGCCGAAAUGGGGUGGUACGAAUUGCUCUGUUUUGGCUUUUCUCCCCUGUUUUCCCUUGUUUUCACCAUAACUUCGAUUUUUGCAAGCAUCAUACCUGCAUGAACACUUCAAAACUCAUCUUAAAACAUAUUAAAACUAAAUUAAAGCUAAGAAUUCAAACUAAAACAUGCAUAAAUUUAAAGAAAGCAUAGAAUUUAAAUGAAGCUGAUAGCAUGUACCUCAAAAAGAAGAUGAACUAUUUAGCUCAUCCUCACUCACACACCCACUUCAUGCUGAAUUCCCCCUGAAUCCCAAACAAAAUUGGCAUCCUUCCCAUUUGGUCCAAGGGAAUUCGUUUUUCUUCUCUUCCCUGGAGAAGUGGAUGCUUUAAAGGGUUCAAGUAACCCCUUAUCAUCUUGAACCUUUUGAUUUUCAAUGGAAAGUUGGUCCAUAGAGUUGUCAUAGCAAUCCCCCACCAAAGUGUCGAUCUUCAACACUUUCCUUGAUAUUUUUGCAUUGGUUCCUUGAAGGUUAUGGUGGGGUUGAGGAGGAAGCUUCCUUUUCCCCCUUGCUAUGUCGAGAUUGGUGAGCUUCUCAAUGGAGUCUUGAACUUUUUCUAUCCUUAGUGAUAGAUCAUUAUAAACCCCCUCCAUUCUUACAUUUAUUGAACUCUCCAUAUUAUCAAUCUUUUCAUUAAGAUGAGAGUUGAUCUUUUGUUGCUCACCUACAAAGUCCUCCAUGACUUUGCUUAUCUUUAAAAUGGCUUGCUCCAAUGAAGAUGUACUCAUUGAUGGUUGAGGUUGAGGUUGGGUUGUAAAGUUGGGAUGGUUUAUAUACUCAAAUGAAGUUGGCAUGGCUUGUGGUUGUGCUUCAGUAUGCACAUUCCUCAAUUCAAACUCUUCUAUCCUUCUAACCAUAGAUGCUAGCUUUGCCUUCAUGCUCAUGUCUUCAUUCAAAGCAUACUUACUACCCCAUUGGCUUUGUUGAGCUUGCCUUUUCCCUAAUUCAAUCCGAUCCCUCAUGGAUAAGUAUGCAAAUUUGUCCUUCUCAUGAUCAUAAUGAGAGCUUUGAUCUUCAUGUGGAAUUUCCAUUUCUAAAAAAAAAAUGAUAUUCAACUAAGGCUCUUUUCUUCAACUUGUACCAAGGUUCCCUCUUGGUCUCGAAUCCAACAAGGAAUGCACAAAUUGAAAUUAAAACAAAAAUAAAAGAAAAGAGAAUAAAUAAAAAAUUUAACUAAAUAAAAACUAAACAAAAAAAAUUAUAAGAAAACUCACCAAACUUGUGAUGAAGAUCACAAGUUACCCUUAAUGGUUGCUUCACUGUGCUUGUGGCACCUUCCCCGGCAACGGCGCCAUUUGCUUCGACUCAUGGUAGCUUAGCUUUAAAGGCGUAUCAACAAAAUUUAUACCUUGAAUACUAUUACUAAAGUAGCCAAGCUACUAUAGCAUAGUGGUUCUAGGAUCGUUCACUGGGAAGGGUUUUCGCAAACACAAGUGAUAUUCAAAUUAGGAAAAUAAGUGAUUUUCUUAUAGAUGUUAGCUUUAAAAGAAGAUGUAAAUGUUUUAGAAAGAUUUAAACUAAUUUAAGCUAACAUUAAAGACUAAAAUGAAAGGGUGUAAAAACAAGUUUCUCAAAGAUAGGAUAGCUAUGCUCUGGCUCUUAUGCAAAUUGGAAAUCUCAGGAUAGGCUCCUCGCGUUGGGGUUGCAACUAUGGUGAUGCUUGCUUCCCGAACCGGUAUGGAUUUAGCAAAUCAAGUUUUAAUCCUUUAAAAUGGCAAAACAGAUGGUAGUGAAUUUCAUCAAUGGUUAUUCACCUUAGACUUCCUUUGAAUGGCUCGUAAGAGAUAACUAAUGGUCUAAAGCCAAAAGCUUACCAAAUAUUGGCAACUCAAAGUCAUUCCAGGUGAUAAACUCACCUUUCAAUGACCAUUGAAAUUGGUUCUAACGGAUUAAUACAAAACUUGGAAUUGAAAACCUCACCUUCCAAUAGCUCGUAGGAGAUAACUAAUGGAUAGAAAUCCAAAAGCUUAUCAAGUAUUGGCCGUUGGAAGUUGUCCAAAGGAAAUAAAAACCAAACUUUGCAUUAAUGAACCUUUAAUGAAAAACGACUACCUUACCUUCCGGGUGCGAGAAAUUUCCAUGGGAUUGCAUCCAAGUCAUCACAUAACAUCCAUACUUUGAGAAACUAAAAGUUUUAGCCAAUCAUCCUUUGAGGAAAAACCCUCAGAGGCUGUUUGGCUACUAAGAAAAGAAUACUGCAGCUGCUGUCCUCUGUUUUCCUCUUUGCUUCUUUUUGCUUCUCUUUGCUUCUCUUUGCUUUUCUCCUUUUGUUGGCUUGCUUUGGUGUAGCUAAAAGCUUGCUUUAACUUGUCCAAGUAGCUCCUCCAUCAUUUGGCAUGCUUGAAUUGAUUCAUAAGCUGAUAUAAACAUGUAAACUUGGCACAAAAAUGGUUAAAACCAAUUACUAAGGACCUUAAUGAAUUAAUUGGGUUAAAUGAAUAUGAUUACUACACAAAGGUGCUUAAAACCAUUAUAAUUAGGUCUACAAAAUAGCACUUUUUGGUAGUAAUCAGCCCAUUCAGACACCUUAGGUCCAUCUAGGUUCACUUAGGUCCUCUUAGGCACACUUGACCUAUUAGACAUUCUUAGCAUGACUUGUAUGGUUGCAUGACUCAUUUAUCUCGUUUACUUAUUUAUUUAUUUAUUUAUUAUUAUUAUUAUUAUUAUUAUUAUUAUCAAUCACUUUUAUGUAAUCAUUUAUUAUAUUUUUAUUUAUUUAUUUUAUUUUAUCUUUAUUAUUAUCAAUAACUUUUAUUUAUUUAGUCAUUUAUUAUUUUUAUUUAUUUGUUUAUUAUCUUGUUAUUUAUUUAUUCAUUUAUUAUUAUUAUUUUAUCAUUUUCUAAUUUAUUUAUUUAUUCAUUUUUAUUUUUUUAUUCAUUUAUUUAAUUUAAUAAUUUGAUGUUUUUAUAGGAAAAUCUACCGACGGAGGAAAAACAAUUUUGAAAUUGGUAAGACUUUGAAAAGGAAAGGAACUCUUUUAGGCGUUAGUGAAGAUCAUUAGAGAGUUAAAAUAGAGAUGAAAGAGUUUUUAGAAAAGAUGGGACUCCUUAGGUGAUAUGCAUGGAUCGAUUUUUUUGGAAAUUCAAAAAAAGAUUUUUCUGGUGGAUGAGGCAUAGAAUCCGGAGAGAGGAUGACUCCUCAGGUGGGACGACUGCCAAUUGCUAUAAAAAAAGCACAUACUAGUGGUUCUAAACGCGAGAAGAAAAAAAAAAAGAGGUUUUCAAAAGGGACUUUCAGCACGCAUUGGGAAAAGUGGGGGUUGUAGAUUUGAUUCCAGAAAGGUGCAGCCGCACCAUGGCAUUGCAUAUAGACAUAACCGACAUCUAAAAUAGGGAGUUUUAGGGAUUCAUUAAGGCUCACUAUCACACAACAGGAGGAGGCUAUCCAUUGUGAAAGACAACUCCACGCACACAUUAGAGAGAACAAAACACACCAUGCAACCGCCUUCUUUCCUCCAUGGAUGAGACUCUCACAUGGCGCACACCAAGAGAUCUCCUUAAAGCCUCCACAUGUGCCAAAAGAAGGGGGAUUGCACCAUAGAUUUUUGAGAGAAAAGUUGUGGCUUUCCAAUGGCACUUUGGACACACCAUAGAAGAGAAUUCUUUGAGAAAAACAACCAUGCACCUCCAUGGGCUGGGGGACCACUCAACAAAAUGCAGGGAGAAUAACUACUUGCAACCCACUUCCUAGAUGAUGCAGUUUGCAUCUCACGCACAACCCACAUUGAAAGAUUCCAUGCACAACACGCUUCCAAGGGUAGAAGCCUACAUAGGAGAUAUGGAACCAUGAUCCGUUCACACUAAUCAUGAUUCUUAAAGAUAUCUCCACAUGACUGCAAAAAGGAUAUUGAAGCCCAUGCACAAGAACUUAGCAACCAUCCGCACCAUUCUCCAAGCAAGGAAAGAUUCUAGACAGCCAGAUCCAUGCAUCAAGUCUUCCAUCCACACAGCUGCAGAUUUUGGGAGACUCUCCAAGAUAGUUCUCUUUAGACAGCCACACACCAUUAUGGGUCGUUUUGUAGCACGCAUAGCUAGCUAGGUAAGUUAUUAUUAUUUUUUUUUAGUUUUGAUUUAUCUUAUCUUAGUUUAUUGAUUUUUUUAUAGAAUUCUUAGUUAUUAAUUUAAUUGAUCCAUGUUAUUUAAGCUUUAAAAUUGUUAGUUUCAGUUUUAAUUUUAUAAUCGGAAUGAAAGUUAGAGAGUUUAUGAUGAGCCAAGAAGAUCGCAACGUGUUCCUAAGAAAAACCCAAGGUUCAUAACAUGAUAAACAUGCAGAGCAAGUAGGAUGAUCGUGCAAGGAGCUGUUAGAGAUUAAUUGCUGGCAUAGUUCUGUUAGAAGACUUGGUCUGAUGUCUGUUAGCUAUUAUUAUGCUAUUUGAAUAAGUAUUAGCUAUUUAUUUGCUAAUAAUGGUUGAGUCCUUAUUUUCAGUAGUUAUGGUCGUGAGAGUAGGAGAAAGUGGGUUUUUCCUUGUAUAUUUAAACUAUUUCAGUAUGCAGCAAUAAAAGGGAGUUCAUUCAAAAUCCAAAUAUUGUGGCUCAUUUUUGCCCUAAGAAGAAUUCUGUUUACUGAUUAUAUUAGCUUUGAUUGGGACCUAUCAGUUUAUGUUUCAAUUUUAAUUUUUUAAUUAGAAUGAAAGUUAGAGUUUAUAUUUCAGUUUUGAUUAUUUAACCAGGAUGAAAGUUAGAGAGUUUAUGUUUCAAGUUUAAUUUUUUUUAAUUGAAUGAAAAUUAGAGGUUGUUUUUCAGUUUUAUUUUUUUUAUUCGAAAUGAAAGUUAAAGAGUUUAUGUUUCAAUUUUAAUUUUUAAAUUGGAAUGAAAGUUAGCGAGUUUAUAUUUUAGUUUUGAUUUUUAAUUGGAAUGGAAGUUAGAGACAUUUUAGUUUAUAUUCUAGAGUUUAGAUUUUAGUUUUAAUUUUUUUUAUUGGAUUGAAAGUUAGAGUUUUUCUUAUUAGUUUUGAUUCAUAAAUAUUGGAAUGAAGGUUUGGUUAUUUGUUAACUUUAAUCCUUAAUUGAUUCAAUUUUCAUUUUGUAUUUUCUUUUAGAAAUUUUAAUAAGUUAGUCUAAAUGACCCAAAGUUGUUUUAUUCACUUUUUAAGUAUGUUAGCUUUGAUUCUUGUUUGGUCCAAUUUCAAUUCGUGGGUUUUUUCGGAGUUUUAGGUGAUUAGUUUGAUUGAUCCUCUAAGAUAAAGUUUAUGUUUUUAAUUCCAAUUUAGUUCAAUUCUAUUUUUUUUUUUUUAGUCCAAAUGUGUGUGUGUUUAGUUGAUCAAAUGCUAGUUCUUGAUUUGCUAUUCUCAAUUUAGGUGUUUCUUGAAUCCUAGUUGUUAAUUCUUGAUGAAUAUAUUCAUUUACUUGUAUGAUCUAAGUUUUAAUAGUUUAUUGCUUUGGUAGUUCCUUGUCAAAUUUACUUUUCAGAAGCCAUCGGAAAGUCAUGAAGGUUGGCUCCUACUCUCAUCAUAUUGGUUUGGCUAGUUGUUAAAAAAUUUACUUUGAAAUUUUGUCUUCCUUUGGUUUGCCUUUGUUUGAUCCUUACGUAUUGUCGUUUGCAAAUAAUGUCUUUCCUUUUAAAAAGAAACCUUUUCUCAAAAUGCUCCUCGUUAAAGUGCAUUUCAAAAACUCAUUUAGAGUCCUUAGAAUCAAAAUCUCAUUUUCUUAAAUAAUAUGCAACCAUGUCUCAAUCAAUUCACAUCUUUCUUAGUUUUUAAUAAAAGUUAUGGUUUUGAGUAAGACACAAAUCCAAGCUUGUGGUCCCAAAUAAAUGGGAUAAUUCUAGGUUAGAUUUGUGUAUAUCAAUUGGGGAAUUGGUGGAACCCCUACAUAAGAAAUUUUUUUAAAACUCUUUCUUGUUGUUAGUUUUCAUUCAACCACUGACCUUUUAGCUUUAAAAUUCGCUUCGGCAAUUUCAGAAUAUUUUUUUUAAAAAUUCCAAAACUUAUAUGAUUUUCCCCACUUCUUGAAAUUGAAUUUAAAAUUUUGUUUGAGUUAGAAAGCAAUUCUAGAAUAGAAGAUACAAAUGAGUUUUUAGGAGAGCUCUGUUGUCACCUAGUUCUGGACACCCGAAAUCGUUUUGUAAAGAUAAAUUAAAUGACAUAUGACUUUUUUUAAUUUGAUUCGAUAUUUUUCUUUAAUUCUAAACUUCCUGAAAUUGAUCUUAGACAUAUAAAAUAUUAAAAAGUAUACAUUUUUAGGGAGAUAUGAUUUAAAAAUCGUACCUACUAUGCAUGAUGGAAUCUGGACAUUUGAUUAGUUGGAGUGUUUUAAAAAUAUUUUUGAGUACUCCCCGACCCUGGAUUUAUUUUUCCUGUGAUAUAAACACUUUGAACAAUGUGUGUGAUUUUUUUUUUUUUUUUUUACAAUUUUAUGUGAUUAUCUUAUUAUUUUUAAAAAAAUCGUUUAGGCAUGCCACUUUUUUUUUUUAUUUUAUCUAAUCUAGAUUUUGUGGAACUUUUGGAUGUCUUUGGUGCAAUUUGUCAUUCGAAUGAGUGUUUGGCUUUUAGUAUGUUGUUUUAGAUGUGUAAGAGUUGUUUCCUGAAAUUUUUUUUUGUAAUUAAGCUCCACUCUAAGACAUUUUUUAGAAAUUGUUUUGUGAUGCUCCAUUUUCUAAUUGCAUGCUGAUGAUCUUGUACUUUGUCUGAAUUUGUUAUUUAUUUUUGAAGUAAUGAUUCGUGCCCAACUGGUGUACGCCCUAUUGAUUGGUGUUCAAUCACUGGUAUGCUUUGAUUUCAGUCCUCAAGCAAGAGUAAUCAACAAAAUUUAUAAACCUAUUUCACCAUAUACUAGGAUAGCAUUAGCUAGCAUAGCACAGUGGCUCUAGGAUCGUCCACAGGGAUGAGUUUUCAAAUUACAACUGAUCUUAGUUCAAAAAUUGAAUUGAUGCCUUUUCUUUUCAAGGUUAGCUUUAGAAGAAAACAUAAAGAUGUUUGAAAAUGUUGGUUUUAAGUGAAACCAAUAAUAAAGCAACGGAAAUUACUUACAAAGAAAAGUGCUUCUUGGAGUUUUAGAUCACUAGGCUCAGGUUCCUUGUACAAAAAGGGAGUUCCGAUCACUUGAAUCUUUUCCUCGCAUUGGGGAUUUAACAUAUAGUUAUUUCCUGAACCGGUGUGGUAUAGAUGCUCCCCCUUAAUGGAUUCAAACACUAAUUCCCUGUCACUGAAUCAUCUUGCAAUGGUUCAUACCUCUUACCUAGUAUUGGCCAUUCAAGGUGAUCCUUAACCUUGGAUUACCCAUCAAAAGCUCGCAAGAGAUAACUAAUGGAUGUCUCAUUGGAGUCCAAAAUCUUACCAAGUGUUGGCUAUUCUAGAAAAUCCUACCUUUAAACCACCUUCCAAAGGCUCGCAAGAGAUAAACUAGUGUAUCUCAAUGGACGGAGACCACUUGCCUUACCAAGUGUUGGCCCAAGUGAUUUUAAGGAAUUUUAAGUUAACUAAAAAGAUAAAAACCAUUAACGGAUCACACUUUCUCGUCAUUAAAAACUGAAACAACAAAACUUCCAAUUUUGCAUCCGGAACCUUAGCUAGCUUCCUUCACUCCAAGAACCAAAAAGCCUAGCCACUCAUCCUCUGGAAAAACAUUCUCAAAGUUUAAAUAAAAAUAAAAGAGAAAACAAAAUGAGUAGGUAAGGCAGAGCAAAGCUCUGUGUAUUACUUUCUUAAAACUAUACAAAGUGUUCGUCUCUGAGAAAAAUCCCCGAGCCGUUUAAAAGAAAAUUACAAUAGAUUAUAUAGAAAGACUAUUCACCCUUCCUUCUUACUUCCUAACUAAGGAAUCCUAUGAUUGGUGGAUUACAACGAGAAAAUAAGGAUUUAUACAAAAAUAUCUGAAAAAAAAAUCUAAUAGAGUCGGUCACAAAUAUCUGGGAUUACACAGGUGGAUUUCGCAAGUUGAACUUUGCUUUCGCAACUUGCGAAAUUGUCUUUUAGCUUGGUGCAUUUGUCUUCCAAUUACCAUAAAUUCUUCAUUUCAGUUCUGAUUUGCACACCGUUUAAAGCAUUGGACUCCUGACUUCCCAAGCUUCGAAACAAUAUAUAGUAUGUAUAAAAUAGACUCCAGAAAGUGCUUGAAAUGUGUCCUACAAAUGCUAUCCUCUUGAAUUUCUUCAUGUUAGAUUCCUCUCUAUGUAUUUCCUCCUUGCAUUCUUGAUUGGCUUUGGCAAAGGACUACGAAGCUCCAAAGCUUGGAUUCUUCAUGUAAAUGAGCUUCCAAUUGCUUUGCCAUGGACUAUACAGAGCUCUCCUUCAUUCUUGGAUUGCUUUGGUGAUCAAAAAGCUAUCAAAAAAACCAAAACUUAACACAAUUUGAUUAGAAACACUUGCAAGGGUCCUUAACGUGUCAAAUGAGUUAAAAGGUAAUAACUACUACUCAAAAGUGUUUAAAAGAGUUAAUUACAAGCUAUAAAAUAGCACUUUUUGAGUAGUAAUCACUCCCCCAACCGACAUAUUGCUAGUCCCUUAGCAAUGAAAGAGAGAAAAAGAAAAAUAAGCAGUAAAAUAAUUUACAACAUCAUGCUGAUCACUUCAAAAAAUUUCAAGUGGCAUGACCGAUUAAACUCUCACAUAGAACCUUAAAGAUAUAAAACCCAAAUUUCAACAAGAGUUAUCAAAUAUUUUACCUAAUCACGAUUCAUAAAGAGAAGGCAUUAUGCAAAUUUAAGCUUCAAAAUAAUUUCCACUCCCAAAGGGUUAAUCCUUACUCUUCAACAAAAAUCUAUGUGUUACUUAUUAGUUUCCGAAUAUAGUAUGUCGAACUAAUCUCUCCCCUCAACCUAGUUCUUUUUCAAAUCUUAGCAAACUGAUCAACCUCCAAUAGGCUAAGAACGCACCUCUUGGUUCACAAUUUUUUUCAUUGUAGGAGUACAAAGCUAAAGGUAUUGUUUUCUAAAUUGUCCAUGUAACGGGGGUCCAUCGAUGACUCCCAACUAAUCAAGGUUUAGGGCAUCAAGCUUUAAGGAUUUUUCAACCACUAACUCCUCGGAUUUUACCCCGGACUUUUGAGAAUGAAUUUUAAUACCCAAGCACCUACAGUAUGUUAAACUCCACCUAUUCACCCUUGUAACAAGCAUUGAGGUCGGUGACUCCCAACCAAUAAAGGCUUAGGGCACCAGGUUUUAAAGAUUUUCAUCAUAUACCCCUCAGACCUUGCUUGGGUUUCAAGGCAAGUAAAACUUUCUUUUUUUUUUCAAAGGCUCAUUGGCCUUUUAUAAGGUGUCCCAACACUAUUAAAAUGAGGUCAAAGGUACCAAGUGUAAAAUUUCCUAAGUCAAAGGGUGAAACAGUUUUUCAUCUUAUAAUCGGAACCUAGUGUGCACAGUGUGUGGUAAACUUAAAGUGGAAGAAAUAAGGUUGAAUUCAAUAGAAGUUUCAAUAAUUCAUCAACUUUAAUAAGCAUAAUACAAAUUCUAAGUCAAGUAAAAAGACAAAAAUUCAAUUUUUCCCAUUUCAUUUUGAGAAUUUUUCCUUGAUAACCAUGAAGAGUAGAAUAAAAACUUAAAAAAUUUUAAAAAUUAAGCAAAAAGCAACUAAAUUAUCAAAAUAACUUAGCAUUAAUAACAAAACUUCCUUCCUCAACUCUCUCUCUCCCUAACCAAGCUGAACAUUGCCCUCAAUGUGGCAAGAGCGAUUGAAAAUACAGGGAGGAAGUGGUGCCUCCUAAGUGACAUGGAGUCUGAGUCGUAUAAAAGAAACAACAUGAUUCAAAAAAAAAAAAAAUGAGUAGAGGAAAUAAAAUAAUAGUAUGCCAAGUAUACUAAAAAAUGACGGAUAUGUAUUACUUUAAGAAAGUACAAUAUGAAGUAUGAGCAAGUAAUACAUCCAAUCCCAGUAUAUAAAACAUAAAAAACAUGAGACUAAGAGUUCUACUAUAAUAAGUAAAUACAAAAAGUAGAUAGGUGAUCAGGUAGUGGCAGGAGGAUCGUGUGGAGACGAUGGCUUGACUAUGGUAGUCUGAGUGCUCUGGAUCGGAGUCUCGAUCUCUAUUGUAGUAGUCUCCUCAUGGGAUACAGUUUGCUCUGCUAGAGGAGCCUCCUGAGAUGGAUUUGUAGGCUUUGAUGGACCAGGCAUAUCAUGCUUAGGUAGCGAAAAAAUACCCAAAUACUACUGUAUCUGCCUAAGGAUGGCAGUAUGCUAGGUCUGCGUGGCAAUAAGCUGAUCCUGAUGUGCACGUAUGAUUGCUAUCUGUUGGGCAAGAACACUUUGAGUGGUAGUCAAUGUCUGCAAUGUAUGGCAUAGGCCUCUAAACUCUGAAGCGGAUAUGGUGAUAGUAGACUCAGAUGGAGGAGGCGCUGAUGUAGCUGGUACGACUGGUGGAGUCUCAGGAGUAGUAGGAGGAGUAGAAGAUGUAGCCUCAGGCGUGGGCACUGUAGAAGGUGCUGUAGGGGCAGGUGGUAUGAUCUUUGCAGGUAUCUCAGCCUACUGUGCCUGCUGCGGCUGCUUGUCCUGUGGUAUCUCUGGAGGUGCUGGCCUAGUUGGGGCUUCUGGAAGUGCAACAUAAGUCGUCAAAUGAUUUCAUUUGUCGAGAGUGAAUAGCUCUCGGCAAAUGCAUCGAUGCUCAAGCUGAGGCUUAGAAAGAUAACCCAAAUGCUCUAAUAUCUAACAGAGUAGACUAGGAAAAAGUAAUGGAAUGGCAUCUGUUCUCUAUAGCUUCUUCCUGUGGACCUUCUCUUCAAAGUAAAGAAGAGAGGUCAUAAUCAAAUGAUGAGGGCUAAAGUAAAAACCCUCUGAUAUUGUGAAUAAGGCCUCUAAUAUGGCUCAUCUCCUCUGCACCAUAUGCUAAAGUAGAAAUAUGUUGGAGCGCAACACCACAUCCAGAAGAAACAUCCCAGGCGGAAGCUCCUUCCUAAAAAGAAAUGAGCGUGUAGAUGUCCCCCUGGACAAUAUACGGACCAUGUCCCUCUGAGAAAAAUGAGCCCACUCUCUAUAAUCUACUCACAAUCUCAUAUGGAAUGUGUAGGGCCUCUACAAUGUGUCUGGCUCUUAAGAUACCAUGGCGUCCAUCAAUAGUGAAGUGGAUGACAGUAGGAUCCCGGACGCGACGUGUAGUCAUAGAUUGAUAAAAGUCUAAUGCUACUCGGGGAUAGAAGAAAUCCCUAGGAGUCAUCAAGUGCUCCAAAUGGUAUCUCUGCAGUAGGUGGAAUGAAUCUCUGAGCUCCGGCUGGUGUCUGAAAGUCUCUUUAUCAAAGCAUAACUCGGAGUGGAAUGGCCUAGCUCGGCAAUCCAAAUUUCCCUCUAUAGGUGGCUGUGUAACCAUAGGUUGCCUAAUAAUCCCUUCCGGAGUCACCCUAGAAGGAAUUUGAGACUCUGUAGUAGGCGGCUGAGGUUGUGAAGGUGCAGAUGACUCUCCUGGACCUAAAACUCUGGCUCUCUUUGUAAGAGGGCGACAAAUUGAUUUCUUGGGACGUGAAUUACUUGCCCCAGGUGUAGUGGGUGGUCUCUUCAUCUCGUACCUAUGUUGAGAAGGACUAGACGACACUCCACCCUCAGAAGGUGGAAUGGCAGAGGCCUGUGGAGCCUCAAACAUGGAAUCUCGUGCAGGUAAAGCUCUCGGUCUAGUGUUGUGAGCUGAUGGAGACACGACUUGGGAUCCUCUCGUCUUGGCCAUGGCUAAAAUGGAGAAGCUCGUGUUCCAUAGGGUACGCGGAGUGCUCCUCUUCAGAUGCACGACUUCUGGGCUUCCUAUGGAGGGGAUCCUCUAAAAUUUUUGGGCUUCGCAAUUUGGAGGGUUUUUUUACAAGUUGGAGUGGCUGUGCGAAAUGAAAAAUGAGAGAAUCAGAGGUUUAAAUAGAAAUUUAAACGACGGUUGGUAUUUUCGCAAGUUGGAGGUGAUUUCGCAAGUUGGUCCAUUUCGCAAGUUGGUUCGCAACUUGAUUUGCAACUGUGAAAUUGGAUUUUGAAGUUGUGAAAUGGCACACGUGUGCCUAGGAGGUGUUUCGCAGGUUGCGAAAAUUUUCGCAAGUUGAAUAGUGAACUUGGGAAAUUUAGCUUUGAGGAUUUCGCAAGUUGGCCCUCAUUUUCGCAAGUUGAAAUAUUGCUAUGUUUUUCUCCUUCUUUGGUUCUUUAUGGCUUCCCUCCAAUUCCUUUGAAAUUCCUCCUGAUUUUGAUCAUUCAAAAAUUCUAAGCUAUAUCAAAAUAAAAUAAAUCAAAGCUAAAAUUAAAAUUAAAACAAUUAAUAAAGCUUUUAAAUCAACAAAAUUAAAACAAAAACAUGGACUUUGAUUAGUCUUCAAAAAGACUAAGUCCAUCUACCCCUCUUUUUGGUUAAGAUUUCUGUGGCUCAAGGAGACUGACUUCCUCCUUGUCUUGAUUGAAUGGCUCCAUGAAUGGUUUGAGACGAUGACCAUUGACUUUGAAAGUGUCCGUGCUGUUGGAAUUGAGUAGUUCCACUACUCCAUUGAGAUGCACUUGGUGAAUAAUGAAAGGGCCUAUCCACCUUGACUUUAGCUUCCCUGGAAAGAUAUGGAGCCUAAGAGUCAUAGAGUAAGACUCUCUGUCCCUUUCGAAAUUCUUUGUUGGAGAUUAACUGAUCAUGCCACCUCUUCAUCCUCUCUUUUGCAAUUUUGAAAUUGAUGUAGGCAUCAUUUCUCAAUUCCUCCAUCUCAUUAAGGUCUAAGCACCUCUUCAUCUCGGCUUUGUUCAAGUCCAUGUUUACCUUCUUAAUUGCCCACCAAGCCUUGUAUUCAACUUCCACAGGGAGAUGACAUGCUUUUCCAUAGACUAGGCGAUAAGGAGACAUGCCAAGAAUAGUCUUGUAAGCUAUUAUAUAUGCCCAUAGUGAAUCAUGGAGCUUAACAGACCAAUCUCUUCUGCUCGUGUUCACCAUCUUCAUUAAUAUAUUCUUGAUUUCCUUGUUUGCUAACUCAAUUUGUCCGGAAGUCUGAGGGUGGUAAGGUGUAGCUAUCUUGUGCUUCACCCCAUACUUGGCUAAAAGAGUUUCAAAAAGCUUAUUGCAAAAAUGAGUACCUCUAUCACUGAUUAUAGCCUUGGGCACCCCAAAUCUUGAGAAGAUGUUCUCUUUGAGAAACUUGAGAACAACUCUGUGGUCAUUGUGUUUACAUGGGAUUGCCUCAACCCAUUUAGAAACAUAGUCUACCCCCACCAAAAUGUAAGAGUUACCAAAAGACAUAGGGAAAGGUCCCAUGAAGUCAAUGCCCUAAACAUCGAAGAGAUCAACUAUUAAAAUGGGGUUCAUAGGCAUUUGAUUUCACAUGGUGUGAACAUCUUUGAAAAGUGAUGGCCAACUAAAACCUGAUUGCAACACCUUCAUGGCUGUUUUCUAAUAGGAAAAGUGGCCUCCACAUGCGCUUUCAUGGCAAUGACUGAGGAUUCCCUAUUGCUCUUGUUCAGGGACACACUUCCUUAUUAUUUGAUCUGCACAAUUGAUUACUACCCAAAAAGUGCUAUUUUACACCUUUAAUUCAUUAUGUUUUAAGCACUUUUGUGUAGUAGUUCUCCAUUCUUAUUCCAAUUGGCAUGUUAAGGACCUAGCAAUGACCUCUAAUCAUAUUUGUGGAUAGUUUUAGUAUUUUGACAGCUUUUUGGAUCAUUAAGACAAGCCAAGCAAAGGAGAGAAGCAAAGAGAAGCAAAGAGAGAGUGAAGAAAAUAGAAGACAACAGCUGCAGUCUUCCUUCGCACUUUUGGAGCACUUCCCGAAGUCCAUUUUCUAUAUUCUAUAUACCAUUUCAAAGCUCAGGAAGUCAAGAAUCCAACGCUUCAAAUCGUGUAUGAUUUGGAGCUGAAAUGAGGAAGAUAUGGCCUUCGGAAGACAACUGCUCCAGGCUUGUGCGAAAUUUCGCACAACACCUUCAGCUUGUGCGAAAUUCGCACAACACAUUUCCUUGUGCAAAAUUUUCGCACCAGCCCAUGCGUGGUGCGAAAUCUCCUCUGUUUUGCCAACUCCACAUGAGAUCUUUUCUUUUAGAUAUUUUUGUAUAAAUUUCCGUUCUUCUCCUUGUAAUCCACUAAUCAUAAGAUUUCUUAGCUAGGAAGGUUGGAAAAACUUCUCUAUAUAUAUUCCCUUGCAUCCAUUGUAAGAUAUACAGAUAUAGAUAUAGAGAUAUAGAUAUAUAAGUGUGUAAAAGAGAUCAAUAUAUAGAAUAUACAGAGCUUUGCUCUGUUUUUCCUUCUCUUUCAUUUUCAUUUUCUUGCUAGCCAAACUUUCUCUGAGAUGUUUUCUCAGAGGAUGAGUGGCUAGGCUUUUUGUUUCUUGGGUGAAGGAAGCUAGGUGAAAAGUCCAGAUGAAAAAGUGGAAAACUCUCGUGCGUUAAAUACAGGUAGUUGGAGUUCAUAAAUGGCUUCUAAAUCUAAAGUUUUGCUUUAAAUCCCUUAGAAUCACUUUGAAUGGCCAAUACAUGGUAAGCUUUAGGUCUCUGUGGAUGCUUAUUGCUAGAUCCAUAUCAGUCCAUUAGUUAUCAUGUACAAGCCAUUGGAAAGUGGUUCAAGGUGAAGACCCAUAGUGUCUAAAGCCAUUAAUGGAACUUGACUACCAUUUCUAUUGACUUUUUAUGGAUUAAAUCUUCAUUGUUAAACCUAUACUGGUUCGGGAAAUAACUAUAGGUUAAAUCCCCAAUGCGAGGAGAAAAAUCCGGAAUUUCCCACUUUGCAGUUGGCACUUGAUCCUAGUAACCUGAAAUCCCAAGAAACACCUUUCUUUCUAAUUUCUUUCUAGUUAAUUUUAGUUACUUUAUGUUAGGUUAGCUUAAUACCAUCCGUUUUCAUUCAAACUUAUGUCUUCUUUUAAAGCUAACAAAGAAAAGAAAAAGCACCAAUUCAGUUUUUGAACUAAUAUCAAUUGCGAAGUGAAAACCCAUCCCAGUGAACGAUCCUAGAGCCACUAUACUAUGCUAGCUAAAUGCUACCCCGGUAUAUGGUGAAAUAGGUUUAUAAAUUUUGUUGAUUACUCCCGUCUGAGGAUUGAGAUCAAAGCACAUCAAUUGAGUUGAAUCAAUUGGAACACCAAUUGGGCAUGAAUCAACAAUACUUGAAAAGAAAAGGUUCUUCCCAAUAGUAGGCAUGAAUUUUUGCAAAGAAGUGCUUCCUAUCUUGUGCUUUCCACUCACUUGGAACUUCACCAGUAACUAGAUAGUUAACAAUAUGAGCAUACCAAGGACCAUCUUCUAGCAACAUGAGUGACUCCUCCAGAAAAUCAUCAUUAAUAGGUAAAACAUGGGAAUUAUGUGCUAUAGCCAACCUUGAAAGGUGGUCAGCCACCACAUUCUCCACUCAUUUCUUAUCUUUGAUUUGGAGAUUGAACUCUUGUAGUAAGAGAAUCCAUCUAAUCAACCUUGCUUUUGCAUCUUGCUUUGUCAAUAAGUAGUUCAAGGCUGAAUGAUUAGUGAAAACCACAAUGAAAGACCCUACCAGAUAAGCACGAAAUUUGUCUAAGGCAAAAACUACAACCAACAAUUCUUUCUUUGUGGUUGUGUAGUUUCUUUGUGCUUCGUUCAAUGUUUUGCUUGCAUAGUAGAUCACAUAGGCCUUUCCAUCAUUUCUUUAACCAAGAACAGCUCCUAUAGCAAAGUCACUGGCAUCACACAUCACUUCAAAAGGUAGUUGCCAGCUAGGAGCCCUCACUAUUGGAGCGGUUGUCAAGAACCGCUUCAGGUGCUCAAAACUCUUUUGACAUCUCUCAUCCUAUACAAAUUUAGCAUCCUUACCCAAUAGUUCGCAAAGAGGCUUUGAAAGUUUAGAGAAAUCUUUAAUAAACCUCCUGUAGAACCUAGCAUGGCCAAGGAAUUGUCUUACUCCUUUUAGAGUUGUUGGGGAUGGCAAUUUGAUAAUAAGUUCUACCUUUGCUUUAUCAACUUCAAUGCCUUUCUUGGAGAUGAUGUGGCCAAGGACAAUUCCUUUCUGUACCAUAAAAUGACAUUUCUCCCAGUUAAGCACUAAGUCCUUUUUAAUGCAUCGGUUCAGAACCACUUCCAUGUUGACUAAGCACUCCUCAAAUGUACUUCCAUAUAUGGUGAUAUCAUCCAUAAAAACCUCCAUAAUACGCUCCACCAUAUCACUGAAAAUGCUUAGCAUACAUCUUUGGAAUGUUGUAGGUGCAUUGCACAAACCAAAAGGCAUUCUUCUGUAAGCAUAUGUUCCAAAUGGACAUGUGAAAGUGGCAUUCUCCUGGUCUUCAACAUCGAUUCUAUUUGAAAAUACCCGGAGUAGCCGUCUAAGAAACAAUAGAAAGGAUGGCCUAAGACUCUCUCCAACACUUGAUCAAUAAAUGGCAAUGGAAAAUGAUCAUUCCUUGUCACAACAUUCAAUUUUCUAUAAUCAAUACACACCCUCCAACCUUAAGUGAGGUGUGUAGCAACUUCUUCUCCCCUUUCAUUUUGCACCACUGUGAUCCCUGAUUUCUUUGGUACUACUUGAGUAGGACUCACCCAUGGGCUAUCUGAUAUGGGGUAGAUAAUACUGGCUUGAAGUAGCUUAAGAACCUCAGCUCGCACCACCUCUUGCAUAUUAGGAUUCAAUCUUCUUUGAGGUUAACGAAUUGACUUAGCUUCUUCUUCCAUGUAUAUAUGAUGUGUAUAGACUAAAGGACUGAUGCCUUUCAAGUCAAAUAUUUGCCAUCCUAUUGCUUUCUUACAUCUCCUGAGAACUUCAAGUAAACAAACCUCCUGAGGAGUAGUAAGAGAUGAAGAUAUAACAACAGGGCACUUCUUAUUCUCUUCUAGGUAUGCAUACUUCAACUCCGUGGGUAGGGGCUUCAGAUUAAGCUUUGGAGGCUCCUCUUUAACAGCUUCUUGUGCCUCCUCUUCAUUGACCAAAGGUAGAAUUUCUUCUAUCCUCUUCCAACCUGGUAGAGUAGCAAGCAAAUAUGAGGGUUUAGGCAACCCUUCAUCAAGAUCCCUAAGACUUUCAUUCAACUUCUCUUGCAUUUUCUGAUUACAAUGCUCCUCCACUAAAGUGUCAAUGAUGCACACCUCUUCUGGACCUUCCUUUUCUUCCGGAUUGAUUGGCUUUUUGGACAUAUAGAAGAUAUUGAGCUCCAAUGUCAUGUUGCCAAACGUGAGCUACAUGAGUUCAUUCCUACAAUUGAUGAUUGCGUUUGAUGUAGCUAGGAAUGGUCUUCCAAGUAUGAUAGGAACAUAAUUAGUUUCCUUAACAAUUGGGUCUGUAUCAAGAACAACAAAAUCCACUAGACAGUAGAAAUUGUCAACUUGAACUAAGACAUCUUCAAUUAUCCCUCUUGGAAUUUUCACUGAUCUAUCUGCUAGAGAUAGAGUGAUUGAUGUUGGCUUCAAUUCACCAAGUCCCAAUUGCUUGUAGACAGAGUAUGGUAGCAAAUUCACACUUGCCCCCAAGUCCAACAAAUCUUUCUCCACUACAAUUCCUCCAAUCAUCACUGAGAUGGUAGGGCAACCCAGUUGAACUUUGAUUUCGCAACUUGCGAAAUUGUCUUUCAACUUGGUGCAUUUGUCUUCCAAUGGCCAUAACUUCUUCAUUUCAACUCCGAUUUGACACCGUUUGAAGCAUUGGACUCCUGACUUCCCAAGCUUCAAAACGAUAUAUAGUAUGUAUAAAAUGGACUCCAAAAAGUGCUCGAAAUGUGUCCUGCAGAUGCUCUCCUCUUGAAUUUCUUCAUGUUAGAUUCCUCUUUCUGUAUUUCCUCCUUGCAUUCUUGAUUGGCUUUGGCAAAGGACUACAAAGCUCCAAAGCUUGGAUUCUUCAUGUAAAUGAGCUUCUAAUUGCUUUGCCAUGGACUAAACAGAGCUCUCCUUCAUUCUUGGAUUGCUUUGGUGAUAAAAAAGUUAUCAAAAACACCAAAACUUAACACAAUUUGAUUAGAAACACUUGCAAGGGUCCUUAACAUGUCAAUUGAGUUAAAGGGUAAUAACUACUACUCAAAAAUGUUUAAAAGAGUUAAUUAGAAGCUAUAAAAUAGCACUUUUUGAGUAGUAAUCAGGUCAUUCGACUUAUCUUGACUCAAUUUUGGCUUUGGUACUGUAUAAUAAACAUAAUGAAUAUGUUAUAUACUUUAUACUUGUCCUAACCACUCUAGCAUUUUUGGAGGAAUCUUAUAAAUUAUGCAUGAUAUCCAAGUACGCUUUCUAUCACUUACUUUUCAGAAUUUUAUGAACAUGCAUGUUGUUGUGAGCCUUAUCAAUGUUUGAUUCCAUCCUUAGGUGCCUAGAUGUUUGUUCAAUUUGCUCUGAUUAAAUACAUGUCAUGUUCUAUAUUUUUGUGUUAACUUUAAUGUCUUGUGAUAACGCUUGAGAGGCAGUUCAGGUACACAUCCUAACCCUCCUUUGCAAUUGUGAUUUGAUUUCUUUUUUUGGCAUGCUAGUUUUGAAAUCACCUUAGCCUACCUAAGUACCUCCAAUCAAUUGAUUAAUUGUCACUUUUCCCUCAACUUAGUCAUUAAAGACCUCUUUAAGGCUUAGAGGGGUGCUACCUUUUAGAGAUACCUUCUCAAUAGGUAACCUGAUCCCCGAACCAAGACUUGGGUUUUUCAAGACUUGCUUUUCCUAAACCAUGGAGUCACUUUUUUAGGGUUUUCUUUCUUGUUUUAUUGUCCCUUUUAAAAUAAAAUAAAAUAAGUGGCAACUCCAAUUUAUCAAAACUAAUUUUUCACUAAAUAAAAAUGAGUCUUGCCGUUGAGUGGGGACACAAGUGAAAAAUGCGGGUCCAUAGGGCAUUCUGUUUAAAGAACAUUAUUCUUCCCAUUAUCUUCAACCUAUAUUUUUUCAUGUUUGCCUACAAUUAUACACAUUUACUAAACACAUCAGGAAAUUCUAGAAUUCAGGGAUAUUAUUAUGCAUAUCACAUAUCAGUUGUGAAGAAACCUAACUUACAAUGUCAACUGUUCAUGAAAACCCACCCAUUGACAAGUAUUCCAUGAAUUUCAUCACAAAUACACCAUAAUCAUACAUAUCACAAGUUGAUGAGAAACUCUUUACCAAUUAUAAUGUUGAAUUAUUAAGUAAUUAUAAUUUAAAAAUAACAUUGAUGUGCAUAUGGAGGUGACAAAAUCUUAUUCAUUAGUCUAGCAUGGGACAUCAGCCAUUACAAAAUUGAGUGUCCUCAAAUCAAAAUCCGGCACAUCCAUUUUAUAUGCAAUGAGACAUAGGACAAUAUUUGACUGAAGCACAAAACAUAAGGUUGUGUGUUUGGUGUAGUGUGAGUUGUAAAGGAAAUAAAUAAAACAUUCAAUUUUCUAACAUUUAUUAUAGUAGCAUAUUUAAGGUUAUAUGAUACCAAAUUAUGAAUGAGUGUUGUCAUUUGUUUCUUCUUCCUUCUCGAACGAGGCUCUAGUCGUUAGAUUCUCCUAUUAAGGAGAUUGUACACUAGAAGACUCCAAUGGUUCUUCACUAGAGUGGGUAGGAACACCUAUCACCAUAAUGGGAUCUCAUUAUGUAUACAAACGAAAUAAUGAAAAAAGGUUUUACAAUUAUUUCAUAUUGUAUUAAUUAACGACUUUUCAUCAUCCGUCACAUUUUUUACAUUUGAGUAUGAGAUAUCCAAGUCAGACAUUACACUUCCAAACCGGGUGAUGAUGUAACUCUAAAUACAUGGCUUUGGAAUGGACAACCAUCUACUACAAAACAAAAAUUUACCAUUUGUGUUAGCCGUUUUUGCAAUAAGUUUUUUCUAUGCAACUUUUGCAACCAUUAUUAUGUAAAUAAUAAGUCCAAUAUUUAACAAUAUCUAAGGAACAAUUUUGUUUGGGUUAGGUCCUCAAAUUACAUCAUCCGGUUGUAGACAUCCAUCACCUAAUGACAUCAUACUAACAAGUUAGGAAGUUACUACAUUAGUAACCUAAUGAAAGGAAAUAAUUAAUUAUCCUGCAUAAAGAUGGGAAAAGGUGCAACAAAUUAUCAGAUGAUAUGCUACAAGCCAUAAGAGACCUCCAGUUUGAAGGUCUCCUCUCCAUUCAAUGCCAUGAGUUGAGUCAUAACCUCCGCUUGUGGUUGAUCUAACAUUUUAACAUCAGAUUUAGGAGGUUGGACAUAAGCCAUGACAAUUAAAUCAAGAUGACAACAAUUAUUAUUUGGGACAUACUUGGCUUGCCAACAUGUGGUCAAAGACUUCAUGUAGGAUCCACCACAUCUGAGCAUCCAUUUGCAACAUUUGGAGCUGAAAAGAACAACUCCCUUCCCUACCUGUAGCAUAGGAGUUUCGGAGGGCCUUCACAUUUUAUGCUUAUUCCACACUACUGCCACCAACAUCUAAGAUUGAUGGAUGUUGAGAUUUAUGACACAUAAUACAUGAAGACACUUUCCGUAAAGACAUCAAUUAGGGGCAAUUUGUGAUGGAUGAACUAGUUGAGGGAAUGAGAUAGUUUCAGCAAUCCAAAAAACCAUGGGUUCCUAGAUGCCUACUCUUCCUAUAGGUCUUCUACUCAAUUUCCUUUUAUUUCCUUUUUUUUUUCUAUUAUCAAGAGCUAAUUCAUAUGUUAUAAUAUUUUGUUACUUUAUGCAAUUGUUCUAUCUUAUGAAAAUAAGAAUCCUUUCUAUUGAAUUCCUGCAAAUGGUGCCUCGUGCCUCUGCUUGGAAUGAUGAGGUUUAGUUCGUUUAGACUCAGUUGAAAUAUGAUUACUUAAAUCAAUUUUUUUUAUAUACAAAUGGUUGAGGACUUAGCAGAACAAGCAACACAUCCAGAACUAGAAAAUAUCAUUGUAAGUAUGGCUUGGCAAUGAAUCUUAUCAUAGGGAGAAAUUAAUAUAGAAAGGCCUACCUAUAACUACUUGUACAUUAUAUAUCUACUUAUUGAGCAAAUUUCUUUUUUGAUUUUAUGAAGUACCUUUAUAGUUUUAAAAUUGUUCUUACUCACAUAUAGAGCUUAAUGAUAAAAUUGAGUUCCUUGGUCUUUUCUAACUUCUUAAUUGCUAAAUUUAUCAUAGAGAUAUUACUUUGAAGAUAUUACAUGACAUUCUAGUAUGUGCAUAGAUUGUACUUAAGUCAUUAUAUGAUGUCCUGACUACUAAUAAUUAAAUAAUGUGAUAUUAGUACUUGUAAGAAUUUAUUAUAGGGAGAAUUGUGUUUGGGGCCCAGCUGGGCCCAAAAAUUAACAUUUGGUCCAUAAAUCAUGUAUAUUUAAGCUCAAGACCCAAACAAAGUAUGAAAAUUAAAAUGAAGGAUAUUGUCUUUCAUUAAUCCCUAAAAUACCCUUAACCAUUGCAUAGACACAAGUGUGUGAAUUUCAAUUUUUUUGUAAUUUUUUUCCCUUUUCUAUUUCCUAUUAAAUAUUACUCAUUUCUAACUUUUUUUUCCUUUUCUUCCAAUCUAUAUUUCUAUUUUAUGUCAAAUAAAAAGCAAUAAUGUUUUUUGUUUUUCAUUUUUAAAUAUAUUGAAUCUUUUUGCUCUUAUUAUAAGCAAUGAUAAAAAUUUUGGAUUUUUCAUCCAAAUAUUUUUUAUCUUUAGUUUAAUUUUCAUUUUUUAUUUUAAAUUUAUAUUACCCUUUCAUUUAUAUUUUUCUCUUAUUUUUAGUUAUUUUUUAUAUUUUCUACAUUAACCAUAUUUUAAAAAAUUUAAAAAUUGACUAUCACUUCACUUUAUUAUUAUUAUUAUUAUUAUUAUUAUUAUUAUUAUUAUUAUUAUUAUUAUUAUUAUUAUUAUUAUUAUUAUCAUUAUUAUAUAUAUCCUUUUAGCUUUUUAAUUUUUAGUUUUUUUAUUUUUAAAUUUUUAAAAAGAUAAAUUUAUUGAAAAAAAAUAAUUAAGAUAUGAAGUUCUAAUAUUAUAUUAAUAAUUUUUCUUAUCUAGAUAGACUAAUGCAAAGUGUUUUGACUCACAACAAGAAAAUUGUCAAUACAAUUUUUUAGUUGAACUUUAGAAAUUAAAUUUCAAAUAAAAUAUAUUAUAUAAAAUUUUAUCUAAAAAUUAUUGAAAGUGGUAUUUAAUUUUUUUUUAUUGACUUUCAAACUUAUCUAAUUUUUUACUUGAAAGGUAAUAGAACAAGUUUACAAAAAAAAAAAAAAAAAAAAUUAGUUUUUCAUUUUUUAAAUAAAUGAGUAUAAAUAUAUUAAAAGAAUUAAAGAUAAUCUUAGUAAAAAAUUUGAUAAAUAUAAUUAUAAUUUUAAAUAUAGAUUCAUUUGGAUAAAAUUUCACCAAAAAAAAAAAAUAGUGGAAAGAAAGAACAUUGCUAAAACUACAAAAACAAAAUAUGCAAUUACAAAAUUUUGAUGAUGAAAUUUAAAAAUAAAAGUUGAAACAAUUCUUGAGUGAGAGAAUUUGAGUGGGGAAAAAAAAUCUUUGAGUGGAAAAAAUGGGAAAAAUUUUCAAAAUCACUUGAAAUCCUUAACAAAAAGUAGUGUUGUACACCCUUAUACAAUUAGUAAAUUUUUCUUGUACAGUCAGUGUAAUACCCUUGUACAAUAACUCAAAUUUCAUACAUCAUCUCAUGAGUAUCUGACAAUAGGUUGGUUAACCAUGUUUGCAUUGCUUUGGUUUUAAAAAAGAAGAAAAAUUGUUGUAUAAUUUUGUUUUACAAUCAUCAUAAGUGAGGUACCUAUUCAAAUGACCAUAUACAAGUUAGAUAAAGUGCAUGAGAUGAAUGUAUGCUUAACCAAUGUGUGUAAGGAAUGUCAUUUAUCCUUGGUUAGGGGAAAUAAACAAAUUUUUUUUUCAGAAUCACUUAAAAUCCUUCACAAAUAAUAGUCUUGUACACCCUUGUAUAGUUAGUAUAUUUGUCAUGUACACUUAGUGUAAAUACCUUGUACAGUGACUCAAAUUCCAUAUACCCCAUACUAAAUAUGUAACCAUAGGUAGGCUAACCAUGUUUUCAUUGGUUUGUUUAAAAAAAUAGUGGAAGAUGGAAAAACAAAAUUUUAUCUCAAACAUUAUUAGUGGGAUAAGUAUUUGAAUUAUCAUGUGCGAGUUAAAUAAAGUGCAUAAGAUGAGUGUGUAAGCAAGUUAAAUUCCAUAUACCCCCAAAUUUAUUUACUUAUUUCAUUUUAUUUAUUUAAAUUAGAAAGUAAUUUAUUUUAAUAGAUUAAAAUGUGCACAAUUGAUUUAUUACUUUGUUAAUUAUGGAUAUAUUAAAAUUUUAUAUUAGACAAAAAAUAAAUAAAGAAAAUAAAAUUAAAAAGAGUAAUAAAUAUAUAUAAUUUAGUUAUUUAAUUAUUUUUCAUGUAAAAGAUAGUCCUACAAAAAACACUUAAUUGAUCAAUUUCUUUGUUUAAUUGUAAACAUACUAUAUUUUUUUAUUAUUAAAAUAACUAAUGGAAAAAAAUAAAAAAUGAAUAAUCAAUUAAUGAAAUUUAAUUUCUUUUUAUUAUUUUUAUAUAAAAACUAGUACUAAACAAGGUUUUCAAUUUUUAUUUUUAAAAAUAGUUUUCAUUUUUUAAUUAAAUGUUUUUUCAAAAAGAAAAUAUAAAAAAUAUAAAUCAUAUUACCAUAUUUUUAGAAAGUAUUUUUUAAAAUAGUUUUUGAACAUAAUUUUUCUUUAUUUAUAAUUUAAAAUAGAAAAUAAUGCUAAUUUCAAUUAUUAAUAAAAAAAAUUAAAAACAAUGAAAAAUCCAAAUUGUUAAAAUAGAAUUAUUAUGGUUGUAUGAAUAGUGGUGCAAUAAAGACAAAAAAACUUAUGUGAAAGGUCAUUGGGUAUUUUAGUUCAUCACUAUUUUAUAUCCUUAAAAGGUAAUAUAUAGAAAUUUGAAGGAUAUAUUAGUCUUUUAACAUCUUAUAUCAUUUUCAUCAAUUAUGGAAGUUAUAUGGAUCAAAUGUUAAUUUUUGGACCUAGAUAGGCCCAAAACACAAUUCUUCCUUUAUUAUAUGUUGCCUAGCAUGCACAUUUUUGCAUUCAAUGCAUAACAUGUUUAUCAUGCAUGUAACACUCAUAGAUAAGAAUUUUUUGGUUCAUGAUUAUAUAACACUACCUUUAUUAACACUUUUCAAAGGUUUUACAUUGAAUUCCCAUUAGUUGCUACUAAUUUCUAUCCUCAUACCCAAGUGAAAGGGAUCAUAAACAUAAGCAUAAGAUCAAAUUUUAAAAAUAAAAUUCAAAUGGUGAAAAAAGAAAAAAAUAACAAGAAAUAAAUAGUAAUAGAAUAUUCUUAUUUAAACCAUAUACUAAAGGGACUUAAGGUUUAGGUUCCUUUGGUUAUGUUAUUCCAUGUUUAUAAUUUAUGAUUGUUGGUUUAUUGAUUUAAAUUAAAGAUUAGUAUAUAUAUAUAUAUAUAUAUAUAUAUAUAUAUAUAUAAUGCAUAUUAGAUGUCUUUUAAAAAAAAUAUAUUUGAGUGUUUGUUUUGAUCCAUUUAUAUGCUAGAUGCUUUUAAAAGAAUUUUUAAAUUUUUUUUGAUAAUUUAUUAUGCUAGAUGCUUUUAAAAAAUUCAUUAAGUGUUUAGUUUGAUAAAUUUAUAUGCUAGGAGCUUUUAAAAAACUUCAUUGGGUAUUUGUUUUGAUAAUUUAUAUGUUAGAUGCUUUUAAAAAAUACAUAGAAUGUUUGUUUUGGCAAUUUAUAUGCUAGAUGCUUUUAAAAAAUUAAUUGAGUAUUCAUUUUGUUAAAUUUAUAUGCUAGACCCUUUUAAGAAAUUCAUAGAAUGUUUGUUUUGAUAAAUUAUAAGUUAAAUGCUUUUAAAAAAAUUCAUUGAGUGUUUGUUUUGAUAAAUUUCUAUUCUAGGAGCUUUUAAAAAAAAUUCAUUGAGUGUUUGUUUUGAUAAAUUUCCAUUCUAGGAGCUUUUAAAAAAAAUUCAUUGAGUAUUUGUUUUCAUGAAUUUAUAUGCUCGAAGCUUUUAAAAAAUUCAUUGAUUGUUUAUUUUGAUAAUUUAUAUACUAGAUGUUUCCAAAAAUCUUUGAGUGUUUUUUUUUAUACAUUUAUAUGCCAAAUAUUUUAAAAAAAAAAUCAUUGAGUGUUUGUUUUGAUAAAUCUAUAUGUUAGAUGCUUUUUAAAAAAUUCGUUGAGUGUUUGUUUUGAUAAUUUAUAUGCUAGAUGCUUUUUAAAAAAAAUUCAUUGAGUGUUUGUUUUGGUAAAUUUAUAUGCUAGACACAUUUAAGAAAUUCAUAGAAUGUUCAUUUUGAUAAUUUAUAUGUUAAAUGUUUUUCAAAAAAUUGAUUAAGUGUUUAUUUUGAUAAAUUUAUAUGCUAAAUGUUUUUAUUAAAAAUAAAUAUUGUACAAUGUUUGUUUUGAUAAUUUACAUGCUAGGAGCUUUUAAAAAAAUUCAUUAAGUGUUUGUUUUGAUCCAUUCAUAUGCUAUAUGCUUUUAAAAAAAUAUAUAGAAUGUUUGUCUUGAUAAUUUAUAUGCUAAAUGCUUUCAAAAAAUUCAUUGAGUGUUUGUUUUUACAAAUUUAUAUGCUAGAUGUUUUUUUUUUUUAAAAAUUGAUUAAAUGUUUUUUUGGAUAAAUUUAUAUGCUAGAUGCUUUAAACAAAAUUAAUUAAGUGUUUGUUUUGAUAAAUUUAUAUGCCAAAUACUUUUCAAAAAAAAAAUAAAAUCUUUGAGUGUUAGUUUGAUUAAAUUUUCAUGUUAGUAUUUUUUUUUUAAUUCAUUAGAUGUUACAUUUGGUUAAAUUGUUAGCUUUUCUUAUUUUGAUACUUAUUUAGUAGGCUUCUUGAGGAUUGCUUAAGUUCAAACCUUUUUACAGAAAAAACUUUCUUAAUUCAUUUUGAGAUGAGUCAAAAUUUCUUUUCAAAAAUGAAUUUUCUCCAUCAUGAAUGAGGCUCCUUAAUUCCAAAUGAAAGGUAGCCAAAAGAGGGAUCCAAGUUGAUUUUUUUUUUUCAAAUUUUUUUAAGUUAGAAAUAAAAAAAUGCCUAUUUUGUGUCCAGUGUUUUGGAUUUAUUAAUUCCCUUUGUUCUGUUUGUUCCUCUUAAAAAUUAUUUUCAAAAUAAUUUAAAUCAUCUAAAAAAACUUAUAAAAGAAAAAUCUAUUCUAGGUUUAGGGCAAAGAAUCUCACUUUCUUUUAAAACAUGCAACUCAUUUCAUCUAAGUUGCAUUCUUCACUUCUUGAUUUUCCAAAACUUUGUUUUGAUUCAACUUAUAAGGACAGCUAGUAUUCAUGCAAAAAAUCAGCAUGAGAAUUUGUAACUGCAUUUGAUCAGCUAGUUUAGGAAAUCUGCACAGCUCACUCUUACCUUUAUUUUCACAUACGUUAGCACAAGUUUAGGAGUAAUUUUUGUUUCUCAAAUCUGUAUUUAUACCUCUUCUUCUAAUAAGAAUCGGGUGAAUCAUUUUGUCUAAACCUCUAUAUGGUAUCAGAGCUGGGGACACUGAAGUCAGAAUUGCACUUAGAAUAAGUUUGUCCUGACGGAACCAAAGGUGAUGAGCUGUAGUGGCAGCUGCAUCAGUUGACGUCGGUAGGGGUGGGCAGGUAUGAGUGCCAUCGACAUAGCCAAAGAGGUUAGAGCCGAGGAGGAGAGACUCAAAUUGAGCAUGCCAUGAAGGGAAGUUGGUUGGUGUGAGACGUGCAGUAAUUUGCUGGGUGGCAUUGAUGGCUAUUGGAAAACUAUCAGAGGAAGAAGUGGCCAUAGCAGAAGCGAGAAAGACAGGAAAUACUCGUUGGAGUUUUGAGGCGUUAAUCUGAUACCAUAUAGAGUGGUAUUGGCAGUAACUACCAAGGAUUGAGCAGUGGAGUCAAGCCUUCGAAGAUAUGCCUCAUGACCAAGUAACAGAUCAUGUAAUUCUUCAAAGGAGAGUGAAGACUCUUGGGCUCGAAUUGGGGCAACAAUGUCACGAAAAUCCGAUCCUUAGCCAUGAAGAACAUAUAAGGUGAUGUCAUCUUGAGAUAAUGGGGCAUCGAUGAGAGCAAGCUCAUCGGCAAUGGUUUUUACAGAGUGUAGGUACUCUGUUAAACUGCGAUUGCCACGUUGCAUGAGAGUGAGAUCUUCUUUGAGCUGCAUGACACGAGUCCUGGAUCGACUAGCAUACAGUUUUUUCAGUUUUGUCCAGGCUUGAUGUGACGUCUUUGAGGUUGCUAUGAGUGGUAUCACAGCUGGGGACACUGAAGUCAGAAUUGCACUUAGAAUAAGUUUGUCCUGACGGAACCAAAGGUGAUGAGCUGUAGUGGCAGCUGCAUCAGUUGACGUCGGUAGGGGUGGGCAGGUAUGAGUGCCAUCGACAUAGCCAAAGAGGUUAUAGCCGAGGAGGAGAGACUCAAAUUGAGCAUGCCAUGAAGGGAAGUUGGUUGGUGUGAGACGUGCAGUAAUUUGCUGGGUGGCAUUGAUGGCUAUUGGAAAACUAUCAGAGGAAGAAGUGGUCAUAGUAGAAGCGAGAAAGACAGGAAAGACUCGUUGGAGUUUUGAGGUGUUAAUAUGCCCAGUCCGCAUCACUAUAGGUCUUGAGUUGGAAUUGAUCAUGCUUUUGGAGAAGGAUACCAUGAAACAUGGUCUGUUUAAGAUAUCUGAGUAGUCUUUUUGCUGCGGCCCAAUGGUUUGUUGUCGGCUUCUGCAUGAACUGAGAUAAUCUGUUGACUGCAAAGGCAAUAUCGGGACGAGUGAGCCCCAAAUACUGAAGUGCUCCAAUGAUCUUGCGAUACUCAGUGCUGUCAACACAUUCGGAAUUAUCUUGAACCGUAAGCUUGGCUGUAGUGGACAUUGGAGUGAGUGUUUCUUUAGGUUGCACAAGAGCUGGAUCUUCACUUGGAGUCGAAGAAGCAGAGAGGAUAACUCCUUGAGCCCGUGUGAUUGCUGGAAGCUCCCUGGAAGCAAGCUGCAAAAUUGGUCCUGAAAAAGAAGAGGUUUCUGGUGGGGAUGAGUCAAUGGGUGAUUGCAUGGAAACCUGUUUGAAGGGGUAAACAGAUUCAUCCAAGGUUACGUGUUUGGAGGUGUAUAUGCCCUGACUUUGUAGAUGAAGACAUAGAUAUGCACUUUGGCUAGUAGAGUAGCCAACAAAGAUACAAGGAACAGAUUUCUUUUGAAAUUUGUUUGUGUUAUACGGCUUCAUCAAGGGAAAGCAGAGACAUCCAAAGGAACGUAAUUUUUCAUACCGAGGUUGUUGCUUGAAGAGAGCUUGAAGAGGUGAUUUAUGAUGAAGAACAGGUGAUGGAAGUCGAUUGAUUAGAUAUGUGGCUGUUACAAAAGCAUAAGCCCAAUAUUCUGAUGGAAGAGAGGCAUGACUUAGAAGGGUUUGACCUGUCUCCACAAUAUGGCGAUGACGACGCUCAGACACUCCAUUUUGUUGGGGUGUAUAAGGGGCUGUCGUAUAAUGACUAAUGCCAUGGGUGGUGAAAAAGGGUCGAAGAGCAGUGAACUCUCCUCCAUUAUCGGAAUAAACUCCUUUAAUUUUUAUGUUAAAAUGAGUUUCAAUCAUUUUGUAGAAAUGAGGAAAUAUGGUUUUAACAUCUGAUUUUUGAUGCAAUGGAAAGAACCACACAUAUUUGGUAAAGUGAUCUACAAAAAUAACAUAAUAUUUGUGGCCAUUGAGACUAGGAGUGGGAGAAGGUCCCCAUACAUCAGUGUAAAGUAAAUCAAAUGGUGUUGUGCUAGUUAGACCAUGUUUAUGAAAGGGUAACUGAUGAGCUUUAUUGAUAGAACACGAAUGAUAAUUAUUAGAACCAGAAAGACAUGAAGUGGUGGGAAGGGAGAACGAACUAAUGAGGCGAGUGACAACUUUGAAUGAUAGAUGACCAAGGCGCUGAUGCCAACCAGCGACUGAUGUGCGUUCAUGGACAAAAGUAAUUGGAGUAGCAGCAGGCGAUGAGGGCAUAGGGUAGACUCCAUUUUCACACGGUCUUUGAAGAAGAAUCUCCCCCGUUCUCCGAUUCUUCACAAGAAAAUAAGUUGGGUGAAAUUCCAGGAUAACAUUGUUUUGCUUUGUGAAGUGGUGAACAGAUAUCAAGUUUUUGUUAAUGGUAGGAACACAUAGAGUAUCUUCAACUUGAAAUUUUCUGUUUGGAAAUGAAAGAGUAAGAGAACCGGAAUGAGUAAUGGGCAAACCUGAUCCAUCUCCAAUAAUAACUUCAUCAGUACCAUCAUAUUCAGAGUGAAAUUGUAAAUUUGAAACCUGAGAAGUGAUAUUAUGGGAAGCCGCAGAAUCAAUGAGCCAACGUUUGUUUGGACUGGAAGUGGUAGUUGUGCAGUUCACAGUGGCGUCAGAGGGUUUCAAUUUCGGACAGUAUUUUGCAAUGUGGCCUUGUUGAUCACAAUAUUGACACCUUGGAGGGUACUUGUAUUGUUUCGAUUGUCGAGACUUUGAUCUGGAGUCAUUCUUGGAUUGUUGAUAAGUUGAUGAAGACUGAUUCUUUGAGGAGCGUGAGUCCCUGUGUUGAGUGGUAUUGGCAGUAACUACCAAGGAUUGAGCAGUGGAGUCAAGCCUUCUAAGAUAUGCCUCAUGACCAAGUAACAAAUCAUGUAAUUCUUCAAAGGAGAGUGAAGACUCUCGGGCUCGAAUCAGGGCAACAAUGUCACGAAAAUCCGAUCCUAAGCCAUGAAGAACAUAUAGGGUGAUGUCAUCUUGAGAUAAUGGGGCAUCGAUGAGAGCAAGCUCAUCGGCAAUGGUUUUUAUAGAGUGUAGGUACUCUGUAAUGCUGCGAUUGCCACGUUGCAUGAGAGUGAGAUCCUCUUUGAGCUGCAUGACACGAGUCCUAGAUCGACUAGCAUACAGUUUUGUCCAGGCUUGAUGUGACGUCUUUGAGGUUGCUAUGAGUGGUAUCACAGCUGCUUUCAUCACAUUCAUUGGUCCUAAUCCAAUCUCAUGGUCUGCACGUAAGCAAAGGGCAAUCUCAAGAUCAUCUACAGAAGCAGAGUUUCGGGCACUAGCUACUGCCACAUCAGAAACAGUUUGGCUUCAUUCUCUUAUCAAGGAACUUGGUCUCACUCUCAGAGAAGCACCUCAAAUGUUUUGUGAUAAUAUUGGCGCCAACCAUUUCAGUUUAAAUCCAGUCCAGCACACACGGAUGAAACACAUUGACAUUGAUCUCCUCUUUGUACGAGAUCUUGUCAAAAAGGGAACUAUUCGUGUUCAGCACAUCCAUACCAUUGAUCAACUAGCUGAUCUCCUUACCAAAUCACUCUCACGUCAACGCUUUCAACUAUUAAGAUCCAAGAUUGGUGUUGCAGAUGGCACCUCCAUCUUGAGGGGGCAUAUAAGGACAGCUAGUAUUCAUGCAGAAAAUCAGCAUGAGAAUUUGUAACUGCAUUUGAUCAGCUAGUUUAGGAAAUCUGUACAGCUCACUCUUACCUUUAUUUUCACUUACGUUAGCACAAGUUUAGGAGUAAUUUUAGUUUCUCAAAUCUGUAUUUAUACCUCUUCUUCUAAUAAGAAUCGGGUGAAUCAUUUUGUCUAAACCUCUAUACAACUAGGUUUGAACUUGUGCAUUCAAGCUAAUGGGAAUAUUUUUUUGGCCUUGAAGCAUCUUUUCAUUCGAGGUUGAGAAUGCCCAAAUUAAGCUUAUGAAUAUUGAAUGAGAACUUGAUAGAACCCCUAUAUGAAAGAUUUUUAAAACUUAUCUUUGCUGCCAAUUUCAACUCAGCUAAUAAUGCUUUAGUUUAAAAUUUCGUUUUGAUUUUUUUUUUUGUAGUGUAUUAAAAAAAAUUUCCGAAAUUGUAUGAUGUUACUCACUUCUUAAGUUGAUUUUGGAAUGUUAUUUGCAUUAAAAAGCUUUUCCCAAAGUUGAGUUAUUUAGUUGGUUACAUACCUCGUAUAGUUGAUGUCUUUAUAAGUUCAAGCCAUGUAGAUACCAUACAUGUUAGGUUUUACUCUCCUAAUUAUUUUUCAUUAUCUUUUAUCUUUCUUUAUUUGUAUUGAAAGUUCAUUGCAUUUAAGAUAUGAUAUUCAGGUACACUCUCAACUCUUCAACUUUUUUUAGUUACAUAAGAAAUAUUUUGUGCGAACUUCAUCCAUGUCUGAUGUUAUCCUUGACUGCUACUUGAUUUUCGUUUAAGAUGUAUAUAUAUAUAACCUAUUGUCUUAUGAUAGCAUUUUAAGAUGUACUUCAGGUAUGCUUGCUAACCCUGCUUUAUGUAUGUGAUUGAGAUUAUUUGUUUAUUUGUUUAAUAUAUUAUUAGAAUUUAGGUAAAUAUCUUAGCCUUCUUUGGUAUCCUUAAUCAAUUAGUUAAUUAUUAUACUUCCCUCAAUAUACUCAAAAAAGACUUUUUUAAGGCUUAGAGGGGUGUUACCUUUUUAAGGUACUUUCCUAAUAGGUAACUUGAUCAUCGAACCUAGACUCAGGUUUUUUAAAGACAUCAUUUUCUAAAAUUCAAGGAGUUAUUUUUCUUAGGGUUUUAGUUUCUUAUUUUAUUUUUCCUAUAACAAAUAUAUAAAAACAAGUGGUGACUCCAAAUUUUAAUAAAAAAAAUACAAAUUUUCACUUUUAAAAGUUAAGUCUUGUUGACGAGUAAACACGUGUGAGAAAUGCGGGUCCGUAACCGUCCUCAAGUUUAUUGACAAAUAACUUGAUAGUAGUUAAGUUCAGGUUCUAUUUAAAGACUAUGAACUUAACUACCUUCAAGUUUGUACACAAAAUGACUUGACAAUAGUUAAGUUCAAAUUAAAAUGUUAACUGUAAAUAUAACUUCCUAUGAGUCUAUACAAAAUCAAUUGGAUACUUAUUAAGUUCAGAUUAAAUAUGAUACUCUGGAAUAGACUUGGACUUCACAUCUUUCAAGUUUUUUAAUAGUUAACUAGCUUCAAGUUUGUACACAAAACAACUUGACAAUAGUUAAGUUCAGUUUAAACUAUCAACUGUAGACAUAACUUCCAAUGAUUUUAUACAAAAUCAACUUGAUACUUGUUAAGUCCAGACUAAGUUUGAUAACUUUAUAAUAGACACAACUUCUUACACAUAUGUCCACAAAUAAUUUGUUGCUUAGAAAGUCUAUAAUAAUAUUAUUGAUAACUUUAUAAUAAUCUUGUUAUUCAAUUAGAAACUUGCUAUCAUGAAACUACAUUUAAAUUUAUAUUGACAUAUAUCAAAAUAUCCAACUACAUAUAUUAAAAUGUCUAACUACAUAUAUCAGAAUAUUCAACUACAUAUAUCAAAAUAUCCAGUUACAUUUAUCAAAAUAGCAUACCUCAAUCUAUAUGAGUUAUUGGAAAAUUUUUCAUAUAAAAUAACUUUGCUGACAUUUUCUCUCGAAACCAAUCCAUAUGAGCCCUUGUUAGUGAAUUGAAUGGAUGACUAUGCAUCAAGUAUUUAACAUACUUGAUUACAAAUAUUCCAAAGUCACUACUGCAUGAUACACCAAUUGAAAAAUUGGUAUUGCUUAAAUACCACUUGAAUAAUAAUCGAAAAUCCAAUAAAAAACACUUAAAGGGUGGGUGAAUUGGUGAUUUCAAAAUUUAAAACGAAAAAUUUAAAUUAUGACCAACUCUUCUUACUUUAAUAUCUAACUAGGAUAUCCUAAAUAACAAGACAUACUAUACCUAAAAUCUUUAGGUUAACAAAAAUAUAAUUUUUCUUUUAAGGAUACCUUACAAUUGGUUAAGGAUAAAGAUAAUGAAUUUGUUGAUAUUUGAAAUAUGUUAGAGAAAACGAUAAUCACCAUAAUAACUACCCUGACAAACUCAAUAACAACCUCCACAACUUAAUUGAAAGAUAUCUUGAGAGAAAUUAGGGAUAACAACAAUUGUUUAUAGGUAUAACCACAAUAAUCACCAAGAUAACCAAUCCAACAACCUCGAAAGCAAUUUAACCAAUCAAUCCAAGAUAUUUAAUAUCAUCAACCAGAAUAUAAACAAUAAUAAAAAGAUAUGCAAUGAGGCAUAAGAUUUUUACGUGGAAAUCAAGUUAUAUAGAUUUACCUAGCCACUUUAAUUACCCUAAUGACUUACUCUUCAGUACCUAUAACUUGAUUCACAUUCACAACACAACAACUACUUAUUGCUCCCUAUUAGGUCCUUCGAUCCUUCUAAAGGGAUUGAGGUUUUCAACCAACAAUUCAAAGAUCCAAAUUCUUGAAUGAAAGAUCAGAAAUGGUGUGGCAAUAAGGCUUUUCUCAUGAGAAGUCCCUCUCUAAGGAAUAAGAUGUCUCUCAAACUUUAGGAUCUCUAUGAUCUAAAAAAUCUCCAAUCUCUAACCCUCAAGGGGUUCCAAGGGAGGUAUUUAUAGGCAAAAUCCAUAAGAGUUUUGGUAUCUCAAGUUUCGAAAUUAGAGUUUGAAUAAAAUUCAUCAAAAUAAUGUUUCUAAACUCGGCAGGAUUGACACAAUCGCUUGAGCACUCUAAUCACUCAAGUGAGAUUAAUUGAUUAAGCAUUCUAACCGCUUGAGCAUCCCUUGCUUUUUGAAAAGAAUUUUAAAAAUAUUAGACCCAAAAAUGAUGCCAAAACUUUUAUACCUCAAAUAAGCCUUAUAUCCCACAAGUCAAACCUUUUUAAACAUACUUGUGACUUCCCGAUUGGACAAAUAACAACCCUUGAUCUUCAAUGGAGAGUAAGACACUAUCUAAAAAAACUUCUAUGGUCAAAUAUAAAUCGAAACAAAAUUGCCAACAAAUACAUAAGAUUCAAUGUCCUAACAAUAUUCCACUUUGGCAAUUUUCUAAAAAAACAUCGUUACAUAACCCACUUGAACUCUCAUAAUAAAGUUUACAUAACACACAUUAAUGCUACCUUAAAAAUAAACUAAGGAAAUGUUUUGCAACGCUUUGUAGUACUUAUCUUCUAACCCUGUAACCUACACACAGAAAACUAUACCAAAGGUAAAGCAGUCUGAAGAACAAAAUAAAAUCGUGAAAACAAAAUAGAAUAGUUGCAUAUUUUGCUUAAUGCCUUGGGACAGCAUGAAGAAAAAAAAAAUCCUUGUAGUGACAUCCAGAUACAAAGCAAAGCUUAAGAGAAUUUCAAUGUAUGCAAAUCAACCAAAUAUAAUGGAAGUUAGAUAAGACCUAAUGAUUUAAUAGUAAAGUGCAGGGGGCGUUCACUAUCCGAAUUAUAACCAAUGAAAGCCUUGGAAAGAAGCUUCUAUGACUAAGAUUAGUUUUAGAGAGAUAGACAAUUCAAACAAUAAUAUUUUUCUUGAAGCAUCACUGUCAGGUAUCUCUCCUGAAUUCUAAAGUCAUGCUUGCUAAGGUUGAUUUGGUCUACUUUAAUGUCUUAUGUUCAAUUUCCUCCAAUAUUUCAAUUAAAUUCCUUUAAUUAAAGAAUUCAAAGAAUUUAAAAAUUAACUAACUCCCCCUAAAUUAAGGAGUUUUUAUUUUCACCAUUUUAAGCCUCCCUUUUAGGUGAAUUAAAUAUUCAAUAAAUUUUUUUUUAUCCAUGAUCUCAUUUAUCUUUCUUUUUUCUUUAUUUAAGAGAGUUAAACAUUCCAUUUUCUCCCCAUUUUUGCCACAAAAAUGGCAAAGUAACAAAGAUAUAAAGAUGAGAAAGCACAUAAGAAAGAAUAAAAAGAACAACAUAUAUAUAUAUAUAUAUAUAUAUAUAUAUAUAUAUCAACAAUAUAAUUUUGGUUCACACAAUAAUUAAUGGAUAAAAGAAAUCUAGAUCAACAAAAAUACAUAAAAAAAAAAAAACAAAAUAUCUAAGUGUUUGGUGGCGACAAAACAGAUCUUAAAGUGUGUAUCCAUUAUAUGACUAAGAGAAAUCUUUUGCACCUGAAGACGCAAAAUACUAUGGAUAGGAUGGUACUAAAGUAUAUGCAUAGGAAGAGCUAGCAACAACAAUCCUCCAGUGAUGCACAAGCCUUUCUUAUAAAAUCCAUCUCAUGCAGCAAAAUUUGACUGAAUUGACCUUCACUAACACCAUAUUUGUAGAAUAUGAUUCUAUGAGGUUUUAGUGUUAGAGAAGGAAAGGAAUGCAUAAACUCAAAGUGUCAACAAUGGACAGACGAAAAAUAUUGAUCUAGGGGCUUCUGAUAAAGUAAACAUUCCAUUGAUAUAACCAUAAGGUUGAAAGGAACUUGAAGUGAAAAGCCUUGAAAGAGUCCGGGUGUCUAAGAUGGAGUCACCUUAACCAUAUCUAAGAGAAUACCAAAGAACACGAAAAUCAAGAAAAAAAAUCUAAACCGCUAGAAAUGUCCCAAAAGGUGCAUAGAACAAUAUUAUGAAGUUGAAAACUCAAAAAAAAUGAAGAAAACUGACUUCAAAAGUCAAAGAGACGGAGUCCCAAAGAGCAUGAGAGAAUAGAAAAAUGUUUGAAAUGACAAAAUGCGCAUUAGAAAGGUUUUUAUACUCAGAUGUACCAUUGGAUACAAAUUAGUGCUCGAGUGGGACACUCAAUGUACGCGUCGUUGGAUGUAACUAAGAGUGCUUGAGCAUGAAAACUGGUGGAUGAGUCUUGAGGAUUGGAUGUAGCGCUUGAACAACCAGAGCUUAAUUUCAAUUCUAAGAAAGAAUGGAAUACUCAACUAACUAACUUAAAAACUAAGAUUGACACCAAUUGAAAUAAAUUUUAAUGAUAAACUAAAAUAAGCAAAUAAUUAAGUUCAUAGACUUUCAACAUUAUAUGGAUCGGUAAUAGCUUAAGUAAGUUACUUUUGAUAGUACACAUCAAUCCAUCAAAAAAGAAGUUUCAAGUUCACAGGUCAAAGUUAAUCAUAAUCUCAGUUUCAAAAACCUAAUGCAUAAUCAUCAAUGUAUAAGAGAGUCAACAUAGAAACAUAAGCAUUGAUUUCCAUGGGAAUAGAACUUACUGUCUAGUUCUAUAUUUUGAAAUUGAUCACUUAGAAGAAAUCCAAUUAUGUCUUUGGUCAAAUUAAAGAACACAUCAGUCAAUUUGAACUAAGAUUGUCAUAUUUCUAUUUAACAUGACCUCAUUGUUCUACAUACAAUACAACUUAACUCCUCUUAAAUUUGAUAUCUUUUUCUACUAGCUUCUUUUUUUUUUCUUUUGAAAGUGAGACAUUAUACACCAUGAUCAAUUAAUUUUCUUUUUGUUUUCAUUCAUGGUUGCCUUUGUAUCUACUUUGGGUGUGUUUCCAAAUGUUGCAAGUGAGCAACAUACCUUUAAGAGGAUGAAUAUUGGACAAGAGUAUAAGAGUUAUGCUUAACCAAAGAUUCAAUAUUUUGUAUUGACUCACUUCGGGAAACAAAUAAAGAUCAUAGUCAAGCAAGGUAUGUGGAUAAUAAGAUUUGAGCAUGACAAUGGAUCCUUCCAAAGCAACCAAAGUCUACUUUAUAAGUUCAAUUUAAGAAGUCUCUCUCUUGAUUAAGUACAAGAUGUGAUCAAUAUUGAAUUUCCCACAUACAAAGACAUUUAAUUAUCCGGAAUCUAAUACAUCAAUAGUGCUUAACAAAUAUCUAUGAAUCUAUCCACAUCAAAUCUUGCAGAUAUAGUAUAUUUCUCUAAAUCACAAACUUUAGGAAUUACAAAUCAUGAUAAUAUAUCAAGUAAAUAAACAAAAAUCAUAUAUAUGCCCAAAGCAAGAUAAGGCCUAAAGAAAAAAAAGAUAUAAACACUAAGAUCAAAACCUUUAAAGCCUAAACUUAUGAUGAUUAAUCAAUUAUGUAUAUGCUUAGGGAUUUCCUAAGGUACUUAACCCUAUGAGAAUCUAGGGGUUUGGUAAUUCAUCUGCUAAUUAAAGUUCAGUGGGGACAAACUCUAAAGAAACAACCUUUUUUCAAUAAGAUCCCUAAUGACAUGAUGAUGGAUUUCAGUGUGCUUAGUAUGGGAAUGAAGAACAUGAUUCUUUAAGAUAGUUAUAGCACUAGGGUUGUCAUAGUGUAUGCAUAUGGUCCUUUGCUUAGUUCCAUAGUCUUUAAGCAUUUGCUUCAUCCAUAGGAGUUGUGUACAACGACUCCCAACAACAAUAUCCUUAGCUUCAGUAGUAGAUAAAGAUAUAGAGUUUUGUUUCUUACUAAACCAAGCCACUAGACAAUCACCAAUAAAAUAACAAGCACCAGAUGUGAAUUUUUUAUCCUCAUUGUUUUUGGCCCAGUCAACAUCGGAAUAUCCAGUAAUAACAAAAGAAGAAUCAUAGGGAUACCACAAAUCAUAAUUAAGAGUCUCAUUUAAAUUGUGAAUUAUUCUUUCAAUACACAUUAAAUGUGACUCUUUGGGGUUUACUUGAUAUCUAGCACAAGCUCCAACACUAAAAGAUAUGUCAGGAUGACUUGCAAUGAGGAGAAUCAGGCUUCUUAUCAUACUUCUAUAAAGCUUUUGCUCAAUAUCUUUUCCAGAUACAUCCUUGCUAAGCUUAGUGGUAAUGCUCAUAGGUGUUAUAAAGUGUUUAGAGGAUUUUAGACCGAAUUUCUUCACUACUUCCUUGGUAUAUUUGGAUUGAGAAAGAAAUAUUCCAUCUUUUAGUUGCUUAAUCUACAAUCCUAGGAAAAAUGUUAGUUCACUUACAAUGCUCAUCUCCAAUUCAAUCUUCAUUUCUUCUACAAAACUAAGGGCAAGAUCACUAAAGAUAGAUCCAAAAACUAUAUUAUCAACAUAAAUCUAAGUUACUAACAACUCAUCAUUAGACCUAUUUAUAAACAAGGUUUUGUCAGCUCCUCAUUUUUCAAACUUUUUCUCCAAAAAAUAGGUUGUGAGUCUCUCAUACCAUGCUCUAAGAGCCUACUUUAAUCCAUAAAAGGCAUUCUUUAACCUAUAGACAUGAUUGGGGAAUUUAGGAUCCUUGAAACCCAUAUGUUGCUCAACAUAAACUUCUUCACUUAGAAUCCCAUUUUGAAAAGCACUCUUGACAUCUAUUUGGUAAAGCUUAAUCCUCAAAGAGUAUGCUAUAGCCAAAAGUUUACUAAUUGAUUCUAAUCUGGCUAUGCUAUGGGUGCAAAUGUCUCUUCUAAUCAAUCCCCUCUAUUUGUGAGUAUACUUGGGCAACUAGUCUUGCUUUGUUUCUCAAAAUGACCCCAUUCACAUCCUAUUUGUUCUUGAAUAUCCAUUUUGUACCUAUGACAUGUUUAUAUUCAGGUCCAGGGCCUAAGUACCACAUAUCAUUCCUAGUGAAUUGAUUUAACUCUUCCUAGAGUGCAAUAGUCCAAGAUUCAUCUCCUAAGUCUUCCUUCACAUUCUUUGGCUCCAAUUGGGAGGUAUAGCAUAUAAUAUCCAUCUCAUUUAAUCUUGAUUAUCUCCUAGUAACCACAUAAUCAUUUACAUUACUUAUAAAAUUUGAGAUUGGGUGGUUUUUAGGUAUUCUGGAUCUAUGUUUAUCUUUUAUUUCUUCAAAAGUGUCAUCUAGAGGUACAACUUCAUCAUUGUUAGAGUCAUUGUCUCUUUUAGGGAUAUCAGUAGGGUUAUCUUUAGUAGUCUACAAGUCUUUAGGGUUAUCUCCAAUUGAUUCAUAAGUUAAAAUUUGAUUAUUAAUUAUAUUUUGAUCAUACCUAGCAUCAUGCAGUAUUAAUAGUUUUUGCCCAAAAUUGCAUAAGGGUAUCAUGCAUUUGAAUCAUCACCCUAGCCAUAUCUUAUAACACUCUAUUCUUUCUUACAACUACUCCAUUUUGUUAAGGAGUUCUAAGGGCUGAAUAUUCAUGAACUUAAUUCCAUUAGACUUGUAACAGAGAUCAACAUUCAUAUUGUCAAACUCUCUCUGCCUAUCACUCUAAAUCCUUACAAUUAGAUGACCAAUUUCCACUUAUAUACUAUUGAAUAAUGACUUCAAAUGUUCUAUAGUCAUAUUUCUCCCUUAGAAAACUCACAAAGAGUAUCUUGAAAAAUCAACUACAACCACAAGGACAUAUUUUUUGCCACCUCUACUUUCAAUUCACAUUAGACCCAUAAGAUCCGUGUGAAAAAGAUCUAAAGGUCUAGUGGUCAUUAUCUCCUUAACCUUUUUAUGUGAACUCUUAGUUUGUUUGCUUUUCAUACACUCACUACAAAUGGGUUUAGGUUCACUACUAAGUUUAGGGAUACCUCUAACUUUUUCAGUAUUCACUAAGUACAUAAGAUCCCUAUAGUUUAUGUGACCUAGUAUUUUAUGUCAGAGCUCAAUAGCAUCAAGCUUAGCCCUACUGCACAUAAGAGGUGUUCUAGAGUUAAAAUUUAUAGCAUAACAAUUAUCUAUAGUCCUAUGUCAUGUGAUGACUACUUUUCCUUUUUUAUUAACUACCUCGCAUAAGUCUUGAUGAAAGUUCACCUUAUGGUUUUUGUUACAUAUUUGACUAAUGCUUAAUAGGUUUGCCUUGAGUCCUUCAACAUAAAGAACUUCAUCUAGUUUGGGACAACUAGGGAUAGCAAUACUACCAUUUCUUUUUACAUGAGCUAGGUUUCCAUCUCCAACAAUGAUAGUCCCACCAUUGUAAUUUUCAAGAGAAGUGAAAUAGGUUCUCACUAGAAGAUUUGGAUUUAAGAGAAUUUAACACAACUGGACAUUUAGACCUAUCCUUUCCCAACCAAACUUGUUUAGUCCUAGGUGGUGACUUAGAGAAACUAGGUUGACUUCUAGCUUUCUAAUUGGUUUUAUUCCCUUUGCCAUUAUUCAAGAUGUCAAUUUUAAGGGAAUUAAAAUCAUUCAUAAGUCUAUUCAUUUGAGUUUCAAACCUUUCAAGAAACUUAGUGUAGCAUUUAAAUUUAGAAUGUCCAAUUUUCUUACAAUAUAUGUCUAGUGAUGUCUUUUUAGAAUAUUCUACAUGGAUAGGGAUAUCAUCCUUACCUUUGACAAACACAGUUUCUUCACUAGAGGGAGUUUCAUCUUUGUUAAUAUACCCCAACCCUUUUUUAUCCCCAUGGAUUUUGCAUUUAUCAAGAAUUUCAUUAACCACCUUAGUUUAAGGGUGAAAAAAUUCAUUCACAAAUGAAGAAAGCUUAUUAUUCUAGAUCUCUUGAGUGAAAGCAUUAUUCUUCUCAAGGAGAGAAGGAUGAUUAGAUUCAAGAAAUCUAAUCUUUUCAAGAAAAUUAAUUUUUCAACAUUAAGCACAUUACUCUUGUUUUUAUAGGCUUCAAGAACAUCAUGAUUUUUCAUGUACCUUUUAAUUAACCUUUCAUGCUCAAAAAAUGAUUAUCUAAAAAUUCUCUUUGUUCAUCAGUAAACUCAUCAUCAUCACUAUCACAAUCAGAAUUAUUCACAGGUUCCAUAGAUGCAACAAAAGCUAACAUGUCAUUAAGAUCGUACCUUGCAUCUUUAGAAAUUAUGGAAGCACUCUCUACGGAGUUUGAAUCACUCCAUGUUGCCUGCAUAGAAUUUUUAAUAUCAUUGGGGGAAGGACAAUCUUGAGAAUAGUGUCCCACACCUCUACAAUUAAAGCAUUCAACUUUGUUACCUUUGAAGGAACCUUUUCUUUCCACGUUAGAUGAUUGUUUAUUAGGUCUUUUUCCUUUUCUAGAUUCUUAGUUCUUAUAGAACCCUUUAUUGAAUUUCAUGACCCUUUUAAUCCUUUUGGCAAUGUGUCAAUUCAUCAUUAGUUACUUCAUAUGGCAUUUCAACAUCAUUCUCCUCAUUCUUAGAAGCCUUAAAGGCAGAGUCUUUAGACUUAUAGGAAUUAGGUAGGGUCAUCUCAUAUGUCUGAAUGGAGUCUACAAGUUCAUCAACCCUCAUGGAAUUGAUGUCCUUACUCUUCUCUAUGGUAGUUACUUUAGGUCUAAAUCUAUCUAGAAGAGAUCAUAAUAUUUUCCUAACUACCUUAAAAUCUGGAAUAGGUUCUCCAAGGUUAAAUGAAGAAUUUACAAUAUCACUCAAUUCAAAAUAAAAAGGAAUAAAAAGUUUGAUUUUCAUGCAUCAUAAUAUUCUCAAACUUAGUAGCAAGUAUUUGCAACUUAGAGAUCUUUACAAUAGACAUACCUUCAUGAGUGACUUGAAAAAUAUCUCGUGCUUUCUGUGCACGUUUGCAAUUUGCUAUCCUGCGAAACUCAACUAAACAAAAUGUGGACCCUCACCCGAUCCACCGGACCGACACGACUCGCUUUUAAAAAAAAAGAAAGAAAUGAAAAAGUUGGUGUUUUCUAGUUUUGAAAAACCCGCCCCCGGUGAGGAACGGUGUUGUUUGGAGUCGCUACUUACUUUUUAUUUUUGUUUUUAAAAUGGGGGAAAUUAAGUAAGAACAAAAACCCCUAAUGACCCUAGUAUGGAAAAAGCGGUCUACGAAAACUAGAUUCUGGGUCCGGGGAUCAGGUUACCCGUUGGGAAGGUACCUCAUGCGAGGUAGCACCCCUCUAGGCCCGAAACUCGGUCUCUACUAAUGAAUAGGGUAUGUGGGAGCAUAUGGGUCAAAGGUCAAAUGAAACCCUAGGCUAAAUAGAUGUCAUGAAUCACACAAUCCUAAUUGGUAUUUGGCAUGCCUAUGAAUUCAACCAAACAAAACAAUGGGUGCGUACUUGUGGUCCCUAGCCAAGCGCUGCAUAAAAGGUCAGCCAAACACAGAUAAACACAUAACAAACAUUCAAGAUUAAGCACCAUGCAUGCAUAUGAAUUCAACAACCAAAGCCAACGAUGAGUACCUGUGGUCCCUAGCCAAGCGCUGCAGCAGAGGGUGAGUCAGUCACGCAACAUGUAUUCAAAAUCAAGCAUCAAAGCUUGUGCCAAAAAGGAAGAUAGCUGGUUGAAAUGAGGUAAGGGACUCCCCAAAUGUCAUACAAAUCGAACUAGACUCAUCUAGACCACACCACCCAUAACUUCAAAAUUGCCCAUAUUAACUUAAAUCAAACAUUGACUUAAACCUUCAAGAUGGCUCACAAGUGCCCUAUAGCAAAUGGGUUUGAGCCCCCAUGGAUAAGGGCUCGAAAAAUGCCAAAAUCGAGGGCUACCUAAAGUCCUCUAACAGAACAGGUUCAACUAGUUCUCAACUAGUACAACCUAUUGAGAAGAAUUCCCAAAUUUUUCUAGAAAACUCCUAAAUGAGUGAGGAUUCAAACAAAAGAAAUGACACUCAAUCCCGAGCCCAGAUGAGUGAGAACCAGACAAAGAAAGGCAGGUGUUCCUCGCUGACAGAGGCAGCCAGCUAUGGUGCUGAACCGGUUGAACCGGUUCCCAACUAGUUCAUCCGGUUGAUAAAAAAUCCCAAAUUCGGUCAGAAAGUUCCUAAGUGAUUAAGGAAGCAAAAACAAGAAACGGUUCUCAAUUCCGAGCCCGAAUGAGUGAGAACCAGACAAAGAAAGACAAGUGUUCCUCAUGGCUGACAGAGGCUGCCAGCUAUGGUGCUGAACCGGUUGAACCGGUUCCAAACUGGUCCAGCCGGUUGGUAAAAAAUCCUAAAUUCGGUCAGAAAGUUCCUAAGUGAUUAAGGAAGCAAACAAAAGAAACGGUUCUCAAUUCUGAGCCCGGAUGAGUGAGAACCAGACAAAGAAAGGCAAGUGUUCCUCAUGGCUGACAGAGGCAGCCAGCUAUGGUGUUGAACCGGUUCAGCCGGUUGGUAAAAAAUCCCAAAUUCGGUCAGAAAGUUCCUAAUUGAGUAAGGAAGCAAAAAAAAGAAACGGUUCUCAAUUUCAAGCCCGGAUGAGUGAGAACCAGAAAAAGAAAGGCAAGUGUUUCUCAUGGCUAACAGAGGCUGCCAGCUAUGGUGCUGAACCGGUUGAACCGGUUCCAAACCGGUUCAGCCGGUUGGUAAAAAAUCCCAAAUUCGGUCAGAAAGUUCCUAAGUGAUUAAGAAAGCAAACAACAAUAAUCAUGUGUGACCUUUAUUAUCCACACUCAAGCAAUACAAUCUUCAUAUCAAAGGGAAGAAAAGAUGAUGAGGAAGGAGAAAAAGCAUAUGAAGACGAGGAAGAUAAACUGUAAGUAAAGAAAAUUCAACAUGCUUGCCUCAGAAUCUCCACCAAAUAUGAUCCGUGUAUGCAGAUGAUGACUUCCAAAACUGAGAUGCUGUCACUCUCCUCUUCAAAAAACCACAGUGCUGAAGCUUUCCCCCACGCUCUCAACUCAGAAGAUGCUACUGACCUUUUGUUUUUCUCACCAGCAAAAUUUCCCCUCUCCAAAAUGUCCCCUCCUAUCCUUUGCUCUCCUAUCCUCUCACCUUUUAUACUCAUACCCCUCUUAGCAUUUGAGCCUCCUAGAUUCCUUCCCCUUUAGCACCGAAAUCCCCUUCAUCAGCAUGGGAACCACACCCCUCAUUACUUCUCUUAAACUUUCGAGGCCAGCUCACUCCUUCAGUUUUCAGCUUGCUUCACCACCAAGAAUCCAUAUGGAUUCGUGGUGGGCUGCAAGGAACCCAAACCAAGGCCCAAAAUGGACCCAAAACAUUGCCCAAAACCGAUCUAGAGCUUACGGGCCUGAGCCAUGUAGGAUUUGGGCCUCAAAAUUACUAGAAUUAGUGUUUUACCUCAGCUGACUCAAUGAACCGGCUGAACCGGACGAACCGGAUGCCAUUUGGUCGAACCGAUGGAAAACAAUUCUGAAAAUUUGACAUAAUGUUCCUAGUAGAGUAAGGAAUCCAUUGAAAAAAACGGUGCAUGAUUCCAAGUUCGGAAGAGGGAGAUAUGAUCAAAACAAUUACCAAAAAUCAGUGUUCUACACCGGCUGACUCGAUGAACCGGCUGAACAGGCUUCCAACCAGCCGACCGGUUGCAAAAAAAUUUGAAAAUUUUACAGAAUGUUCCUAGAAGAAUAAGGAAUCCAUAAAAAGAAACGGUUCUUGAUUCUGAGUUUGGAUGAGGGAGAUAUGAUCAAAACAAGCCCGAGUGCUCCGAACCUCAACAUGCCCCUAUAAACUCCAACUAAGCUAAGACAUCGGGAUGACCCCACUUCCUUCCUAUAGCGUGAUGUGAACGACUAGAAAAAUGGCCAUGGUGACCUUCCAAAAUGAACCACAUAUGCACCACAAUGGACCACAGACAAACCCACAUGAGGCUCGGACACCGACUAAGCCCAAAAGGGGCCCUAGUGGUGCCAUAUGCGAACGAUGGGUGGAUGUGACACCCGAAGGAUAAAUGCCAGUGUCGAGGGAAAAACACCAUACGUAUAAAAUGGAUUAUUCAAAGGAGCACCACUUUUGAUUAUUCCAUAUCGAACUUACAAUAUUAAUUAUAGUUUGAUUUUUAUCCUAUAUGAUUAAUAAAAAUUUUAUUUUUAAACAAUAAAAAUAGUAAAAUUUGAAUUUUUAAUAAAUAGGAUAAAAAUCAGUUUUUUAUCCCUCUUUAAUACCAAAUGAAAAAUAGGUAUAACUUAAAUACCAUUUGAAUAAUAAUGGAAAGUCUAAUAAGGAACACCUAAAGAGGGGGUGAAUAGGUGAUUUCAAAAUUUAAAACAAAAUUUAUAAAUUAUGACCAACUUUUCUUACUCAACAGAUAACAAGGAUAUCCCAAAUAAUAAUAUGUAUUAACAAAAAUGUAUUAUUAUUAUUAUUUUUUUACUUUUAGGGAUACUCUGCAAUUGGUUAGAGAUAAAGAUAAUGAAUUUGUUGAUAUCUGAAAUAUUAUUGAGAUAUUUUAAGAUAAUGAUAAUCACCAUAAUAACUACCCUAACAAACUCAAUAACAACCUCAACAACUUAAUCAAAAGAUAUCUUGAAAGAAGUUAGGGAUAACAAUAAUUAGUUAUAGGUAUAACCACAAUAUCCGCCAAGAUAACCAACCCAACAACCUCAAAAGCAAUUUCACCAAUCAAUCUAAGAUAUUUAAUAUCAUCAACCAGAAUAUAAAUAAUAAUAAAAAGAUAUGCAAUGAGGCACAAGAUUUUUACAUAGAAAACCCCCAUAAACUAUGGAGAUAAAAAAUCAUGAGGUCUAAGACUUAUCAAUCUAAAUCCAUUAUUCGAAAUCAAGUUACACAAAUUUACCUAACCACUUUAACCUAAAGACUUACUCUCUAAUACCUACAACUUGAUUAACAUCUGCGACGUAACAACUACAUGUUGCUCCUUAGUAGAUCCUUUGGUUCCUCCAAAACGAUUAAGGUCUUCAACCAUCAAUUCAAAAGUUUGAUUGCUCUAUGAGAUUGCUAAUUACUCUAGAUAUGAGAGGAGUAUAUUUGUGAUUGUUACACAAUAUCCAGGUUGGUCGUAAACAUGACUUCAUGGAGUUGUUAUGGCUAUAGAGGCUGAUUUCAUGAGAUGACGAUGAGGGGUUUAUGGUAAGAGGGUGGUUUAGUUGCUUGAUGACUUUGUUGACUAUGCUAUGUUCAAGAUGGAUAGAGAGGUUACAUAGAGCAUCUAGAUGGUAUUCAUCAUGUGAGAUCUUGAGCACACAAUGUUCGAGGUUGUGGUUAAAGAAUGGGUGGCCAUCGUUUCAUGAGCCUAUUUGCCUAAUCACCCUUACAUAUAGAGUUACUCGUUGCUAGCCCUUCAAGCCUCAUGCAAAUAUUAUAGCCUUUUUUGUCUUAUCACCUCAUUUACUUUUUUGUACUAAGUUAGUAACCUUAUAGUGCUUGCACACUUUGAUUAGGGAUCUCAUGAACAUUAAACCCGACAUACACAUUUGGGUCCUAUCCCUCAGUCUUCAUUGUGAUAUUUCAACUUUGUCAUCUUCACCAUCAUUUGUUCUUACAUUCCAUAUCCUCACUUUUGACACUCAUUUUCUUUUUUUUUUCUGUCCAUCACUACCUACUUGAUAUUAUACUUGUUUCAACUUGAGUGGUAGUUUUCCAUACAUUACUACAUAGAGGACAAUCAUAAUCAUCCCUUUAUUUCACCUCUUAGGUUGUGGUUCAAAGAUCCUAGUUUGAGAGGUUGUCUUUUCAUGGUAUGUGCAAAAAAAAAAAAAAAAAAAAUAGUGCAUUGUUCAUUGCACCAUUCUCCAUUGAGCACGUGUAUAAACAUACCAACUUGCCUCAUUGGUGGGUUCAUGUGUAGUGAGAGUUCGUGUGUGAGCUUCCCAAGGUCUUCCUUUCACUUGAUUCUAUUUUGAUAUAUAUUUCAUGGUUAGAGUAUGAGCCAUUUGACUUACAUGAGAAGGGCGAGCGACCUUUCUUUAAGGUCUUUGGAUUCUUGUUAUAUCUUGUUAGGAACCUUGGAUCACUUUGUUUCUAUGCCCUAGAUCUCGUAGGGUACAUGCAUCUAUCCCCAGAGCUCUCUAAAUCUUACACAAUAGAAAAUAAUAGCUUUAAAAACCAUUAUGUAGUCAAGAUCUAAAAUUUGAAACUCAUAUCUAUGAUCUGGAUAUUCCCAUAUCUAAAUUCAUACGUUAAAGAACAUGCUUGGAAAAACUGGAAAGUCUCUCUCCUCAUACUACUGCCCAUGUGUGCAUCUCGUGCAAUUCCCGUGCACUUAGCCUAUGCGUGUUUCGUGCGGUUCUCGUGAUACAGCCUAUGGGCAUCCCAUGUGCUAUAGCUCUACAUUUAAGGAGGUCUCGUACACCCAAAAUCUUUUGCCCGAUGACUUGAAUCACGAUCUUAGCACUCCAAAGUGUAGGCUUUGGAAGGGAGGAGGAUAUGACUCUCUUUCUCUCUCUAGAAGUGGAAGACAACUCUCACCAAAGGUCAUUAGGAAACCUUAACCCCUAAAAAGGUAUUUAUAGGGUUGUCCAUUGGGCUUAAGUGACUUAACCUCAUCAAGACUUGGGUCACUUAAUCUAGCCAAAAAUAGGUCUUAAUUGAUUUAUUAACCACAUAGGGUAUUCUAAGUAAUCAAUUAGCUCAAACCAAAUACUUUGUUCAUUAUCUCCUAUGUAACCUUGUGAAAUUACUAAAAUGACCUUAUGCACAAUAAUGAACCUAGAGCCAAUCCAACCCUCAUAAACCAUGUUAUCAUGGUAUAUGAGCUCAGAUCAAAGACCAAUAGGACCCUUAAGAGUAUUGGCUCCCUCAAAAUCCAAUUUUGAAGUUGAUUCAAUAUUCCACUAAAGAGAAUAAACUUCACUUCAAUACUCUAUGUAAAUAACUAUGAAAUGAAGCUCAAGUUCGUGACCUACUAUCCAGCGCAUACAAACUCCCCAUGAAUUGGUGUUCGUAAUCUAAUAAGAUAAUGUUAUCAUCUAUCAAGAUUGUCUUUACAAUCCUUGAGUUAUAAAUCUCACUUAUUAUGUGAUCAACUAACAUACCCUAACUCCAAGGAGCAUAUGUUAAAUUCCACUAAAGGAAUUACUGUGGCUACAUAUUUCAUGAUCACAUGUCUUUUGGAUUACCUAAGGGGCCACACUAUCUCAAUCCCAUGAGAUAUCAUGGUGCCUCUAUUGAGAAUACCUAUUGCAACCAGUCUCCAUCAUUAGUGACUUAAUCCAUAAGGACAUAUGACCACUUUAGGGUCUCACCCAUAGGUUAAAGUCUCCUGUUGAUUUUGGCAUAAGCUUAAUAUCCUCUCAAGGUUGAGAGUCCAUGUAGUAUAGUAACUUGGUGAAUCAUGACAUUUGAUAGCCUUACGUCAUGAGUUACCGUAGGUCUUGUUCAAUGUGCAUCACAUACACUAGUGCACUCACCAUGGGAAACUCAUGUCAAUAGCCAAGACAAGUCAUCUCUCCAAUUAAGAGGUGGUGCACUAUAGUCUCUACUGGAUUACCGAAAUCCAUGAACCAACUAUGGACAACUUAUCUACUUACAAGGAACACUCGACUUGUAUCUUCUAUGCAACUCGUAAUGCACCCAAGUCAUGUACAAUAUAAGAGACAUGAGUUGAAUACUCAAAUCAAUGUCAAUACACUGAAGGGAUAGUUAAGUCUAACUUUGUUACAUCAUGCCUUGCUUUUAAGGGUUAUAUCCCAACAUAUCCAUCAUUAUAUCCAUUUCUGAUAUAACUUCUUUCCAUGCUUUGCUGUGGGUUGUCCAUCACUCACUUUUCUUUCUCUUUGCUUUCCUUUAUCUUUAUUCCAUUUUUCCAUUUCAUUCUAUCUCAUUUGAUUUUUUUUUUCUCAUCUUACUCGAUGUUCGAUUUAGGUUCAACAUCCACACAUUAUUCUUGAUCAUCCUAUUGAUAUUUGAUGUUUAUUCAUUUAUCAUCACUAUUCGUGUGGGAACCCCUAGGUCUAUGACUCAUGAGGUUUUUUAUGCAUUAUGUCUCACGCAUGAGGGAUAUGGGGAUUGCUUCAUUAGGGUUAUUAAGCAUGUGAUGGCCCGAGGGCUUACCCAUGCCGUUUGCCCAACAUUGCUCAUUAAAAGGCAUGCAAAUAGGCCCAUUAGCAUGUUUUGCCUUGGCAACAUGCCUGAGGGCUCCUUGAUGAGCUGAGUAGGAAGGGACAGGGAUAAGUGCAUAAGGAAAGCACUUAUUGCAUGGAAACCCAAUGUUACUCAUUAAAAAAUAAGCAUGCAAAUGAGUCGCACCCUCAUGCAACGAGUAUCCUACUCACGUACUCCUCCUGGCCCUAGUUGUCCAAGGAGCCCCUUAUGUAAUGAGUGCCCUCUAGACCCCCUCAUCUUCGUCUUUCCUUACCCUGGCUCAUUGAAGAGCCCUUGAGAGAUCAUGUUGCCUCAAAUAGCAAUGAGUGUCCUACUCACUCACUCUUUCUGCCCCAGUUGGCCAAGAAGCCCCUUAUGUAAUGAGUGUCCUCUAGACCCACUCAUCUUUGUCUUUCCUUACCUAGCUCAUUGAAGAGCCCUUGAGAGAUCAUGUUGCCUCAAAUAGCUAUAUGAAUGGUUAAGCGUUGUGGCCUUGCCUUGGGGGCUUACCCAUGUCUUCUGCCAUACAUUAGCCAUCAAAAGGUGUUCAAACGCAUUAUGUUCUCAUGCAAUGAGUAACCUCCCUAUGCACUCCUCUCUCAUCUCUCCAUGUCCCUACUCGCUAAGAAGCCUUUAAGUAAGCAUGAUGCCUAAAAAACUCUACAUAAAAUUGAUAAUCUUGAAAGUUUUCACAAACCUUGGAGCAUGAGCCAAAAUGCCACCCUUAUAUUUUGCCACUAAGUUGCUUGCCAAAUAAUUGAAGCCCUCCAUUUGAUGGGGAUUUACUUGCAUGUUGUGCCUUGGAUGUACAUGGAUUUCAAUUAAAGUUAAAUUAUGUUCAGAAAAUCUAAGUCCAUUUGAAAGGUCACUAGUUGGCUCAAUAUCUUUAGUGUUUCAAGGUUCAUACAUGUAAGUUCUGGAUCUUUUCACUGCACUAUACUGAUACCUAAUUAUGGUUUCAAUACUUUUAUUGACUACUCCAUAGAUGCAAAAAAAAAAAAAAAAAAAAACCAAUAUCAUCCUUUAGAAUAAAAGAAUACUCACAUUUUUUUUUUCUUUUUAAUUACUUCUCAUGCUUUGGUAAAACAAAGUUUAUUGAAACUUACUUCCAUAGUUCCUUGUUUACGCAAAGCUUUCCUUUAAAGACUUUAUAAUGUAAGUUAAGGUUCUUAAGAGUACAAAAUGUGUAUGAAGUUUUUGAAGGAAAGCAUUGCCUAAACAUGUAACUAUAGAAGCAAGUUUCAAUAAACUUUGUUUGUUUUGCCCAAGCAUAAUAUUAACACACCCAACCCCACCCUUAGUCCCAGCAUCUAAACCUUCCCACAAAUUGGGAAUGAGAAAUAGAUAAGAAUAAUCAACAGCAUUCAAGUUAGCCUUUUGUUGCCCAACACUGAAGGUGGAACGUAUUGUUACAUGCCUAAGAGGGGUGGUAUUGCCAAGCCUAUAGAGGACAACCCCCUUCCCUCCCACCCUUUAAGAGCAUUUUGAGCCAUUUUUGAAGUGUUGUGAGGAGACAUCAUGCAUGCUUAAGGAAAUAUAAUGGUGUAUUUUAUUUAAAGGUCAAGGAUAAGAACUAUUGGGAACUAGGUAUAACAUAUGAGGAUUAUUGUCAAUUGUAAUGCUUAAGUAAUGAAGAGAAGCAAGCAUUUUGUGGAGAAUGCAAGUAUGUUGUGGUGAUGUAAGCAUGUUGUGGGAUGCUGGCAAGUUUUAGGGGAUGUUGGCAUGGAUUAGGGGAUGAAGGCAUGUCUUUAGGAAUGCAGGCAAGUUUUAGAAAAUACAGGGAAAUUUUGACGGGUUCAAGCAUUGGUUGGGGAUGCAAGCAUGUUCUGGGUAAUGCAAGCAUCACCUGGAGGAUGUAAGCAUGAAUUGAGGGAUGUCAAGAUGUAAUGAGGGAUGUAGGCAUGAGUUGGGGGAUAUUUGCAUAAGGUGGGGGAUGCAAUCACAAGAUGGUGAUUGAUUCAUGCCCAGUCGGUGUAUCAGCUGAUUCAUGUCCAGCUGGUGCUCCUUAAUUGAGGGAGUAAUCAACAAAAUUUAUAACCUAUUACACCAUGAACUAGGGUAGCAAAGACAAAGCUACUAUAGCAUAGUGGCUCUAGGAUCGUUCACUGGGAAGGGUUUUCAAUUCAUAAAUGAUACCAAUUCAAAGCUGAAUUGGUGCCUUUUCGUUUCAAGGUUAGCUUUAAAAGAAAACAUAAUUUUUGGAUGAAAAAGGUUUGGUUUAAACUAACGGUAAAGAAAGUAAUGGAAAUUACUUAUGAAGAAAAACGUUCCUUGGAGGUUUAGGUUCAUAGGAGAGGUUCCUUGUGCAAAAAUAGAGCUCCGAUCAUUUGGUUCAUUUCCUCACAUUAGAGAAUUAACAUAUAGUCCAUUCUCUAACCGGUGCUGUACAGAUGCUUCCCUUUAAUGGGUUCAAACACUAAAUCCCUCUCACUGAUGCACCUUGCAAUGACUCAUACCUCUCACCUAGCACUUGCCAUUCAAGGUGAUAUUUAACCUUGGACUUCCCGUCAAAAGCUCGCAAGAGAUAACUAAUGGAUGUCUCCUUGGAGUCCAAAAGCUUACCAAGUGUUGGCUAUUCUAGAAAAUCCUACCUUCAAGUCACCUCCCAAAAGCUUGCAAGAGGUAAACUAGUGUAUCUCUAUGGAUGGAGAUCACUUGCCUUACCAAGUGUUGGCUCAAGUGAAUUGAAGGCAUUUUAAGUUAACUAAAAACAUAGAAAUCAUUAAUGGGUCACACUUUCUCUUCAUUAAUGGCUGAAACCACAAAGCUACUAAUUCUUGCAUUUGAAACCUUUCCCGGCAACUCUUAACUCCAAGGAACUAAAAGUCUAGCCACUCAUUCUCUGAGGAAACAUCCUCAGAGCUUGUUUGGCUAGUAAGAAAAUACAAUUAAAAUGAGAAGGUAAAGCAGAGCAAAGGCUUUGUAUUUUACUUCCUUGCAAAACUGUACAAAUGAUCGAUCGUCGUCCCCUUGGGAACAGGCUCCCGAGAGAUAUAUAUAAGGAAAAUUACAAAAUAUCUAUAUGAGGUUAUUCACCCUUUUUCCAAACUUAAUAACUAAGGAAUCCUAUAAUUGGUGGGUUACAAGGAGAUUUUGGGGAUUUAGACAACAAAUAUCUAAAGCAAAAUAUCUCAAAAUAUCCCAAAAUAUCGGUGGCAAAUAUCAAGAAGCUUUAGGAGAACACCGCAACACUGUACAAAAUUGUUUGCGAAACUCUCCGGGUAGGCGCUAUCAGAGGAUCUAGAUACGUCCGUCUGGAGAAGUUGAAACGCUCUCCUUUUCUAUCUGGCGUCAGAAUUCCGGACGUGAACAUCCGAGUGGAAGUGCGCGGUAGCCGGAUGCAAUGGCGGCAGCUGGGGUGUAAAAAAUGGCGGCGCACAUCCGGGUGGAAAUGGAGGCAGCCGGGUGCAAAUGGCGGCAGCCGGGUGCAAUUCCUACCCGGAUAUGUUGUCCGGAUGCCCUCCGAUGGUGUAUCCGGACGCCCUGUCUAGGUAUACUUCUUGCAUGGAUUCCAAAGAACUCUCCUCAAUCUCGGAUUUACUUUGGUGAUCAAAAAGCUAUCAAAACACCAAAACUUAACAUACUUUGAUUAGAAUUGAUUGCAAGGGUCCUUAACAUGCCAAUUGAGUUAAAAGGUGAUAAUUACUACUCAAAAGUGUUUAAAAGAGUUAGUUACAAGCUAUGAAAUAACACUUUUUGAGUAGUAAUCAAUUAUGUAAGCAAAUCAAAAUUUUGGACUAUUUUUAUUAAAGACAAUUUUUCGAAUUUAUUAAAAAAAACCAAUUUUUUAAGUUAUUAAAAAAUAAUUUUUUGCCUUUUAGAUAAAAUACAUAUAGUAACACAUAUCAACACACAUCAACAGAAUAAUAAAUGAAAAUGACAAACAUAAAGAUAAGCGAAAAAAUUUAAGCAAAUGUGCAUACACAAAAUUCAAAGUAUAAUGAAUAGAUAAUCCAAAUAGGUAUAUACACAGAAUACAAAUAAAGAACAGAAGUCCUAAAAAUAGCAUACCAAUAAGAAAUCCUAAAAAUAACAUAAACAAAAUACAAUAAAGAGAUGAGGAAGAAAUAACGUACCCAAAUGCAAUCCUAAAUCAAUCCUGACUUUCCAAACCUUCAAAAGGAAUUUAACAUGAAAAACAAACCAACAACCCUAAUGUAAAUACAUAGUAAGGAAAAACUCUCACAAUGAUUUUUUUUUCUUUGCUUAGGUCUUGUGUCCUUUUAAAUAUAGUUUUCAAAACUUCUCUCUAAGAAUACAUUUAUCAAAACAUGUAUUUUAAGAAUUUUCAUUCAAAAAAAUUAUAAAAAAAAACAAUUUUCUAGAGAAUAUUUAUUAAAACAUGCAUUUUGAAAAUUUUCAUUGAACAAACUUAUUUGAUUUUACAAACUUUGAGGAUUUUUAUUUAAAAAAAAAAAAAGAAUUUUUAGAUUUAUAAAAAAACAAAAUUUUGGAUAAUUAAAUUGAAAACCAUUUUCUAAAUAUAUGAAAAACGAAUUUCUUGAAUUAUUUUUAUUAAGAAAAAGAAUGUGUUAAAAUGAUUUUUUUCAAAUUAUUUUAUAUUAAAUUGAUUUCCUAAACUUAAUAAAAACAAUUUUUCCACAAAAAAAAAACUAUUUUUAAAAUUUUAAAUUUAUUUUUAAACCACACACCAAGAAGGCUCUAAAUUUUUAAACAGUUCUAAAAACAAGCAUAAAAAAACAAAAAAAAUAAAUAAAGAAAAAAAUCUAAAAAAAAAAUAAUUUUGUUGUUCAACUUAAAAAUGGAUUUUAAAAUAAGCCAAACGGGUCUUAGGCACAAUGGUUUUCUAUAAAAGAAGACCAAAUGACUCUAACAAAACAGCCUAAACACAACCCCCUCACUUGAAGCCCACCACCUUCUACCUAUGAUAAGAAGUGCAUCUUAUAGCAAAAGGAAUUGAGAGGGUCUCUUUACUCAUCUCACUUCCUUCAGUUUUUCUCUUUGUUCACCCAAAAAAUGGAUGCAAGCUUCAUUUUCAUUUUAGUUCUCAUUGUUGUGAUGGUCAGUCCAAUGAUGGUCAUCAUUGUUCCUCAAGGCCUUUACAAGCCCAAAGGUUUAUUUUUUAUUGUGAAAAUCAGUUUGUUUUGUUGUUGGGAAAGUAAGGUUUGGUUUUGUGGUUUGCAUGUAUAUUUGCAUUUGCAAGUAAGGUGGAGUCGGAUCUUGAGUAUGCCUAUCUAGUGGCCCCACCACACUCUCCACGAACUCUUCCCAAUUCAAAGCCAUUUUAUCUUACCAAGGACUUGAAGCUCAAGGUAAACCCUUGAGCAAGAAGUUUUAUUUUUUGUCCCUUAUAAGAAAUUCAACUUUUUUUUUAUAGAGAUAUGUUAAUAUGUUAUUAUUAUUAUUAUUAUUAUUAUUAUUAUUAUUAUUAUAGAGAUGUGUUAAUAUAUAUAUAUAUAUAUAUAUAUAUAUAUGUUUUUAUUAUUAUUAUUAUUAUUAUUAUUAUUAUUAUUAUUAUUAUUACCUUAAGUUAAAAAAAAAAAAAAAAAGCAACAUCUUAUGAGGUUGUCAGUUCCUUUCCAAUUGUUGAUCAAUGAUAAUGAUGGUGAAGACUUAAAAAAUGAAGCUUCAACCGCAAGAGAAGAGAAUGGCCAUGAAGUCUCCUUGUAUUGAUCUUAAGAGAAAAAGAAAAUGAUGGAAAAAAAUAAUGACUAAUUUUUUGUUGAUGCAAUUCAUUGAGACUUGUAUUAAAAUAAAUACUUAAAUUUAUCAAGUACUCUUUUAUUUGAGACAUGUAGGUUGAAAUUAUGAUGAUUUAGAAAUAGAAUUCAUUAAUAUUUUCACUUGGUUCCAUAUUAUAAAAUCAUUAAUAUUUACAAACAUAAAUAUGUUAUUUGAGGCUUGAGAUAUGCAUUAAUAAUGUUGGUGAUAAAGGCAAUUGUAUUGGUUAAGAAUAUGGGGGAUGUAGGAAUCUGAUAGGGAAUGCAAUAAUAUUGUGGGAGAUUCUAGUGCUCAAGAGCAUUCACUUUCCUUUUUCAUAUUUAAAAAGAAUAAUACAGACUAAUAUUUAUUAUUUAUGGGUUAGGGAUGAGAACAAGUAACACAUUUACAUAUAGGGGGAUAAAGGCAUAUUAUGGGAAAUGCAAGUAUACUGAAGGCAUGUCUUGAGGAAUGCAAACAAGUUUUAGAAAAUGUAGGAAAAUUUUGAUGCAUACAGGCAUUGGUCGGGGAUGCAAGCAUGUUCUAGGUAAUGCAGGCAUCAAUUGAGGGAUACUAGCGUGUAACGGGAUAUGUAGGCAUGAGUUGAGAGAUGUAAGCAAGACAUAUGGGGAAUGAAGGCAAGACAUGUACGUGAUGUAGGCAUAAUGUAGAGCAUGCAGGCAAAUGAUGUGGAGAAUGCAAACACAAUCUAGGGAAUGCAAGCAAGUCAUAUGGGGGAUGCAAGCAAGUCAUAUGAGGAAUGCAAGUAAGUCAUGUGGGGAAUGUAAGCAAGUCAUGUAGGAUGCAAGCAUAAUGUUGGGGAUGUAGGCCAUUCAUAUGGGGGAUGCAAGUAAGCCAUGCAAGGGAUAUAGGCAAGUCAUAUAAGGAAUGUGGGGAUACAGACAAGGAAUGUUAAGUCCUAGCAUGUUGUGGGAGAUUUAACCAAGAUAUGGAGGAUGCAAGCAAGUCAUGUAGGGGCUAGUAUAUAGUGGGGGAUGUAAACAUAGAGUGGGGGAUUCAACCAUGUUGAGAUGUUGGCAUAUUAUGGGGGAUUCAGACAUAAUAUGAGGAAUUCAAGCAAGUCAUGUGAGGGAUUCAAGCAAGUUAUGUGGAGGACGCAAGCACUUUGUGGGGGAUGGAGACAUAAUGUGGGGAAUUUAAGAAUGUUGUGGGAGAUGCAAUACUAUUGUGUCGAUUCUAGCAAGUUUUGGGGGAUGCAUGCAUAGUGUAGGGGCUUCAUGCAUAUUAUAGGAUGCAAGCAAGUCAUAUUAAGGGUUUCAUGCAUAGGGGUGUUAUAGUGGAUGUUGGCAUAGGAUAGGGGAUUCCAGCAGUUUGUGGGGGAUUCUUGUAUAUAGUAUAAUUCACUAUCUUGUUUCAACUUUCAAACCAUAAUACAGAUCAUCAGUAAUGGUUAAGUUGAUUUUGGGGAUUCUUUAGCACAAUCCUUAGCAACAUGAACACAUACAAUACAAUUUUUUUAUUCAUAUCCUCUAUAUUACACCUAUAUCUCCUACCUAACAUUAUAUCAUCAAUGUGUGGAGUCCCCUUAGCAUGUGACAACCACAAUUACUUAUUCUUAAUAUUUAAAAAUCAAUAUGUAUUUCCAAUAAUAAUGUAACAUAAAUAAAGUUAUCAAGUGUUACAAAAUACACAAAAAUACUAUACUUUUAAGUGUUUACAUCAAAAGAUUAUUGUUUUUUUGCUUUCUUUCUUUAACAACUACUAUAAGGAGUCCUGAUGGUAGGUUGUCUAUCCCUUAGCUUUUUAUUUCCACUAUAGUUGAUGCGACUAAAGCAACAUCCGAGGUUGACUUGUGUAUCAGCUUCUUUUGGGUUGUCACUUUGACUUUGCUUGUCCUUUAGGCUUAAAACAUGAGUAUACAUUACACUAGGAGGGUCGCCACCAAUCUAAGCAUCUGCUGCGUGUUGCACUAGGAAUUGUGCCAAUGAUCUUAAUUUGUGUUGUAGUAGGAGAGUCGCAACCUUGUUAAGCUGGUGCUAGUACUAGUCCUAAAGAGCUACUAAUUUGUUGAGCUAGUGCUGAUGCUAAUGCUGGUCUAGCUACUAAUGUUGGUCUUAGUACUAGUUCAGUCCUAGUAUUGGUGUUAGUGUGUGGCUUUUUCUUGCCAAAAGCCAAGCAUGCACUUUAGGGCUGUAAAAAUUAAUGAUGAUGCAGUCAUCCAUGCCAUCAUCAUUGUUGUUCCCCCUCUCUUUGGACUUUUCUUCUAUGACAACCUCAAGCUCUUUAAUUUUUUUAUAGAGCCAUAGGUUUUCAGCCUGUUACUCCUCAUACUUUGCUCUCUAAUCAACCCUUAUCACUUCAUCCCUCAAUGAAAGGAGAUGCUUCUAUUUCAGCUCUAGAAACAUUCUUCUACGAAUGUUUCCUAUAUUUGUUUGCCACAAAAAGUAGUUUAAGUCAUUUGUAGGUGCAAAUAUAUAAAUCAAUCAUAUGAUAAUAUAUAAAGUGACACAUAAAAUGUAUUUUUACCUUGAUGAAUGGAGAAAUCAUAUCUCCCACUGCAAGUGCUACCAUGUAGGUGCACAUAUAGAUAUCGCGAUCAAAGUUAUAGGACAAGUGAAGUUUGGUUAGUAAAUUCGACUACUUUUAAAAUUCAAAAAACGUGUAAAAUAAGUUAGAAGACUUACCUAUCUUUUUGUAAUGGUAUGUUUGCCACUUUCUCCAUUGGUAGCUUUUUUUUCUUAAAAAAACGCAUGUUAAUGUUCUUAUUAGUCCAUUUUUCCUAUGAAUUUUGUUUUUCACCAAAACAAAAAACCAUUCAUAUACGGGGAAUAGAGUGCAUACUAUGGGGAUAAGAGGGGGAUGGGUUUCAGAUAUGGGGGACAUAGUGCACACAGUGGGAGAUUACGAAUAUAAUUAAUAGGAUGCAUAAUGUAGGGUUGAAAGAUUUAAAAGAAAUGGGAAGUUGUGUUUGUAGCCAACUAAUUGAAAGUGAUAUGAUAUUCAAACCCCAAUCAGCUGGAAUAUGAGAUUUGACUAUCAAAGAUGAAAAUAUUAUCGUUUUUGUGCACUCUUUGUUGACUCCAUUUUAUGUUCCUAGAUUGCCCCUCCAUGCCUCCAUGCCAGCUGCAACCCUGUCUCCAUAUCAACAACAAGCCCUCUAUGUCACAUGAGAGACUGAAAAUUUUAAAAAUAGAAAAAUCUGACUUUGAAACCUAUAAAAAAUCACCCAACCCAACAUGUUUGAGAGAAAAAACCAUUAAUCCAAAACUCCAACCUGCAUGUUUCUCUCUUGUCCACAUAAAAGUGCAAUGAAAUAGAGCAUUCCAUCCUAAAAAUGUCCGAUUAAAAAAUGGUUUCAAGAGGCGCAUCUAUGAUUGUGAAUUUACUACAACAACGCGUAGCCGAACGAAAAGUUAAAAUCCAAAAUAUUAGCUUCAUCAACAAGAUAUCUCUUCCUAUCAUUGAGUUACAUUUUGCCCUAACCCCAAACCAAAAUCUGAAGGCAUAUAAUUUUUAUUUAUUGUUCUUUAGUUCCUUUGUUUGAAAUGGAGCACAUCAAUGAUUUUAGAGUUGUUAAUGGACUUGAAUUUUUGUGUUGGAUUGCGGAAAUCAUAUUACUCCCAAAUAACCAUAUGACCUACAAGUCGCAUUGAAUCCAAAUAGAACUUACAACAUAUCUAGUUGUAAGUCGCAUUGUUAUUUUAGGGACAAUACCUUAGAUACUACCUUAAUAGCCCUUAGGUACCACCUUAAUGUCACUUAAGUACUACCUUAAUAGAGCUUAGGUACUACCUUAUUUAAACUUGGGUACUACCAAUCAAAAGCGUCGGAACCUCAAUUGUGGACAUUACUUACUACAUUUGUGACCCUUAGAGCAUGUGAUUAUUUAAUGUGGUCAAAUGGUUCACCUUUCUUAUUUUGGGGAAUGUACAUUAAGUACUACCUUAAUAUCCCUUAGGUACCACCUUAAUGUACCUUAGGUACUACCUUAAUGAAGAUUAGGUACUACCUUAGUUAAACUUGGGUAGUAGUUGUCCAAAGCCUCAGAACUUCAAUUGUGGACAUUACUUACUUCAUUUGUGACCCUUAGAGCAUCCCAUAAUGUGAUUAAUUAGUGUGUUCAAUUGGUUUACCUUUGUUAUUUUGGGGAUUGUACUUUAGGUACUACCUUAAUAGCCCUUAGGUAGCUCCUUAAUCUACCUUAGGUACCACCUUAAUAGAGCUUAGGUACUACCUUAUUUAAACUUGGGUACUACCUAUUUGAAGCCUUAAAACUUCAAUUGUGGACAUUACUUACUUCAUUUGUGACCCUUAAAGUAUGCCAUUAUGUGAUUAUUUAGUGUGCUCAAUUGGUUCAUCUUUAUUAUUUUGGGGACUGUACCUUAAGUAUUACCUUAAUAGCUCGUAGGUACCACCUUAAUCUAUCUUAGGUACUACUUUAAUGGAGGUUAGGUACUACCUUAGUUAAACUUGGGAACUACCUAUCCGAAGCCUAAGAACUUCAAUUGUGGACAUUACUUACUUCAUUUGUGACUCUUAGAGCAUGUCAUUAUGUUAUUAUUUAAUGUGCUCAAUUGGUUCACCUUUCUUAUUUUGGGGACUGUACCUUAGAUACUACCUUAAUAGCCCUUAGGUACCACCUUAAUCUACCUUAGGUAGUAUUUUAAUGGAGCUUAGGUACUACUUUAGUUAAACUUGGAUACUAUUUGUUCAAAGCCUUGGAACCUCAAUUGUGGACAUUACUUUCUUCACUUGUGACCCAUAGAGCGUGCCAUUAUGUGAUUAUUUAGUGUGGUCAAUUGAUUCACCUUUCUUAUUUUUGAGAUUGUACCUUAGGUAUUACCUUAAUAGUCCUUAGGUACUACUGUAAUCUACCUUAGGUACUACCUCAAUUAAACUUGAGUACUACAUGUCCGAAGCAUUGGAACUUUGAUUAUGAAAAUUACUUACUUCAUUUGUGACCCUUAGAGCAUCCCAUUAUGUGAUUAUUUAAUGUGGUCAAUUGAUUCACUUUUCCUAGUUUGGGGAUUGUACCUUAUGUACUACCUUAAUAGUCCUUAGGUACCACCUUAAUCUACCUUAGGUACCACCUUAAUCUGCCUUAGGUACUACCUUAAUGGAGGUUAAGUACUACCUUAGUUAAACUUGGGUACUACCUAUCCGAAGCUUAGGAACUUCAAUUGUGGACAUUACUUACUUCAUUUGUGACCCUUAGAGCAUUCCAUUAUGUGAUUAAUUAGUGUGCUUAAUUGGUUCACCCUUAUUAUUUUGGGGACUGUACCUUAGGUACUACCUUAAUAGCUCUUAGGUACCACCUUAAUCUACCUUAGGUACUACUUUAACGGAGCUUAGGUAAUACCUUAGUUAAACUUGGGUACAACCUGUUGGAAACCUCAUAACUUCAAUUGUGGACAUUACUUACUUCAUUUGUGACCCUUAGAGCAUCCCAUUAUAUGAUUAUUUAGUGUGCUCAAUUGGUUCACCUUUCUUAUUUUGGGGAAUGUACCUUAGGUACUAUCUUAAUAGCCCUUAGGUACCAUCAUAAUCUACCUUAGGUACUACCUUAAUAGAGCUUAGGUACUAUCUUAGUUAAACUUGGGUACUACCUAUCCAAAGCGUCGGAACUUCAAUUGUGGACAUUACUCACUUCAUUUGUGACCCUUAGAGCAUAUCAUUAUAUGAUUAUUUAGUGUGCUCAAUUGGUUUACUUUUGCUAUUUUGGGGAUUGUACUUGGGUACUACCUUAAUAGCCCUUAGGUACCACCUUAAUCUACCUUAGGUAUUACCUUAAUGGAGCUUAGUUAAUACCUUAGUUAAACUUGGGUGCUACUUGUCCGAAGCCUCGGAACUUCAAUUGUGGGCAUUACUUACUUUAUUUGUGACCCUUAGAGCAUGUCAUUAUGUGAUUAUUUAGUGUGGUCAAAUGAUUCACCUUUCUUGUUUUGGGGACUGUACCUUAAGCACUACCUUAAUAGUCCUUAGAUACCACCUUAAUCUACCUUAGGUACUACCUUAGUUAAACUUAGGUACUACCUAUCCUAAGCCUCAAAACUUCAAUUAUGGACAUUACUUACUUCAUUUGUGACCCUUAGACCAUCUCAUUAUGUGAUUAUUUAGUGUGGUGAAAUGAUUCACUUUUCUUAUUUUAGGGACUAUACCUUAGGUACUAUCUUAAUAGUCCUUAGGCACCACCUUAAUUUCAUGAACUUAGUCUUUUACUAAGCUCGUGCGGCACUUAGACAAGUCAAACCCUUGAUCUUGCUAAGUCAACCUUACUCCUGAUGCUUAGCUUGCUAGGCUAAGAUGCACCCGACUUAGAAGCUUUAGAGGGAGUAGUAGGCAACUCUUAAAUAAUGGAAGUUUUAUUGCUCAAAGGAAGCCUUACAAGUUCUUUGGAACUCACUUUCUUGGUUAGGAACUGAUUUGGGUGGUGCCUUGGCCAAAUGAGGCCUCUACCUAUUUAUAGGCACCUUAUGAAGUUUCUAGAACCUUGGAGGGUUCCUUACAAAUCAAGAAUAAUCUAGAAGCUCCUACACUAGUCAAUGUACAAGGGUAUGCACAAGAUGACUUUGGAAGAUUCUAGAACACCCCACAAUAUUCCAAUGUUCUCCUAGCCAAGUGUAGAGAUGUGUGGACCUCUCUAGCCCUCUCUAGAAGCUUCCAUACUCUUCCACUUUGUAGCUAAGUGUAGAUGUCUCCAGGGGUAUCUAGAAGCUUCCCACCUCCUAUAUAAGCCCAUGGGGAGGGUCAUUUGAAGCAUCUUAUGACACUCUCCCCCAUUUUUCCAUCGACGUCCCCGUUGUGGCCUCUUUUUAAAAUGUCUCGAUGUGUUUCCAAAACCUUCUCAAGGCAUCCACAUGUUCCCAGUUUACCUACCUCUUAGGUAGUCUUUUCCAUCGGACUAGAUACUCUAUCACAUGAAGGACCCCUUGUCUCCUAGUAAUCCGUUCAACCAGGAUAUUCUUCACCUUCUUCUCCCGUGAGGCCUUAGAUGGAUGCAAACACCUGCACUUUCGAUGCUUGAAGUGUUGCUUCUUCUUGCCCAUCGAGUUCACCUUUUCCUUGGUGACCUUGUCCAUGUGUGUGAUGGCUACCUCAGCUCACUCCCAUUUUUCCUCCUUUACUUGCACUCCUGAUAGUAAGGAGGUCUUAGGUGUACUAGCCUUUGAGUUGACUUGGAGGGCACCUAGUAGCUGCUUCGAGCCCAUAUGUGUUUCGCCUUUCUGUUUCCUCUCUUCGAUCAUGGCACUGAGUGUUUUCCUUUUUGGACAAUUUCGUGCCCAAUGUGGACCGUCACACAAGAAGCAUUUGAUUUUAGGCGUAAACUCAUUCAUUUUCACUUUACCUCUUCCUUCCCGAACGUUAAGUGUCUUACUUGAUCCCAUUCUAAGAGUAUUGUGGUCUCUUGAAACCUCAUUUCCCCUACCCGUGGCAUGGCUAUCCUCUAAAGACUCAACCUUGGAGAAGUAUCCCCUCUUGUAAUCAUUUAAAGACUCUGCUACUACCAUAGUAGUGGCUAAGUCUUGAAAGCCUCGAUUCCUUAAUUCCCGCUCAGCCCACUCUUGCAGGUUAUCCAUGAAGUUGAAUAGCAACUCCUCCUUAGUCAUGUUAGGAAUCUCAAGCAUGAGCAAAGAGAAUUCCUUAACAUAGUCGCGUAUCGAGCCUGUGUGCUUGAGACGCCUCAUGUUUUUCCUAGCCAGGUAUGCCAUGUCCUCUGGGUAGAACUGCCUUUUGAUCUCCCUCUUGAAGUCCUCCUACGUCUUUAUGGUACAAAUGUCUUUCUCCAUAUCGACAAACCUCCGACACCACCUGUAGACCCUCAAUUUUGUCCCUCGACACUGGCAUUUAUCCUUCUGGUGUCACAUCCACCCAUCGUUCGCAUAUGACACCACUAGGGCCCCUUUUGGGCUUAGUCGGUGUCCAAGCCUCGUGUGGGUUUGUGUGUGGUCCAUUGUGGUGCAUAUGUGGUUCAUUUAGGAGGGUCACCAUGGCCAUUUUCCUAGUCGUUCACAUCACGCUUUAGGAAGGAAGUGGGGUCAUCCCGAUGUUUUAGCUUAGUUGGGGUUUAUAGGGGCAUGUUGAGGUUCGGAGCACUCGGGCUUGUUUUGAUCGUAUCUCCCUCAUCCAAACUCGGAAUCAAGAACCGUUUCUUUUAUGGAUUCCUUAUUCUUCCAGGAACAUUCUGUAAAAUUUUCAAAAUUUUUUGCAACUAGUCGGCUGGUUGGCAGCCGGUUCAGCCGGUUCAUUAGGUCAGCCGGUGUAGAACACUGAUUUUUGGUAAUUGUUUUGAUCAUAUCUCCCUCUUCCGAACUUGGAAUCAUGCACCAUUUUUUUAAUGGAUUCCUUACUCUACUAGGAACAUUCUGUCAAAUUUUCGGAAUUUUUCUCCAUCGGGUCGACCAGUUGGCAUCCGGUUCGGCCGGUUCAGCCGGUUCAUUGAGUCAGCUGAGGUAAAACACUAAUUCUAGUAAUUUUGAGGCCCAAAUCCUACAUGGCUCAGGCCCAUAAGCUCUAGAUUGGUUUUGGGCAAUGUUGUGGGUCCAUUUUAGGCCUUGGUUUGGGUUCCUUGCAGCCCACCACGAAUCCAUAUGGAUUCUUGGUGGUGAAGCAAGCUGAAAAAACUGAAGGGAGUGAGCUGGCCUUGUAAGUCUAAGAGAAGUAAUGAGGGGUGUGGUUCCCAUGCUGAUGAAGGGAAUUUCGGUGCUGAAGGGGAAGGAACCCAGGAGGCUCAAAUGCUAAGAGGGGUAUGAGUAUAAAAGGUGAGAGGAUAGGAGAGCAAAGGACCUUGGACACUUUGGAGAGGGGAAAUUCUGUUGGUGAGAAAAACAAAAGGUCAGUAGCAUCUUCUGAGUUGAGAGUGUGGGGGAAGCUUCAGCACUGUGGUUUUUUUGAAGAGGAGAGUGACAGUCUCUCAGUUUUGGAAGUCAUCAUUGGCAUGCACGGAUCAUAUUUGGUGGAGAUUCUAAGGUAAGCAUGCUGAAUUUUCUUUACUUACAACUUAUCUUCCUCGUCUUCAUAUGCUUUUUCUCCUUCCUCAUCAUCUUUUCUUCCCUUUGAUAUGAAGAUUGUAUUGCUUGGGUGUGGACAAUAAAUGCCACACAUGAUUGUUGUUGUUUGCUUCCUUAAUCACUUAGGAAUUUCCUGACCAAAUUUGGGAUUUUUUUACCAACCGGCUGAACCGGUUUGGAACCGGUUCAACCGGUUCAGCACCAUAGCUGGCAGCCUCUGUCAGCCAUGAGGAACACUUUCCUUUCUUUGUCUAGUUCUCACUCAUCCGGGGUUGGAAUUGAGAACCAUUUCUUUUGUUUGCUUCCUUAAUCACUUAGGAACUUCCUGACCGAAUUUGGGAUUUUUUACCAACCGGUUUGGAACCGGUUCAGCACCAUAGCUGGCAGCCUCUGUCAGCCAUGAGGAACACUUUCCUUUCUUUGUCUGGUUCUCACUCAUCCGGGGUCGGAAUUAAGAACCGUUUCUUUUUUUUGCUUCCUUAAUCACUUAGGAACUUUCUGACCAAAUUUGGGAUUUUUUACCAACCGGCUGAACCAGUUUGGAACCGGUUCAACCGGUUCAGCACCAUAGCUGGCAGCCUCUGUCAGCCAUGAGGAACACUUGCCUUUCUUUGUCUGGUACUCACUCAUCCAGGGUCGGAAUUGAGAACCGUUUCUUUUGUUUGCUUCCUUAAUCACUUAGGAGCUUACUAACCAAAUUUGGGAUUUUUUAUCAACCGGAUGUACUGGUUGGGAACCGGUUCAAUCGGUUCAGCACCAUAGCUGGCAGCCUAGGUCAGCCAUGAGGAACACUUGUAUUUCUUUGUCUGGUUCUCACUCAUCCGGGCUCGGAAUUGAGAACCGUUUCUUUUGUUUGCUUCCUUAAUCACUUAGGAACUUACUGACCGAAUUUGGGAUUUUUUAUCAACCAGAUGUACUGGUUUGGAACCGGUUCAAUCGGUUCAGCACCAUAGCUGGCUGCCUCUUUCAACCAUAAGGAACACCUGCCUUUCUUUGUCUGGUUCUCACUCAUUCAGGCUUGGGAUUGAGAACCGUUUCUUUUGUUUGCUUCCUUAAUCACUUAGGAACUUACUGACCCAAUUUGGGAUUUUUUAUCAACCGGAUGUACUGGUUGGGAACCGGUUCAAUCGGUUCAGCACCAUAGCUGGCUGCCUCUUUCAGCCAUAAGGAACACCUGCCUUUCUUUGUCUGGUUCUCACUCAUCCGGGCUCGGGAUUGAGUGUCGUUUCUUUUGUUUGAAUCCUCACUCAUUUAGGAGUUUUCUAGAAAAAUUUGGGAAUUCUUCUCAAUGGGUUGUACCAGUUGAGAACUAGUUAAACCUGUUCUGCUGGAGGACUUUAGGUAGCCCUCGAUUUUGGCAUUUUUCGAGCUCUUAUCCAUGGGGGCUCAAACCCAUUUGCUAUAGGGCACUUGAGAGCCAUCUUGAAGGUUUAAGUCAGUAUUUGAUUUCAGUUAGUAUGGGAAAUUUUGAAGUUAUGGGUGGUGUGGUCUAGAUGAGUUUAGUUCGAUUUGUAUGACAUUUGGGGAGUCCCUUACCUCAUUUCAACCAGCUAUCCUCCUUUUUGGCACAAGCUUUGAUGCUUGAUUUUGAAUACAUUGUUGCGUGACUGACUCACCCUUUGCUGCAGCGCUUGGCUAGGGACCACAGGUACGCAUCGUUGGCUUUGGUUGUUGAAUUCAUAUGCAUGCAUGGUGCUUAAUCUUGAAUGUUUGUUAUGUGUUUAUCUGUGUUUGGCUGACCUUUUAUGCAGCGCUUGGCUAGGGACCACAGGUAUGCACCCAUCGUUUUGUUUGGUUGAAUUCAUAUGCAUGCCAAAUACCAAUUAGGAUUGUGUGAUUCAUGACAUCUAUUUAGCCUAGGGUUUCAUUUGACAUUUGACCCAUAUGCUCCCACAUACCCAAUUCAUUAGUAAAGACCGAGUUUCGGACCUAGAGGGGUGCUACCUCGCAUGAGGUACCUUCCCAACGGGUAACCUGAUCCCCGGACCCAGAAUCUAGUUUUCGUAGACCGCUUUUUCCAUACUGGGGUCAUUAGGGGUUUUUGUUCUUACUUAAUUUUCCCCAUUUUAAAAACAAAAAUAAAAAGUAAGUGGCGACUCCAAACAACACCGUUCCUCACCAAGGGCAGGUUUUUCAAAACUGGAAAACACCAACUUUUUCAUUUCUUUCUUUUCUUUUAAAAGCGAGUCGCGUCAGUCCGGUGGAUCGGGUGAGGGUCCACAAAUUGGCGACUCCGCUGGGGAUCGAACCCAGAAUCUCUUGUUUCAUAAGAGGAUCAAGCUUGAACUUGAGUUGGGUAUAUCAGAGCACAUGGUUCAUUGAUAAGUAGACUCUUAGACUACGUAGAUGACUGAUGAUCACGUAGUUGGCUGGUAUUUGGCUUGCACUUGUGAUGUGUUGUUGCUUGUGUGUUCACCUGUUGGAUUCUAGCAUGCUUGCUCAUUGUUGAUUGGUAUCUAGCUAUGACAUUUGGGAUUAGACUUAGAUGAUUAGAUUGUGUGUAGAUGUGUGGUAGGCUAUCUCUUUGUGCAUGACUAUUUGCUGUAUGACUGCUCCUUCCCUUGCAUGACUGCUUGCUGCUUGUGUUUGUGGGGCACGUGUGUAUCCCCUUACUUCCGAAUCACUAGUCUUGGUCAACUAUUCCUCAUGGAUUGCUUGUGUUUCUUGGGAGUCAUUCCCAAUUGUUCGCCUUCGACCAAGCUAGGGGUUUGGAAUAGGGUCUAGCAUAAGGGCUAUAUCGAUGUUUGGGAGCACUAUGGAAAAGAUGGAUAUCUGAGCAAUGAAGACCUGUAUAGCCCUGAGCUGGAUUUCAUGGAUACAUGCAUGGCCAGCAUGUCACUUUGAUUGUUGAUUGAUUGUUAGUUAGAACCUUAGGUUGCGUAUCCCUGUGGGUACAGUCAUCUAGUCUUUUAGGACUUGCCUUUUUUUUUUUUUUUUUUUACUUUUGAGCCACAUUACCCCUGAGAUAUCACCAUGUCAGAAUCCCGUUCCUGCCUAUGGAACCGUAUAUCAGUUUAGCUAUUGACAUCACAUGUCAGUUCAUUCUCUCGGAAGAUUUUAGUUAUACGUUCCUAGUUUGAUUUCAGGAUUGAUAGUCAUGGGGACUGACGUACCCCUUUCCUUUUGUAGGAUUAUUGAUUGAGAUUGACCUGGGUUCCCGAGCUUGGAUCCGGAUUGGAGAUAGACUGGUUAGAGGAUCAGAUUCACCUAGCCAGUUAGAGCAGAUACCAGAUCAUAGAGAUAUGGACCCUCAGUACGCUACCGUUAACCAGUUGGCUGAGAUUACCGAUACCAUGGCGUCACUUAGGGACGCUAUCUUAGGACUGGGUCAGAGGAUUGAUGGGCACCAGGCCCAGCCAUUGCCGAUUCCAAGGAGCACCCUGCAUGACUCUACCACACCACCACCACCACCACCACCAUUUGGGCCAUCUGGACCUACUAUACAGCAGGACUACAUAGUUCCACCACCACCACCACCACCGGUUCAGUCAGCUCCCCAGGCUGGAGCAUUUGUGUUGCAUGGUCAGACUGAGACUAUGUCGCAUUCUGUUGUGGCACUGGCACAGAUUGUUGAUGAUACCCAGGCUCGUAUUGAUAAGAUUGAGCAGAGGAUGAGAUCACUACAUGUUUUUGAUAGGAUUAUGGGUUGGGAUGGAUAUGAUGAUAUGCCAGUAGCAGCUUUGCCUAUUGAGUUCCGCAUGCCGGACAUUGAGAGAUACACGGGGAUAGGGUGCCCCCGUAUUCACUUGCAGUUAUACAGCACUGUUAUGCGCGGGCAUAGACUGGAUGAGGCACAAAUGAUUAUGUUAUUCCCUCUGUCAUUGAGUGGUGCUGCUCAACGUUGGUUUGCCUCAUUGGACCUUUCGAGACGUAGGACAUGGGCUGAUUUGGGACAGGAGUUUAUUAGACAGUAUUCUUUCAAUACUAUAGUGGAUGUAUCCCGGAGGGAGUUAGAGGCCCUUAGGCAGGGGCCGGAUGAGACAGUCACUUCAUUCAUCUCCCGUUGGAGGGAGAAGAUAGCACAGAUUAUUGAUAGACCUUUAGAGCGCGAUCAGAUCAGUAUGAUUAUGCGCAGCCUUCAGCCCCGCUUUGCUAGGCAUCUCAUGGGCUUCCCUCAGACAGACUUUGGCUCAUUAGUGCAGGCCCUCUAUGGCAUUAAGGAGGGUAUAUCUAGAGGUUUAUGGGCAGAUUCUUUCCCUUCAGACUCAAAGGGGAAGAAAUCGGGAUCAGGCCCCAGGCCCUCAGAUGUUGGUACUAUUGGCAUGACAGGACACCGGUCUUCACGUCGUCCUCCGUUUCAGAGUCAGUUUUUAGGCACUCCUUAUCAGAUGAUACAACAUGAUCAGUACAGACCAGUUACUCCCAUUAGGCCAGUAGGGCCUACUUAUCUACAUCCGCCACCACAGCCGGUAUAUGAUACACAGGCACCCCAGAGGCCGCCUAUGCAGUUCCAUCAUCAGUAUAGAGCACCGCCUCCACCGAGGCCAGUUAGACAGUUUACACAGCUUGGGAUGCCACUGAGCCGAGCUUUUCAGAGAUUGGUUGAGGGAGGACUGAUUGCCCCACUACCGCCUAGACCACCACUACAGCCUACCCCCCCAGGAUUCAGGACAGACCUUCACUGUGCCUACCAUCAGAGAGCAGGCCAUGAUACAGACAGUUGAUCAGCACUGAGACAUGCCAUUCAGGAUUUGAUUGAUCAGGGCUUGGUUGAUUUGGGGCGCUCGGGUGUAGCCACAGACCCGCUACCUACUCAUGACACUAGAGCAGUACCUCCACCCCCGGAAGGGGUACAGUUGAUUGAGUUUGCAGGGGAUGAGAUAUUUAUGAUGGGUUGGGAUGGAGAGGCUCCUCAGCCGAUCAAUCUAUAUGAGGAGUCAGAUUUUGUUGGAUAUAUACCUAGACAGCAGAUCCCCAGGCCAUUCAGUUUGACCCCGGACAGGAUUUAUGGGCCACCUCCAGUAUCACCAGUAUACUUACAGCAUGUGCCACCUAUGACACCCUUCAUUCUGUUCCCAGAGGAAUAUAGGCCCUCUCAUAGAGAUGUUCAGAUAGUUACACGGAGUGGAAGGGUAGCAUAACCUCCACCCGUUGACAGGCCAUUUGCUGGUAUAACUGCUAGAGAGGAGGUUCAGAGAGAAGAUGAUGAGAUAUUACGACAGCUGCGCACUACUCAGGCUCGCAUAUCCAUUUGGAGCCUUUUGGCCUCAUCUAGUACACAUAGAGAUGCAUUAGUCAGAGCCCUUGGCCAGAUUAGGGUUGACACUGCUACUACNNNNNNNNNNNNNNNNNNNNNNNNNNNNNNNNNNNNNNNNNNNNNNNNNNNNNNNNNNNNNNNNNNNNNNNNNNNNNNNNNNNNNNNNNNNNNNNNNNNNNNNNNNNNNNNNNNNNNNNNNNNNNNNNNNNNNNNNNNNNNNNNNNNNNNNNNNNNNNNNNNNNNNNNNNNNNNNNNNNNNNNNNNNNNNNNNNNNNNNNNNNNNNNNNNNNNNNNNNNNNNNNNNNNNNNNNNNNNNNNNNNNNNNNNNNNNNNNNNNNNNNNNNNNNNNNNNNNNNNNNNNNNNNNNNNNNNNNNNNNNNNNNNNNNNNNNNNNNNNNNNNNNNNNNNNNNNNNNNNNNNNNNNNNNNNNNNNNNNNNNNNNNNNNNNNNNNNNNNNNNNNNNNNNNNNNNNNNNNNNNNNNNNNNNNNNNNNNNNNNNNNNNNNNNNNNNNNNNNNNNNNNNNNNNNNNNNNNNNNNNNNNNNNNNNNNNNNNNNNNNNNNNNNNNNNNNNNNNNNNNNNNNNNNNNNNNNNNNNNNNNNNNNNNNNNNNNNNNNNNNNNNNNNNNNNNNNNNNNNNNNNNNNNNNNNNNNNNNNNNNNNNNNNNNNNNNNNNNNNNNNNNNNNNNNNNNNNNNNNNNNNNNNNNNNNNNNNNNNNNNNNNNNNNNNNNNNNNNNNNNNNNNNNNNNNNNNNNNNNNNNNNNNNNNNNNNNNNNNNNNNNNNNNNNNNNNNNNNNNNNNNNNNNNNNNNNNNNNNNNNNNNNNNNNNNNNNNNNNNNNNNNNNNNNNNNNNNNNNNNNNNNNNNNNNNNNNNNNNNNNNNNNNNNNNNNNNNNNNNNNNNNNNNNNNNNNNNNNNNNNNNNNNNNNNNNNNNNNNNNNNNNNNNNNNNNNNNNNNNNNNNNNNNNNNNNNNNNNNNNNNNNNNNNNNNNNNNNNNNNNNNNNNNNNNNNNNNNNNNNNNNNNNNNNNNNNNNNNNNNNNNNNNNNNNNNNNNNNNNNNNNNNNNNNNNNNNNNNNNNNNNNNNNNNNNNNNNNNNNNNNNNNNNNNNNNNNNNNNNNNNNNNNNNNNNNNNNNNNNNNNNNNNNNNNNNNNNNNNNNNNNNNNNNNNNNNNNNNNNNNNNNNNNNNNNNNNNNNNNNNNNNNNNNNNNNNNNNNNNNNNNNNNNNNNNNNNNNNNNNNNNNNNNNNNNNNNNNNNNNNNNNNNNNNNNNNNNNNNNNNUCUGAUGAUGACUUGCCACCAGAGGGAUCAAAUCAUGUUCGACCCUUAUUCAUUGAUGUUGCUUGUUUAGGCCGUCGGGUGCCGUCUGUUCUAUUGGACAACGGCUCUGCCCUGAACGUCUAUCCAUUGGUUACUGCCAUUGCGCUUGGGUUUUCACCAGAUGAUUUUGGGCCUUCUACACAGACUGUUAGAGCUUAUGAUGGGACUUAGAGGACAGUUAUGGGUACACUCAGUACACAUGUCAUGAUUGGGCCAGUUAGUUACUCCAUAGUAUUUCAGGUUUUAAGGAUCCAGUCAUCCUUUAACCUGCUUCUUGGCCGCCCGUGGAUUCAUGAGGCCGGUGCUAUACCAUCUUCCCUUCAUCAGAAGGUGAAGUUCAUACACGAGGGGCGCAUUAUCACGAUACAGUCUGAUAGAGAUAUUAUCACUUCGUCUGAGCCAGUAUUACAUAUCAGUCACAGUGAGGAUGACUUACAUUUGACCGGGUUUACGUUCGAUGAGGUCCAGGUUGUCAGCUUAGAGGAUGGCAACAGAGAUAUGGUACCUAUGUCAUUUGACCAGCACAGCAGCACUUUGGUGCUCAGCAUGAUGAGAGGCAUGUCUUAUUUGCCUGGUAUGGGAUUGGGUCGCCGCCAGCAGGGGCCCUACGAGUUUACUUUCACAGUUGAUCACGACAUGCCCUACGGAUUAGGUUACAUACCCACAGAGGCUGAUGCACGUUAUAUGUCACAGCUGCGCAGGGAUAGGGUGAGGGCUCGCAUGUCUGGCAUUCCAUUUGAUUAUCUCCUCCGCCCAUACACCUUCCAAUUGGCCGACUACUUCAUUAGGGGUUCAGAGCAUACACCUCGCACAGAGGGGACUGUUCACAUUCCAGAGACAGUUGGGAUUCAGGACAUCCAGCAGGCCCUAGGUCAGAUUCAUUUGGACACCGGGACUACUGAGGCACCUGGUGCCAUGAUAGUCACGCCCCCAUCACCGGACCGAGCUAGUACGUUCUCUAUGUGUUUCCCGAUGAGGUCCCUGACUAUGACCUACCUAUGGAUUUGGGAUAUGGCACUGACGAGAUAGACAUGAUCGGCAUAAGUCGUAUCUUCGAUGCAGCGCCACACGGGCCCCAUACUGUUUUCGACAUGUUCGGAGUUUUUGUACUCGAGACUGAUAAGGAUGACUUUAUUCCUGAUGCCUACACUGAUGAUGUGGAUUUUAUAGGCAUUGAUCGUAUCCUUGAUGCAGCCCCACGCGGGCCCCUUUCUGCUUUUGACAUAUCUGGAGUUUCAGUACUUGAUGAUGAGUCAGUCCUUGAUGUCGUUACUUCUGAUUUUGCUUCUGUUGAGGGAGCGUCCGACUCUGUGGACCCACCUCUUUCUUUUGACACUAUGUCCGGGUUUGUCACCCGCUUUGAUGAUAUUUCUGAUGGUAAUAAUGAUAUGAGUAUUUUCGAGUACUUGAAUGUGUCCCAACAUUUUCCUUUGAUUGCACCACCAGCACCCACGACACAUAUAUAUGAUGUUGAUGAUGUGGGAGAUACAGAUGACCCACUGGGUGGUCAGUCAGAGUGUGAUUCUGAUUCAGAGGAUAGGAAAGUCACACCCAUUUCUAGUAGCACAGAGUUGAUAGAUUUUGGGGCACCAGAUCAGCCCAGGGAGAUUAGGAUUGGCUCUUCUCUAUCUCCUGAUGAGAGGAGUAGAUUGAUUGACCUGCUUAGGUCAUACUUGGAUGUAUUUGCAUGGUCAUAUGAGGACAUGCCGGGCCUUGACCCCACCAUAGUGCAGCAUCACCUGCCCAUUUUACCACAUGCNNNNNNNNNNNNNNNNNNNNNNNNNNNNNNNNNNNNNNNNNNNNNNNNNNNNNNNNNNNNNNNNNNNNNNNNNNNNNNNNNNNNNNNNNNNNNNNNNNNNCGAUGGAGUUUGCAGGUUAAGGAAGAAAUUCAGAAGCAACUCAGUGUUGGCUUCUUGUCAGUGGUUAAGUAUCCUGAGUGGUUGGCUAAUGUCGUCCCUGUUCCCAAAAAGGACGGCAAGGUUAGAGUUUGUGUUGACUUUCGAGAUCUGAAUAAGGCCAGCCCUAAGGAUGAUUUUCCCCUUCCACACAUUGAUAUGUUGGUUGAUAGCACUGCAGGGUAUCCGAUGUUAUCCUUCAUGGAUGGUUUUUCUGGGUAUAAUCAGAUUUUGAUGGCUCCAGAGGAUAUGGUGAAGACUUCUUUCAUUACUGAGUGGGGUACUUACUGCUACCGAGUUAUGCCAUUUGGGUUGAAGAAUGCAGGAGCCACUUAUCAGAGAGCUGCUACUACUCUGUUCCAUGAUAUGAUGCAUAGAGAUGUCGAGGUCUAUGUGGAUGACAUGAUAGUAAAGUCCCGAGACAGGGCAGAUCACUUAGCAGCCUUACAAAGGUUUUUUGAGAGGAUCAGACAGUUCAGGCUGAGAUUGAAUCCUAAGAAGUGCACCUUUGGGGUGACUUCUGGAAAAUUGCUGGGACACAUUGUUAGUGAGCGAGGUAUAGAAGUUGAUCCAGAGAAAAUCAGAGCCAUACUUGACAUGCCUACCCCGAGGACUGAGAAAGAGAUAAGGGGAUUCCUAGGUAGAUUGCAGUACAUCAGUCGUUUCAUUGCUAGACUGACAGACAUUUGUGAGCCUAUCUUCCGUAUUCUGAGGAAGAAUCAGCCUACAGUUUGGAAUGAUGAUUGUCAGCGCGCUUUUGAGAGGAUUAAGGAGUGUCUCCUUUCUCCUCCAGUUUUAGUGCCUCCCACACCGGGGCGUCCUUUGCUUCUGUACCUAUCAGUUUCAGACAUGGCCUUAGGAUGCAUGUUAGCUCAGCUUGAUGAUUUGGGGAAGGAGCGAGCCAUCUAUUAUUUGAGUAAAAGGAUGCUUGAGUAUGAGUGCAAGUACAUUAUGAUUGAGCGCCUUUGCUUAGCAGUGGUUUGGGCCACUAGGAGACUUAGACAUUACAUGACAGAGUAUUCUGUGCUCUUGGUCUCACGAUUGGACCCGUUGAGGUAUCUAUUUGACAAGUCUGUUCUGACCGGUAGGCUCAUGAGAUGGCUGGUAUUGUUGACAGAGUUUGAUAUUCAUUAUGUCACGCAGAAGUCAGUAAAUGGAAGCAUUGUUGCAGAUCAUCUAGCUUCUUUGCCGAUAUCCGGUGACCGAUCAAUUGAUGAUGAUUUCCCUGAUGAGCAGAUAGUUUCAAUGACUAGUAUUACGGGGUGGCGGUUAUACUUUGAUGGUGCCGCCAAUCAGUCGGGGUUUGGCAUUGGUAUCUUAUUGAUAUCACCAUAGGGUGAUCAUAUCCCCAGAUCAGUCCGGUUAGCAUUUUCUAAUCAUCACCGGUUGACGAAUAAUAUUGUAGAGUAUGAGGCUUGCAUUACAGGUUUGGAGACUACAAUUGAUCUUGGCAAUAGACAGUUGGAGAUCCACGGGGAUUCCAACUUGGUUAUAAAGCAGACUCAAGGUAUCUGGAGGACACGGGAUGAGAAGCUGAAACCCUACCAUGCUUACUUGGACCUGUUGAUUGAUAGAUUCGAUGUGUUAAGGUAUAUACAUUUGCCCAGGGUGGAGAAUCAGUUUGCCGAUGCAUUAGCCACCUUGGCUUCUCUGAUUGUGAUCCCUGCGGGGGUGAAUGUUAGGCCAUUGUUGAUUGAGACUAGGUCUGCACCAGCUUACUGUUGUCUGAUUGGAGAGAUAGAGGAUCAGAUUGAGCUGCCAUGGUAUCAUGAUAUUUAUCAAUUUCUGUCAUGCGGCGCUUACCCAGAGUCAGCCUCGGCCAAGGAUAGGAGAGCAUUGAGACAGUUGGCCACCAGAUUUGUUGUUUGCGGGGAUGCGCUGUAUAGGAGAUCACCUGAUGGCUUGUUAUUAUUAUGUUUAGACCGUGCAUCUACAGAUCGAGUGAUGAAAGAGGUUCAUGCAGGGGUCUGUGGCCCACACAUGGGAGGUCAUAUGCUAGCACGUAAGAUCAUGAGGACUGGCUACUUUUGGUUGACCAUGGAGACAGAUUGUUGCCAGUUUGUACAGAGAUGUCAGGAGUGUCAGAUGCAUGGAGACUUGAUACACGUGCCACCUUCUGAGUUGCAUGCACUUGCAUCCCCUUGGCCAUUUUCAGUAUGGGGUAUUGAUAUUAUUGGGAAGAUCUCGCCCAAGUCUUCCAGUGGGCAUGAGUACAUUUUGGUUGCCAUUGACUAUUUCACCAAGUGGGUGGAAGCUGCUUCUUAUGCUAGGUUGACAGCGGCUAGAGUGGCCAAGUUCAUCAGAUCGCAUAUUAUCUGCCGAUACGGGGUCCCUCAUGAGCUGAUCUCAGACAGAGGGGUGCAUUUCAAGGGUGAGGUGGACACGUUGAUUCAAGAGUAUGGCAUUCAGCAUCACAGAUCGUCUGCAUACAGGCCACAGACUAAUGGAGCAGUUGAGGCCGCAAAUAAGAAUAUCAAGAGGAUUUUGAGAAAGAUGGUCGAGACUUCUCGGGAUUGGUCAGAGAAGCUCCCUUUCGCAUUGUGGGCUUAUCGUACAUUUUUUCGUACCUCUAUUGGAGCUACCCCGUAUUCUUUGGUGUAUGGUAUGGAGGCAGUGCUACCUAUUGAGAUUGAGAUGAGAUCUUUGAGAGUAGCACUAGAGCAGCAUAUAUCCGAGGCCGAGUGGGCCCAGUCUCGUUAUGAUCAGCUUAGCCUGUUGGAUGAGAAGAGAUUGAGGGCGGCAGAUCAUGUUCAGGCCUAUCAGAGGAAGAUGACCCGUGCAUUCAGAAAGAGGGUCAAGCCUAGGAAAUUCCAGAGAGGUGACCUAGUCUUGAAAGUCCUCAGGGGAUUGAUCAGCGACCCUAGAGGCAAGUUUAGACCGAGUUGGAGCAGGCCUUAUGUCAUCCGAGAUCUGACUCGAGAGGGAGCUGCCUGGUUGACAGACCUAGACGGAAAUCAGUUCAAAGAGCCAGUUAAUGUGGAUCAGCUGAAGAAGUUUUAUGCAUGAGAUCAUGGUCAGAGGAUGGGUGGCCGUCACUUCGAGUAGCCAUAUUCCCUAUUGCACACCCAUACAUUGAUAUAUACUAUUGCUAGCCCUUUGAGCCUCACAUGGUUUAUUAUGGCCUUUUCUUUCAUUCAGCCUUGCAUACCUUUUCUGACCUGGGUUGGGGGCCUACCCUUGUGCGCUUUGUAUUUAUUGAUUGGAUCUAUGAGCAUUGUGGGCAUGGUGUCAUUCUUCGUUUGUUCUUUCUUGCAUCAUUGCCUUUUUCUUUUCGUCUCCAUUUUGCAUCUUCACACCGUCUACCUGUUAGUCCAGUUUCUAUCAUCUCUAUUCACUUCGCUUCUGUUUUCCCUUCUGUGAUGAUGAUGCGUUCUCGUCCCAGAGCUACCAGUCAGGUUUGUCACACCCUUCGUUCCGCCUGUAGGCUUUGAUCCAAGAUUCUUAGGUUGAAGGGGUCGGUCAAGAUUGGAGGUUUGGGGUUCUUUUUGUUGGAUUGUGAUAGUAUGGAAUUCAGCCCAAAAAAAAAAAAAGAAAAAAAAAAAAGAAAAAGGAAAAAUUAAAAUUUAAAAAAAAAAAAAGGAAAAAUUGUGCUUGUUUGGUGUUCGUUGAUAUACUUGGGAUCAUCAGAGGUGGUUUUGGGUUUGAGAGAUUUCUUUUUCUUUUAAGAGUCGGAUGAGAGCAUUGUACGAUCCUUCUCACCAUGGAUCUGGGCGACACAUUGGGAGUGAGGUUUGGGUUUCCUUAGCACUAGGCCCUUGGAUCAUUGCCUACAUCACCAUUCCCAUCAUAUAGUGACUUGCUUUGAUUUGGCGUUCUUAGGAUGAGUUGUUCGUCGUUGUCACAUAUUGCUAUAUUUGUAUCCCAGUUGGUUUCUCCAUUUUCUUCUACACCCAUUCAUCAUUCAUCUUGUCCCUUUUCGUUUGCUUCUAUCCUCGUUGAUCGUCGUUUCACUUCAUGAACGAUGAGUUCUUUGGUGCGUAUCACCUAUUGUUUGUUUUUUAUUUGGAUGCAGGGUUGAGUCACCUUGCUCACAUGGUUCUGCGAUAUUUGACAUUGCGCACACAGGGGUUUGGCAUUAUCUAUUGGGAGAUUUGGGCCUUUGUUUCCCAUCGUUUCAUUCACCUUUUACCCCUGGCCUACAUUACGGUCCGAGUCGUAAGACCACCCUGAGGCCAUGAGAUCUCGUGUUUGCUUCGAUGCGGUUCAUUCGGACAGGCUUCGUCUACUGAUUGAGUAUGGGAUGUUGACAGGUCUCCAUUACUUCGGGGGAUAUCGAGGGUCACAUAUUGUCUUUCCAUUCAGUUUACUUGCCUCAGGUCCAUGAUCAGAGAUAGAUGAUAUAGAGAGUUGGGACCGUUGAGGGCACCUUUGCCUGAUGUUUUGACACGUUUAUACUAGGGCAUGCUCCCAUCCUUGCAUGCUGGCUUUGGCUCUUUAUACAUGUACGCAAGCAUUCCAUUUCGCCUAGCAAUGUUAUGGACAUCAAAGUUUGAGUAAGCCCCGCAUUCAGCUCAGUUUCUUCAUAUAGCAGAGUGCUUCUAAGGUCUGACCCGAGAUCAGAUUCACGGUAUUCAUUGACCCAGCAGGGGUGCAUACCCCAUUCAUUGUGUUGUUCGUCAGUUCAAAUGAGUGGGUCUUCAGUGAUGUAUUCCAGAGUUUUCAUUAAGAUAUUUGAGUUUCAGAUGUACACACUGGGGCAUAUCCCCUAUCAGUUUUUGUGGAUAUUGGCUGUUGUGGAUUAGAGUGGAGGGUUUUUUCCUUAGAAAUGGAUGAUUGUGAUAUUUUCAGCUUUCUAGCUUUAACCAUAUGUGCGGUUAUGGGAUUCUAACAUGAUAUUGAUAUCUUAGACUGGGGCAUAACUCCUUCCUUUCACCCUUGGUCACAUUUGUGAGUUUGUCCUAUAGGGGCAUACCCCAUUCUUUCCAUUUGUUAGUGGUGAUUGUGAUUUCCCGCUUGUCAUUUAUCGGCAUUUUCUGCUGUUACACCGGGGCAUACCCCUUUCUUUUGUCAUGAUGAAGGUGUUUGAUUUCUGGCUUCUUCGAGUCAUUUGUUGGCAGUCCCUGGACGUCAUACUGGGGCAUACCCCUUUGUUAUCAUGGUUAGUAUAUCAGCGGUUGCAUCUUGAGUCCCCCUAUUUUGCUCUGAGUUUUGUUUUAAGGCAUCCUCUGUCUGUUUAGGUGUUUUGAACCUUAGUAAUGGCAUCCCUACCCCCUUUUAGUUCGGUGGUUCCUCGGUAUCGUGCUCGAGUUCGAUCGCCCGAAUUCCACCAUUUUCCGGUACUCGCCCGGACCCUUCUCCGGUACUCGCCCGGAUUUUACCCGUUUUCGAUACUCGCCCCGAACCUUUUUCGGUACUCGCCCGGACCCUUCUCCGGUACUCGCCCGGACCCUUCUCCGGUACUCGCCCGGAUUUUACCCGUUUUCGGUACUUGCCCGGAACCUUCUCCGGUACUCGCCCGGACCCUUCUCCGGUACUCACCCGGACCCUUCUCCGGUACUCACCCGGACCCUUUUCCGAUACUCGCCCGAAUUUUACCCGUUUUCGGUACUCGCCCGGAUUCCACCAUUUUUCGGUACUCGCCCGGAUUCCACUGUUUUUCGGUACUUGCCCGAACCCUUCUCCGAUACUUGCCCGGAUCAAAUCCCUAAUCUUUCCCGGCAUCGUGAUCGGGUCUCCUUUUCUCUUUCUCCGGCAUCGUGCCUAGAUCCCAUAGUCCAUUCAGUCAGCAUGACUUAUUUCCCUUAGCCUUCUUUAUUGUUGGGUGGGGACAAAAUUGUUGGUCAUUUGGGUUCUUCACUAGAGUUCAUUUCACUCAUGCGUUACAUGCACUUCGCACUCAAGAUUCACUCGUUCAUUCACUUUACUGAAGAGGGGCAUAUUUGUAGACCCUCAAUUUUGUCCCUCGACACUGGCAUUUAUCCUUCUGGUGUCACAUCCACCCAUCGUUCGCAUAUGACACCACUAGGGCCCCUUUUAGGCUUAGUCGGUGUCCGAGCCUCUUGUGGGUUUGUGUGUGGUCCAUUGUGGUGCAUAUGUGGUUCAUUUAGGAGGGUCACCAUGGCCAUUUUCCUAGUCGUUCACAUCACGCUAUAGGAAGGAAGUGGGGUCAUCCCGAUGUUUUAGCUUAGUUGGGGUUUAUAGGGGCAUGUUGAGGUUCGGAGCACUCGGGCUUGUUUUGAUCGUAUCUCCCUCAUCCAAACUCGGAAUCAAGAACCGUUUCUUUUUAUGGAUUCCUUAUUCUUCCAGGAACAUUCUGUAAAAUUUUCAAAAUUUUUUUGCAACAAGUCGGCUGGUUGGCAGCCGGUUCAUUAGGUCAGCCGGUGUAGAACACUGAUUUUUGGUAAUUGUUUUGAUCAUAUCUCCCUCUUCCGAACUUGGAAUCAUGCACCAUUUUUUUAAUAGAUUCCUUACUCUACUAGGAACAUUCUGUCAAAUUUUCGGAAUUUUUCUCCAUCGGGUCGACCAGUUGGCAUCCGGUUCGGCCGGUUCAGCCGGUUCAUUGAGUCAGCUGAGGUAAAACACUAAUUCUAGUAAUUUUGAGGCCCAAAUCCUACAUGGCUCAGGCCCAUAAGCUCUAGAUUGGUUUUGGGCAAUGUUGUGGGUCCAUUUUAGGCCUUGGUUUGGGUUCCUUGCAGCCCACCACGAAUCCAUAUGGAUUCUUGGUGGUGAAGCAAGCUGAAAAAACUGAAGGGAGUGAGCUGGCCUUGUAAGUCUAAGAGAAGUAAUGAGGGGUGUGGUUCCCAUGCUGAUGAAGGGAAUUUCGGUGCUGAAGGGGAAGGAACCCAGGAGGCUCAAAUUCUAAGAGGGGUAUGAGUAUAAAAGGUGAGAGGAUAGGAGAGCAAAGGACCUUGGACAUUUUGGAGAGGGGAAAUUCUGCUGGUGAGAAAAACAAAAGGUCAAUAGCAUCUUCUGAGUUGAGAGUGUGGGGAAAGCUUCAACACUGUGGUUUUUUUGAAGAGGAGAGUGACAGCCUCUCAGUUUUGGAACUCAUCAUUGGCAUGCACGGAUCAUAUUUGGUGGAGAUUCUAAGGUAAGCAUGCUGAAUUUUCUUUACUUACAACUUAUCUUCCUCGUCUUCAUAUGUUUUUUCUCCUUCCUCAUCAUCUUUUCUUCCCUUUGAUAUGAAGAUUGUAUUGCUUGGGUGUGGACAAUAAAGGCCACACAUGAUUGUUGUUGUUUGCUUCCUUAAUCACUUAGGAAUUUUCUGACCAAAUUUGGGAUUUUUUUACCAACCGGCUGAACCGGUUUGGAACCGGUUCAGCACCAUAGCUGGCAGCCUCUGUCAGCCAUGAGGAACACUUUCCUUUCUUUGUCUAGUUCUCACUCAUCCGGGGUUGGAAUUGAGAACCAUUUCUUUUGUUUGCUUCCUUAAUCACUUAGGAACUUCCUGACCGAAUUUGGGAUUUUUUACCAACCGGCUGAACCGGUUUGGAACCGGUUCAACUGGUUCAGCACCAUAGCUGGCAGCCUCUAUCAGCCAUGAGGAACACUUUCCUUUCUUUGUCUGGUUCUCACUCAUCCGGGGUCGGAAUUGAGAACCGUUUCUUUUUUUUGCUUCCUUAAUCACUUAGGAACUUACUGACCCAAUUUGGGAUUUUUUAUCAACCGGAUGUACUGGUUGGGAACCGGUUCAAUCGGUUCAGCACCAUAGUUGGCUGCCUCUUUCAGCCAUAAGGAACACCUGCCUUUCUUUGUCUGGUUCUCACUCAUCCGGGCUCGGGAUUGAGUGUCGUUUCUUUUGUUUGAAUCCUCACUCAUUUAGGAGUUUUCUAGAAAAAUUUGGGAAUUCUUCUCAAUGGGUUGUACCAGUUGAGAACUAGUUAAACCUGUUCUGCUGGAGGACUUUAGGUAGCCCUCGAUUUUGGCAUUUUUCGAGCUCUUAUCCAUGGGGGCUCAAACCCAUUUGCUAUAGGGCACUUGAGAGCCAUCUUGAAGGUUUAAGUCAGUAUUUGAUUUCAGUUAGUAUGGGAAAUUUUGAAGUUAUGGGUGGUGUGGUCUAGAUGAGUCUAGUUCGAUUUGUAUGACAUUUGGGGAGUCCCUUACCUCAUUUCAACCAACUAUCCUCCCUUUUGGCACAAGCUUUGAUGCUUGAUUUUGAAUACAUUGUUGCGUGAUUGACUCACCCUUUGCUGCAGCGCUUGGCUAGGGACCACAGGUACGCAUCGUUGGCUUUGGUUGUUGAAUUCAUAUGCAUGCAUGGUGCUUAAUCUUGAAUGUUUGUUAUGUGUUUAUCUGUGUUUGGCUGACCUUUUAUGCAGCGCUUAGCUAGGGACCACAGGUAUGCACCCAUCGUUUUGUUUGGUUGAAUUCAUAUGCAUGCCAAAUACCAAUUAGGAUUGUGUGAUUCAUGACAUCUAUUUAGCCUAGGGUUUCAUUUGACCUUUGACCCAUAUGCUCCCACAUACCCAAUUCAUUAGUAAAGACCGAGUUUCGGACCUAGAGGGGUGCUACCUCGCAUGAGGUACCUUCCCAACGGGUAACCUGAUCCCCGGACCCAGAAUCUAGUUUUCGUAGACCGCUCUUUCCAUACUGGGGUCAUUAGGGGUUUUUGUUCUUACUUAAUUUGCCCCAUUUUAAAAACAAAAAUAAAAAGUAAGUGGCGACUCCAAACAACACCGUUCCUCACCAAGGGCGGGUUUUUCAAAACUGGAAAACACCAACUUUUUCAUUUCUUUCUUUUCUUUUAAAAGCGAGUCGCGUCGAUCCGGUGGAUCGGGUGAGGGUCCACACCACCAUAGAGUAGUUGUGUUAGUAAAGUAGAGGGUUGCAGUCCUUACCUUAGCCACCUCAUCAGUUAGUGUGAUAGCCUUGAAGUAUCGUUCCAUAUGCCAUAAGAAGUUGUCCAACUCCUUGGCAUCCCACUUGCCACUAAACCCUUAUGGCUUCGGUACCUUCACCCUAGAUGCCUCCUGUGUGGCCAUGACCCAUGCCGACAUAGCAGCCUUGUAGAUGGCCAACUCUUGUCUAACCUCCUGGUCUCAGGACUCCAUUCAAGUGGCCAAGGCCUCCAUCCUUGACUCCAUGCUAGCAAGCAUACUCAAGACCUUUUCUUGGAAGGACACAAACUCCCCGUGCGACACUGGUUGAACUUGUGAGACUAGAAUCCCCUCAUGAAGGUCUUGGAUAUGUUCCCUAAGAUCCUUCAUACCCUUUUCCAUGCCUUGCUUGAUCAAGUCCAACCUCUCCUGAGUAUCCUCCAUGGCUAGCUCCACCUUGGCUAACCUUGUCUCCAUGUUGGCAAUGGCAUCACGAGACUUAUCCUUCUUACUCUUGUCCCGUGUAGUAGGCUCGGUCUCCCUUCCAUGAGUUUGCUCACUAGCGUCCUCAACGUUGGACCUUGACAUGCUUCCUUCACAAUGCCAGCUUCACAACCAUGCUCUGAUACCAACUAUCAUGGACUUAGUCUUUUACUAAGCUCGUGCAGCACUUAGACAAGCCAAACCCUUGAUCUUGCUAAGUCAACCUUACUCCUGAUGCUUAGCAUGCUAGCUUAAGAUGCACCUGACUUAGAAGCUUUAGAGGAAGUAGUAGGCAACUCUUAAAUAAUGGAAGCUUUAUUGCUCAAAGGAAGUCGUACAAGUGUUUUGGAACUCACUUUCUUGGUUAAGAAGUGAUUCGGGUGGUGUGUUGGCCAAAUGAAGCCUUUACCUAUUUAUAGGCACCUUAGGAAGUCUCUAAAACCUUGGAGGGUUCCUUACAAAUCAAGAAUAAUCUAGAAGCUCCUACACUAGUCUAUGUACAAGGGUAUGUACAAGAUGACUUUGGAAGAUUCUAGAACACCCCACACUAUUCCAAUGCUCUCCUAGCCAAGUGUAGAGAUGUAUGGACAUCUCUAGCCCUCUCUAGAAGCUUCCAUACUCUUCCAUUUUGUAGUUAAGUGUAGAUGUCUCCAAGGGUCUCUAGAAGCCUCCCACGUCCUAUAUAAACCCAUGGGGAGGGUCAUUUGAAGCAUCUUGUGACAUUAAGCUACCUUAGGUACUACCUUAUCGAAGCUUAGGUACUACCUUAGUUAAACUUGGGUACUACUUUUCUGAAGCCUUGGAACUUCAAUUGUGGACAUUACUUAAUUCAUUUGUGACCCUUAGAGCAUCCCAUUAUGUAAUUAAUUAGUGUGCUCAAUUGGUUCACCUUUAUUAUUUUGGGAAUUGUACCUUAGGUACCACCUUAAUAUAUCUUAGGUACUACCUUAGUUAAACUUGGAUACUACUUGUCCGAAGCCUUGGAACUUCAAUUGUGGACAUUAAUUACUUCAUUUGUUACUCUUAAAGCAUGCCAUUAUAUGAUUAUUUAGUGUGCUCAAUUGCUUCACCUUUUUUAUUUUGGGGAUUGUACCUUUAGGUACUACCUUAAUAGCCCUUAGAUACUAUCUUAGUUAAACUUGGGUACUACUUAUGUGAAGCCUCAAAACUUGAUUCCCAAGCUUGGCUUGUUAUAUUUUGGAUUUUUUAAUUAAUCAUCACAUUUAUUAUCCUAAAACGUGGUAUACAUGUGUGAAUUAUAUAUGUUUUGUACUAUCUUUUGCAAUAGUCAUUACAUGAUUGAUUGUAAAAAAUUAACUAACAACAAUUAUGUCAUUAGAUGACGAACAUGCAAAAAAAACAUACUAUGUAGUGUUUGUGGAUCGCAAACAUGGAGUGUAUGAUUCUUAAGUUGAAUGUUAAAAGAAUGUGCUCCUUUAUAAGGGGAGUGUCUACAAAGCAUAUACUUCUAGAUAUUAAGUUGUCCAAGCUUAGGUGUUCUAUGAACCAAGAUGGAAGAUAAGUGAUGAAUAUUCAUCAACUGGAAAACCAAAGUCCGAACAUGCAAUUGAUGAUGACCAUUCCUUGCAAAAUAUUUCAUAUACAUAUGUAAUCGGUUUCUUUGCUAGCUUCUUGUAGCAUUUGUUACUUAUUGUAAUAUCUAGUUUAACAUAGGUUGUGGAAAUGUGUUAUGAAUAUCAAUGUCUAGUAACGUGGUUUUCGUAGUGUUCAUAGGUAUUAUGUGACUAUUAUUAUCAAUUUUGUUACACUUAAAAUGAUGAGUCAAACGUUUGGAGCAUAAGACAACUUGUUUGUUAACGCUCACAGCUAUGGAAUUGAAUAUCCUAAAUGACUAAUGUCAUUCUUCAUCCGUCACAACUUUAAAGUGUUUUGAAGGAAGUUUCAGUUGACUAUAUGUAUGGACUAACAUGUUAUGUACAACUAUUAACUAUACACACUCAUAAUAAUUAUUUUGUUUUUGUAUUACUUGUCUCAGUGAACUAUAAUGUUGUUGGAUAGCUUGGACAUCAAAUUGAAUUUUUUAUGUUUAACCUUAUCAUGAGUCUUCUCAUGCAGGUAGUAUUGACAAUUAUAAAUUGUUAUGUCUCGUUGUGAAUUAUUAACCAUAUAGAACAAGUCUUCAGCUACUUCCAUUCACUUUGGCGCAUGCUAUUCACUGCACAUAAUUAAUGUUGAAAAGACUACACACUAUUUUCAAUAAUAUCAUGUGCAAGAAGGUCUUGUUUUAACUGCAUUUAUGUGAUGUUGAAAGUAUCCAUAAAGUGUUGUCCACUCUACAAAAACAGAGCACCCAAGGGCUAUGAAUUAUUUUAACACUUAUUAUUGAGAAACUACUCACUCUUUAUGUCAAGUAUCAUUGUAGCAAUUUAUUCUGUCUUGGAAUUCUACAGUGUGUGUACAUAAAGUGGUGACCCGCAACCAAAUUACUAUAACACAGUCAUAUGCAACAAUUUAUUGAAAAUACUCAUCACAUUUUCGUUGCAAUCUUCAUUGUAGGAAGUUAUUAUGUUUACAAAGAUUGAGCUAUGAAGACUACAUAAAGUAGGCACCCUUAACCAUUUGAAUACUAAAUAUUACAACAAGGCCUCUUUAUUUGCAAGAAGAAGAUGCAUUCCAAAAUUUUCAUUUUCAAUUAACUUAAUCACCGUUAGUAUUAUCAUCAUGCAUUUUAGUAUCUGAUUUAUACUCUAGUGUUGUGAGUAAUUCAACAACUUCAAUUAGGUUCAUAUUUUGUCCACAUUUUCUUGCAGUAUGAAACAACUCUUUCAACAUGAAAUAUCUAUUUCUUUGAAUAGUCAUUCUAUUGUUCUCUUCCUGAAUGCAGUUUAAUGUCUUACGUAAUUAAAUCAUUCCAUUCCUAUCGAUCAUUUUUGCAUAACGACAUGGUAUAGGUGCACUAAGGACUUGAAAAUCCUCAACAAGCGUUUCUGCUUCAUCAACACGACACUCCCAUUCUCUGAUCAUUGUUUGCAACCUGUGGUCAUUGUAACAAUUACACGACAUCAUUGCAUAGUAGAAUUCAUCUUCCAAAACCCAAUAAGGCCUUGUACAAUUAAAAACAUCUCUUGGACUUCAAUAUUUACCAAAUGACUGUGCAAGUUUUGAUACAUGGCUAUCGCUUGUCCCAUGUGUACAAUUGUUGAUGAAUGAUAUAUAUAGCCACCUGUAUAAAAUCACUUCACAUAAUUUACUCGUCAACACAUUGCAAUUUCAAUUGAAGUGAUAACACAUUUAGGCUCAUUUAAUUGCGGUCUCAUGUAUGCUACCUCUCCACUUGACCUUUUAUAAUUUGUAUGGAAAAACAGGUUUUCUUACACUUUGGAAUUCACCAACCUUUAUUGCACAACAACUUCCACUUGAUUUGACAAUUCCUUGUGAUAGGUGAAUUCAUAACUCACCAUGUACAUGACGUACUCCAUUUUCACGUUGUCUGAAUUGAUAGGUCACAUCACCAUAACUUGUAUGCAUUGUAAGCCAUGAAUGGAGGUUUCACUGUUAGGUUAUGCGUCAUGCACAUGUAUUGUAUAGUUCAAUAUCUAUUGUUUUAUAAUGUAUUCAACCCCUUAGAGUUGCAAUUACUUUAUCAUUUGACAAUAAAUUUCAUCAUUUAUAAAUUAAUACAAUGCACACCCCUUUUAGCCGAGUUAAUGGUUGGAGACCAUGAGAGACCCAAUUCAACAAGGAAUUCAAGCUCAUCGAUGCGAUAACCGACAUUGGGUAUUACCUGGUCCAUAUAGUUACAGUGGCUUAUGGACCUCAAAUAGAAAAGAGUAUUAUGCAACGGUGCUAAUGAAUGGGUUCAACGGGUGAAUGAGUCAAACAUUCUCAUCAAAGAGUUGUGUGCACUGCAUGCUCCAUUUCCAUGUCAUCAUUCCUUCUAAAUGUCAUGAAAUAACCUCCCUGAGUACAUUGCAACACUUUUGCAAAUACGAGAGGAAAACAAUAGAAUGGUAAUUCGCAAAGCAAGGUUUUUCUUAUUAUGUAUUGCCCAAGAAAAUGCAAACAAUAAUGGUAGAGAGUUAUCCUCCAUGGAGCGCAAUACAUUAUUACAAAAUCCUAAUUAUGCCUCCAAUUAUUCUAUGUCCGAUGAGGAUUAAGAGUAGACCUUUGAAACUCAUUAUGUCGUCAUAUGUUUUGUAUGCCAUUUGAAACUCAACCUAGGUUUAUAUUUCAUUACAAAUGUUUAUUGUUAGUUGCCUUAUGUGGAGUACAUCUAUUUGUAUUUUUUCUUUGUUUGGUUUUUCUUACUUUUCUUUUCCAAUCUCAAGCAUUCUCAAUAACUAAUUAUGGUAGUGAUUCUAUACAUCCAUGACAUACUACAAGUGUAGUUGAUGUUUUGGCUUUUGUGAUCUCUUAAACAAACCAAAAACAUCCCUUUUCUGGACUUCCAAUUGUCUUUUAUGGAUUGAAUAUAAACCAUUAUUAGGGGUGUAAAUUGUUGGGUUUUAAUACCAAAGGACUUUUGCAAUAAGUUGUUGCUUUAUCACCACAAUCUUUGUCUUCAAAAUUGUGGUUUUUGUAUUUACAACUUAUGAAGUAAACAAUGCUACUGUUGCAUUCAAUUUUUGUUUAGUAUUGAGUGUUUAAUACUUCUUCAAUAAAAUAAUUUGUAUUUGGCCUAUGCUCGAUUCUUACUGUGAAACACAAGGCAAUGGUUUCAUUUGAAUCCCAUGAAUUACCCAUUAUAUGUAAAAUGGUGCAUGGAUGGAGAAAAAGACCUAUAUGUAUAAUCUAUUGCAAGUUUAGUAUGAUUUUUUCACCAUAUGUAAGAUAGUUUGCACCAAAUCCAAGAAAAAAACAACAUUAGGUAAUGAAUACAAGUCUAUACUACAUGCACAUGAGAAAUAAAUGAGAAAGGCUACAAUACUCAUUGAAGCAUAUUAAUUCAUACCAGUGACACAGUCAAAGGUGUGCAAAGUUUGUCUUCAUUCUUCUUUGAGUCCCCAUGAAAACAAGUUGAAGGCUCUCCAAACUCCCAAUCUCACGCUUGACAGGAGAGCUCAAGAAGCAACACCAUCUGUCUUAAGUAACACCAUCUCCCAGUCCCAUGAUGAAAAUACAAUAUUUUUCGAAAAUGUUAUUGAUAUGAAAAUACAACAUUUCUCAAGCUAUACAAACUAGUAAUUGUAGUCACCUUGUAUAUAUGAGAUGUUAUCCCUAGGAAAAAAAGCAAAAUUUUCAGUUUAGGUAGAGUAAAUAGCAUAUAUAGAGGUUUCGAACAACAAUUCCAAGCAAAACACAUGUAUAAAAGAGGGGUUAUGUAGCGAAAUUAUCUACAGAUGAUGUGAGUUUGGUUUUGUUUAAGAAUGACCAUGAAUCACAGUCCUCAAAUAAAUGAAUAAGUGCAAAAAAUAGAAAGUCACCAACGUCGACCGCAUUUACCAAGAGGUCGAUCGGUUGGCUACCGAUUAAUUAGUUCGUUAGGUUGAGAAUUUAUAAAGUCAUUCUCGUCCUUCUGUUUUUUGCAACAUCUCCUCUAUUCUUUAAUGGGUCUUAUUGAUUUUAGGUUGUAAAAUAUAUUUUGGUGUGCUUCGAACUAAUUAAACUAAUUUUGGGAGAGAUUUGAGGGCUUCCAAGGCUAGGGUUUCGGAUUUGGGUCAUUUUCUCUUCAUUCUGUGUGUCACAAGCAGCUCUGUCAUCGAUCCCUCUCCAUUUUUGUUUGUUGGGGCUUCAAGUGCCAGCUUCUACCAUUUCCUCCUCUCCUCAUUACUUUAUCUCCAUCUUUUAUGGCUCCUAAAUGAGAACUGGUAGCUUCCAAGGCACAAAGCAAGCGCCCAACAGAGUCGUCUCAACCAUAGGCAUGGUAAAAGGCGUGUUUUGACACUGCCCUAUUUAGUAUCACAGAUGAGUACCAACGAUACAAACAACAUUUCUCUCAUCAUCAUGUGGUUCCUAGGAGAGACAUUAACUUUGCCCAACCAAGCUACUUUGGUUUUCAAGACCUUUUCAUGAGGAUGGGAUGGUUUUUGGUUGUGUCUUUACCCAAGCCCGUCUUUCCAUCCUUGGUUCGGGCAUUUUAUGCCAAGAUGAGGUAUCAUGUUGGAGGUCCUAUUUCCUAUACCUUGAGAGCAGUGGAGAUUGAGCUCAAUGCUAACUCUAUUUAGCGGAUUCUUGGAGUGCCAAUUAUGGGAUUAAGGAUAUAUGAGUCUAAGGUGUGGCCUCCUAUUGUGGGAUUUAAGCCUAGAAAGGCCAUUCAGAGGAUAUGUGGACUGCCAGAUGCCCAUGGGAUGGGCAAGCCAUUGUCACACAGCUUGACAAUCAUCUUUAGAGUGUUCCAUCACAUGCUACGCUUCACUUUCUUGCCAUGGGGUGGACACCGAGAUGAGGUGUUCUACACUAAUGCGUUCUUGAUGGAUUCUAUCCUGACUGGGAAACGAAUUCAUUUAGGAUAUCUUAUGAUGAUGCAUAUGAUUGCUUGCUAUGAGAGUAGGACUAGAGUUUUCCCUUAUAGACACUUUCUCUCUUUAGUAUUUAAGGAGGUCGACAUAGACUUGAGCAAAGAGACAGACUUUGAGGUUCCUAGUAUCUAUGACAUAUAUAAUGACCAGUCUAUGGGGAUGAUGAAAUUUGAGAAGGCUAAAGAUGGUUCUUGGAUAAAAAAAAGCAGAAAGAGGACAAGCACAAGAAUAGGUACACCCUAGAGUUAAGGAGGAUGCAGAGAUUAGGGAGAUGAAGGGUGGAGUAGACCCUCAGAGUGGACUAGACCCUUAAAGUGGCAACCAAUAGAGAGGUCCCGAGCUUCAUAUUCCCCCACUUCAUACAACGAUUCCUUCACAGACCAGGGGUGUUCAAUUUGAGUCCACCUUCCCUAAGUCGGCUUUUACAAAGGGACCAUCUACUCAGCCAUCACACACCGAGCCCUCCUUCUUUGGACCAAAUUCACUGAGCCCACCUAUGUUGAGAUACCACGACCUCAUGCACCUCCUGCUCCUGACCAUGCGCCAUGGAUGGACUUAUCAACCCAUAUUUGCUUUCUUAGCACUCGCAUGGAAGAGCUUACAGUGGUCACUGACACAUGAUUUUACUUCAUGGAGGAUAGGAUGGACCAAUAUCAAACUGGGUUAACUUCUCAAUUUGAGUCUCUCUAGUAGAAGAUUGAUUGCUUUGAGGAUCACAUAGAGCAAAGGAUUACUUCCAUUCAUGAUCACAUGGAGCGUUAGCAUGACAAGAUGAUGGCCUACUUGCGUUCCGUGUUUCCAUCUCCACCUUCUUAGCCUUGAUUCAUUCGAUACCCCCCUUGUUGUUUUUUUAUGUUGCGAAAGAGGGAGAUAUUUUAGGAUUUAGGAAGCUAGAUGUAGGAGACUCGUACAUGCAUAUCAGUUUGUAUCGUAUAUUACUUAUCUAUAGUUUUAUUGGACAUAUGAUGUACUAACUGAAACAUUUGACAUGAUAUAUGAUAACCUAAUAUUCUUGAUGACUUAAAUUGGAUGUUUCUUGUUGCAAUAUUUGAUAACAUGAGAAAUUCAUGUUACAUUGGAUUUUAUUAUCUAAAAAUCAUUAGAAAGAAACCAUUAUUAUCUACAAAUCAUUAGAGUUAUAACUAUGAGAAAUUCUAAGUAGAGAGACCGAGGAAGGGACAAGGGCUUCUAUAAGCCACCCAAGUGUGCCUUCAACACUAUGCAAAUAUGUGGUAAAUUUGAAACGAAAAGAGAAACUAUUAUUAUCUAAAUGUCAUAAGAGGUAUGACUAUGACAAAUUCUAAUUAGACCUGUGUUCCCACAAGCUAAUGAUUUUCAUGUGGCUAGCUAUCUAGUAAGUGGUCUUUGAUUUUUUGGUACAGGUGCAAUUGAGAGAGAGAUUAAUGGCUAUCAAGUAUAUUUGAAAAAGCCAAAACCAAACGCAACAGUCAUUCAUUUUGAGAUGAAUGCCAUCAUCUAUAUGAAGACAACUUGACAAACAAUUACCAGUAGAUUAGGUAAGGCCUUAAAACUUCCCUUGUAUUGAGCCUGUCAACUCAUUAAAAGAGAAAUAAACCAAUCAAUGAGCCAAAAUUAUGUAUUUGUUGGUCACAUUUUGCAUUGAUACAAAGGUUUCUAGGUUUUACUUAUACAAAACAAAUGGCAUAUGAAUGCAUAGGUGCACUAUGGAGUUUCAUAUCUUUUUAUGCAUAUUUAAUAACUUGAUUUAUGCAUUAAAUUUGCAUUUCCAUGAAAACCUGGUUUGUAUAAAAAUAACCUUAGGCAAAUUUUUUGAACUAUUACAUAUUAAUUUACCUACACAAUGUUAGAACAAAAAAAACAUAAAAGGUUCGAGUGUCGCAUUGAGAUAGGCAACCGGUUGUGGAUCUAGCAACCCAGCUGAUCCAAACUAUGAUGCAAUCGACCAGUUACAUUUUUUCAGUUGACAUCUGAUUGACUACUGCCAACAUUCUUCUCUCUCAUCCAGUAAUUGUGCAUUCCCCGUCGAGAGUAAUGCACUUCUCAAUUAACCGGUUAACUUUUCUCGAUCGAUCUAAUGUCGAGGUCCAGUCGAAUGGUUGAAAAAAUUAUCUCUCUUCUAGUAGCCUUCCUUAACCAAUCAAGGAACAUGUCUUCCCAAUUGAAGUCCGAUUGAGUAGUUCAAAAUAUUUUCUCUCUUUUCUAGUAGCCUACCUUGAUCGAUCGAGGAACAUGUCUUCUCGAUCGAGGUACGAUCGAGUGAUGACAAAAUUUCUCUCUUCCAGUAGCCUUGGUUACCCAAUAGAGAGAUAUGUAUUCCCGAUCGAGGGCCGAUAGACAUCCGGUCGAGGGGUGACCAAAAUGUUUUCUCUUCCAAUGGCUUUGCUUUCCUGAUCGAUGGAUAUCUCUUCCCAAUCAUAAGCCAAUCGAUGUACGAUCGAGUCCCGGUUGAUCCAAUACUCACAUGUACAAUGUAAACUAAUCUUUUUACAUUUGUGUUUUCGUUGUUUCACUUUGAUGUGGUUGAAACGGAUAUUUUAUAAACUCAUUUCAUUCCCCUUCUUCGAUUCUUUUUAUGUUAAGAUUAGCCUUUUAUUUUCUCAAUUUGUUUUGAACACCAUAAAAUUUGACCCAACAUUAGUUGUUAAAUGUAGGGUUAAAUAUGUGGCAACAAUAAAAGUCACUGUGAAAAAAAAAUGGUUGAUGGAGAUCAAUACAACAAUUGUAUCUAUGAUUAUUCUAAUUGAAGUGCUCAAUCAAGAUCCGUUAUCCACAAAAAUAUGUUGCAUAGAUGUUAUCUACAUUCACAAAUUGAUUGUCUCCUACUUUGACUUAGUCUUAUCAAGUACAAGCAAAUAGUUGAGGAGGAUCUCAGCUGCAAGAUCCACUUCUGCAAUGCACUCUCAGAUGAUCAAUGGCAACACUAUCAUAAUAACAUUUUGUUUGUCGACAAUUGGAAUCAGAAACGCAAAGUUUCGGCAUGCAUCUACAAGCGAUAAGGCACGUACAUCCAACUCUAUCCCAAUAAUAAGCGCCAAACCUCAUACCUCCCUUACAAGUGGAUUUCCUUCUAGCUUCUGUUUCACGAAUGAACUACAUCAAACCCAUCCCUCACAAUCGACAUGCCUACAUCACCUUCUCUCUAGCAUUGUUUUCGUCAUUCAUAACCAAGUUAAUUACAAGACUCAAUCUAUAUAGAUGGAUCUUGUUCUAUACACCACACAAAAAAUCAUAGGCUAGUAUGGAAUAACUUCCACAAAACCAAUGAAUAAUGUGUUGGUUGUGCUUACAUCUGCAAGUGAAUGUGCUAGUGUGGCUCCGUUCCAAUAUUGCUUGUACUUUAUAGUGAACAUCUCAUAGUCAUAUCUACAACACCAAUUUCAUUUCAUUAGUCAAACACAUGCAUCAAGCAUAAAUACAACUAUAGGACUAUCACAAAGAUAAUGAUACAAAACUUAUCAUGAAGAAAAUAUUGUACCCAUUUUGUUGUUGCAUAAUCUAAGGUUGCACAUGCACAAAUUUAGACACUUCCAAUUGCCUAUGCAUGCCAUGUGCAUGGAAGGCUUUAUCAAAAGCCUCAAACAAUCUUCUUGUUAUGACGCUUAUGUCGUUAGCCCUUCGUAAAGGCAAAGAAGAAAAGAUUUCCACUCGUGUUGUUGAAAUGUUUAUAAUGUGGAUGUGACAAUGGUUGUUUUCACAAAUUGGGAAGAAAAACUGCUUGAGGAAUGAGGAUAUUUCCAUUAAUAGGUCAGUAGGGAAAAUUAGAGUUUUUAUAAAUGAAACAAAUAUUUGACUAUGAUUUCAUUUUAACAUGUCUAUAGUACUAACUCACAAGUUGAGAAAUCAUGCCCUACAAUUUCAACAUCAAGAAACAUACAACACCUAUCCCUAAUUUCAUGCUUUUUUGCCUUGUUCAAAAGGCUACCAAGCACCACCUGUAUAAGUUUUUGAAAGUCUCAGCACAUAGUAGCCAAAUAAAACCAAUUAAGAAGUGCAUUAAAGAAGUAUGGUUGAGGCCUCACCGAGAAUGAUGGGUCAAAGUAGUGUGAUUGCGAUGGUCGUGCUUGUUGUGCAUUAAGCAUGCGGCAAACCACUCCUAUAAUUUGAAUAUGUACAAAUGUUAAUAAGCAUAAAACAAAAUGCCUUGAAUUCUUAUUUAAACUCUAUGGAUCAAGUAGAAACAUUUAACACAUACCACACUAUUAAGCCAACGACCUCCAUUCAACAAAGAAAACUCAUCCCGUGUGAUGUAUACACCAUGCAUAUCGCACAAGAUCUCAUUGCAAUGUACGAAAUGCCUUAUGUCAAUAGACAAAAGCUGAAAAAAAUUUGAUCGCAUGAACAAGAUGUGGUGAAAUAAUGUGAAGUACCUCGGGUCAUCGUCUUCCGUCAAUGCAAAAUCAGUGACGUACCCUUCUUGAUGGGUGAUUUUAAGAAAUUGUGUAAGACAUUGAGACACAAAGAGGGACUUGCAAAUGGCUACAAACUUGACAAUCCUUUUCACUGUCCAUUUAUAUCUCCGCCUAGGGGUAGGGAUAAUAGGUUUGCUACCACUUCCUUCUUCAGCAUCAAUUCCCAUAUUUUCAAGUGAAUCAAAGUCAACACCAUAAUUGGAAGGUGCAACUGAGUGUGGGCUAAAUAGUGGGGAAGCAUCUACUAAUAUAGUGGUGUCAUUUUCCAUCGGAGAAUGUGUCCUUAGUGAACUGAUAGAGUGUUCCAUAAAUUGGUGGUUGUGGUGAAGGGACUGCACAACCAGUUUACCCUCCAUUGGACCGGGAACGCAAGGUGGCAACAUCUUGUACCAAUGACAAAGCGAGGGUCACAAGUUGUUUUGAUUUUCGAAUUACACGUGCUUCAAUGGUUUAAUAGAUAGGAACAUGGAGUACCAAUUAACAAUGUCAACAUAAAUAAUCAUGGUACUCAUAUUUGUGUGUGCACUUAAAAAGUUCUAGGGACAUGGAGUACCUCGAUUGGGUCAUCGGAAUGUGAGCAUGUUGCUUCGUGUGGAGGUGCAACUAUAUGUGCAACUGGUUGUUUGUGUUCUAAAACCUACCCAUGCAUCAAACAAACAUUGAUGAUUAUGUUUGCCAUGAAAAUUAAUGAUGAAACCCAUUUACAAUUAAGGAGUUGCAGAAUGUGAGCAUACCUGGACAUGACCAUACUUUCUAUAAGCAUGAACUUUUGCUGCUAACCGCCGCUCUAUUUGGUCAUCUAUCCAUGCAACACAUAGCGUGGUUCGCACUUCAACUUUAACGCAUGGCAUGUAGAACUUGGUCAUAUAAAAAAGUUGUGCAGUGGGAAUCAAAUAUAAGUGAGUUACAAGAGCCAUUUAAAGAUCAAUAACUUCAUAAAUUAAUGUGCACGACACAUAUGACAUUCAUGUGAAGAGGGUGACAAUGUGGUACCUAAAAGAACAACAGACAACCUCUAAUGUAUGUUGGGUGACUCUUACGUUAGUCCUUUAUUCCAUCAUCAACAAAUUGUAGCACAAAGUUUGCCCAAUUUUUGUGGACAGUCACGUCACUAUCCCAAAUUAUGUCCCAUAAGUCAUGCACCCCUUCAAGUUUUAAGUUAGGGGCAAGGAUAAUGGCACAUGAAAAAUGAGGAAGGAUUUCUUGAAUUCAUCACCAAGCGGUAGAUUACGCAAGUUAUCUUCCAAUAACUGCAUGUUGUAUGUGCGGUUGGUCGUGUUGCCUAUUAUAAACAACAAUGUUCACACCAUUGUCUAGGAUACAUUCAAUAAACGUUAGUUCAAACAAACUUACAAUGAUCAAAAUAACAUAAAAUUUAAAUUUAAAAGACUACUUUUGGGACCCAUUUUUAUCAUUGCCAUUCCCAAAUUCCAUAAUGUACAAGGCAUUUGUCAUAAACAUCUAUAAACCUUAAAGAUUAACAAAAGUAACAGCAUGAUGCUUACCUUCAAAUUCCCUUAAAACAACAUGCAUAAAAACCAGCUCUUAUUGAUAUGACCCCAUAUACCAUGACCUCAAAUUUUUCUGACAAAAACUAUUAAGCUUCUAAUUCACAAUGACAACUAAUUAAGAUAACUCUUGACAUUACUAACAGCUUUAAGCAAAACCAAAUAUAUCUCAUUCUAACUGCAUGCUUAACCUUUUCUCUAUACCCAAAAUUUAUUUUUAUGUAUUUAAGCAAAAUCCACAUUGAGGAAAUUCGUUUUCCAAAAUAUUCACAUAGUCUUCUACCAACCACAAAUUUAUUUGAACUUGAUUAAGUAAACAAUAUUAUCUAUUAAUUGAGCAUUUGAAAUUCUAUAAAUUUAGUUCCAAAAUUUGACAAUUUUGAAUCAUUUCCAGAUGUAAGUAAAUUGUAAUAUUCUUUAUUUUCCACUUUAUCUAUCCUAAAAAAGAAAUAAAAAUUAAUUAAUAAUUAUUUCUUAAAUUAAAAGCACGCUUACCCAGUCACAAGCCAUAAAUUAUAUGAAUAAAUCUUUAAAAAACACUCAUUCACUCCCCUUUUGGUGUUACUCUAUUGGAUACUAGGUUUUUCAACACCUAUUCAUCCUCGUUAGGUUUUUCAUAAACUUUCAUACUUCUAACUUUUAUUUUUAUCAUGCCUUGAUUUCACAUUUCUUAAAUGUUGAUAUUUGUUUCUCAUUAACAAUGAAAUGGAACCCAAAUCUAGAAAGGUCUUAUGUCCUCUCAAUUUCAACAAUAAAAAACCAAGAUUGAUUUUUUUAGUCCAAAGUGAAUUGAUACUAUAGAAUUCUCUACGCCUUUUUAACUAUAGAUGAAAUUUAUAAUGAAGACCACAAUUAAAUACAAAAAUAAUAAAAGUGUUCUUUCAAAUAGGAAAUUAAAUAUUAAAUAAUAACAUUAUAAAAUUUAUUUCAUUAUCCUAUACUUUGCUAAAUAAAAUAAUUAAGAAAAUUUUCUACUUAGAAUUAGAUAUGUAAAUCAUAUAUCUUUUUUUACUCCACUCAUACCAUUGAAUUUUUCACCAAAUCAUCAAACCUGAAUCAUAAAAAUGAAAACAAUUUACCUUGUUAGGGAUAAUUUUGAAGUUACACAUAAAUGUAUGAUCAAAUUUUAAAAAUAAAAUUCAAAUGGUGAAAAAAGGGAAAAAAAAAAAAGUACAACAAUAAGAGUGCGUUUUGGAGUGAUUUUGGAAAGCGUUUCUAACAUUUAUAACACUUGAAUGAUAAAAAAAUUUAAAUAUUAGAAAUAUUAAAAGCACUUCCUAGAAUCACUACCAAACGGACUCUAAAUAAUAAAACAUCCUCAUAUCAAUAUUCUUAUUUAAAUCAUAUGCUAAAGGGAUCCAAGGUUAGUUUUUGCACAUUUAACCUUUUAAUAACUAAUCCUCUUUCAAAUAAUGAAUUAGUACCCUAGAAUUGUUAUUACUUAGUAUCCUUUAUUUCCCAAGCCAUACUAUACUAUUAAAUCAUUCACACAAAAUUAUUAAAAAUGUAUUAUUACGUGAGUCAAUGCCAAUGGAGCAAUUUAAUUAAGAAAAUAAGAAAUCAUCGUAAACUAUCUCUGCUAAUAGGCUCUGAAAACCAUUCCAAGUUCCAAUAUAACCUUAAAAUGUAAGAUCCAAAGAUUUCUUCAGUUCUGAUCGAAUUUCUCAGAAACCAAACAACGAGCAAAGAAACUGGUAGAAAAAGAGAAAUGAAAAGAAAAACAAACCAAACCUCUUGUGUGCCAUUGAAGUAGCAAUUUCAGUGUUGCCCUUGUUCUACAAAAUCCAUCGGCAUAAGUGAUGUAUAAUGUGUAUACGCCAUGGAAUCAAAACAAUUUGCAAUUUGAAAAGAAAAUAAGCAUUGUCUUCUGAAAUAAGGAAAAAAAAAAAGGAAGAAUUUUUGUCUUGAAACAAAAUGCCUCAUGUUGAUCUACUUUUACUAUUAAACCCACAUUAUUAAAAUCAUUUUAAAAGAAUUUAGAGUAGCCCAACACAUCCAAAACCAGUGUUUGAAAACACUCGUAAUGAACUGACAAGUCAAUGCGCUUGAACACAACAAUGGAAAUCAGAAACAAAUCAUUUUCAGAUGGAGAUGGUGAGUAAGAAAUAUACCGGAGAGAAUCCAAUGGAUGGUUCAAAUAGAUAAUAUUAGUCUCAAAUCCUAAAUAUUCUUAAGUUCUUGAGUAUUAAGGAAAGUGAGGAGGGGGUGUCCUGGUUUAUACACUCUUUCUUUAUUUGAUUGCUUGGAACUUGCAAGCGGGAAGUGACGGUCAACACAAUACUAAAAUUGAAGAUGGAGUUAGUCAUUUGGAAAUUAAAGGGACACAAGUCUGCCUAGAGAAGAAAAACAACUUUAUUGGAAAUGUAAAACUGCGUCAAAUGGAAUGAUGCUUCACUACACCGACAAUAUAUUUUUUUCUUUGAAGUUAAGAAUAUUCUAUAGUACCACUUCGAUACCUACCGAAAAAACAGUUUUGGCCAUUGGAUAAAGAUGGUUCAAUCCGGGCCAUCCAAUUGGCUUAAGUAUUUUUUUAAAAAAAAUUAAAAAUAAAAGCAGGUUGCCGGUCACCUGGAUUUCCCGCUUUUAUCUUACUUAAUCUUGUCUAAAGAUAAAAAUUUAUCUGAUGGGUAUUACACUUGACGCCUAUUUUCGGAGAGGUGAGCUAUUAGAUUGAUGGGCAUUACAACUUUUCCUGAAUUUUAGAGAGUUAAGCUUCAGAAUUUUGAGGGUGUAGAGAUGGAAUUUUCAGGUGAAAUGAGAAUUUACAGAGAGAGUGAGCUGAGUGGGGAUUUUGAAGAAGAAAUCAAAGAGAGGAGAAAUCAGCAAGAAAAGAAUCAGGCGAGCUUUGGCAAAGUAUUCGAAACCAAUCUCCCCCUAUAGGCAACUUUACUCACUCUCCUAGAAGAGGUACUUCACUUAUCUUAUGUCAUAUGGUAGUGAUUGAAAUGUCGAAAAAGUUUGGCGAUAUUUUUUAGAAAGACACGAUAUUUUUACCGAUUCAAAAAUUUCUAUUUUUAUUGAUUUUUUAGGACAUUUCCUGAUAUUUCCUACUAGUCCAAGUCGCACACAAACACGAUAUUUUGAUCGAUUAAAAAAUAUAGCCGAAAUUUCGGUAUUUUUACAAAUUUUUUUUGGGAAAUUUCUCGAUAUUUCCUACCAGUCUGGGCUACGCACAUGAUACAAAAUAUGUCCAAUUUUUUUAAAAAAAAACAUAAGAUGCUAUUUGGUAAUAUGAUCAUCAUUUGCAGGCAAAGGUUGUGUUUUUCAACCUGGCUAAAAAAUCGUGGAUUUAGGGUUCGUGAAAUUUAAAUCAAAUGGCACAAAAGCAAAGAGACCCCUAAAACAUAUCCAAAAAACAUAGGGAGCAAAAAACAAAAAGCAAUUUUUUUUGUUUUCCUUGGGGUAUUUGCAUGGAUUUUCUCGAAAAUCAAACAAGCGUGGUGUUUCGUUUUCACAAUGAUAGGAUCUCGAACAUGGUGUUUUUUAGCUUUCAAAUCUUCCCAUUCACUUUCUUCCACUGAAUCUUUACAAAGUUCUUCCAUUUGACAAGUGAGUCUUUGUAUUGCACAUCUAGCCUCUUUAAAAGCUUUUUUCGAUUAAGAAGCAAAAUAAGACAUCUGUGAGCACAUAGAGCUGAGUGCACCAUAUCGUAUGAUGUUAGUCGCAUCACCUUGACUUUCAUUGUCAUGAUGACUUGGACCAUUUCCUUUGCUAACUUAGACCACCUUUUCAUAAUACAACUCUUAAGUAUUUCUUCAAGGUGUUCUAUCUUCAUUACAACAAUCAUGUGGGGACAUGGAAAACCAACUAACUCAAACAUCAUACAAGUACAGUUCAUAGACCAAUCACUAUUACCAUAACAUACUUUCCAAAUCUUGUCAGGGCUUCUAAACUUGGUCAAUGUAUGGACAUGAUAACCUCCAUGAUUUUCUGUACUGACAGGGAAAAACAAUUCUGCAUUCCUCAUCCCAUCCCUAAAUUUUAGAAAAGAUUGCCAUGUGAAAAUAGUCCCUGCAUAUUUCUCAAGUGCAUAGAGUUUGGUUGUUAGAACAGCUGAAGAAUGGUGUGUCUCAAACUUUGUCUUUGCCUCAUUAUGACAAAUACAUGAGAGUGCUCUAUCAAAAUGCUUGACAAACUCAAACAGCUUCAAACGAGUUUUAAGGAAACGAUUCAAGUAUGCAUUCAUGCUCUCACACCUUUGUGUGCUUUUCAUACCAGCAAAAAAAUGUCCCCUUAAAUAAGCCUCUGCCCAUCUAGAAUGCUUAGCAUAUAUAUCUGUCACCCACUUAUGUCCAUGAAGAUUAAACAUUUCCAACAUGUCAUUCCAUGCACAUUCAAAUUCUUCAACGGUGCCUUCCAUGAACAUGAACUUAGAAAAAUGAUUAGUAAAAUCUUUGACAUGGACAUUAGUGAAUGCAUUGCGUUGAAUAUGCCAAGCACAUAAUCGAUGACAAGAGUUUGGAAAUAUUCUCUUAAUGGAUUUAUGCAUUGCUUUAUCCCCAUCAGUAAUAACAUAAAGAGGCUCCUUGUUAUUCAUUGCAUCCAAAAAAGUCUCCAAGACCUAAGUAUAAGUGCUAACACUCUCAUCUACCAAUAAUGCACAUACAAACACUAUAGUUUGAUGGUGAUGGUUAAUGCCAACUAGUAUGACCAACGGUUUUUAUAAGCAUUAGUCUGAUAAGUUGUAUCAAAUGCUAACACAUCUCCAAAACAACUGUAAUCCAAUUUACUCGUAGAAUCUGCCCAAAACAGGUUUGCUAGAUGGUUGUCUUCAUCAACAUUGUACUUGUUAUAAAAUGAUGGAUCCAUUUCAGACUUUCCACACAAAUAAACCAAAGCACCCUCUGCAUCACCAUCUCUUAUAUGAACUCUACGAUCAGCAUCAGCAUGGUUAUAUAGAUCUUUUUUUGUGAAGCCAACAUUGUUAUAUCCACCUGAUUGUUGCACCAUGUAAUCCAUAAUUUGGUUAGUUCCCAUGCCAACACCUAGCAUUGCAUUCAAUUGAGCCUUAUCUGCAUUUUUAAUGAACCUAUGGGAUCGAAGGAAUUGGGUAUUUUUUUGUUCCACCAAAGGAUGAUUAUGAUCAGCCAUAAACUCUUUCACAAUCCACUUAUUCAUUCGUUUGUUAAACCCAAUUCGAAAUGUUGCCUCACAACCAACUCGAGUUACUACCUUAGGUUCUCGUUUUCGAUUUUCAUUCUCUAAACACACUCUAUGUCGAUAUCUUUCUUUCGAGCAAACCCACUUAUAAGAUACUAUAUUUUGAUUUUUAUCUUGUUUCACAUCAUCCUUUCUAACACUCAAUCCGGUAACUUUAACAAAUAAAUUAUAAAAUUCUUAUGUAUCUUCUAUUGAGUUAAACUCCAUCUUCCAUACAUCUUCAACAGUUAAAUCAUUAAAAAUCUUUUCCGAAACUAGUAUGGCCUCUUCAUCAGAUUCAGUUUUCACAAUGCUAUCAUAUUGGUAAUCAAAGUCUUCAUCAUUCAAAUCAAUGAUAAAUUCCUUUACUUUGCCUUUGUCCAUCGUAUCUAUGAAGAAACUGAAAUAUAAAAGAUAGAGUAGUUAGAAAAUUACAUUAUCUAGUCAUACAUGUCAUCAAAGUUUGAGUAACAAAUGGUACAAAUUUGUAAGAGAGGGUACGAAAUUUGUUAGAGAGGGUACGAACUUUGUGAAAAAUGUACGAACUUUGUAAGAGAUGAUACAAACUUUAUAAGAGAGUGUACGAACUUUCUAAAAGAUGGUACGAACAUUGUAAGAGAUAGAACGAACGUUAUAAGAGAGGGUAUGAACUNNNNNNNNNNNNNNNNNNNNNNNNNNNNNNNNNNNNNNNNNNNNNNNNNNNNNNNNNNNNNNNNNNNNNNNNNNNNNNNNNNNNNNNNNNNNNNNNNNNNCAAAACUUUAUAAGAGAGUGUACGAACUUUCUAAAAGAUGGUACGAACAUUGUAAGAGAUAGAACGAACGUUAUAAGAGAGGGUAUGAACUUUCUAAGAGAGGGUACGAACUUUGUAAGAGAUGGUACAAAGUUCAUACAUUUCUUAGAAAGUCCAUACUCUCUCUUAGAAAGUUCGUACCAUCUCUUAGAAAGUUCGUACCUUCUCUUACAAAGUUUGUACCCUCUCUUACAAAGUUCGUACCCUCUUUUACAAAGUUUGUACCAUCUCUUAUAAAGUUCGUACCAUCUCUUAGAAAGUUCGUACACUCUCUUACAAAAUUCGUACAAAGUUUGUACCCUCUCCUAGAAAUUUCGUACCCUCUCUUAGAAAGUUCGCACCUUUUCUUACAAAGUUCGUACCCUCUCUUACAAAGUUCGUACCCUCUCUUACAAAAUUCGUACCCUCUCUUAGAAAGUUCGUACCCUCUCUUAGAAAGUUCAUACCAUAUCUUACAAAGUUUGUACCAUCUCUUACAAAGUUUGUACCCUCUCUUACAAAGUUUGUACCCUUUCUCACAAAGUUCGUACCCUCUUUUAGAAAGUUCGUACCCUCUUUUAGAAAGUUUGUACCCUCUUUUAGAAAGCUUGUACCCUAUCUUACAAAGUUCGUACCAUCUCUUAGAAAGUUCGUACCAUCUCUUAGAAAGUUCGUACCCUCUCUUAGAAAGUUCAUACUCUAUCUUACAAAGUUCGUACCCUCUCUUAGAAAGUUCGUACCCUCUCUUAGAAAGUUUGUACCCUCUCUUAAAAAGUUCGUACCCUCUCUUACAAAGUUCGUACCCUUUCUUACAAAGUUCGUACCUUGUCUUACAAAGUUCGUACCCUCUCUUACAAAGUUCGUACCAUCUCUUACAAAGUUCGUACCCUCUCUUACAAAGUUCGUACCCUCUCUUACAAAGUUCGUACCCUCUCUUACAAAGUUCGUACCAUCUCUUACAAAGUUCGUACCCCCUCUUAUAAAGUUCGUACCAUCUCUUACAAAGUUCGUACCAUCUCUUACAAAGUUCGUACCCUCUCUUACAAAGUUCGUACCCUCUCUUAGAAAGUUCGUACCCUCUCUUACACAAUUCGUACCGUCUCUUACAAAUUUCGUACCAUGUCUUACAAAGUUCGUACCAUCUCUUACAAAGUUCGUACCAUCUCUUACAAAGUUCGUACUAUCUCUUACAAAAUUCGUACCCUCUUUUAAAAAGUUCGUAUCAUCUCUUACAAAGUUCGUACCAUCUCUUACAGAGUUCGCACCUUAUCUUACAAAGUUCGCAAAAUCUCUUACAAAGUUUGCACCCUCUCUUACAAAGUUCGUACCCUCUCUUACACAAUUCGUACCAUCUCUUAGAAAGUUCGUACCCUCUCUUACAAAAUUCGUACCAUCUCUUACAAAGUUCGUACCCUCUCUUACAAAGUUCGUACCCCCUCUCACAAUUUUCGUACCUCCUCUCAAUAUAUAAAACUUCAUCUUCAAAUUUAGUCUACGAAUACACAAAAUAAUAAUAUAAAAAUAUUAAUGACAAUUUCAUAACAAAUGACUAAAUGCUCUCAAUUUUAUUAGUAAUAACUCAGAAAAAAAAUUAAAAAAUCUAGAUGUUAUAAAUUAUUUCACUUGACAUCCUUCGUAUAAUGUCUUCUUCAAGAUAUAUAAAACUUCAUCUUCAAAUUUAAUCUAUGAACAAAAAAAUAUGAUAUAAAAAUAUUAAUAACAAUUUGAUAACAAAAUUUUAUAAUAAACUCAUAAAAAUUCUAAAAUCGUUAUUUAACAUCACAUUUCUUCUUGCAAAAAUUAUAUUUGGAUAAAAAAAUAUCAAAUUUUACCUUUGACACUUGUAAUCACUUGAAAUCUUUCAUCUUCUUCAUAUAAUACAAAUUUUAAAUUUUCUCUCUCAAAAAUUUUUAAACUUGAUCUUCAAAUUUGAUUCAUCAAAAUACAUCUUACAUAUUUUGUGAUUUGGUAGUUGAAUUAUUUAAUUUUCAUAUUAAAUUACUAUCCCUUUUUGUAUAUAUGAAUAAUGAGAGUAUAAGAGUAGUUGAUAGGAUUAUCUUUUUUUAGAUAGAGUUAGGUAAUUCAAUAAAUAACAAAUUAUAUUUGAUAUUUAAUAAUAAAUUAUAAAAAAGUUGUAAUAUUUAGAUAUAGAUGAAAUGCAUGUGAUUAUUUCUUACCAACAAGUCAUCUUUACCGGUUUGAUAAGUUUUUAUAAAUUUUUUAAUGAUAUGUACUUUACACAUGUCAUUUUAUUAUUGGGGUCAAAUGUGGGUAGGUACCCCCAAAAUGAAGAGUGGUUACCAAAGAAGAACCCUUGAAGUUAUCAUAAAAUCAAGACUCUUUUUUUUUUGUACUAUUUUAAAAGGUAAUGAUGAGAAUAUAAAAAAUGACUAAUAAAAAUUAUUUUAACAUACAUUUUAAAAUUUUAGGCUAAUUUUUAGUUUCAACAUAUUAAACUACUAUUUUUUAAAGCUAUUCUUGAAAAUUAUCAAAUGCAAACUAAUUUUGAAAUUAUUUUACUUUAAGCAAUGGACUUACAAGUAAUUUUAAGUUUGUGUGGAAAGAAUUUUUAAAAAUAUUUUUAAAUUUGAAGAUUGUUUUAUAAUUUUUUGUAAAACAAAAGUUUACAUGAAUUUUUCUGAUAAAACAAAUGUUUUGUUAUGUUACUAUUGUUAUUAUUAUUUUUUUCUAAUUUCAACAAAUAUUUAAAGAAAAUUAUGCCAAGAAAAUUGGCUCUUUCGCUACAUGCUAUUUAUCUUUAUUAUUUACGAGUCAAAAUUACAUUCCCUAAACAUGUAAAUAGAAGUUUAUAAUAUUUUAGUUCAUAAUAACAUCAUGCAUAAUCCUCAAGAUCAAAAUUACCUUGGUAGAAAUAACAUAGAUAUUAUCAACUUUAAUUGUAAACCUUCAUAUUCUUUAUUUGUAUAUAGAUAUUACUCAUUUAUCUAUGUAUAUUAUUUAUUUGUAUAUAGAUCAAAUUUGUUUUUAUUUGUACUUCAAACAUAGCGGUUGUCAUUUUUUUUAUAUAUAAUUUGGUUUUAUUUCUAUGUGCCUAAUGUUAUUUGAACAUUACUUCGAUUCUUUCCUUGUACCUUGAACAAAAUUAAUGAAAAUUUAUUCAUCUCAUUCAUUUAUAUAUUAAUCUUAUUUCUUUGCACUUUAAUCCUAUUCUUUCAUAUUUUAGCUUUAUUUCUUUAUACUUUAUAAAUAAAAAUUAAUUUAUCUCAUUUCUUUACAUAUAAACCACAUUUCAUUACUGUUUGAUAUUAUUUGUUUAUAUAUUUACUUCAUUCUUCGUACCUUUUACACUAUCUAUUUAUAAAUCAACACCGCUUCCUUGUGCCCUAAAUAAUUUUUUUAAUAUUAACUCAUUUCAUUUGUUUUGAAAUUAUAAAUUACUGUUAUUUAAUUGUAUUUAUGUCCCAUUAAUUCCAUCAUGACUUCUAUUUUAUUAUGCAUUUGAGAUAUAAAUUACUUUAGGAAUAAUCCUUGAAUAGGGUGGGCUAGGGUGAAAAUUACCUAAAAGUAAAUUGAUACUUCUUAUGAAAGGGUGAGGAGCUUGUCAUUUUUUUAAAUUAUCAAAAAUACCUAUAACAGUAAAAAAAAAACUUAUCUCAAGGCUAUGAAGUGAAAACCUAAAAAAAAAAAAUGUUUUUCCAUGUUUAUUUUUCAUAUAUAUAUAUAUAUAUGCAUUUUUUUUCAUUUUCUUUGUUUAUUUUCUAUACCAAAUUAUUAGAAAUUUUGUUUAUAUAUGUGUAUAAAUGUGAAAUAUAACCUUUCUCUUUACAUAUGUUUACACAUAUACGAAACAAUUAUACUAAAUGUAUAAAACAUUUUCAUGUUUUUAUUAACAUCCAUAAAAAUAAGCAAAUAUAUUCAUAAUAGAUAGACUUGUACAGUCUAGUACAACUAAUACAUAUACCUUAUACAUUUAGUAUAAGUGUUUUGUAUAUAUGUGAAAAAAAUGUAUUUAACUUUUAUGUAUAUGAGAAAACUAUAUUUCUAAUGGUAUUAAAAACAAACAAAUAAAAUAAAGAAAAACUCUUAAAUAUAUUCACAAUUGACAGACUUGUAUAAUUUUUGUACAUUUAGUACAAUCUCUCGUACAUGUACGAAAAUGUAAAAAAAAAAAAGAUAUCUAACAUUUAUUUGUGUGUAAACAAUAUUUUCAAUAAUUUGAUAUUGAAAAAAUCUAUGAGAAUUAAGAAAAAUAUGUAAAUAGAGAUGUGUGAAUGAUAAAGGGCAUUUUUGUCAAGACAAAUUUUAUAGACUUCACAACAAUUAUGUAAACUUUAACCUUUUAAGAGUCAUUUUGAGUCCCAUUUGCCUUGAAAUUGUAAUUAUCCAUUUUUUAUUUUCAUUAUAGGUUAGGAAAGGAAAUCUUUGUUAAUGUUUUCUCUCCUAUAAUCAAAUUAUAAAAAUAAAUAUUUUAAUUAUAAUUAUUUAAUUAUAAAAAUACAUAUUAAAUUUACACCAUAUGACUUUUAAUAUUAAAUUUCAUCAUUUUAUUAUUUUUAUUAUAUAAUUCUAAUUAUCAUGAUUCUCAUCCUUGCAUUUGUUCCGUUUGCAUCUAAACUAGAAAAAAAAUCAAGUUAUUAUCACUAAUUAAAGAAUAAAAAAGGUUAGAAUGAAAAUAUUGGAAACAAUAAUAAUAAUAAUAAAAAUCUUACAUGGUAUGCACCAAACAUGUGAAUACAUCUAAAAAAUAUGAAAGUUGAAAAAAAAUCUUCAUAUCAAUACCCGAAGAAAUACAAUUUUAAAUUAAGUAUAGCCACUCAUUGAUUUAAGUAAUAUAUAAUGUAAGCACAAAUACAAUUUUACUUAGUAAUAAUGAAUAAUAUUUUUGUCCAUAUUUAUGAACUAAAAUAUUUUAAGUUUUUAUGUAUAUAUACAAUCCAAGUAAUUUCAAUUCUUAAAUAAUAAAGACAAGUAGUCACGUGGCAAAAAAGCGUUCUUCUCGUAAGUUUUUUUUUUUGACAUAAAUUUCUAUCAUAGUAUGUUAUCAAUGCCUUAAAUGUUUUUAUUAAAAAAAAACAUAAAUAAAGGUAGUGAAAUAUGUCUGAUAAUUAGAAAAUAAAAACACUAUGGUCUGUGGUUUGUGAGAAUGUUAUUUAGUUAUUUUGAGUUGUUUUCACCUAUUUUUUUUUAAUGAUAACUAAAAAAUAGAAACACGAUGAUGUUUUAUGAGAACAUCAUUUAAUUAUUUUUAUUUGUUUUUACUUAUUUUAUAAGAAUUAUUUUAAAAAAUAAUUAAAUAAAUAUGAUAAAAUGAUUAAAAAUAAAAAUUAUUUUUAAAAAAUUUAAAAUAUAAAAAAUAUAUAAAAAAUAUUUUAAUUUUUUAGAUAAAUUUUUGUUUUACAAAAUAUUGUAAAACAAUUUUUAAAAACAUUUCUCAAACGUUAUUUACUUUAUAUGAUUAAGUCAAAAUUUCUUACAAACUCAAGGUGGAAAACAAAGUCAAACUUUGGUGGAGCCUUAUUAAAGGUGAAAAUCUUUGGGUGAGUUACCUUAAAAAUAGUUUUCAUAAAUUUGUUUUUCAAGAAUAGUUUACAAAAAUGAUUAUUUAAUAUUUUUAAAAUUAAAAUUAAUUUCAAAUUUCAAAAUAAUUUUUUUAAAAUAAGUAAAAUGUUAUAUAUAUAUAUAUAUAUAUAUAUAAAGUAGUCUAAUUUCACGGUAAAAACUAAAAAUUGGAAUUAUAGUCGAAGGAAAGUGUCUUUUCAUUUCCCAUCCACUGAAUCGCAGUCAAAAGUCAUUCCAUCCAUGCAGUUUACCUUCCCAAUAAAGCUGCUAGGCAGGCUUGUGUCUCUUCAACUUUCAAAUGACUGAUUCAUCUUUAAUUUCUUGUAUUGACUGCCACUUCCCAACAAUGCUCCCAAGCAAUCAAAUAAAGAGUGUAUACAGCACACCCCAUCUUCACUCUAAUCAAAUAAAGAGGGUCAUAGGAUUUGGGACUGAGCUUCUCUUUUCUCAUUUCUUAUCCUCUGUUUGAAGUUUGAACCAUCCGUUGUAUUGUAUUCUCUCAGGUACAUCUGUUAUCUCUCAUCUCUAUCACCUACUGGUUUUGGAUGAUAGUUUGUAUUCUUCAACAUCAUUUGGGAGUUAGGCUAACUUAACUGCUUUGAAAAUCAUUUGAAUAAUGUGGGUCAACUCAAGGAGUUUCAUUUCAAGACCAAACUGUUGUUUUCUUUUCCCUUCUUUUCUUGAUUCAGUAGACAAUGCUUAUUUUCUGUUCUAAGUGUUUUGAUUCCAUGGUAAGCAUCACUUAUACAGCUGGAUUUUGUGGAACAGGGGCAUCACUGAAAUUGUUACUUCAAUGGCACCCUCAAGAGGUACGUUUUUUUUUUCUUUCUUUUCUUCUCUUUUUGUUCCAAUUUCUUUGCUCGUUGUUUGGUUUCUGAGAAAUUCGAUCUUAUAUUUUAAGGUGUCCUUUCCGAAUUUCUUUUUUCCUUUUUCCUGUCACUAAGAAAAUAUUUAGAGAUUCCUCUUUCCUAUUUUAUGAUUCUAUGAAUCUGUUCUCAAAAUAACUGGGGUCAGUUUCAUUAACUGGGGUCAAUUUUGUUCCAAUUAUUGUUAUCCCUCUCUCAUUUUGUUGGUUUUGUUUCUAUUUUAUCAUAUUGUGGUUAAUUAUUAUCAAGUUUUCUUUUCAGCCAAACAAACACGAAUUAUAUUUUAAUGUUCAUGUUUUUGAAGUGAAAACUUCAUACUUAGAUUUUUAGGUAAAGUUGGAAUGGUUUUCAGAACUUGAUUUGAUUGCAGAGAGAGUUUACGAGGAUUCCUUAUUUUCUUUUCUUUUCCUCAUUUUUCAUAACGUCAAAACAUAAAAAAUAAUUUUCUUAUCUACUUUUUAGGAUUCAUAUAUAACCUUAGUAAUAUAUUUACUUUUUCUUGCUAAUUAUUGACUACACUUCUUUUGUUAUUCCAGUAAAACUUUAAGAUAAUUGAACUGAAGGCAGGUUUUUUUUUUUUUUUUUUUUUGGAAUAAAUAAAACUUAAGGAAGGUAUCCUAAUCCCUAUUAUUAAUUUUAUUUUAUUUUAUUUUUCUCUCAAAUUAUAAAUUCCAUUUUUAUUUGAAUGCAAAACUUAAAGAGCUUGUGAGCUUGAAGUUUGUUCUAAGCAACUUGAGUUUUCUUUUUCUUUGGCAUGAAGUUGGCUGGACUUUUUAGGCUUUUUGGGUUAAUUUGGUGGAAAUCAAAUAUAACCAUUGAAUAAGACUCAACUUCUUAUUGAAUGUGAAACUUAUUUUGAUAUUGCACAAAUAUUUUAAUGCUUGAGAAGCUAGUAGUUUUCUUUUAGGACAAGUGUUCAUUUCAAAAGAAAACUAGAUAUUAGUUAAGAAUAUUUGGUAGAUUGGUACGUCCAUUAGCAUUCAUGCAUGUGAAUAAUAAAUUUUUACUGCUUAUUUUUAAUGAUUUUAUGUGAAUGGUUUUAUAGUAUAGCAUGCUGUGGGAAAUAAAUGACAUCAAGUAGUUACAAUCUAGUGCACCAAUUCAUCUUAGUUAUUAGACAGGUCAAAAUUGCAAUAAAAGAACUUGAGCCCCUUUAGUAUAUGAUUUAAAUAAGAAUGUUGAUAUGAUGAUGUAUUGGUGUUUAUUCUUGUGUUUUUUUUUCUUUUUUUGUUCACCAUUUGAAUUUUAUUUUUAAAAUUUCAUUUUUAUGAUUUAGGUUUGAUGAUUUAAUAAAAGUUCAAUGACAUGAGUGGAGUCGGAAAAGGUAUGUAAUUUACAUAUCUAGUUUCAAGUAAUAAAUUUUCUUAAUUAUAUUAUUUUGUUGUCCAAUGUUAUUAUUUAUUUAAUUUCUCAUGUGCAAGAACACUUUUAUUAUUUUAAUAUUUAAUUGUCGUUUUUAUUAUAAAUUUCAUCUAUUGUAAAAAGCCUUGAAGGAUUCUAGAGUAUUGGUUGUAUAAGGGGGUUUAUUAUGCUUUUGGGAAUGAUAUGAUUGAUAAUUGUAGAAAAGAGGGUUAAACUUCACAUGUUUAGUGUUAAAAGUUAGAAGGAAUUUUGUUGUGGAGGAUAUUUGGAAAGUUUAUCAGUUGUAAAAGCUCAAAAUGCCCUUAACAAUUAUUUAAAAAAAGGAAAAUUUGUGCUUUAGGCCUAGAUGGGUCUCAAAAUUGCACAAAGUCCUCAUAACUUGGAUAAUUAGAUCAAAAACCCAACAAAGUCUUGCAAAUUAAGAUGAAGGAUAUUGACAUUCCAUAAUCCUAGAGAUCCCCUUAGUUGUGUUGGAAAAAAAUAAAUAAUAAAACCUUGUUGGAAAUCCAAAAAUAGCAUGAUAGAUUCUAAGUUUAGCAAUUAAAAUAUCUCCUUUCGUUUUUUGAAGAGUUCAAGAGGUCGAAGCCCUAAACAAACUCAAAGCCCUAGUUUAAUCCCUAUAGUCGUCAUCACCAUCAAAGUUGCUUUAGUCACGUGAAUAUCCCAAAACAGGCUUGAAACCCUUUUGGUCGUCAAUGUGGUAGUCAACAUCCUUGUAAUCCUCGUCAUGUCAUCAUUCCUCUAUUUGCGCUCCUCAUCAUCACCAUUUUCCUUUUUGUUGGUAUCGAGACCUUCACUUGUGUAGGUGGAGAUUCACCCUUGAACGUAAGUAUUGUUUUUAGUUGAUACAUUAUUUUUAAGCUCGUAAUUCUUAUUGAUUAGAUUUCAAGUGUGUAUGGAUGAUGCUUUUAUACUUUCUAAAAUUUUAUGAUAAAAUGAUAUUAGAAAAAUAAAGAACGUGACAUGUUUUUAAGGUUUUUAAAAUAAUGUUAAUGUACCUCUAAAUCAUCAUGAAUUAGGUUUAUUUUUAGGUGGGCUUAUUGUUCAGACAUGGGUUUAAAUCUAAUAGAAGACUAAUUGAAUUAUCUUUUGUUUUCUAAACCAUUGCAUGCUAUUUUGUUGAAGUAUUAAUUUAUUGUAUGUGCCAUUCUAAAAUUGAGAAGACAACACAAUAUUUUUUCAAAGUGACAAGACAAGACUAAAGUAUGGGUGAUGGAUGACAAAUCGCUUUUCAAAUUCAUUGUUGUCAAUUUUCAUAGCAAACAUGAAAAUUAUAGAGCAUUAAAUCCAUUAUAGUUACGUGAAAUUGAUUAUGGUUUGUGCACAACUCAAAUAUGAGAUGUCAAGUGAUUUUAGCGCAUUGUAAAGACAUAAAUCUAGCACUAGGGGCAGGGAAAGAAAUGAGAAUAUGGUUAGGGAGAAACAUUAUUAUAAAAUAGAUCAUGUAUGGUGUGAUGUUAAUAUAGUAUAAAUAAGUGAUUGUGCAUAAUACCUUUCUCACCUAGGAAAUUUGAGUACUCAAUUUUGUAUCAAUCGCAUCUAUCAUCUUUUAUGUUUUAAUUUUGGUAGAAAACAUCUUACUCAUGUAUUAUGGUUUGACAUUUUCAAUAAAUUGCCUUAAUCACUAACUAUAACUUCUAUUUAUCCUAUAUUAAGGCAAAAAAAAAAAUGAAUUAUUAAUUAUGUACGAUCACUUAUUAAUAUGUUGGUGAUUUGCACACAUGUUUGUCUGGUUCAAUAGUUUCCGUAGGAGAUGAACUUUAUAAAAAAAUAGACACCAUUUAUACUUGGGGAAGCACUAAUCAAGAAAGGUUGUUCGGUGAUUUUGCAUAGGGGAAAGAUGGUGACCUGAGGUACUUGACAUUUUUUUCCCACACAUUGUUCAUGGUAUAUAUAUAUUUCACAUUCUCCAUUUAACAUAAGCUAUUUCUCACAAUUCAAUGAGGUCUUGUGCAAUAUGCAUGGUCUAUAGAUCACAAGGGAUGAACUAUCUUUAUUGAAUGAGUUUAUUUUUUGUGUAAAUAGUGUGGUAUGUGUUAAAUGCUUCAACUUCAUCCAUUAUGAAAUUAGAAUUCAUUAGAUUUUGUGUUAUUCUUAUUAACAUUUGUAUACAUUCAGAUUAUUAGAGUUGUCUCCCGCAUGCUCAAUGCACAACAACCACAACCAUUGCACUCACACUACUUUGAUCCAUCAUUCUCAAUAUGGGCUUAAACAUCUCAUUUUUUACGUACUUCUCAAUUCUUUUUAAUUGGUUACUAUGUACGGGUGCAUUCCAAAACUUGUGAAGGGUGGUGCUUGGUAGCCUUCCUUACAAGGCAAAAAAACAUAUGAAAUCAUGGAUAGAUGUCAUAUGUUUCAUGAUGCUCACUUAGUGGGAAGAGAUAUUUCGACAUGUAAGUUGGUAGUACCUUGGUUUUAAAAAUUGGACUGAAUCGAUCGGUUUGACUGUUGGUCAGUCACGGUUCCGGUCCGGUCCGGUCAAUUGAACUGGAAUUGCAUUGAACUAGGGUCAGAUCGCUUAAAUCGGUGGUCCAAUCGAUGAAUCGGUCGGUUGGAUUAAAAUUAUUAUUAUUAUUUUUUAAAACAACAUCAAAAUGAUGUUAUUUUGGAGGGUAUAUAAUGAAAAUCAUGGCUUCAAAUUGCAAACCCUCCAUCAUCCCCCCGUAGCAGCUACCGACUUGUCGUUUCACCCGCCCUUAAUGCGUUAUGGCCCACGACACCUAGACAACUCCCAUCGGUUGUCGUUACAAGCCAACAACCCUCCCUGUUGUCGCUUCUUCCCAAUUCCCCGCCACAGCGUUGGAAGCCGAUAAACCUCCCUACCGCUGGAAAGCACCCUGACUGGCUAUAAACUUCCCACACACUCCCCCCCCCCCCCCNNNNNNNNNNNNNNNNNNNNNNNNNNNNNNNNNNNNNNNNNNNNNNNNNNNNNNNNNCCGGGAAAACCCCCGGGCUGGUUUUAAAUUUUUAAAAACCCCCCCCCCCCCCCCCCCCCCCCCCCCGGCCCCUUGUAAACCCCCCACCCCCUUGAUCGGCUAUGAACAAAGGAAAGGUGAUAGUGUGACACCAUUGGGUUCAGGAGUUGUACGGAUUGCAAUGAAAACGCUCUAAUCAGGUGGCCUUCUUGUUCCGACACUUGAUCCAUUCAAUCAAAAACUAAGAAAAGAGAGAAAAAUGGAAAGAAACGAAAAAAGAAAAAAAAUUGUCAUUAUUCAUGCAAUCGGUUUGGUAGUUUCUUUUUGGGGGGUAUAAUUGCAAAGAAAAAACUCUACCUUUCUAGUUUGAUAUUUUUGUUUUUAUGGGGUUCAAUUAGUAUGGUAGUUUGACUAGUUUCCUUACAGGUGAAGUAAUCAUAGGAAAUAGGCAUUUUAAUUUGAAUGUGGAGGCGAUGGGUGAUGGGGUUGGAGCCAAUUAGGAUAUGGAAAAAUAUCAGAUUUCUUGCAUAAAUGGAUAAACAACUCCCAUAGUUCCGUGCCAUUAUUCAUUUAGAUAAAUUUACUAAUUGAUAUGUGAUUGUUAUAAAUUGCUGAUGACUUGAUUAUAAAUCAUUAAAUUGUUGACGACUUUCAUUCUCUAGAUUAAUGUGGGAUUUUUGUUUCUAAUUUGAUAGAGAAAUAAAAAAUGGAAUCAAACUUGACCCCAUCCUCUGGUCAAGAUUCAACUACCAAUUUACAAUCAACUAGAAGUAAGAUUGGUCCUGCAUGGGAGCAUGAUUUUGAAGAAAGCUAUGCAAAUUGAAGGAAAUCUUUUAUUUGUUUGUAUUGUAAAAAAAUUGAAAAAGGUAGGGUAUUCAUAGAAUGAAACAACAUCUUGCUGGAGUGAAAGGAGAUUUUGGUCCAUGUAAAUCGAUUCCUCCUAAUGUAAGAUUUCAAAUGGAAAAUUCUUUGCAAGAGUUUGUGAAUUCCAAGAAAACAACCCAAGAAACAUAUGAAUGUAGAAAUCCUUAUGGUCCUAAUGUGUCACAAUUUGAAAGGGAUAUGGUAAAAGGUGAAGAAAAGGUUCAAGAAAUGCAAAGUCCUAUGGCAGCUAGUAAUGGAAAAAGAAAAAAAUCAACGGUGGAUAAGUAUUUUGCACCAAGAAAUACUCAAGGAGCUCAACCUUCCAUGAGAAGUGUAAUAGCUGGAAAAGAAGCAAUUUGGAGAGUGGAUAUGGCGAUUGAGAGAUUCUUUUAUGAUGCAUGCAUUCUUACUAUUGCUGUGAAUUCCUUCCACUUCAAGCCAAUGUUGAAUGCUAUAUCUCCAUUUGGUCCUGGAUAUAAGGGUCCAAAUUACCAUCAACUAUGGGUUAAUCUUUUAAAGGAUGCCAAGAAGGAAGUUCAGUUACUUGUGGACUCUUAUCAUCCAAUUUGGGCAAAAGUUAGGUGUACAAUAAUGAGUGAUGGUUGGAUAGAUUAUAGACAAAGAACACUCAUCAACUUCCUUGUGUAUUGUCCUAAAUGAAUAUUGUUUAUGAAAUCAGUUGAUGUUUCAGACAAUGUCAAGGAUGCAAAUAACUUGUUUUUGUUAUUUGAUGAGGUGAUUGAAUGGGUGGGUCAACUCAAUGUAGUUCAUAUAGUGAUUGAUAAUGCAACAAAUUAUGUGGUCGCUGGGAGAUUGAUUUCUCAUAAACAUAAACACAUCAAUUGGUCACCUUGUGCAAUUCAUUGUCUUAAUUUGAUCUUUAAGGAUAUUGGUAAGAUGGACCAUGUUGCUUAACUUGUAAGACGUGCAUCAAAUGUGACAAUUUUUGUGUAUAAUCAUGUUGCUUUGUUAAGUUGGUUGAGAAAAAGAGAUGGAUGGACAGAGAUUCUCCGACCUGGUGUAACUCGCUUUGCUACUACAUUCAUUGCACUUAAGAGUCUUCAUGAUCAUAAACAUGACUUGCAAGCUUUGGUGACUAGUAAGUGAUUCAUGCCCAAUUGGUGUCUCAGUUGAUUCAUGUCCAGCUGGUGCUCCUUGAUUGAGGGAGUAAUCAACAAAAUUUAUAACCUAUUACAUCAUGUACUAGGGUAGCAAAGACAAAGCUACUAUAGCAUAGUGGCUCUAGGAUCGUUCACUGGGAUGAGUUUUCACUUCACAAAUGAUAUUAAUUCAAAGUUGAAUUGGUGCCUUUUCAUUUCAAGGUUAGCUUUAAAAGAAAACAUAAAGAAGUUUUAAACUAACAUAAAUAGUAACUGAUUUUACUUACAAAGAAAAGUGUUUCUUGGAGUUUCAGAUCACUAGGCUCAGAUUCCUCAUACAAAAAAGGGAGUUCCGGUCAUUUGUUUCUUUUCAUCGCAUUAGAGAAUUAACAUAUAGUUCCUUCUCCAAUCGGUGUUGUACAGAUGCUUCCCAUUAAUGGGUUCAAACACUAAAUCCCUCUCACUAAUGCAUCUUGCAAUGGCUCGUGCCUCUCACCUAGCACUUUGCCAUUCAAGGUGAUCUUUAACCUUGGAUUACCCGUCAAAAGCUUGCAAGAGAUAACUAAUGGAUGUCUCUUUGGAGUCCAAAAGCUUACCAAGUGUUGACUAUUCUAGAAAAUCCUACCUUCAAGUCACCUCCCAAAAGCUCGCAAGAGAUAAACUAAUAUAUCUCCAUGGACGGAGAUCACUUGCCUUACCAAGUGUUGGCUCAGGUGAAUUAAAGGCGUUUUAAGUUAACUAAAAAGAUAAAAACCAUUAACGGGUCACACUUUCUCUUCAUUAAAAACUAAAACAACAAAACUUCCAAUUUAUGCAUGUGGAAACUUACCCGGCUUUCCUCACUCCAAGAGACAAAGAGCCUAGCCUUUCAUCCUCUGAGGAAAAAUCCUUAGAGUUUGAUUAGCUAGAAAGAAAAAUAACGAGAAAACAAAAAUAUAUAUAUAUAUGAAGGAAAAACAGAGCAAGUGCUCUAUAAAAUAUAUAUCUUCCUCCCGUCGGAUUACAUGAUUUUUCUGAGAACAAGCUCCUGAGAGCUAUAUAUAAAGAAAAUUACAAAACAAAAUAUCUAAGGUUAUUCACCCCUUUUCCAAACUUAAUAACUAAGGAAUCCUAUAAUUGGUGGGUUACAAGGAGAAAAUGGGGAUUUAGACAUCAAAAAUCUAAAGCAAAAUAUCCAAAAGUGUCGGUCGCAACUAUCGGGAAGCUUCAGGAGAACACCCGUGCGCUGUGCAAAAUGGCUGCGAAAUUCUCGCAGCAAAAGGUUGAUUUCGCAGCCGUGCAAAAAUCUUCCUUCAGCUUGGAGUGAUCUGCUUGCAAUGGCUCUAACUCCUUUGUUUCAACUCCGAAUCAUGCACCGUUUAAAUCAUUGGAUUGUUGACUUCCUGAGCUUUGAAAUGGUAUAUAGAAUGUAGAAAAUGGACUUCGAGAAGUGCUCCAAAAGUGCGAAAGAAGACUGCAGCUACUGUCCUCUGUUUUCUUCACUCUGUUUUUCCUCUCUCCGUUGUUCUUUCCUUGCAUACUUUGAACGACUUUGGCAAAGGGCUAUGGAGCUCCAAAGCUUGGUUCUUCAUGAAUUUGAGUUUUCCAUUGUUUUUCCAUGGAUUCCAAAGAACUCUCCUCAAUCUUGGAUUGCUUUGGUGAUCAAAAAGCUAUCAAAACACCAAAACUUAACACAAUUUGAUUAGAAUUGAUUGCAACGGUCCUUAACAUGUCAAUUGAGUUAAAAGGUAAUAAUUACUACUCAAGAGUGUUUAAAAGAGUUAAUUACAAGCUACCAAAUAGCACUUUUUGAGUAGUAAUCAGUAAGUUCUUUGUGACUCUAGAUAUUCAAAGGAUAAUAAAAGCAAAGUUGCAGUUUCCAUCAUCUUGGAUAAUAGAUUUUGGAAUGAUUGUUUGAUUGUUAUGAAUCUUAUGUCUCCACCAAUGCGCUUAUUGCAUAUUGUUGAUUGUGAUGAGAGGCCUUUGAUGGGAUAUGUGUAUAAAGGCAUGUAUAGGGUUCAUUUGGGCAUCAAGAAAUUGUUUAACUACAAGAAAAGACUAUACAAGCCUUAUACAAAAAUCAUAAAGCAACGUUGGGAUCAACAACUAAAGAAAAACAUUCAUUCAGCAACUUAUUAGUUGGAUUCAUGUUUCCAAUAUGAUCAGGAAAACUUUUGUAAUAAGACAACUGUUAUUGUAAGUGUCAUGAAUGCUAUUGAUCAAAAAGUUCUGAAAGACAAGCUUGAUACAAUGAAUGAAAUGAAGUUGUUUCGUGAUCGAAUGUGAAGUUUCGGAAGAGACCUUGCUUAUACUUCAUGUGAAGUACUUCAACCUGGUAAAAGAUUAUUUUCAUUUAUUAGUGUGUUUGUUCUUUUUUAUUAGUUACCUACUUAUUAUUUAAUAUUUUAAACUUGCUAAUGCGUUUUAUUUUUUUCUUAUUUUUAAUGUGAAAUGAUAACUAGAUGAAUGGUGGAGGCUACAUGGAUACAGUGUACCACAUUUGCAAAAGUUGGUCAUUCAAAUAUUGAGCCAAACUGCAUCAUCUUUUGGAUGUGAGAGGAAUUGAAGUGUCUUUGAACGUAUACAUACCAAAAGAAGGAAUAGAUUGGAACAUCAAAGGCUUAAUGAUCUUGUAUACGUUCAUUACAAUUUGCGACUAAAAAAUCGAUAUAAAUGCUUUCUUAGUUGUUUUGAAUUUAAAUUCUUUUAUUCACAAUUAUGAAUAAUCAUAUGCUUUUCUUUUUUAGGUUCUAUAACAAGAAAGAAUCUAUGAUCCCGUUGACUAUGCAUGCAUUGAUAAGAUUGAUUUUUGGAUAGUUGAUGAGGAUCAGCCAGUAGAGCUAGAUGUUGAAGAAUUGGAAAAUCUUCUAUAUGAAAAAUGCUCAAUUCCAAUAAAUGAAGUGGAAGGUUCAUGUUCUCACAUUGGUUAAUAAAAUAUUUAAACUUAUAAAAGUUCAAUAAUUAUAUAUUUUUUUUCUUAAAAAAUGAUUUCUUGUUGAUAUAUAUUCAAUAUUUUUGUAGAUGACGAGGAUGGUGGUGGCGUGGCUAUAGAAGGGCUUGAUAUGGAGAACUUUGGUUUUCCAGAUGCUCAUUUUCAUUCUCCAUAUUCCAGUUUUCAGAAUGAAUGAAGACAUGAAUUUUAUAUUUAUUAGUAUGUAAAAAUCUUCAUGAAUAUUCAAACAUUGACAUGUUAUAUUUUGAGUGAUUAUUUAAGUGUUAUGGUUAACAUUUGCAUUAUUUAUUAUGGACAAUGUGUUAAGUUAACAACUCUUUGAUAAUUUGGUUAUUAUAGCAUUUAAAUAGUUUGAUUAUUUGAUAGUUAUUGGGUUUAUUGACAUUAUGAAUGUAUAACAUCUUAUAUUGUGUUAUACAUAUCAUAUAUGAUGAUUGAUGACUUCUACAAGUAAAAAAUUUUGUGAAAAAACUUAACAAAGUAGAUGCUGUCAAAAUUUAGAUAAAAUUUAUUAAUUUAUUAAUUUUUAAUAAUAUAUAAAAUAAUAAAAAAAUUAUUUAUGACAUCAUCGAUUCAACCGCGAUUCGAUCGUCAGUUCGACUAGUGAAUCGUGAAUCAAUAACUUUUUCGGUUCAAUGAUCGGUCCGAUUCUGAAAACAUUGGAUAGUACACACAUUUUACAAUUGAAUCCAAUUAAAAAAAAAUUAUUUUCAUAUUAAAAAAAACAAUGACUUUAUUUAGUAAUCUACUAACUAAUAUAUUCUCAUUCCUUAUGCAGCUUUUCAAAAACAAUGGCUUUCUUUAGAAACCUACUAACUAAUAUAUUCUCAUUCCUUAUGUAGCUUUUCAUCCCUAUUUAUGAUAACAACCAUUGGCACAUCCACAUCAUAAAAAUUUCUACGACACGAGUGGAAAUCUUAUCAUCGUUGCCUUUGCAUAAGGGUAACGAUAUAAGUGCUGGAAUGAGGAGAUUGUCACAAACUACUGAUAAAGCCUUCCAUGCACAUGGCAUGCACAUGCAUUUGGAGGUGUCCAAAUUUGUGAAUGUCUAACCUCAUAUGGUACAAUUGUUGGUAUGGAUAUGAUUGUGAUAUGUUUGCUAUAAAAUACAUGGAAUAUUGGAACAGAGCAACAUUAACACAUUCACUCGCGGAGGUAAGCACAAACAACACGUUAUUCAUUGGUUUUCUAGGAUUUCUUAUAAACUGCCCUAUGAAUAUUUGUGCAUUGUAUAGGACAAGAUUCAUAUUUACAGAUUGAGCGUGGUAGUGAACUUGCUCAUGAAUGAGGCAAACAAUGUUAAAGACAAGGUUAUAUAGGCCUGUCCAUUGUGAGGGAUGGGUGUGAUGCAUUGUAUAUGCAGGGGUGUAUUGUGCCAGUAAGUUAUGUUUCCCUCUGUUAUUUAGUUGUUUGAAUAAUCACAAUUAACCAUUUGGUUGUUAGUCUCAAGUAAAUUGUGUUUUGAUUUUUUUUAUGGUGGUUUUCUUUUCUUGUCGCCCUCUAAGGUUAACUUGGUUGAGAAGAAAGACAAUGGCUUGAAAACUAUUGAAUUUGUCAUUACAGGUAAUUUUGUUUGAUCAUAGACUUGAUGUUUUUUUUUAGGUUUUCUGAAUGAAAGGUUGAAGUUGUUAAGGUUUUCAUGGCUAAGAAGUGGCUUGAGAUUCUUGUGGAGAAAGAACAAAAGAGCUUGCUUGAGGUUAAAGAACAAACACAGUCUAGUUGGUUAACACGCAACACCUCCUAGUUGAGUAGUGUUGUUUAAGGUGUAAGCUAGAGUGUUUCAGGGUAUUUAGGAUCUAGUCCUAGAGACCCUUACCUUGAUAAGCAAUUAUGAUCUUAGUGUGCUUUGAAAUUUAUUUUUUUAGCAACAACUUUUUUUUGGAUGAUAUGGCUUCCAACAGCAAGUAUGACACAUUAUCUUCUCUACUGUAUUCAAUCUGUUUAAGAGAGUCGAUUAUGUAACUUUUUUUUUUUUCCUUUUGUCCAAUUCUUGGGAUAUGUUCAUAAAUUUUGUCAUAAUAAAUAUGGUGCUUUUAUAUAUGUUUUUUUUUCUUGCUUUAGGCAAUUUCUUCUAGUUGCGUUGUAUAUCUACAAAAUGGAGUUUCUAAUGUUUGACACCAAAUACUAUUAUAGUUGUUAAUUUUAGGUUGAAUGGAUUAAUCAUGAAGUUUUCUUAAUAUUUGCAACUGUGUGGUACUAAUCUCAUCUAUACCUUUUUUUAUUUUAUUUUUUCUUUAUGGUUAUUAGUAAUUUAGGACAAGGAUGUGGAUGUUCACUUGAAUAUAGUCUUCAUUCCAUUUUUCUUUUUUGAGUGAUGUUGAUUGGGUUGAGCUUAUAGUGUGUAGGCCCUCCAUUUUUUCCUACUAGCACAUGCCUUAUUGUGUGUUCGUUUAGUACUUUACAGAAAUUCCCUGGUGACCCAUUACUACUCGUGUAACCUAUCUUUUCUAAGCCACCUUGGGGACUUUGGUUGAGGGAUUUAUCUAUCCCCAUUGUGACUUUUGGUAGCCCUAGUUUAGACUUAGGCCCAUUUGGGCACCAUAAGCCCACUUAGGCACCUUAGGAUCACUUAGGCACCAUAGGCCCACCUAGGCACCUUAGGUCCACUUAGGUCCACUUAGACACCUCAGGCUCACUUAGGUACCCUAGGCCCAUUUAGGCACCUUAGGCUCAUUUAGGCACCUUAGGCCCAUUUAGGCACCUUAAGCCCAUUUAUGGGCCUAUACCCUAGGCCCAUUUAGGCACACUAGGCCCAUUUAAGCACCUUAGGUCCAUUUAGGCACCCUAGGCCCAUUUAGGCACCUUAGGUCCAUUUAUGCACCCUAGGCCCAUUUAUGCACCCUAGGCCCAUUUAGGCACCCUAGGCCUAUUUAGGUACCCUAGGCCCACUUAGGCAAUUGCAUGGAUGUAUGGUUUGCAUGGUUGCAUAGCUCGUAUGGCUUGCAUGUGCUUGAUUUUGUUUUUGUUUUUUAUUUAUCUCUGUUUAUUAGUUUUAUUCAUUUAUUUAUUUAUUUUUAGGAAAUUGCAUGAGCUUAAUAAUCAUAUUCGUUUUGGUUUUAUUUAUCUAUUCAUUAAUUUAUUUUGAUAGAAAGUUGCUUGAGUUAAUAAUUCAUUUUAGUUUUGCAUGUGAUCUAUAUUUUUUAAUUUCAUUUAAAAUUGCAUAUUUUGGAUUUUUAAUUCUUAGUUACAUGUUUUUUUUUUAUUAUUCUAACCCUUAGUUUUCUUUUAUUGGUAUUUUUAUUUUCCUUUUCCUUUGUUUUUAUUAUUUGUUUUGCAUGGGAUUUUACGUGCUCCAUAUGGGAAAGGAAAGGGAGCAUGCAUGGGAAAGGAAGGGAACACCAUUUUAGAAAAGAAAAUUGAGGGUUGGUGGAUUGGAGAAAAAGAACGAGAGAAAAGAAAAGGCAAAGAAAAAUAAAAUUGGAGGGUGAUUGGAAGAGGAGAAGGAAACCUUUCCUGCUGUGUCUUCCAUCAUCGUGGUUGGAGAUGGGUCUGAUAAAGGAUUGAGAAAAUAUUAAAGAAAGAAAAAGAAAGGAAGGAAAUGGAGACACGAUUGAAGUUGGCAGUGGCAUCAUUUUGGAUAGAGAGAAAUGGCGUUUUAGAAGGAUUUUUUGAGAUGUGAGGUUGUGAUUUUCAGAGGUGAAAUCAAAUAGUGUUUUGGAAAAGAUUCGGGCUGCUAUUCAGGGUGAAAUUAGUCCGUAUUUUGGAAAAGAUUCGGGCUGCUGUUCAGGGCGAAAUCAGUCCGUGUUUUGGAAGAGAUUUAGGCUGCUGUUUGGGGUGAAAUCAUAUCAUAUUUUGGAAGAAAUUCAGGUUGCUGUUCGGGGUGAAAUCAGUCCGUAUUUUGGAAGAGAUUUGGGUUGUUGUUCAGAGGUGAAAUCAUAUCGUGUUUUGGAAGAGAUUCGGGCUGCUAUUCGAGGUGAAAUCAGUCUGUAUUUUGGAAGAGAUUUGGGCUAUUGUUUGGGGUGAAAUCAGUCCGUAUUUUGGAAGAGAUUCAAACUGUUGUUUGGGGUGAAAUCAGUUCAUAUUUUGGAAAAGGUUCAGGCUGCUGUUCAGGGUGAAAUCAAAUUGUAUUUUGGAAGAGAUUCAGGUUGCUGUUUGGGGUGAAAUCAGUCCGUAUUUUGGAAGAGAUUUAGGCUGUUGUUCGGGAUGAUAUCAGUCUAUGUUUUGGAAGAUAUUCGGGCUGCUGUUUGGGGUGAAAUCAGUCUGUGUUUUGUAAUAGAUUCAGGCUGCUAUUUGGGGUGAAAUCAGCCUGUGUUUUAGAAGAGAUUUAGGCUAUUGUUCAUGAUGAAAUCAGCUCGUGUUUGGAAAGGCUCAGGGGACUGUUGUUUUGGGGAAUCAGUCCAUAUUUUUAAGAAGCUCUAGUUGCAAAGAAGGCAUAUCAAGGGGCUCACUAACCCAGAAUUUUUACAGGCUACAUUCUCUUGGAAUCAGGAUACCAUUUUGAUACAGUAGUAGGAGGCACCAUUAGGUGGAUUUAGGCCAAGAAUUUUAGAAUAAGAGGUUGUAGGUUUGGAGAUUUGGAGACGUUGUAACCGAGAGGUAAAAAAGGGACCACACCACCACAUCCUUUGCCACCAAAAGGACCCACAUACUGUUACUUAGGAGAGUAAAGAAGCAUCACACACUAUUGAAUAUUCUGAAAAUCUGAGGCUGCCAGGUUUCCACUCUUUCUCCAUGUUACAUAGCCACGGACAGUUCAUCUAGAAUGCCACUCAUCCAGUCUUCAUUCGCACAACUGCCACUUUGAGAAAGACACAUUCCACGCCAUUGCUUAGAAAGGUAAGUUGGAACUCCGUUUUAUUUAAAUCUUGAUUUAUUACAUAAAAAAAUGUGUUGAUCAUCAUUAGGUUGAGGCUUCGAUUUAUUGUGUCAGUUUGAUAGAGUUUGGCUUACUUACUUUCAGUUUCAAAUUUGUUAGAUUAAAUUAGAAAGGUUUGAGUUUAAAUCGAAAAAGUUUAGGUCUAGUUUAGUUUCAGUUUUGGCCCUAUUCAUGUACAUGUGUUCUUUAGAAUGUUGAUAAAUUUUAUUUUGGGUACUUCCAUUUAAUUCUUAAAAUUUUUGGAAUUUUAAAAUUUCAUUUUUGUAAAAUCCUUGUCAUGUUAUUAAAUUGAUAAAUUGUUGAUUAGAUUGGUUCCUAUUAAUUACUAAAUUAUAAUGAUUGGUUUUAGAUAAAAUCCAUGCCAUGUUCUCAAUUGUUUUUUUUUUUUUUUUGUUAGUUCGGAUAAUUUUAUUCAAUCCUUGAGUUUUAGAUUAUUCUGUUUUGAAUUUAAUCCACACAAUUGCCUUAGUUGUUAAUGUUCUUAAUUGGUCUCAUGUCUUUAAUAUCUUCUGUUCUUUUUUUUUUUUUUUUUUUUAAAUUCAGGUGAUGUCUUUAGGAUUAAUUUAUUAGUUUGAUUGAUUCUAGACAAUUGUUAAGGUUGUCUAUAAUUUUAAUUUUAGCCAAAAAUCCAUAAUUAUUAAGUUAUUUAGAAUUUUUGUUUUAGUUAAAAUCUAGACCUAUUCUAAGUUAUUAAGUUGCUAGUUUGACCUACCUUGCUAUUAUUUAGUGUUUAUAAUUUCAAUUUUAGUUAAAUCCUUGCAUGUUCAAGUUGAUAAUUUUAUUUAGUUUGAUUGGUUCUUAUUUAAUUCCUUACUUUCCAAAGUUUAAUACAUAAUUGUUGAUGUUGGCUUCCUUAUAUUUGAUUGAAUUGUUAGUUAUUUAUCUUUGACACUUAUUUUAUAGGCACCUUAGGGAAUUCUUGAGUUUCAAUUUUCUUUUAGAAAAUGUUUUCUUUAUUAAAUUGACAUUUUGAGUUGAAUCAAAUUUUCUUUUUCCAAAAAUGAAUUUUUCCAUCAUAAGUUUGACUCCUUGAUCCCAAAUGAAAGGUAGCCAGAAAGAGGAUCCAAUUUAACUUUUCUUUUAUUCUCAAAACCCUCUCAAGUUAGAAAUCAAAAUUCUCUAUUUUAUGUCUAUUGUAUGGGAUUUAACAAACCAUUGGGUCCUUUUUUUUACUUCCCUUAAAGUCAUUUUCAAAAGCAUUUAAAUCACCAAUAAAAAGUUUUAGAAAAUAUUCAUUUUAGCUUUAGGCAAAGAACACACUUCUUUAUUAAAAUAAUGCAAUUAAUUUCAUUUAAGUUGCAUUUCUCCUUUGUUGGUUUUUCAAAAAUUUGGUUUUUAUCCCCAUAGGUUUGGACUUGUGCUCUCAAACUAAUGGGAAUACACAGGUAAAACUUAUGGAAAUUGAAUGGGGACUUGAUCGAACCCCUACAUAAGAAAAUUUUCCAAAACUCUUCCUUACUGCUAGUUUUCACUCAACCACAUACCUUUUAGUUUUAAAAUUCCUUUUAACAACUUUAGAAUAUUUUUAAUUUUUUUUCUCCAAAACUUGUAUGAUUAUCCUCACUUCUUGAACUUGAAUUUAAGAUUUCAUUUGAGUUAGAAAGCAAUUUUGGAAUAGAAGAUAUGAAUGAGUUUUUAGGGGGGCUCAGUUUUCACCCAGUUCUGGACACCCGAGACAUUUAAAAAAAAAAAAUACCAGACGACUUUUUAAAUUUGAUUCAAUAUUUUUAUUCAAUUCUAGAUUCUUGAAUUUGAUUUUAGGCACAUAAAAUAUAAAUAAAUAUGCUUUUUUGAGGGAGAUAAGAUUUUUCAAAGUCGUACCUACUGUGCAUGCUAGAUUCUAAACAUUUGAUUAGCUUGAAUGUUUUUAAAAUAUUUUUAGUACUAUCCGACCCUAGAUUCAUUUUUUAUGUGAUGUAGACACUUUGAACUAUAUGUGUGAUUUUUUGUAUGAUUUUAUGUGAUCAUUUAUUAUUUUUUUUAAAAUUCAUUUUUGUAUGUCAGUUUUUCUUAUCUAGUUUGGACUUUGUAGAACCUUUAGGUGUCUUCGCUGCAAUCUGUCCUUUGAAUGAGAGUUUGGCCUUCGGUAUGUUGAUUUAGAUGUGUAGGAGUUGUUUCCUGAAUUUUCGUAAUUAAAUUCCACUCUAAGCCAUUUUUUAGAAUUUAUUUUUUUAUGCUCCAUUUUCUAAUUGCAUGCUGUUGAUCUUGUACAUUGCUUGAAUUAGUUAUUUAUUUUUGGAGUCAUUUGACUUACCUUGGCUCAAUUUUGGCUUUGGUAUUGUGUAUUAGAUGUAAUGAAUAUGUUAUAUAAUUCAUACUUGUCCUAAUCACUCUAACAUUUUUGGAGGAAUCUUAUAAAUCAUGCAUGCUAUCCAGGUAUGCUUUUUAUCACUUACUUUUUGAAAUCUUAUGAACAUGCACGUUGUUGUGAGUCUUAUUUAUACUUGAUGUGAUCCUUAGGUGCUUAUAUGUAUGCUUGAUUUGCUUGGAUAAAAUACAUGUGUGCUAUAUUUCCAAACUAACCAUUGAUGUUUUGUGACAACGCUUAAGAAGCAAUCCAGGUAUGCACUCAAAUCUUCUUUAUGAUUUGUGAUUGGUUUUUCUUAUUUGGCAUGCUAUUUUUUAAAUCACCUAACCUACCUAGGUAUCCAUAAUCAACCAAUUAAUUGCCCCAAUUCCCUCAACUUAGUCAGUAGAGACCUUUAUAGGUCUUAGAGGGGUGCUACCUCCUAGAGGUACCUUCCCAAUAAGUAACUUGAUCCCCAAACCUAGACUUGGGUUUUUCAAAGACAUGCUUUUCCAAAAACUAUGGAGUCAUUUUUUAGGGUUUUAUUUCUUAUUUUAUUUUCCCUUUAAAAUAAAAUAAAAUAAGUGGUGACUACGAUUUUUUCAAAAAUAAAAGCGAGUCUCGCCGAUGAGUGGGGGUCCACAUAGUGGUUUUCUCAACUUGCAAUAUCAAAGUUUGAUGGAUGGGCCUAAUAUGUUAGGGAACAACUAAAACCCUUUUUGAUUAUCCUUUGGCAUGAUGAGAUAAAAUCAAAGACGCCUUCAUCUCAUACUCCUAGGAUUCUGAUAUGAAAUCUCAUCGUUUAGAUGGUUGCAUUUGUUUCAUUUCUUUAAGAUUAGAUUCAAGAAUUUUACCAUAUCCCCUCAAAUUUGUUAUGAAAGUGAAUCUUUCUUUCUUAAUCAACUUCCCCAUCCGUGGGGUUGGAUUGAAUGAAUGUGUGUUUGGGUAAGUUUUUAAAGGAAAAAAAGCAGUUAAAUUAAUAUUAAUCUCAAUGCUAUAGUAAAUUGAAAAAAUUGAAUCAAACCAAUUGAAAAUUUUGAAUUGAGCCAAGUUGUUUUAAUCAAAUCAAACUAAGUGUGUUUAGAGUUUGUUUGACAAUGAUUGUAGAAAACGUUUUUAGUCUAAAAUGUGUUUUUGAAAAAAAAUAUUACGUGUUUGACAAAAUUUAAGAAAUAUUUUUAAAAAUUUUUAAAAUCACUUGUAAUGUUUUUGAAAAAUCAUUUGUAGUAAAAAAAAAUAAAAAAUUACUUGAUAGAUGAUUCUCCCAAACAUUCUUUUAAUAUUGAUUUAGUUUGAUUUAUACUAAGUAAUUUAGAUUUUAAAUUCAACUGGUUUUUAAACCCAAUUGGUCUUUUAAUUUUCAAAAUACAUUUAAAACUUCUAGUCAAAUAAUAAAUGUACUUAAAAUUUAUUUUAUUAUAAUCUAAUGAUAAUAAAAAAUUUUCAAUAAAAUCUAUAAAAUAUACAUAGGAAUAAAAUUGUUUUAAAAAAUACUCUUCUAAUAUUUAAAUAAUUACAAAUUAUAACAUAUAUAAGUUUUAACAUCUUGAUUCAAUAGGCUAAUAUUACUUCACCUAGAAUCAAUUCAUGUUUGAUGAUAUCACAUGACGAUAUGAGCCUUUUACACUAUAAUUUGAUUGCAAUCAUUAAUUUAUGCAAAAACUGCAUGAUAUACUGCUGCUUGAUAGACUAAUGCCAUUAUUUGCAAUGACUUGCAUUCUAAUCCAAAUCCAUCACUUGCCAACAUAUCCCAAAUUUGUACUUAAUAAACUAUAACUAAGUCAAAGCUGUUGGUGGGUUAUGAGAAUGGAAGAUUUCGAUAUUCAUGAGCUAAAAAGGAACAAUAAAUGUAGUACACAUAAAUCAACUAACAAUAAACUUUUCUUAUGAUAUAUGAACCUAGGGUGAGUUUCAAAUGUCAUAGAAAACAUAUAAUGUUGUUAAUAUGAAUACCGAAAAGUUCUAAUAUUAAUCCUCAUCGAUCACAGAAUAAUUAGAGACAUAAUUAGGAUUCUGUAAUAAAGCAUCGCACUCGAUGGAGGAUAACUGUUUGCCAUUAUCAUUUGCAUUUUCUUGCGCAAUACACAGUAAAAAAAAAAUUGUGCUUUAUGAAUUACCAUUUUAUUGUUCUUCUCCCAUAUUUGCAGAAGCGCUUCAAUGUACUCAUGGAGGUUAUUUCGUGGCAUUCUGAAGGAAUGACUUCAUGGAAGCAGAGCCUACAAUGCACACAACUCUUUGAUGAGUAUGUAGUAUGCUACAAGGGAUGUGCAUAAUGUCAAUUUAUAAGGGCUUAAAUUUAUUUUUGAAGGCUAUGACAAUUGCAAAUUUAAGGGGUUGAAUUUAAUCUUAGUGCUAUACUGUCAUGUGCAACAAUUUUAAUUUAUUCAUUUAAGAUAUUUUGAUUUAUUGAGUUAGUUCAAAUAAGUAGCAGUAGUGGGAUUCAAAUAACUAGCAAUAGUGGGCUAAAGAGUGGGUAACGUGAGCUAUUUUUUAGUAAUUGUUGUUGUUUAAUCUCUAAGUUGUUGAAUCUAUUAAAUUAUAAAUUUCCUUAUUCUGGAGCAAUAAAACCAUCAGAUGAAAAACUUCUAAAAACUUGUCUUUGUUUUCUGCUUUCAAAAUUCUUUCAAUUCUGCUCAUAUUUUGCCUUAGCAACAUAACUCAAAGGCGAGGUAGGGGGCGAGGGAGGGGACAGGAUCGUGCCAUUAACUUAGAACGUGACAGAGUCGUAUCAGAGUCGGUUAUGGCUGAUGAUCAACGACUCCAAAGGCUUGAAAAUCAGGUUGAGAACCUGAGUUCAGGUCAAGAAAGGCUCCUUAAGCAGAUGGAAGAACUAGUGGGGGCAAUGAACUCCCGAUUAAACUUGUAGGAAGAAGGGCCCGUCAAUAGGAAUCAAGGACCACAUGGACAGGGUGGUGUUGGGUACGCAGGUGGACUAGUGGUUCCUAAGCUUGCAAAGCUUGAUUUUCCUCGCUAUGAUGGCUCGAAAGAUCCAACUUUAUGGAUUUUCCGCGCAGAACAAUUCUUUGAAUUUCAAGGGACAUCAUUGGAAGAUCAAGUCAAAUUAGCAGCUUAUCACUUGGAAAAAGAUGCUCAAUUGUGAUACGAGCGACGCAAAAAUCAAGGACACUUGGUUACUUGGGAUGGAAUGAAGGCGGGAUUGCUAGAGAGGUUUGUUGUAACUGAAUAUGAAGAUUUCUUUAGAGACUUAUGCAAGCUUAAGUAGAUGGGAAUUUUUUUCGACUAUCAAACUUGGUUUGAAAGGCUUCUAGCACGGGCCGACACUUUGAUAGAUAAACAAGAAGCUGAGUGUUUAAUUAGUAGAUUGAAGGAUGGGCUAAGGGUGGAUGUAAGAGUCCAAAACCCCCAAAAUCUAUCUGUUGCAAUUGGGUUAGCACGUACCAAUGAACUCAAAGCCCAGGAAGUGAGGCGCCCAACCAACCCAACAUUCUCCUCUUCAGUUCGCAACUCCAACAACCAAUGGAACACCUCAACCCCUAGUGGUGCGAAAGACACCAAUCUAGAGAGAAUUUUACCAAUCCAUAAAUUAUCUCCAACCAAACUCCAAAGGCGGCGACAGCAAGGGUUGUGCUACUACUGUGAUGAAAAGUAUACAAUGGGUCAUAAAUACAAGAAAUUGUUCUUCAUUGAACUAGAAGAAGAGAAUGAAGAAGCCAUAGAAGAAGAGUGUAAAAGAGACACCAACUAUCUCUUUACAUGCCUUGGUUGGGGUUCAAUCUCCACAAACUAUGCAGAUCCACUCAUAGAUUGGUAAGACUCCACUGACAAUUUUAAUUGAUUUUGGUUCCACUCAUAAUUUUUUGCAUCACAAAUUUGCCAAAAUCAUCGGACUUAAGUCGGAAAGGAGCUGCUUUUUUAGCGUGGUGGUUGCCAAUAGGGAAAGGUUAUCAAGUCCUGGGUGUUGUAAUGGAGUAAAAUUAUUCUUGCAAGGCAUCCCAAUUAAGGUAGAUUUUUUCUUACUUCCUUUAGAAGGUUGUGAUGCUAUUCUAGGAGUACAAUGGCUGGGUACUCUUGGUCCAAUUUUAUGGGAUUUUGGAAGGAUGCAAAUGCAAUUCACUAUAACUGGGCGAAAGGUGUUGCUACAAGGUUCAACCUCCUCAGAACUUCGGGCUCUUGAAUGUGAUACUAUUUCUAGAACAUUAAGGCAAAGUGAUGGUAGGGGAAUUAUCUUAUAGCUUUGUGCAAUCUAGCAUGAGCAUACAAAUCAUGAGAAGUUACUAUCGGAUGCAAUGGCGCCUUUGCUCAUUAAGUUUAGCGAAUUUUGGAGCACCUACGGGAUUACCACAUCCACGCUCUCAUGACCACAGGAUUCCUCUCCAGCCAAGAGCAUGUCUAAUUUGUGUACGUCCUUAUCGAUACCCUUAUUUCUAGAAACAAGAGAUUGAGCGCUUGGUGGAGGAGAUGUUAUCACAGGGUAUAAUUCAACCUAGCCAAAGCCCAUUUUCCUCUCCGGUACUUUUGGUGCAAAAACAUGAUGAGAGUUGGAGGUUUUGUGUGGACUAUCGAGUGCUAAACCGGGUGACGGUCAAAGAUAAGUUUCCAAUUCCAGUUAUAGAUGAAUUGUUGGAUGAGCUACAUGGUGCCAAAUUCUUCACCAAAUUGGAUCUUAGAUCUGGGUAUUUUCAAAUACGAAUGGCCCUCUUGAUGUACAGAAAACAACCUUCCGAACUCACCAUGGGCACUUCAAAUUCCUGGUAAUGCCUUUCAGCCUCUCUAAUGCCCCAUCUACAUUUCAAUCUCUCAUGAAUGAGAUUUUCAAAGCUCAUCUCAGAAAAUUCAUUUUGGCAUUCUUUGAUGACAUUCUAAUUUAUAGUAGCACUUGGGUUGAACAUUUGAAACAUGUUAGAAUUGCAUUUUCCAUUUUGCGAGCUCAUCAUCUUGCAGUCAAGAAAGAAAAAUGUCAGUUCGGGCAGACACAAAUCAAAUAUUUGGGGCACAUCAUUUGUCAAAAUGGUGUGAAGGUGGAUCCAGAAAAAAUAAAGGCAAUGAUGGAAUGGCCAAAACCAGCGACUAUCAAAGCUUUGAGGGGUUUUUUAGGACUAACGGGUUAUUAUCGGAAGUUUAUUGCAGGUUAUGGAAAAAUUGUAGCUCCUUUGACUGACAUGUUGCGAAAAAAAUGUUUUUUCUUGGUCUCAAAAAGCGGAAGAAGCAUUUGAAUUAUUGAAACAAACCAUGAUGCAGGCUCCAAUUUUAGCCUUGCCAAAUUUCAAGCUCUUAUUUGUGGUGGAAUGUGAUGCAUUGGGGAAUGGAUUAUGAGUUGUCCUAAUGCAAGAACAAAGAUCUAUUGCUUAUUUCAACACUGUCUUGAAGGGAAAACGCCUUUUGUUGUCCACUUAUGAAAAUGAACUUAUGGCACUUGUUCUUACGGUAAAAAAAUGGCGACCUUACUUGCUUGGGUGUCAUUUUGUGGUCCGAACUGACCAACGUAUCCUCAAAUUUCUUUGGGAGCAACGAAUAAUGAUAGAACCGCAACAAAAAUGGUUGCUCAAAUUAAUGGGUUAUGACUUUUCCAUCGAAUUCAAGAAGGCUAAGAACAAUAUGGCAGCAGAUGCUUUAUCAAAAAAGGACACACAAGGGGAAUUCAAUGUAGUCUCUAGUCCCUUACCCCAAUGGUUGGAAUCCAUCAAGGUUGAGAAUCAAUCACACUAGGAGCUGCAACGAAUUCAUCAGUUGCAUGAGCAAGGAGAGGCUAUUGGACCAUGGGAAAAUCGAAAUGGUGAAAUAUUCUUUAAGGAGCGUAUCUAUCUUCCAUCAAACUCAGAACUCACCCAAUCAUUCUUAAAGAAAUUCAUGGCAUUGGGCAUGAGGGUCUUUACAAAACUCUUCAUCGAGUGAAUGAGGUAUUCUAUUGGAGGCAAAUGAGGAAGGUUGUACUAGAUUACAUCAGGCAAUGUGAUGUUUGUCAACGCCAUAAAGAUAGAUCACCAAAAGCCAGUAUGUCUUCUCCAACCAUUGCCUAUUCCUACAUAGGUAUGGACAAACAUCUCUAUGGAUUUUAUUGAUGGCCAACCCUUUUCUAAGAGGAAGACAGUACUCCUUGUGGUGGUGGAUCGGCUGUCCAAAUAUGCACAUUUUAUUCCAACCCUUACACUACACCAAAGGUGGCUCAAACAUUCUUUGAAAAUGUGUUUAAACUCCAUGGCAUGCCAAGUUCAAUAGUAUGUGAUCGGGACUCCACUUUUAUAAGUGCUUUUUAGAAAGAGCUUUUCAAAUUGCAGUGCACUAGCUUCAAUUUCAGCUCAUCUUACCACCCCCAAACAGAUGACCAAACUGAAGUAGUGAAUCAGACUCUUGAAAUGUACCUACGUUGCUUUACUAGUUCAAGACCAAAGGAGUGGGUUCAAUGGGUUCCUUGGGCUGAAUUAUGUUACAACACCAGUUUACAUGCUUCUACUCGCAAAACUCCCUUCGAAGUGGUGUAUGGAAGAGAGCCCCCCAACUUGCUUUCCUAUGUUCCUGGUAUAUCAAAGUUGAAGCUAUAGAUAACAUGCUCUAAGCAAGAGAUAAAGUUGUAAAAGACUUAAGAUGUCAGCUCCAACAAGCACAAGCUAGAAUGAAGACUGCUUAUGACCAAGGGCGAGUUGAGAGAGAAUUCGUUGUUGAUGAUUGUAUAUCUGCGGCUACAACCUUAUCGACAAAAUUCGUUGGCUUUGAGACGGUCACAUAAACUCUCUCCGUGAUUUUAUAGGCCAUACCGUGUGUUAGAACGAAUUGGUUCGGUGGCUUAUUGACUUGAUCUCCCGCCAGGAAGUAAAAUUCAUCCAGUUUUCCAUGUGUCGAUCCUUAAAAAAUAGCUUGGUACAACUGAUAAAAUUGAUUCUUUUCUUCCAUUAGUAUCAGAAACAUAAGGUCACUUGCAAGCUCAACCUAUAGCAAUUCUAAAUUCUCGUAACAACGGGCGUAAGCGUGAACUACUUAUUCAGUGGUAGGGGCUCCUCACAACAAAUGCUACUUGGGAGGAUGAGUACCAACUUCGAAACAAAUUUCCUGACUUUGUGUGUCCUUGAGGACAAGGACGAUUCCAAGGGGGAGGAAAUGUCAUGUGCAACAAUUUUAAUUUAAUUCAUUUAAGAUAUUUUGGGUUAUUGAGUUAGUUCAAAUAACUAGCAGUAGUGGGGUUCAAAUAACUAAUAGUAGUGGGCUAGAGAGUGGGUAACGUGAGCUAUUUUUUAGUAAUUGUUAUUGUUUAAUCUCUAAGUUGUUGAGUCUGUUAAAUUAUAAAUUUUCUUAUUCUAGAGCAAUAAAACCAUCAGAUGAAAAAACUUCCAAAAACUUGUCUUUGUUUUCUGCUUUCAAAAUUCUUUCAAUUCUGCUCAUAUUUUGCCUUAGCAACAUAGCUCAAGGGCGAGGUAGGGGGCGAGGGAGGGGACAAGAUCAUGCCAUUAACUUAGAACAUGACAAAUACAUUUUGGAUUGUACUAUGCAUGUACAUUAUGCAUGGUCUAGCAUUAAAAGAUUCAUUCACUAAUUGCAAUACAUAGAAGUUCUAGUGAUGUGGCCUAUCAAUCCAUAAAAUUGAAUGCAAUAGGCCAUGUACAUUGUGAGGUAUCAAAAAUCACCUUUUUUUGGAAUUGUCAAAUCAAGUGUAGUUGGUUGUGCAAUAAUGGUUGAUCAAUUCUAAAUUUUAAGAAAACCUUAUAUCCCGUACAAAGUAAAAGGGUGAAGUGGAGGAGUACAAUACUUGAGAAACGCCACUAAAUGAGCCUAAAUGUCACUACUACAAAAAUAGUUUAUGGUGUCACUAUUUACGGUGUCACUUUUAAAAUAAUGACACCAUAGGGUUUAUAAUUAAUAAAGGUGACACAUCAUAUAAAAAAUCUUCAAUUGAGGUAGUUAGAUGAUAUUAAUUUUAUAUUUAUAGUGUCAUUUUUUGGGAAGUGACAUCAUAUAAAAUAAUUUUUUUUUAAGUAUUAUAACUUAAUGAGCCCACUUUUAGAUUUAAUAAUGAUGGAAAUCCCAUUGUUUCCACAUCUCACCCACAAUCCAAAAAAUCUCAAUAUAUAAAUCCUAUAUAUAAAAUCAUGAUCUUCUUCAACCUUUUCUCUCACCCAUCCAUAGUCAACACGCUCAAAACCGACAUUCUUCACUUUGUGGACUCCCAGGUAACCCAAAAUCUCUUGGAUCUAUAAUUUUUUUUUCUUUUAUUAAUGCCAUUAUAUUAAUUGUUUCAACAUCUUUGUAUUAUGGUUUUUGUGAAUUGUGUUUUCUUGAGUUGUAGGGAAGAAAAAACUAUAGAUUAAUUGAUUUUUUUAAUCUAAACCAAACACAUGAUCAAGUCCUUAAAAAAAAGUGAAAAACAGGAAAAAAUGAAUGAUUUUUAAUAUGUAUUUGUGUGAGAAUGACAGGUACAUAAUUUUUUUAAGAUAUACUAUCACAUAAUCUUCAUCCUUUCUAAAAAACGAGAGAGGAAAAAAAAAAGAAUGAUUUUUCUGUUUGUAUCUAAGUGGGAAUGAGAUAUAGAAUUUCGUUGAGAGUAUCCAACCCCAAAAGAACCAAUCCGGGAAGGCAUGUGUGGUAUUGAUGAGAGAUGAUAAGAUGGAAAUCAUAACCAUAGCCAUGUUCUCUCUACGUCUUUCUAUCCUCUUCAAUUAAUUUAUGGGCAUAGAUAUUUUAUUUAGUUUUUAUAUUUAGUUUAUUUAUAGUUUAUUUAGUUUCUAAAAUCCAAUUAGUUAGAUAUUUUAUUUGAUUUUGUUUUUAUAUUUAAGUAUUUGAGUUUUGGAAAGUUUUUAUAUUUUGUUAAUAGAAAUAGAAAUUUUUAUAUUUUUUAUUAUUAGGAAUUUCUAUUUUGUUAAAUUGUAAGUAUCUAUCUCAAUAAGAGAUUAUUAAUAUUCAAAUGAAGUGAUGAAAGAGAGUAAAUAUUUUAAUGCUCAAUUAUAUUUUAAUGUUUUUUUUUUUUUUUUUACAUAAGGGUUUAUUUAUGUUUUCAAUUUUGAAGUUCCCUUUUCUAAGUCCAGCAACAAAAGUAGUGUCCAACCUUAAAAUGGGCAUGGUGUGAUAUUAACGGGAGAUGAUAAGAUGGAAAUCAUAACCAUAGCCAUGUUCUCUCUAUGUCUUUCUAUCAUCUUCAAUUAAUUCAUGGGCAUAGAUAUUUUAUUUAGUUUUUAUAUUUAGUUUAUUUAUAGUUUAUUUAGUUUCUAAAAUCCAAUUAGCUAGAUAUUUUUUGAUUUUAUUUUUAUAUUUAAGUAGUUGAGUUUUGGAAAGUUUUUAUAUUUUGUUAAUAGAAAUAGAAAUUUUAUAUUUUUUAUUAUUAGGAAUUUCUAUUUUGUUAAAUUGUAAGUAUCUAUCUCAAUAAGAGAUUAUUAAUAUUCAAAUGAAAGUGAUGAAAAAGAGUAAAUAUUUUAAUGCUCAAUUAUAUUUUAAUGUUUUUUUUUUUUACAUAAGGGUUUAUUUAUGUUUUCAAUUUUGAAGUUCCCUUUCCAAGUCCAGCAACAAAAGUAGUGUCCAACCUUAAAAUGGGCAUGUGUGAUAUUGAUAAGAAAUAAUAAGAUGGAAAUCAUAACCAUAGCCAUGUUCUCUCUGUGUCUUUCUAUCCUCUUCAAUUAAUUCAUGGGCAUAGAUAUUUUAUUUAGUUUUUAUAUUUAGUUUAUUUAUAGUUUAUUUAGUUUCUAAAAUCCAAUUAGCUAGAUAUUUUAUUUGAUUUUGUUUUUAUAUUUAAGUAGUUGAGUUUUGGAAAGUUUUUAUAUUUUGUUAAUAGAAAUAGAUAUGAGGACUUAAAGGGUUUAUAUUUAGGUAGUGCUUGAGCCAAGGAAAAUGAUAGUCCACUAUCUUGACCCUAUGCAUCACAAACCAUGUGAGGACUUAAAGGAUAUCGUAAACAUGUAAGUUCUUCCUAUUAUUUUUCAUAGUAUUAUUUUUAAAUAUAAAAAAAAAUACAUUCACCUCAAACACUUUUUUUUUUAUUUAUAUAUAUUAAAACAUAUAACAUUUACCUAUUUUAAAAUUUUACCCAUUGAACUUAUUUACAUAGGGCUCUUCAAAUAUCUGCAAAGAAAACAUCUAAGAGGGAGCCAUCUUAGCAACUAGUGCAGGUGACAUCCAAAAAUUUUUCUUUACACAUUAGCUUAUGCAUUUGCACCAUUUAUAUAUGUGAGUACUAAUGUUAUUUUAUAAUUGAUCGAUUAGUGUCCAAGACAAGAAGGAGGGUUCGAAUGUGGCUACUUUGUUAUGAGAUUCAUUAAAAAUAUAAUUUUUUAUCCUACAAUUAUUGCUUUAGAAUUCGAUGAAAUUAGAGGAGAAUGGGCUACUUUUGUGCUACAACUAAUCAUGAAUCAUGUUGAUGCAUCAUGAUCACCAUGCAUGGUGAGUCCCUUAGCUACUACAUGAAUUUUUCCAUAGGUAUUGUAUAGUAAUGCUUAUUCUUUGAAUAAUGUUUCUAUUUGAAAAAAAAAAUUAAUUCUUAGAUUUGUUCAUUUAUGAUAACAUAGAUCCAUGUUUAUUUUCUUCAAUAAAAAUCUCUAAAACUCAUUAAAUUUUGAAAUGUAGGUAUACACUCUUGGGAGGGUGAAAUGGAGAAUAAAAAGAAAGAAGAAGGCAACAAGAUUUUGGGUUUUUAAAUGCAACUCUUAUGUCAUACGUUGUAGGACAUAAACGUUACUUUAAUUGCAACUGAGAAAUUUAGAUUUUUAGAUGGAACUUCUAUGUCAUUUUAUGGUUAGCCGGUUUUAUGCUUAUGAAAUGGAGGUAUACAUGAAUCUUGGGAUCUUUAACAUUUCUAAAUCAUGUUUUGGUAUGUAUUCACUCUUCUUUUUUAGUUUUGAUGGGUUUGAUAUGUUGGACGUACUAUCCUUUUGUGAACAUUUGAUAUACAAAUAUUAUUAGAUGAUCAAUGUAUUAUGAGUUAUUCCAGAAACAUUACAGAAAAAUGAGUUAAAUAUAAUAUGAUUGUUAUAUUUAUGGACAAAAUAUAAAUAGGUUAUUCUUAUUAAUUCAUAAGCAUUACAAAAAUCAACAACUAAAACUAAUCAUAUAUUCCACAAUAAUUUACAAUGAUGUGAUACCAUAACUCAAAGGUGAUGCAUUUAAUGUGACAUCAUAACUCAAAGAUGAUGUAUUUAAUGUGACACCCUAUCAUCACUAGAAAUAUAUGGUGUCACUUCUGAAUGGGUCACCAUUUAUCUACUUUGGUGUCACUUCCAAACACGUCACCAAUUGGUACCCUUUAUGGUGUCAGUGGAGAAGGUGACGCUAUGUUGUAGUGACACCUUAUGUUUAUGGUGACUUGUUAUAAAUGUCACCAUAUACCAUUUUCCUUGUAGUGUGUGUUGUCACUUCAAUUGAAUGUGCAAUGUGCAAACGAUUAAAUUAUUUGAAGUGAUUAUAGAGACAUGGUUAUAUAUAUCAUUCAUCGACUAUCGGAAACAAUGGAUAAGCAAGGGUCAUGUAUCGAAACACGCAACAAUCAUUUGGUAAAUAUUAUAGUCCAAGAGACGUGUUUGAGUGUACAGGGUGUUAUUGGGUUUUGGAAGAUGAGUUUUACUACCCAAUGACACUGUGUGAGAAUUUAUGAUCUAUUAUCAUGUUAUUCAAAAUUUAAAUUUUUUACUUGUAAACUGUAAACAAGAAUGUGGUCUCCUUAUUAUUUACCCCAUAGUAGUAUACACUUCAAAUUGCAUGUGACAAGAAAUUUAGCGAUAGUAUCAUGAAACGGGAUGCAUAAUAAAAUUACACCAACAGGGCAUACAAUAACAAUUGGGUAUUAUGUGUGGGUUGAUGCACAAAUUAAGGGCCCAAAGGCAUAAUGGUGCACACACACAUGACUACCCCGAGCAUCAUGUAGAAACUAUAUUUGACACCCCGGAUCGUCAUGCAACCAAUGCAUUUGACAUACAACGAGAUGGGUCAGAACCUAGACAACAUAGCAUAAUUUCUUAAAAUAAUGAUAUUGUAAUUUUCUAGAAUAAUUAUAAUAACAGUAGAAAUGGCAACAAAUUCAUUCUAAUUAUCCUACUGUGGAUGAUAAUGAUGACAUUGUGCAUGAUGUCAUGCCAUUGAGUGCUCUUCUUUAUCCCCCCACCACACAUAAGCGUGAGGACACGUAGAAUACAUCGUAUGGCACCGAAUCUGUUGUCUCCCUUCAUAUCAUAGCCACAAACUCGUCAAUCUACCAUAAGGAUGGAUGAUUCGUUCCCAAUUGGUGUAUCAGCUGAUUCAUGUCCUCUCAAUGGUCCCCAACAACGGUGCCAUUUGAUUUGUGUCCAGCUGGUGUCCCUUGAUUUUGGUCCUUAGACGGGAGUAAUCAACAAAAUUUAUAACCUAUUACACCAUGUACUAGGAUAGCCUCAACUAGCAUAGCAUAGUGGCUCUAGGAUCGUUCACUGGGAUGGGUUUUCACUUCACAAUUGAUAUCAAUUCAAAGAUGAAUUAGUGCUUUUUCAUUUCAAGGUUAGCUUUAAAAGAAAACAUAAAGAUGUUUGAAUGAAAAAAGUUUGGUUUUAAGCUAACAAAAAUAGUAACUGAUUUUAAUUACAAAGAAAAGUGUUUCUUGGAGUUUCAAAUCACUAGGCUCAGGUUCCUUAUACAAAAAGGGAGUUUCGAUCACUUGUUUCUUUUCCUCGCAUUGGGGAUUUAACAUAUAGUUAUUUCCCGAACCGGUGUGGUACAGAUGUUUCCCUUGAAUGGGUUCAAACACUAAAUCCCUCUCACUGAUUCAUCUUGCAAUGGCUCGUGCCUCUCACCUAGCAUUUGUCAUUCAAGGUGAUCCUUAACCUUGGAUUACCUGUCAAAAGCUCGCAAGAGAUAACUAAUGAAUGUCUCCUUAGAGUCCAAAAGCUUACCAAGUGUUGGCUAUUCUAGAAAAUCCUACCUUCAAGUCACCUCCCAAAAGCUCGCAAGAGAUAAACUAGUGCAUCUCCAUGGAUGGAGAUCACUUGCCUUACCAAGUAUUGGCUCAGGUGAAUUGAAGGCGUUUUAAGUUAACUAAAAAGAUAAAAACCAUUAACGGGUCACACUUUCUCUUCAUUAAUAAUUGAAACAACAAAACUUCCAAUUUUGCAUGUGGAAACUUACCCGACUUUCUUCACUCCAAGAGACAAAGAGCCUAGCCACUCAUCCUUUGAGGAAACAUCCUCAGAGUUUGAUUGCUAGAAAUAAAAGUAACGAGAAAACAAAAAUCUAAAGGAAAAACAGAGCAAGUGCUCUAUAAAAUAUAUUUCUUCCUAUCGUCGGAUUACAUAUAUUACAAGAUUUUUUAUGGAUUCAUUUACAUUGGUUCAAAGAUAUAUAUAGAGAAGAUAUUUUCUAAGAAAUAUCCCAAUAAUAUCUUUGACUGAUUACAAAGAGAAAAUAGAAAUUUACACAAAAUAUCUUGAGAAAAUAUCUAACUUAGUUGGUAGCAAAUAUCUGAGAUUGCACAGGUGGAUUGCGCACGUUGAUUCACAUGUUGAAUUAUCCAUUUUGCAAGUUUGAACUUUGGUUUUGCAACUUGGAGAUGAUUCCCCAACUUAGAGAUGAUUUGCAACUUCAUUCGCAGCUUGGAGGUGAUUUCGCAACGUGGUUCGCAGCUAAGGAACAUUUUCGUAGCCCAUUUCGCAGCUGCGAAAUGAGGGGGUGGAGCUGUGAAAUGGCACUCGUGUGCCAAGGGGUGGUUUCGCAGCUGCGAAACACCGUGCGAAAUUUUCGUAGCUCAAUUCGCUCAGCUUUGUGUAGUUGUCUUCAAAUAGUCAUAACUUCUUCGUUUCAACUCCAAUUAAUGUACCGUUUAAAGCAUUGGACUCCUAACUUCCUGAGCUUCGAACGACAUAUGGUAUGCAUGAAAUGGACUUUAGGAAGUACUCGAAAUGUGUCCAAUAGUUUCCGUCCUCUUAAAUUCUUCAUGUUAGAUUCCUCUGUUUUUCCUCCUUGCAUUCUUGAUUGACUUUGGCAAAGAACUACGAAGCUCCAAAGCUUGGAUUCUUCAUGUAAAUGAGCUUCCAUUUGCUUUGUCAUGGAUUAUAUAAAACUGUCCCUCAUCUUAGAUUGCUUUGGUGAUCAAAAAGCUAUUAAAAACACCAAAACUUAACACGAUUUGAUUAGAAUUGAUUGCAAGGGUCCUUAACAUGCCAAUUGAGUUAAAAUGUAAUAACUACUACUCAAAAGUGUUUAAAAGAGGUAAUUACAAGCUAUAAAAUAGCACUUUUUGAGUAGUAAUCAAUGGAUCUGAAGGAAGCAUCCACAAUGGCAUUUGUUGGGGAUUUGGAGUUGAGGUGUGUUGUUUCAAACAUUGCUCAAUUUCUUUGAACUUAUAAAAAGAAGAAAUGAGUCUUAACUCUUUUCUUUUUCAUAGCAAGGAGCUUGUUUUCAUAGCGACAAUCUAGGGUGCUUCGAAAGGAAUAGCUGGAUAGGAAACCAUGUAAAAAACAUACUUUAUCCCAUCUAUACUCGAGCCAAGUUUGAAAAAAAUAUUUCAUUUUAUUAUUUUAUAACUUGCUAAAAUGUUUAUCAUUUCUAUCAUUAGGUCAUGGAUGUCUACUGUUGAAUGAUGCAAUUUGAGGACCUAACAAAGACUAAACUGUUUCUCACACCUUAUAUAUUUGUAAUUAUUAGUUAUCUCUUCACGGAAUAAUGAUCUGGAUAGUUUAACUUAAAAAUAUUGUUGCCAAAAUCACUAACAAAAACAUUAAAUCUUUGUUUUACAGGAAGGGUCCUCCCAACCCAAAGAAAUAUUUAGUGAAAUAUUCAAUCAAAGGGCGGUUCGAACCACAUAUGUGUGAGAUGGAUAUCCCAUACUCAAAUGUUAAAGAGGUGAAGGGUGAUGGGAAGUUAAAUGGCAAACUUGUGAUAGGAAUGAUUGUGGGGUAUUUGUCAUGAAGUUUAUGGACUACUAGUCCAUGGGUGAAUUUUUGAAAUUGGGUGGAUUUUUGAAAUCAAUCGAUGUGGUAUGUUGAUAGAUUUUUGAAAUUCAUGUCAUUUAUGUAAUAAUAGUAUAUAACAAAUGCAGAUUUUUCUGAUCUGUCUGGUAAACUUGUAACAUUGUGGGGAAUUUGAAUAGAAUACACAUCGACAUAUGUUUCAAAAGGAAUGAUGGGAAGUGGUUGGUAGAUUUUACAUUGGACACUGAUUUGGUAGUAUACAUUUUCGAAAAGAGAAUAUUAUGAAAAUUUAUUUGCUAUUUUAUUUGGGUUUACUUAUUCAGAAAACAUUGAUAGGAUCUUCUUGAGCAGGAGUGAUGAAACACACUAGGGAAUAUUGAGUAGUUUUUUGUAGUUCGACCCAAUGAUGUCAGAUUUGUAUAGCUAAUUAAGCAGCUGUACAUUGUGUAUCUCAGAUCUUCAGGUUUGGGUACUAGUAAAUUCUGUACAAAAGCCCUUUAUGGUCCUUGGUCAUUCUCCUUUUAUCAGGUUGAAAAUACAACACAAUUGACUUAGUGUUAACUUCUAAAGUUCUUGGUCACUGGUGAAGUCCAAUUGUACUAGGUGCUUGAUUGUAUUUCUCUGAGUUUUUUCGAUCAAUUAUACACUUCGACUCCCUUGUUUCUCUUUUGUAUUAGGUUCACUACUUGGGUCAUUGGAAUAAUGGUCUGUCGUAUACAGUAGCAUAUUUUUAUUCAUUGAGUGGGCACUGAAAUGGUUUUAUACCCCUGGCAUUCCUCACACCCAUUGCAAUCUCCCCAAUUCAUCGGUUUCUGUGGUGGGUUUCAUCUUUCAGUUUUUGGGUUAUUGAUGUUGUGAGUAUAAAAUGUCCUGUGUUCGAUAAAUUGAUAACAGGUGAAGAAUGAUCUUACCUUGAAAUUCAAAGAAAAUGUUCAUAUAUGGUUGCAUUGAUUCAUUGUUUUACUAUUGUUUUUGUAUGCAGAUGAUAUUUUUUUCCUAUGUAGAAGUUAUGAUUAUGUUGGCUUCAGCUAUAUGCAAAAUGGUACCGGAAUGGGAAGUGGAAAUGGGUAUCUCAUUCAUCUUUUAAUCCAUUUUCAUGUUUGGAUAACUCUAAGUGAAGAUGGAAAUGGAAUCAAGAAGCAUUUUAAGGGAAAUGAAAUUCCACUUAUAAGUGAGAUUUCAAUUCAUCCCUUAGUAAGGGGUGUUUUGAUUCCUAAGUGUAGCUUAUUUUUAAAAACACUUUUCAAAAAUUAAAAAAUUAAAAACUUUUUUGGAUAAAUUAUUUUUAAAACUAUUUUUUUAUUUAUAUUUUGUAAAAAGAAAAAUUAUAAAUUUGAUUUAUAUAAUAUGAACUAAAUUCAAGUCUUAUUAAAAAUAAAAAUAGUUUUGUAAUUAUAAAUAAAUUAAUAAAUUAAUUAUUUUAAUAAAAUAUGAAUAUUAAUAUUAUAAUAAAACCAUAAAUUAUAUUUUUAUAAAUAUUGUAAAAAUAUGCAUAUUAAUAUCUUAUUAAAGAAUUUUAUUUUUUUAAGAUAUAAAUGAGUCAAAAUUUUCAAUACAUGAAUACAUUUAAUACUCAACUAAGGACAUGAUGUUCUAAAAAAAUUUAUUUAAUCUCUGAAUUUUUAUUUAAUCCAUAAUUAAUUAAUCGGUUUUUUAAUUUCAAAUUAUUCUUACAAAUUAGAAAUUUUAAUAAAGGAUUUAAGAUAUGAAUUUUAGAAAUAGUUUGUUUUUUUAAAAAAAAAAACUAUGACAGGGAGAGUGUUUUAAAAAAAUGAAAAUCAAUAUUGUAACAUUGAAAUAAAAACAAAUAAUCAUUCCAACCUUAUAUUCCUAAAUACAUCAAAACGGAAUAAUUGGAAUCACCAAAUCAAUUCAUAUUCAAUGACAAAUGGAAAUGGAAACAAUAUAUUCAUUCAUAUUCCCCAUUCCUAUAUAUCAAACACACCUUAAAUGGCAAUGCUUUCCAUGUGGGGGAAGAAGAAUGCUUUAGAGGUACACCUUGUAUAGAGUUGAUGAAAAAUGAGAUAAAGCAAACCAUACUUUCAUACUAAAGAAAUGGUCUUAAACAAAUAUCUAGAAAUUGCAUUUCAUCAUGAAAAAACAUCAUAAAACACUCUCAUUAUGUUUGCUCCAAAGGUAAACAAGUCAAAGCAAGUCAAAAUAUACCAAACAACGAUAAGAUUAAAUAACAAAGCAAACAUUGCAUAGGAAUUCCAACAUGUGGCCAAAACAAGAAGGUUCAUAAAACAAAUCCUAAAAAAAUAUUUAGAACAUGAGUUUAAUUAUAAAAAAUAAAAUAAAAAAAAUUCAAAGAAUAUCCUCUACGUGUUUACUUUAUCAUCCAAGUGGUUGAAUAGUUAUUCAAGACUCCGAUUAAUUCCAAAAUUAUAAAAAGUUCUAGAAGUUUUAGAAUAAGUCACAAUUCAAUGGCAAGAAUAAACCGAUUUUUAAAACUAACUUAGAGCAUAAAAUCACACAAGUCAUUUAAAAUGUCUAGUUUACAUAAAAAAUAAAAAGAAAACUAGUGGGCACAUAAAUCAAUUUUUAAAUCAUACAAACAGAUCUUCUAUCAUUUCUCUAAUUCAUUAUUUUAUAUUUUAACCUUACUUUAUUGUACAUUAAUUCUAUUAAUUCCUAGCAAGCUUCUAUUUCCUUACACCUUAAAAAUCCAAAUUAGUUGGUUCCAUUUGUCUUUGUACCUUACUCUUAUUAUAGUGUAACUUCAUUAUAUAUUUCUUAAAUAUCAAUAUUUGUUUUUGAUUGAAAAUGGAUGAAAUAAACCCAGAUCUAGAAAGGUAUUAUUUUCUACUGAUUUCAACAAUCAACAACUAAGAAUGAAUUUUGAGUCCAAUUGUUGAGAUUUAUGAUUUGAUACUUAUAUAACCAAUUAUUACAAUAGAUGAAACCUAUAAUGAAGACCAUAUAUAAAUAUUCAAAUAAUGAAAGUGUUCUUUCACAUAUGAAAUUAAAUAAAGUAAUAACAUUGGACAAUUUAUUUUAUGAUCUACAUAUUGCUAAAUAAAAUAAUAAAAUAAUUAAGAAAAUUUGUUACUUAAAACUAGAUAUGUAAAUUGUACACCUUUUUUGACUUUGCUCAUACCAUUAGACUUUUUAACUAAUCACCAAACCUAAAUAAUAAAAAUGAAAACAAUUUAUUUUGUUAGGGAUAAUUGUAAAGUUACACAUAAACAUAAGAUAAAAUUUUAAAAAUAAAAUUCAAAUAGUGAAAAAAAAUAACUUGCUAUACUAUAAAAUCAUUCAGACAAAAUCAUUAAAAAUUUAUUAUUGAUCACAUGCAUGAAUGCUAACAGAGCAAUCUUAUAUACCAAAUAUUCUUAACUAGUAUCUAGCUUUCUUUUGAAAUGUACGCUCAUGCUAAAAGAAAACUACUAGCUUCUCAAACAUUAAAAAAUUGUGUAAGAUAACAAUAAGUUUCACAUUAAAUAAAAUACUAUGUAACAUUAUCCUUCCGAUGAGGAAUUGAGUCUUAUUCAAAAUAGAUAUAGGUUAUAUUUGAUUUCCACCCAGAAGAAAAUUAAAAAUAAAUAAAUAAAUUUAAAAUCAACGAAUUAGUUUUAUAUGUUCCUUCAAACUUAUUUCACUUAUUUUUUAUAUUUUAUGUAAAUAUUAAAUAAAUUAAUAAUGUAUAAUUUUAACUAAUCUUAAUUAUAUUUUAUUUUAUUUUAUAUUUUUCAUAAUAAAAUCAAAUAUUAAUUUUUUUUUCUUCAAUUUUUAGUGUUGUCAGAAAACCAAAUUAAGCCAAAAAAAGUCUAGAAAGUCCAACAAACUUUAUGUUUAAAAUUAUUUUUAAUGUUUUGAUGUUAUGGAAAAUGGUGAAAAGGGGAAAAAAAAAAAAAGGACAAAUCCUCUUAAAAUCUCUCUGCCAUCAGGCUCCGAAAACCAUUCCAAUGUUAUCUAAAAAUAUAAAUAUGAAAUUUUCACUUUAAAAAACCUAACAAUAAUUUUGAAGUGUUUUUUUGGCCGAAAAGAAAACUUGAUUAUAAUCAAUCACAAUAUGAUAAAAUAGAAACAAAACCAACAAAAUGAGAGAGGGAUCACAAUAAUUUUGAUUUUAGCUUCUAGAAAAAUCUAAGGCAAAAAGAAAGGAGAAUACAAGAAAAAAAAAAAAAAAAAAAGAAGCAUUCAUGAUACUGACAGAGAAAUUCAUAGAAUCUGUUCAAUUUCAUAGAAUCCUAAAAUAGGAAAGAGAAAUCUCUAAAUAUUUUUUUAAUGUCAAAAAAAUGGGAAAAAAAUUAGGAUAGGAAAAGAGGACAGUUCAAUUUCUGAAAAAAAGAAAAAAGAAAAAAAAAAGGCUGGAUAUUAUAAACAAAUAAAAUCCAAAGAUUUAUUCAGUUUUGAUUGAAUUUCUCAUAAACCAAACAACGAGCAAAGAAUUUGGAACAUAAAGAGAAAAAACCAAAAAAAGAAAACAUACAAUUUGAGGGUGCCGUUGAAGUAGGAAUUUCAGUGAUGCUCCUGUCCCACCAAAUCCAUCCGUGUAAGUGAUGUAUUAUGCGUACAUACAUACCCAUGGAAUCAAAAUAGUUGGAACAGAAAUAAUCAUUGUCUAAUGAAUCAAGGAAAAGAGUUUACCUACUACUAUUAUACCCACAUUAUUCAAAUGAUUUUCAAAGCUUCAACUCCCAAAUGAUGUUGAAGAAUACAAACAAAGGACUUUAUGAUCUAUUAUCCAAAACCAGUGGGUGAGAGAGAUCAGAGAUGUACAUGAAAGAAUCCAAUACAAUGGAUGGUUAAAACUUCAAACAGAGGAUAAGAAAUGAGAAAAGAGAAGAUCAAUCCCAAAUCCUAAAACCCUUUGAGAUAUCCUAAGUAUGGGGGAGAGUGUUCAUUUGAUUGCUUGAAAGCAUUGUUGGGAAGUGGCAGUCAAUACAAUACUGAAAUUGAAGAUUGAAUCAUUCAUUUGAAAGCUAUUGGGAAGGUAAAUUAGAUCUGUUGAGAUGACUUUUGAUUGCUAAUGUGGCCAUAAAAUUAAAAAACAAAAGAUAUAUUACAAUCCAAGGUGGUGGUUGUAUGUGAAUGAAUCACACGAAAGUACAAAUUCUAUAAUUUCACAAUCACGAGAAGAACCCAAUCCAAACCCACUCAACCUAAAACCCAAUGCAACCCAAGGAUGAAAAUAUCGGUAAUCACGAAUAUAUCGAAUAUAUAUCGACAGAUAUUUUGAAAAAAAAUAUAUCGGUAAUCCUAAAAUUGAUCAAAAUUUAUGGAAAUGUAAAUAAAAAAAAAAUCUCAUAGAUAUAUAAUUAGAAGUAUAAUAAACAUUUUAAAUGUUCUUUAUUAAAGAAUUUAAUAUAUGUAUAAUAUGAUUUAUUAUAUUUAAUAAUAAUAUUAUAAACAUCAACAAAAAAAUAUGUAUUUUAUAAGUGUACGUUUAUUAUUAAAUUAUAUCAAAUAUUAUUUCAUAAUAAUAUUAUAAUAUUUAAUUUUAAAAUAUAUUUAAUAUUAAAUUUAUGAUCCAUUUAAUUUAAUUAUAUUAAAUGAUAUAAAAUAAUCGAUAAUAUAUGUAUAAUUUUUUAAUAUUUAAUUAAUCUAUUAAUGAUAUUAAAAAUACUAUUAAAAAAGUAUGAUGAUAAUUUUUAUAUUUUUUUUGUAAUAAUUAUAAUUAAUUUAUUUUCAAAAAUAUUCUUUUGUAUAUAUAUAUAUAUAUAUAUAUAUAUAUAUAUACACGUUUGGUUCAAAUUAACAAAGGGCAUAAUUGCCCUAGUGGACAUAGGCUGUAGGAAGUCUUCUAUAUGGGCAAAGUGGGUAAUGGAGCUCGGGCAGGAGACUACCUGGGGAAGGGGAAGCCUGGGUAGAGGGGCAGGUGACUGGGGUAGGCAAUCUAGGGCAAAGGGAGGGCGUUUUUUUUUUUUUCUAGAAACUUGUGUUUUAGGGCCUUUAUUUAUAAAAUAUAUGAUAUUCAAACCCCAAGUUUAUGAAAUAUGGAAAGCAAUCAUUAACGGGCAAAAUAAUAUGAGAUUUGUGCACUAUAUGUUGAGUCAAUUUUAUCUACCCAAAUUGCCCUUGAUGCCUUUUGCAUCAACGGCCAAAUAGCCUCCAUGUCAUACUUAAAAAAAAAAGUGAAAAUUGAUAAUUUCAGGAAAAAAAAAAAAAAAACCACCCAACCCGACUUUGGUCGCCCCUUUCUCUCUCUCUCAUUUUAGGGAAAAAAAAAACCUUAAGUCAAGCAACAUUUAACUUUGUUCUCAAAAAUUUUCGUAGCCCUAAAUCUGCAUUUUAGUUUGUCAACAACCAAAUCUGAGAUUUUCCCUAAGCUGGAAUCUCAAAAACUUGCCAUUUUUAGAAGGUCAUUUCAAAUCUGAAUUGGCUAAAACCUUCACAUCCAACAAACCCAACCGAUACCCAUCUUCCCCGAUUCUCAGACUUCUCUAUUUUUCUCUUAACAUCCCGAUUAGUUGAACCUAUUUGUCUCUAAACGUUUGGAGUAGCCGAAGCUGACAGCCAUCUUCCCAAUACGUUGAAGUAAAUUGAACGGGAGACAUAUUUUGUUUUUGCAUCAUCAAAAUUGGAAUUUCGUUAAGGUUUCUCGAAACGGGACUGGAGUUUUCCCUUUUGUGCGUGUUUUCUGAUUAAUCAAUCACAUGUGAGUUUUCAUUUAUGGGUUUGUUUGGAUAGUGCGAACAUCUUAGGGUUUGUAGUGUUUUAUUUUAGGGUUUCUUAUAUUUAGCUUCAUUUUAUGUAGAAUGAAAUAUAGGAUAAAUUAUUUUUGGUUAAAGAUAUGUUCGUAUUAAGAGAAAAUAGAUUAUUAUUAUUAUUAUUAUUAUUAUUAUUAUUAUUACUAUUAUUAUUUGCUUUCCAGGAAUUAUGUUGUCAUUAGAUUUUUAGGGAAAUUGGUUCAUCUAUAUUACUACUAGUCGAUGGAAAUUUUCUUUCAAUUUUUAUGGUAUAUAUGAGAGUUACUACUAGCAACUAAACAGAUUAUUUGCUUAGUCGUUUGUCAUUGUUAUUAUUUUACUAAAUUUGAAUACCUAUUUCAUUGUGUGUAUGUUGUUAUUGUUUUGUCCUUUGUCUUUGCAUGAUAGAAUUGAAUGUAUGUUGUUAUUGUUAUUGUUUUGUGAAUUUCAUUUGAGACAUGAUAAAAUGAUAGCAGUAAGCAUGUAAAAGAUGAAUGUUGACUACAAAUUUGGUAUGAAAAAGAAGUGACAGCUCUGUGAGGUGUUGGUCAUACCUUAAUUUAUUUGCAGAUUUUAUUUAUUUUUGAAUCGUUUAAUGCGUUGUUGAGGUAAGAAUUGGUACGCAUUUUUUCUUAUUUAUGUUUUCGGGACCAUAUUACAUUCCUAAGGUGGUGUUUAUUUUUUUGGCUUUUUGUUGAAAGCAAUUUAGUUUUAGAAUUUAGGUUGUUUGUUUUUCUACUUUUUCAUAACUUAUUAUAAACUUUUUACUAAAUAGAAAAAACCAAAAUAUGUAACUUUUUCUAAAUAGAAAAAAUAACAUAUUGGUUUUUUUUACUUUUUAAUACUUAAUAGAAAUAAAAUACUACAAAAACAAACAACCUAAUAUUUAACACUAUUAAGCAUUAAGGUUCUAUUUAGAAUUAAGUAAAAAAACAAACACCACCUAAGUCUUUAAAUUUGAGAUGAGUAUAUUUUUGUAUUUGUCUUUUUAUGAGUGGAAAAUCCUAUUGUAUCUUUGCUAGAAAAUUAUUUCCGAAAACACUAACCAAAUAGUAUCUUUGAUUUAUGGGAAUUAAAUGUUGAUGACAUGAACAAACUAAUGAUGGUUUCUUGGGGGCAGUGAUCAUAAUUAUAGCCUUAAUAUAUUCCAGAUGUGUUGCUAUAAUGUACAGUGUAAAAAAAAAAAAAACAAAUGUUGGAGACUUGUUUUUGGGACAUGCACAUCUUGCAAGAUGUAGAAGGCAAAAGGAUUGAGACCACUAACUGAGGCAUCCUUCAAAUAAGAGUCCGUACACUAAAAGAAAGAGUUCAAACAAAUUUUAGCCCUUAAUUUGUUAGAAAAUGAAAUCAAACUGGACAAUUCAAUAACACCUCUAAAGCCAUGUAAAUUUAUUAAGUAAAUUACUAAGUUAAAGAUAUAACGUAGUGGUAUGAUAGCCAGAGAUACAAGGAGCUCUCCAUAAAGUGGCAAACAAUUUAGAGACUAUCUGAUACAAAAUACAUUUUUUUUCCUUGCCUUUUUGGGAGUAAACAGUGUUAGUAACAUGCCAAGCACUAAAAUUAAUGUAGGUACAAAUUUGAGUCAUCAGUAGGAAACUAGGGAAAUAACCAAUGAGACAUCAAGAAAUACUUGAAAAUAACACUCCUAUUUGGGGAAUAGAAAGCCUUGAUGUGCUUAACAAGUGGCAGAGAGCAAACAACAAGAACAAAUGAAAAAUAUCCCAAAGUGCGAAGGCAGCCUUUGUGGCAUCUUUGUGGGGUAAAAAAAUGUGGUUGUCUUUCUCUAAGUGCAGGUUAGAAGCUUAAGUGUUCCAUUAGCUACGAAACCUGACACUAAGUUAAGCAUAUGAAUCAACAUUGAUUGGCAUAGGCCUCAGCAUCUGGUCCCUAGAACCUAGUGGUAAAAGGAUCAAGUCGAACCCACAGUAGACAAAAUAGGGUUGCUAAAAUUAGAGACCAUAGUAUGGCUACUAUGGAAAUAUUGUGCUUCUAAACUAAUAAUCCCUUUAAGAAUGGGUAUAGGUGAACAAUCACAUUGGAUGAGAAAAAUAGUGGCCCAAAAGACCCAUAUCCAUGGACAACUAUUGAAAAGAUCAUAGUUACAAUGACCUACAAGUUAAUGAGAAUCAAUGUUGUUGGCAGGAUCAGAAGUGAUGUCCAUUUGAAUUUAUAAAACUCGAUGGCACUGUUUUCAUCAUGUGUCUUCAUCAAUGUGUUUGACCUUGUAUUUAAACCCAGCAUGACCUUAAACAAACCCUGGAAAAUAGAAAAUAAAUUGGAAGAUAGACCAGCAAUCACCCAAAACUGUUGAUUUCUCCACCACUCUUGAAGACUUACACCACUCCACCUAAGCUCAAGAAACCUAUGUGCGAAAAUAAAUAAUACAACAACCAUGAACUAGAUGCUUGCCUCAUAAGUAAUCUGCAAAUUAAUAAUAAGAGGAGAGCAUGGUAAGGCAUGGUUUGGCCCAUGCAACCUUCUUGAGGCAUCUCAAAUACUAGUUGUUUUCCCUAUUUUUGGAAUAUGAAACACUUGUAGAUUUUAUUUAAAUUAAAAUUCACAAGUACAUUAGUUCAGUUCAAGUGCUAGCGGAGGUAUAUGCCUAAAAUCAAGGCCUAAAGUAAUAUUUUAUCUAAAAAGGAAGUUAUAAUAUACAUUAAUAGACUGCUGGAAACCUAAAAAUGAUUGGAAAUGAAACUAAAAUCAUUUAAAGACAAGUUGGACUUUGAAGGGAAAUUGAAUGCAAUGAAUAAUGAAUACCGCUUGGUAUUAAAAUUACAAUUAGAGCCCCGUUGGCACUGAUUAUAAUGGAAGGGGCUUUUUUUUUUUUUUUUACAGAGUUUCAUUAGGAAGUGUUAAUGUGAAUAACACUUAUAUGAGAAUCAGGAAAAUGAUUCUAAUAAUGUUGUAUAAGAUAUGUUGUAUAAAUAUACAAAUAAUUUUAAUAAUAAAUCACAACAAAUGACAUACAAUUGUAAUUACAAAAACGACAAUAGUAUGAUAAACGAAAAACUUUUUAUUAUAACACAAUAUAAUAUGAAAAACUGGUUUACAAUAUCCAGUUUUUUAGCUUUAACAGUGAGCCAAUCAGACAAAAGUGCAAGCAGAUCAGGAGCAGAAGAUGUUAGAGCAACAAUAAUAAUUGGAAGCUACUAUCAAGGUUCAUGGAGAAGACGACUUUGCAUUUUGGCUUGUAAUGACGAUCUAGAAAUGACUUGGCAGCUGCAUACCUAAUAAAAAAGCAAUUAACAUUGGUUAAAGAAAGUUGAAAAGACAACAAGGGGACAAAAAAUGAAGAAAGAAAACCCAACAAAUAUGGAGUUCAAACCAAAAUGUGCAUUUAUGGAAAAAAUGUGUUAUUGUAUAAAAUUAUGUCAUCAUUAUAGUACCAAAUCAUUGUAUACAUAUCUUUAUAGUAAUAGAGAGAUGUGGAUGAAAAUUUGUAUACAGGGACUACAGGGCAUCAAAAUUGGUUAGUCCAUAAUGCUUGGACAUAUAUCUUUGUCAGCGUGAAAUCAGGACGGAAUUGAAUGUCAAGUGUUGGUCUUAUGGAUGAGGAAUGUGCUAUCUAGGAUUUAUAAACAACAAAAGUAAGGUAGUAGUCGUAAGGUUAACUAGGAUAGUCCCUAAGAUACAGUAAGAUAGUACUUGUAAGGUUAAAUAAGGUAGUACCUUAGGCACAUUAAGGUAGUACCUUAGGCACAUUAAGGUAGUACCUUAGGCACAUUAAGGUAGUACCUUAGGCACACCAAGGUUGUAACUCAGAUGCCAUAAGGUAUUACCAGGGGUGAAAAAGAUGGCUAACCUAUUGCAACAUAACAAUGUCAUUCUCAAUUAAGGAAAUUAUCUAUUCAGUUUAAUUGCUUGGUUUUUUUUUUUUUUUAAACUAGGUGGAAAUUGAAUGCUGAAGCAUACAUACUAUGGUUGACCAUGGUAGUACGUUGGAUUCACAAAUUAACUACUAAUUGGGAAACAAAGUUAGUAGGAAAGUUGUACUCGGUUGCACGAUUCAAACACUGAACUGUGGAGAGAGUGUUAUAGUAAGGUAGUACCUAAGGGACAUUUAGGUAGUACAUAUGAUACGUUGAGAUAGUACCUAAGGUACAUUAAGAUAGUACCUUCACACUAUUAUGAGUAGAUAAUGUACGAAGUGACUAACCAAUUAAGACAAAGUAAUGUCAUUAUUUAAUCUACAAUAAAAUGAAAUAAAUGUGUCUUCAGUUCGAAAAUGCAACAUUUCUCCAACAUUAAGGACAAUAACCAAUUGGACCUUACUACAUAAAGAGUAGUGAGAUAGGACCUAUGAUGCAUUAAGGUUGAACCUAAAGUGGAUGACGAUAGUAAGUGAAGUGCAUUAGGGUAGUACCUAAGGAGAACAUUCUAAAAAAUAAAUUAUUUUUAACUAAUGCCAAGGACAAUUCAGGACAUUGUGUACUGAGGGAAGAUGUUGGACAUAUAUCCAUUCAGCGUCAAAUUAGGAUGAAAUUGAAUGUCAAGCAUAGGUCCUAUGGUUGAGGGAAGUGCUACCUAGGAUUGAUGAACAACCCAAGGUUCACGAACUCACAACCUAAGCUUCAUUAAGUUAAUAACUAAGGUUGACAAUGGUAGUCUCUAAGUUGCAUUAAGGUAGUACUCCUAAGGUUCAAUAGGGUAGUCCAUAAGCUACAGUCAGAAAGUACUCCUAAGGUUCACUAAGGUAGUACCUUAGGCACAUUAAAGUAGUACCUUUGCCACUUUAAGGUGGUGCCUUAGCGAUAUUAAGGUAGUCAAUCAAGUGCAAUAAGGUAUGAACUAAGGUGAACGGGGUGCAUAACCUAUUACAACAUAAUAAUGUCAUGCUCAAUUAAAGAAACUGUCAAUUUCAACCAAAUGACUCGGUUAUGUAUCAAACUAGGAUGAAAUUGAAUGACAAAAAUACAUCCUAUGAUUGACCAUAGUAGUACCUAGAAUUCAUAAAGUAAUCAUAGAGUGUUUAUGAAGCUAGUACCCAAGUUAUGCUUGGGUGCAUCGUUAAGGUUCCCAAAUGUGGAGACAAUGUGGUACAGUCAGGUAGUACCUAAGGGACAUUAAGGUAGUACCUAAAGUUUAUUACGAUAGUACCUAAGGCUCAGUCAAACAUUGCUUACAUCUAAGGUGAACAAACUCACAAAAAUUGCAAAACAUGAUGCCCACGCACGUUGCAAAGGUUCACAAAGGUUACAAGCCAAGGUGUGCUAAGGUAUAAGACCAUAAAUAGCCUCAUGACUUCACAUAGAGCAUGUAGGAUGUGUUUGAUAUGGGAAUUGGAUUGGAAAUGGAGCUGAAUCAUAAUAUAAUAUAGAAGAGAUGAAUCAAAAUUCUAUUAGGGGUUAGAGUAGGUUCCCAUCAAAAUGAAUACAUCAUUCAUAUUCUCAUAUUAUAAAACAAUCUAAACAAAUUAAUGAAUGGAAAAUGCCAUUGCUAUCCAUUUCUCUUUCUCUGUUCUACCUUCACAAACAUUACCUUAUAGUGUUACUCAAGCAUUAUUGGAUUCAUAUUUCACGACAUUCAUGCCACAAUAAAAACAAUAGAGUAUCAUAUUUUCUUCAUUCUAUUUAACAAUAACCAUUGUAACACAUCAUGGAAGUUACCUUUGGUGCAACAUUCACAUUUCCAAAUACACCAAUGUUGAAAUAAUAAACAAGACAAGGCACCAACCUACAAGCAUGCGGUCUAAAAUCCACCUACGUGUGAAGCUAUCACCUCACCACUGCACACAUAUUUCGGAGUCCAACAACCACUCCACAAUCGCUGAUGUGCUCCAUUAAAAAAAUUAAACAAACAAACAAACAAAACAACACUAAAUACAAAUUAAUUACCUUAAGAUUUUGGUGGGGGUUAGGCCAAAAUGCAACCCAAUAAGAUGAAGAGGAGAUUUCUUCUUCAUGAAGCCAAUAUUUCACACUUGCCGUUUUCGUUCGGGUUCACUCAGUUGAGCCAGAAUUUGAAUCACACUGUUGCUUCCUCAAACCCUCUUUUUAACUGGAUGUUGUUACCAUGAAGUGCUUCAUUUGCUUUUUCAGAAACCACACAACAAAGAAAAAUGUAGAUUCAAGUUUUCGAUUGAAGGUUUCUUCUAAAAAAUGUGCCAUAUUUUGCAAAUUUAAAUACAAUUUUUGAUUCACGGUUUCUUCAUUGAAAUGUGUGAAAUUUUGCAAAUUUAAACACGAUCUCCUUUCCAAUUAGUUGUGGACAUGAAAACGGAGGAGAGAAAUGUUCCCAAAACUUUGAGAGGACGAAAGAAAGGGAAAUUUCAGUCUCAGUAUCAGUUGGCUACUCCAGACAUUUAAAGACAAAUAGGUUCGACUAAUCGGGAUGUUAAGAGAAAAACAGAGAAGUCUGAAAAUCGAGGAAGAUGGGUAUCAAUUGGGUUUGUUGGACAUGAAGGUUUUUGCCGAUUCAAAUUUCAAAUGACCUUUUGAAAUGCCAAGUUUUUGAGAUUCCGGCUUAGGGAAAAUCUCAAAUUUGGUUGCUGACAAACUAAAAUGCGGAUUUAGGGCUACGGGAGUUUUUCAGAAGAAAGUUAGAUGUUCAUUCUAGUUUCAACUCUAGGUUUUUUUUUUUUUUGGCUAAAAUGAGAGAGAGAGAAUGGGACAACCAAAUGUUUAGAUUUGGAAGAGGCAAAUUAGGGAUGGAGAACUAUCAGAUUUGGGAAUUUUUUCCAAUUCAAACAAAGAAUUGGUUUUUUUUUCCAGUUCUUUGUCAAGUUGAGUGGUUUUUUUUUUCCCUGAAAUUAUCAAUUUUCACAAUUUUUUUUAAGUAUGACGUGGAGGCUAUUUUGCUGUUGAUGUAGAAGACAUCGAGGGCAAUUUGGGCAGAUAAAAUUAACUCAACACAGAGUGUACAAAUCUCAUAUUAUUUUGCCCAUUAAUGAUUGCUUUCCAUAUUUAAUAAACUUGAGGUUUGAAUAUUAUAUUUUUUUUUAUAUAAAUAAAGGCCCUAAAACACAAGUUUCCAUUUUUUUUUUUGGCAGAAAUAUUACCAAAAAAUCGACAAUAAAUUGGAGAAAUAUCGGCUAUUUUUUGUCGUGACAACCAAUUAAUGAAAAAAAUCGGAGAUUAUCUAUGAUUUUUUGGUGAUAUUUACUGAAAUUUCUUAUUUUUGAUAUAUUACCAUGAUUUAUCGUGUCGAAACCUUUCUAUACACAGGUAAAUCGGCAAAAUUUCGAAUAUGGCCACAUUUUCGUCCCUGCUGCAACCAACGACUAAGAUUCCGGGACGUGGCGGCGCCACCCCUUCACCAGCACCGAAAAGAACUUAAAUUACCUGAACACCCUUCACAAAGUCACAAAUGCAAAACCUAAUUUGGGCGAGUAACCCACUCGAGUCGCCCUUUUUGGGUCAUCCUUGCUCGAAACUCGUCAUUCAGUCUACCAGGAGGCUUACCAGAAGAAGAAGAAAGGGAGGAGAGAGAGGGAGAGAGUGGGCGGUCAGGGCAAUGCCUUGUUCUUCUAAAAAUACGUCGUCUUCUUCUAGAGAUGACAAUGGUGCCCUUCGUGCUUUCAAGCUGAGUGAGUCCACGUUUUUGGCUUCUCUUAUUCCUAAGAAGGGGAUUGCUGCUGAUCGAUUCGUCGAGGCGCAUUCUAAGUACGAUGCCCGUGAGGUUGUUGUCGCUAUUUUUGGUAAUUUGAAAUUUUCUAUGGGGGGUUUUGGGUCUGUUUGGGUGAUGAGAAAGUGAUGGGAAAUGGGAAAAAAUUUCUGGGUUUAUUUAUUGGUUUAUGAGAAGUGGGCGAAGGACACUAAGUGGGAUAUGGGUGUUAGUCGUUUUUUCUUUUUGGGGGUCUGUUUCUGUUUGGGUCCUGAGAAAGUGGUGGAAAAUGAAAGAUAACUGUUUUUUUAUUUUUUUUGUUGGAGUUUUAUGUUGUUUUGGUUAAGAUAUCAGACGUGAACCUUCAGCUUUUUCCAUGGUGUCUUGAAAGUGUUGUUCAUGCUAAAACUUAGGAGUCGAAUGUGGGAAAUGCUUAUCUCUUGAGCUGUGCUGGGUUGUAUUUCUGAUCUUAGAGUGUUGUUUUUACCCAGAUUCUGGUGUGUUACAAGUUACCUCAGGUGGGAAACCGAAGAUCUUUGAUGUUCUUGAUUCGUAUUAUAAAACUACUUGUUUGUCACGGUACUCUUACAGCAAUAUUUACAGAGUACUUUUUCUUUUUUCAGCCUUGGCAGUGGAGAUAUUGAUACCUCAACUGUGGUGAAGGCCGAUUCAAACGGUUGUCUUGGUGGAGCAUCAGGUUUGUGUCUUAAAGCAUUGACCUGUAUCGUACUUUUGAGCAUGAAAAUAAGCCCGAUCAUGAUAUUUUCAAAUGUACACAUUAAUAAAAGUGUUGAUUCUAAUUAAAUUAAUAUUAUUUUGAAUUAUUAUGCAUUAAAAAGAUUAUUAUUUUUGUAUGUUCCUCACACUCACAUUCUGUGCUUUUAUCCUAAAUUUGUAAUAGGGGCAUCUCUGGUUGUAAAUUCUUCAUGGAAGAACCCUUCUGGGGAGUGGCAUGUGGGUUAUAAAGUCGUAUACGAGCUUUGUACAGACACAUUGACUUCUGGUUUGAAGGUUUGAUUUUAAUCAUGAACUCAUGACUUAUUGAUUUGAUACUUAAGACUGGGAUCACCUAAGUUCUAACUUCUCAUCUCUUCCCCUUGUUUAUUUUGUUACAGAAAGAAGGAAAAAGUGGAACAAAAAGCAUAGGAAGCAAUAGCUGAGGCUGUAAAGCAUCUUGAUGAAUUUGACCAGGUUUUGGAUAAUUCUGUUGCUUAAUUUCUUACAUGUUGCAUUUUUUUCCAAAUCACCUAUUCCGUAUUGCACUUAACUUCUGUUGUUAAUUAGUCAGUAACUCUGCAUAAUAGACCUGCAAAUUAUUGACUUUAAAAACAUCAUUCAAUUCUUGAUGCACUAUUAUUGUUUUCACUCCCCCUUAUUGUAAGUUGAUGUUUUUUGAUACUUUAUUGAUGUCCGGGCAUUUUACUUUUUGUCUCUUUGUAUUCAUGUUCAUCUGGAGAAAUUCAGUAUGCUAACUGCAUAAAAUGGUAAAAGAUUUUGGAUAAGGUCAAAAGUUUCCAUCUGUUAAUAAAAGUUUAUAAAUAGUUCAUUUACAAGCUCAAGCGGUCCUCAGGGCAUCUAUGUAAUAUAUUGCUGACACGUUCUUGUUUCAGUAUUACACUUGCAUUUCCUGCAUCAUGCCCAUCACCAGCUAUUAUAUGAUUUGUUGUAAAUUGCCUGGUCCAGAAACACAUUAAGAAGGGCUUGUGAAGACCUCCAAAACAGGGUUGACUUACUCCAGAAAUAGGUGGAAGUGAGUUUGGAGUGUUUUGGAUUACUUUUCUCUUCUAGUCCACUGGACUAUUUUAUUGCUUCAAUUGUAAGUAACCAUGUUUAUAUAUUUUAGAGCUAUGAUGACAAGGGACCUAUUAUAGAUGCUGUUGUUUGGAAUGGAGAACCAUGGAGGGCCACACUUGAUAGGCAGAGUCUUGAGGAUGACCCAGGGUGUUGGAAAUUUGCUGAUUUUGUAACCGUAACUAAUUAUAGGUAUGUUUGAUCCACCAGUAACAAAAUUGUGUGCUGGAGUAUCUUUUAUAUUUUUCUUAUAGUUUUCAAUGGUAAUAAUAUGUGUUUGAAAGAAGCUGAAACAUCCUUUCUAUAUAGGAGUUCUAAUUUUGAUGCAGUUUUUCUGGCUUAAGGUGGAUUACUGUUGUAUGAAUUAUGAAAACUGUUGUUGAGUUACUUCCAAUGAAGCAUCUGAAUUUGCUCCCUCUGAUUUAUUUUGGGGAAAAGAAAGGGGCUUGACUGUGCUUUUUGGGCUUACAUAAAAUCAAUUGGCAGCAUUUGAAAGCUCAACUUGAUUUUGAUAUUGCAUGGUGUUUUGAAGAUUCUGUUCAUUGUUAGUCCAGCCCCAGAUCCUGGAGAUGGAACUUGCACUUGGAAACAACCUUUUAUGUUGCUUGCGAUAGGCAUUUCACUUGUCUAAGGCAUGACUUGCCUUCUAAAUUCGCAUAAGCUCCUAAGGUAAACAGCUUAGGAAAGGCCUUGUCUGAACAAUAGUCAUGCAGAGAGAUGUGAAGCUCAAACACAAAUAUGCCCAGAAACGAGAAUUUAUGUUGAUGUUUCAAAUCUUUGUUCUGGCUACUUUUCUCAAUCCUCUGAUUUUAA
RNAcentral lists this long non-coding RNA (206632 nucleotides) under Vitis vinifera (wine grape). RNAcentral's name for it is "long non-coding RNA (VVIN_LNC001513)". Lineage: Eukaryota; Viridiplantae; Streptophyta; Magnoliopsida; Vitales; Vitaceae. The record is from RNAcentral.